GCCAUCUUUCCAAGCCAAACUUCCAAAGGUAAAUUUACCACUUCUUUGGUAAGUAGAUGUGAUCUUUACCUUAAAGGAGAUCUUCUUUGUCUUGGCAUUAAACUUCAACACAUUUGGAGUUACUUUAAUAUCAACGUUUCUUGGAGGUUUAACCACUAAUUUGUAUAUAGAGUUAACAUUCCCAACAUUAGUAACAGUUCUCUUGAUAGUAACUGAAUCCUUGAGAUUUGGAAUUGAUAUUGAAGGGAGAUUCAUAUCCAACCUUGAUGGUACUUCUUUGGGACACACAAUGCCUGAUGAAGAAGACGAUUUUUUCGCAUCGGAAUACGUAGUUACAUUAUAAACCCUAUCUUAACUAUAGCCCAAACUGCAAAGAUAAUUCGAAUAAUCAUUUUUUUCCAUAUCAUAGAUUAAACCAGGAUCUGCAGCUCCAUUAGGAUUGCAUAUGCCACCUCCAAAAUCGAAUGGAUUAGCAAGUUUUCCUCCAGUUCCUUCUGCAUAAAUUUCAGUUUCAUAUGUGUCCUCGUUCCAUGCUACACAGUUAACAAAAAAUUUAAAACUAUUAGUACAUCUUUUGUAAAUUUUGAUGUCUCCAAAAAACUUAAAAAUUACUUGAGUAAACUGCCUCUUCUAUUGUUCAUACAAUUAUAUAUUUAUGCCCAGAGUACCAAUGUAGAAUUACUUUGUCUGUAGAAAUGUUGUAUCAAAAGUCAAAACAAAAAUAAGUUGAUACAAUGCUAUUAAUUUCAUUUAGUAGAUAGAUAAACCUUUUGAGCACGAUGGGAUUAAUUAAAGUGACGUAUAACAGAAUGAAAUUAAUAAUAAUAAGCUUAGUUUGGUAAUUUAGAAAAUAAUGUAAACAAUAUUUUAUAAUAGGUUAAAAUAUGUUUGACAGUAUAAAAAAAUAGAUGCAAGUUAAAUCAUUUUCUCACUAAAACUUGGAAGUAGGUGUGUUCAUGGUUUGGUUAAAAAUCAAAUCGAACUGCAAAUUAAACCAAAUCGAUUAAAAAAAUCAAUAUUUGGUUUGAUUUGAUUUUAAAUUUUUAAAAUCGAUAUUUAUGUGGUUUGGUUUUACUCUAAGAUAACCAACAAGAUAACUAAAUCGAACCGAUAAAAAUUAUAUAUAUAUAUAUAUAUAUAUAUAUUGUUGUUGUUGUUUCUAAUGUUUAUUGUUGACUCUAUAAUAAAUGGUGAUGAUCAUAAUAGAGUCAUUCCUCCUGAAGAGAAGUAAAAGGUUUCUGUCAAAGAAACACUCUCUUUAAUAUUUCGAUUUGAAGACGAGGAACCCUUCCCCUCGGAGAAAGAAUACUGAGAAAAUGAAAUGGAUAAUCUUUUUUAUGUAAUGGACAUGUGUACCUUUGUAUCAAAUAGUAUUAGAUUUACAAAUCCAUUUGUUUUGCCAAUGCCGAGUGGACAAACAUGUGGCUGUCAGACACGGACCCACCAUCUUUUUCUAGAUGAACAAAUUUGACUUAUCUAUAGAGUUUGUUCCCAUGUGGUUUAUAUAUAGGAAAAAAGAAUUGUUUUUACCUCAAAUUAUAUAAAAAAAGCUUAAGCCACAUUAAAAUUAUAUUAGUGAUCUAUUAUACACUUAAGUUAUAAUAAACGAUAUUUUUUAUAUUUUGUAAAAUAUUAUAUCAUUUACAUGUAGUGUCGUGUAUUACAUGCGUCUAUCACGUCAGCUCUACAUCAACUAAUACAAUUAUAGACUUACACCUCACCAAUCUCAGUUAUAGACUUACACAUCACCAACCACAACCUCUCCAAAUUCUUUGCCUCACCUAAAUAAGUAGCACCCACAUUCUUCAACUUAGUAGCAUUUGACAAAUCAAUCUCAGUCAAAUUCUCACAAUUCAUAACUAAAUUAGAUAAUCUCAUAUGAGUAAAAAACUUACUUUGAAAAAUUAACUGACCUCAACAUUUCUUUACAUAAACUAGCUAUAACUGUUAGUGUUCCAUUUGUAAUUCUUGGACAAAGGAAAAGAUCAAGAUUGAUAAUUUGCGGGUAUCUGUUAAGAAUUUUUGUUAAUUGUUCUGGCCUAAAGGGUUUCAAGGUUUUCCUAUGGUGAGAUUCAAUAGCAAAAAAUGAUUUACAAACAAGUGAGAAUGAUUUUUUUGUCAAAUGAGUUGUCACUAAGACAAUCAAGAAUUGAAAAGACAAUUUCUUCAGAUAGAAAAUCAAAUGGGUUGUAAUUGAAUUAUGAAAUUUGCUUUUGCUUUUGCUUCUUCACUAUUUUCCAAGAUUGGACCUUUAUUGUUCUUGCAAGCUAAAUUGUGAAUUAGAUUUGGAUAAAAAGAAAUUUUUAAAGGAAGAUUGGGCGGUGGAGAUGUAAUAUUGUAGUUUUCAUGUGAAUUUGAUGAUAUAAAGAAGUUUAGGAAAAUUAAGAAGCAACAAUUUAACAGAAAAACACUGGCCUAAUUGAGAACAAACUGAGCGAGGAAGAAGAUGAGAAGAAUGUUUCAAUUAUUUUAUUGUCCUUGAUGUUUUUGAGGGAAACAGUUAUUCCAUAAUCCAAUUCGUCGAAGUGAAAACAACAAAUUCAAUUUGAAUUUUGGCCAGACUGUUUAAGCUUAGUUCGAAAUUAAUGAUUCAAAUUUCGUUUUGAGAUUUUGAAAUUAGUGAAAUCAAUUUGAUGGAGUUGGAGUUUGGGGGGGGGNNNNNNNNNNNNNNNNNNNNNNNNNNNNNNNNNNNNNNNNNNNNNNNNNNNNNNNNNNGAUGAAGAAGAAGAUGGUUUAAUUUGGGGGUGGGAGGUGAUGAAGAAGAUGAUGAUUUGGGGUUGGGGGUUGGGUAGAGGAGUAUUUUAUUUUUUUAUUUUUUUGUAUUAAUUUUUAAUGUAGACGUGCCUUAUUUAAAUUAAUUAAUUAUAUUUUUUUCACGUCAGAUCUAGGGGAUAAAAAGUAUCACUUUAUAUUUUAGGUGUGUAAUAGGUCACUUAGAUGGUUUAGGUGUGACUUAGACUUUUCUUGUAUAAUUUGAGCUGGAAACGAUGCCUUUUCCCUUAAAAUUACAUUUUAAAUUGUAAUUUUGAACUUAACUUUAGCCAUAACACUUUUAGUCAUAUGUCUUCAUCUAAUUGAUGGUACGUUAUGAGAUAUUAUAUGAUUUUUGCAUUUUGAAUGAUAAAUGAUACUAAUUGUGAAAAUUAUCUUGUUGUCUAUGGGAUUUUAUAGGUGAGUUUCAUUAAACCAUAGAUAAUCACUAGUUUUGAACUUUCUUUUUGGUUUCUAUUGAGCAAAAAAAUUAUGUGUUUACUUUUUGGGGGGUUUAUCAUAUUAUUCUCUUAUAUGUGAUUCUAAAUAUUUUUGUAGAAUCGUUCAUAUGGUGUUGUUCGUCGUUUUGCCUAAGUAUAACACUAAAUUGACAUCUUAGUUUCAAAGUUGAGGAACAACACUCAGUUGACAUCUCAGUUGGAUUUGAUUUUUUUAAGAAAAAUUUCAAAUUUUAUCAUUAAUUAAAGUUAUAAAUCGAAAAAAUUGAACCAAACUAAAUCAACAAGAAUCGAACUACGAUUAUUUUUUGUAUUGGUUUAGUUUGAUUUUAAAAAUUUAAAAAUUAACUAAGUUGAUUUGAUUAUGAUUUUGAUUAAUAACCGAUCCAAACCGGCUGAUAAACACCCUAAUUGGAAGGUUAUCAUAUAGGAGUAUUAGUUAUAUGGACAGACUCUCAUGUGUUCCUUUAUGCUAAAUUGAUGCAUAAAAAUGGGAACUUUUUUGUAGGAAAUUUGAUAUGAUAAUUUAGUAUACUUUAAUAAGUUAACUUUUAAGGAAAAAAUAUAAAACAUCCUAAAAAACUUUCAUGUAUAUUAAAUACCACCCCCAAAAUAUAAUACCAUUUUUACUGUGAAGAGUGCAUUGUACAUGCACCACGUUUAACCAAGUUAAAUAUUAUUUUAGUUUAGUUUUUUUAUUUUUUUCCUUAGCCUCUUCCUCUCCCAUGGAAGUAAAAACUUGCAACUUUAAUUUUGAUUUUUUCAUUGCCAAAAUUUGAAAUUUGUUAAUGUCAAUCAAUUGAAAAAUUGAUUAAUUCCUCAUAGUAUGACUUUGAGAUUGCACCUUUAGGUAAGUAUUUAUUCAGGAAUUUAUCAUCAUCUAAUUUUUAUUUUUUUUUUAAAUUUAUCAUCUUCUUGUUUCUUCUAAUUUCUCUUCUCAGUUCUCAUAGAGCCUUUUUAUUUUAAAUGGAUAUUCUAAAUUGCAUAUUUGAAAAUUCUAAUAAAGAUUUUUUGAAGCAAAAUGAAAGCUUUGUCUUUAGGCGAUGAUAAAGAUUUAAAAAAGAAGAAAGAGAAAGGGGAGGAUUCGAAGGAAGGGGGUGGAAGUUUGUAGAAGAUGAAUGAAGGGGGUUUGGGUUCGAAGAAAAAGAGGGGGAAGGCAGGGAUGGGGGGACGGUUAGAGAAGAUGGAAGGGGGUGGGAGAUUUUUGAAGAAGAUGAAAAGGUGGGCUAGGGGAUGUUUUUAUUUUUUAUUAUAUAUUAUUAAAUUAGUAGGACUUUCACCAUCUUUUUUUUUUUUUUAAGUGUUCUUUAUAAUUUGUUUUGGUCACGUCAGCUAUUAAGGUGGAUAUAUAAUUCACGCGAAAGUUAUUUAAGGGGUUUUUUAAAUAUGUGUAAAGCUAAAGUAUUAAAAUAAGUUAUGCAUUUCCCUGUAUUUUACUAUCAGUAUAUAUAAUUUAAAUUGAGAAAAGUCUUAAUUACCCCCAUAACUUUAAGGUUUGAUUUAGUGUACACCUAAACUAUCGGAUGUCUUAAAUACUCCUCAAAACGUGUUAUUUUAAUAUGUCAAUAACCUCCUCGUGGUCCACCUGGCAUGAAAAGUGGUGGAAUUAAGCAUUUGCCACAUCAUCAUUUUGCAACCGUAAAAAAUAAAAAAAACAUCAUUUUUUAACAUUGUUGUCAUAGUUUCAAAGCCCCCAUCUCUCUCUUCUCUUCCUAUUUAUUCUCUAGUCUCCUCUGUGACUUUUAAAAUUUCUCAAAAUAAUUUUAUUUCAAUAUGAUUUCUAUACUUUAAAUCAAAUCCCUAAUUGAAAUAGUAUUCGGAAUGUAGUAUGCAACAUCAAUUGAAAAAAAUAACUUCAUAUUUUAACACAAAGAAAACUAACAAUUUUUUUUUUUUCAGAUAACAUCUUACUUAAUUGAAGAAAAUUCAAUUUAGAAAUUAAAUAUUCACUCAAACCUUCAGCUUUUCUCUAUUUUAAUUUGGAGCAGAGAAAAACUCAAAAUUUUGAUCUUUCUUCUUCACUAAGAGUUUAUGCAAUAGCUUCUAGGGAGUGAAAGUGAGUGAUUUUUGAUAUAGGAUAAAUAUGAAACAGUGUCUGAUAUGAUUUAUCCACAUACACAUAGGCCAUUAUUUCACCGUGUAUGCGCGUGUUUCAAUUGUGGUCUUUGAACCACAAUGGGGUAUGCGAAGUAUUGAAAUAACAAGUUUCGAAUUUUUUUUAAGACAAACAAUAGUUUAGGUGUUCACUAAACAAAAUUUUACAAAUUCAAGAUUUUUCUAAAACUUCUCUCAUUUAAAUUCAUACAUUACCUGUAGUCGUAAGAGCGGACCUAAUAGCUGCUGGAGACCAAUCAGGAUGUGCAGCUUUGAGAAGUGCAACAAUUUCCGCGACAUGAGGGGCUGCCAUGGAUGUUCCUGACAUGAGUUUGAAGCCAUUAUCUCCUCCGAGAUGAGAAGGAUAUGCUGCGAGUAUAUUAACACCAAGAGCUGCAAUAUUGGGCUGUAAUAAUAUUUAAGUAAAUUUAUAAAUCACUUUUAAAAAUGAUAAAAUAAUUCAACAAAAAAAUUGCUAAAUUGGAGAAGAUAUGAAUCUAAGAUUUAAGUUUAUUGAGUUCAACUUUUAAGGUGUUGAUGCUGCAUUCAUAAUAAAUUUAAACUUAAAAUUCUGAAGUUACUGCUUCUAUAAUAUUUACUUAAAUUCUAACGACAACAACAAUAUAUUCAAUAUAUCUCAAACGACAUAUAAUUCUGUAUUUACCUUUAAAAUUUCUGGGGCAAAAGAAUUAGGGCCUCUUGAGGAGAAUUGAGGCACCUUUAUGUAUGUCUCCUUGCCCUCAAGAAUUUUAGCUUGUCCAUAUUUAAUAAUAGGAUCUUGAUUGCUGUUAUAAAGCACGAAAUAAUUUUCAGUGAUCUAUAAUAUAACAAGAAUCUAGCAAAAUUAAUUAUUUCUCAGAUAAUAUAUAAUUCUCUCAAAUUAAAAAUGUUAUCUCGUAUUUAGUUAGAGAGUGGAUAAUAUUUUUUAAAAAAAAUUUAAUUUGAGAUUGAUAAUAAUAUUAGCACGGACAAUGUUUACCAAAAAAGUAUACUCAUUAUUGAAUAUUACUAAUAAUGUUUAUGUGUUGAUCGAAAAUAAUGACAUCAAGAUAAGAUUUGAGAUAAUUAUAUGUGACUUCCCUUCCGACAGCAAAGGAAAACCAUUUUUUCCUUUUUAUCUCCGGGGGUAAUUUUUUCCCCACUUUUUUUAAUGACUUAACUUCUAAAAAUAUUUUUCCUAAAAAAAAAUAUAUCUUAAAAUAUUCAAAAAUACGAAAAAGCGCAAAAACAAGAAGGAGAAAGAGACAUAUAUGCUUACUUCGAUAUACAUUGUUGAAAAUAGUCAAAAAUUUGAUUUCCUUGUUCGAGAUCUAUCAUGAAGAAUGGUGUAGGAUUUUGUAGCAAAAAUAUAAGCCAAAACUCCUGUAUUGUUAAGUUUCAUCAAAGAACGAAAUAUAUCCUUUUUGUUUGGAAAGAAAAGCAUUAUAACUUUUCCUUUCAAUCCAUUGGCAAUAGAUUCCAGGUCUUCAACUCUGAAAUUGAAAAAUACUAAUGUUAACAAUUAUAGAUAAAUUUCGACAAAUAUAGUGUCGGACAGUUACGACAUUUGAAAAGAAAAGAAUUUUACAUAAAAAAACCCUCCGGAGAAAAAAUAUAUCUUGAGAUCCUUUAUAUAUAUCUCAAUCCAUUCCAAUGGCUUAACCAAUAAUCAUUGCAAACACUCAAAAAUCCAUUUCAUAAAUAUUCGAAAGUUCAAAAAGUGAGCGGUAUGGUAUGUUACAUCAAACUUCUAAAACUAACUUGCUUUCAAAUUUCUUUUUUAAAAAAAUUCUUUCCAUGAGAACAUUUUGUAUUUGACUAACAAAUUUAAAAAAUCACCUUUGACCAGUCAUUAGUAUUUGACCAAGUAUUAAAAACACUUCAAAAUUUAUUUUCAAAAAAAUACUUUUGUAGAAAAAUUAAUUUAUUUUAGCUUCUUAAAAAAUAAUUUUUUUUUCUCCGAAAAGCUUAACGAAACACCUCGUUUUAAAAAAAAUAUCAGCAAUAAUCCGUUUAUAACAAAUCAAAAAUACUCUCAUCCAAAAGAACUGAUAGCUUAUAUUGAAUACUAAACUGUAAUUACAAAGUAGUUACCAAUGAUACUAAGCAAAUUCAAUAAAAAUAAAAAUAAAAAAGGAAAUGAGAUAUAAAUAACAGAUGAGAGAGAACAUUGUUCACAUCACAAUACACACAUAAACCAUUCUGUUUAAUUCAAAGUUCUACUUAUCCAAUUGUUAAUUGGCUAUGAUCCCAAAUAAAAUUUUUCAACAUAUCAAUCGGCCCAAUAAUCUCGACUGUAUCAAAAGGAGGAUAAACAGAAGGUUUAUACUUUUGACAUCUUGAAAACUUGGCCAAUAUUAAUAUCUUGUAAACUGUAUUAAUUGGAUGAUGCAAUAUACAUUUCACUUACCACGUUAUAUUUGCAAAAGUGACCAAAGGAGCAAAGGCUUGUUGCAUCCCUUUAAUAAGUCCUGCAGCCUACAAUCAUUCCAAAGUGUAAAAAAAAAAUUGUACUAGAAUCGUCACGUUUAGAUUGCAAAUCCCUCCGAAGAUUGAUUAUUUAUUUAUUUUAAAUGGAAAUAAGACCCCAGGGGUUGUUUUUGUUUAAAAAAAUUUAAAAAAUUGUCGAGUGUAAAUUUUAAAAAUAAUAAAAUCUUAGCCAAUACACACAACAAUAGUCUAAUGAUAAAACUGUAUUCUACCAUACUAUAUAUGAUAUCAUCAAUCCUACUUCCAAAGCAACCAUUUUCAUAUUUGUCAAACCUCUUUCUUGGAGGAAAGGUUUUGAAACUGUAUAAAUAGAAGACCCACUUCUCAUACCAUAAUACAUAUAGAAUCCACAAUGUAGUCAUUUAAAAAGUUUUGUUUAGGAGGAGAUUUUCUCUCGAAUAGUUUUAUGCUUUCUUUUAUAUUAGGUUUUUAUAUGUAGGCCAAUUGACCAAACUAUAUAAUAAUUAUGUUAGUAUGUUUUUCUUUUUGUCUGAAUUAUCGUCUCAUAGUUUGCAACUAUUAGCUUCCUCAUGACGCCCUCUCGAUUCCGAACCCAACAUUAUUGACAUAUUUUUCUUCAAAUUAAAGUUUUAAGAAAACAAAAGAACUUACUAGUAUCGUCUUGUUAUUGCCAAGUGUUAAAGGAGUAACAAUUUCUCUGUCGGAAUUGCUACUAGCCACACUUAUCACCCAUGGAGAAGUAGCACCAACUGUGUAAGAGUCUGGUCCACUAUUUCCUCCACUAGCAAUAAAAGAUAUGCCAUAGGAUAUUGCAUGAAAGGAUCCUAUUCCAAAUAAUUUAUCCUCAUCAAUGUCAGCAAUGUUGAUAACACCACCACCAAUAGAUAUUGAUAUUAUAUCAACUCCAUCUUUUAUAGCAUCAUCAAUAGUAGCAAGAACAUCGAUAUUACUAAUUUUUGUUCCAUUUAUACCACUUCAGGCCACCUGUUAAAAAUAUUAUAAAUAAGUGAAUAUAAUUGUGUUUAGAUUCUCUAACAUCUUAAACUUUUAGAGACAAGAAUUAGAGCUCGGAAAAAAAAGUUUUGGGUCCAACUUUCACCUCUAACCAUUAGUUAGAGAUGAGAAUUGUUGAACAUAAUAGGUUUAUAGAUUCUACGUAGUAAAUUUGAUUUAUUGAAUUCAUAAUUUAUUAUUUGCAGUUAUCAUUAUAAAAUUUUAAAUUGAAAUACGAUGUUUGAGUCAAAAUUAUUGGAUUUGAAUGAACCCAUAAAAUAUAUGCUAGAUUCAUCAAUGUAUUAUUUAAAAGCUAAGAAUAUUGAUGUGCUUGGUUAGUAAAAGAGAAUAAAAUCUAGACGUGUUGAAAUUAUGAUUAAAUAUAUUUAUAAAAUUACUUUAAACGUUUAAUUGAGAAGGAUAACUACACAAGCAAUUUAAUGAUGAUACCUUAUAAAUAGCUAACCGUGCACGUGGUGCUCCUCCUCGUAUUGUUCCCAUAUUAACACCAUAGUAUUACAGAUUGUUAACAUAAGAACCAGCAGCUGUAUAUGCAACAUGACUACCAUGCCCUACUUUAUCAUCUAAUGGUGAUAAAUCAUUUAAUUUUUUAGCUGUUGUUUGAUUUAAUUCAUUAGCUUCUAUUGCUCCUUUUAUAUACCAACGAGCUCCAAUCAUUUUUCGAUUACAAUAUUUUGCAGUGGUGAAAUUUCUUGCGGAUUUGCAGCUACCUUUCCAUCUUGAUGGAAUUGGACUAGGCCUUUAUCAUUAAAAGCUUCCGAAUUAUCUCCCCAUGCAAUACCUACAAAAUAUUGGUAGUUCUUUUAGAGUUUAAACUAUACACAAACAUGUAACAUCAUGAUGCUUGAAUAUAAUUUGUUGUAUGAUUGUAGACUGGAAGAAAUAUUAAAAAUUAACUUGAUAAAGUACAUUAUUAAUGUAAAAAUCUCCUUACUGUCUAAAACAAUACCAAUGAAAGAAGAAGAAUAUCAUAGAGAGGGAGAAAAUAGUACUUAUUUCUCAAGAGAGAUUGUGUUGAGAAUGAAUUAUAAUAAAGAAAAUCUCUUUUAUUUAAAGAAAAAAUUGACUUGAUCCCAAAGUUAGGUUUCCUAUCUUUUCUCCAAAGAAACAUAAAAGAAGACAUUUAUCAAUGAUAAUGUGUUUCGUUAAAAUAUUACUAGAAAAAAAUCUAGUGAGAGAAAAAAUCUUGUCAACAAAAAAGAGUACACAUGUCUAAUAAUACGUAUUUUGAUUGCUUUAUUAAAAAUCAUUAAAGAAAAAUUUAGUGGGACAAAACUUUGUGAGGGAAUAAGAGUACAACAUGUAUUAACUCCUCCCGAUCGAAAGAUCAAUUCAAUACUUAAAUCUUCACAUUUCAAUUUUGUGUACCAUCUUCUAAAAUAUUGUAGUUAGUAGAAAUUUGAUCAAUAAAUUAGUCAUAUUGUCACAAAAAAAGAGUUUGUUGCACAUUGAUGUCACCAUUCGUUUGAAGUUCAUGUGUAUAGAAAAUUCUAUUGAAGCGUGCUUCAUUCUAUCUCUUUUUUUAUGAUCCGUCUCUUUAAUUGGGUUACACAUAAUGCAUAAUCUUCAUAUAAUAUCAUGAAUUUGUUACAUUUGAAAUCAUAUUUUUCUCAAAUGAGAUGUAUAUAUCAUUGCCUAAGUAACACACAUUCUCAGCUUGCUUCAUAAUUAGCUAUUAUCUAAGCAUAAUUUGAAUGUCAUGUACAACAUGUAUGAUCCUUCAUGACAAUAGAUAAUAUUUCUGUAUUAAACCUUUAAGUCGAUCAUAUGAUAUCUUAUAUAUUCAAGAACUUGACAAUAGUCAUUAAGAUAAAUUUAUUUCUAUGAGGCCUUUCAUUUGCCAUAUGCAAGUGAUCAUAUUUCAACAUUUCUACAGAAAGUAAACUAUUUUAUGCACAUAGUUAUAGCAAGAUGUAUAAAUACAUUAAUUGCACAAGAUAUGGUACUUAAUUUCCAAUUCAAAUUGGCAAGAUUCUCAUUUCAUCCAAUAAUCUAUAACUUUUGUAAAAUCUUUAGAAGUUUCAACUAUAUUCAAAUAAUCAAUUUAUGACAUAAGGAUUAGGUUAAAGGCAUCGAUAGGCACUCAAACUUGUUGCCAAAAUUCACUUAGACACCUAAACUAAGGUUUGUUCCUAUCAGACCCCUACACCCCCCGAAUUUUGUUUUAAUUAGGCAUUUUUUGCCUAAUCAGCAAUAGGCAUAGAGUGUGUGUGAUACACUCGCCUGACGUGGCAAAAAUGGUCGAUACUAAAAAAAACACGUGGCAACGAUUUUUUUUUAAAAAUUAUAAGUUAAAAAUCUAAUUAAAUCCAAAAAUUCUGAAAAAGAUAAUUAUUUUAAAAUUAAAAAAAUUAACCCUCCCCCCCUCCCACGUCCCCGCCCCNNNNNNNNNNNNNNNNNNNNNNNNNNNNNNNNNNNNNNNNNNNNNNNNNNNNNNNNNNNNNNNNNNNNNNNNNCUAGUUCCCCCACCCUGGCCCCCACCCCCCUUCCACUUUUUACUCCAGUUUUAAUAGCAAAGCUAUUAAAUACUCAAGUUACAAUCAAAUUAAGAAUUACAACCAUCUCAAAUUUGUAAAUCAACAAUCAAAUUACAACCAUCCCAAAUUUGAAAUUCAACAAUCAAAUUACAACCAAAUUUGAAAUCACAAUCAUCUCAAAUUUGUAAUUCAAAAAUCAAAUUACAACAAUCUCAAACUUGUUUCGAACUUGUACUGGUUAGAGCGUAAUCUCGUGAAGAAGACAUCACAUAACUCCAUUGACGAACAUUUGAGCUUUGAGUUUGAAUUUGCAGACUGUGAGGUUUCUAAAUUAUUUUGGUUGAGUGUUGUUUCAAAAGCAUGGUACACCUUAAGGAGCUUACAAAUCAAAUUUGGAGCUAUUUGUUCGAGAUUAGAAGUGGUUUUGACAUACUUUUAAUGGUAGAUGAACAAAUUAAAAUUUAAGAAAAAAAAUGAAGAAGAUUGGGAGAAAGAUGAGCCAGAGGUAUCGGGGGAGGGGGGUUGUGGGGAGGCUUUGUUUUUUAAUUCUGUUUUAUUAAAAAGAAAUUGGGGCCCUCUAAUACUUUUUGUUUUAUUAAAAAUUGUUUUGGGGUCUUUAGUGUUUUAAAAAAAUAAAAUUUUUGUUUUAUUAAAAAAAUUUGGGGCCCUCAGUGCCAUUUGACAUCUUUCUAUUGGUGAAUUAAUAAGAAAAAACACUUUCACGCGCCCUCUGCGUUUGCAUUGCACACACAGUGCCACGUAGGCAAAAGUGCAUAAUUGAAACAAAAUUUGGGGUGUUUAGGUGCCUGAUAGGAACAAGACUUCGUUUAGUUGUCUAAGUGAAUUUUGGCAACAAGUUUGAGUGUCUAUCGAUGACUUUGACCUAAGGAUUAUAAGUAAAAUUUUUAGAAACUUAUAUAUACUUCAGGAAUUCUUUGAUCCAUUUUUUCUAGUGAAAUAUUCAAUAUUUAAUGUAUGACACCUUUUAGAGUAUAGACUAUAAAUCAAAUAAUUCUUACUACGAUGCAUCCUUCCAUCACUUGACAAAAAUUUGUGUCAACAUUCUUACAUAAACAUAGUACUCAGAUCCUCAUAAUCUUUUAUAAUAUUGUGUUAUAAUGUAUUAAAGAUAUUGUUAAUGAUAUAUCAUUUUAUAUUGGUUCACAGUGAGAGAUAACCUAUUGAAAUCUCAUCGCUUCAUUGUUUUUCUUAGGUUACUCAAUUUCUCAUAAGGUUUAAUGAAAUGUUAUGUAGUAGGCUAUUCAAGAGUGUAUUAACUCUUUAUUAUGAUUAUUUACUUUUUUUUUCUCAAAGAUUAUUUCAUUUCGAACCGAUGCCUUACCAUGCUUCAUUGGUAUCGUAGAUUUUGCCCUUUAGGGACAUCUAAUUAGAGCAUUUACAACUAAUAUGAGAUUAAUUUUAGGUCUGAAAUGUUCCUAGCAUUUGACUUGAAUUAUUUUCGAUUGAGGAUCAUAUCGAUGAUAAUUCACUACAUAUUUAUUAGUUGCUUAUUAUCUCCCCCUUAUUUUAGUAAAACUAACAUAUAUAACUCAAUCUACUUUAGAGAAUCAUCUUUGUGCAUCAUGAUAUAUUCAUUAAUCAUAUACCACACCCAGAAAAUUGUUAGAUGAAAUAAUUGGUUCCUGACCUUGAACCAAUUGAGAAGGAGGGUUUAAUUACAAUUUAUUAGUGUAGUGCAUACAAGUGUCACGAUCCACAAAUAGGCAUGUGAUGACACUUGUCACACCCUCUGGACAAUUAAGUCCAAACCAACCCAAGGAAUAAGAAUUAAAGUUAGUCAAAAAAUGAAACAAAAGGAACAAAAGAAUCCUAAUAGUGUGUGUGUAUAUAUAUGUUUAUAUAUACACACACGAGACCCAAGUCUUAAAUACAUUCUAGAUCUAGUUGUCAUCAGUACAAGCCUCUAAAUAUAGAAUGAUAGCAAUAGCUAAAGUAUCUUAAAUGGGAGUAAGUAUAAGAUAAAUAAAGAGUAAUUCGGGUAAGUUUGAAGUUCGCCAGCACUACGUCGAUCUCCACAGCAUCAAUGCUGGAAGAAAAUAAUCUACAAAAUGCUAUUCGGUCCAAUACCUUCAUGGGGUGUAGAAAACAAAAAAAAAAAAAGAGAAGAAAGCGAAAGUACGAAACCACUUGUACUCAACAAGAAUCAUUGAUAAUUGACUCUAAUCCAAAAAUUUAGCGAAGGUACAAACCGACUCAACCAAUACAAAAAUAAGGUCCAAAUCCAAGAAACAUCAUUUUAAAGCUUUACUGCUGAAAUUCAAAAAUUGAAUUUAAAAAUAAAAAAUUUUAAAAUGAAUUUGUAAAGAAAUCAAUGAAAGAAAUUAUAAAUAUAAGUAAACAUACCCACGAAUGAAAUCUUGAAAAUCCCAAUAGAAGAACUCAAAUACAAGCUCUCUAGUUCAAAAAUGGUGAAAAUGAUGGAAUGAGGUUUUGAAUGUGAAAUUUGGUUAGGAAUAAUGAAAUACGAAAUGAAUAUUCUUGAAAAAUGAAAAAAGUGAAUGUAAAAUCACAUAGUAAAUGGUUAUACGAGAAAAAUACAUCUAUAAACGCCAAAAAUGGAGCUUACGAGCUCACAAAAUAUCAAAAAUAUAAAAUGAGCUAAAAUCUGAAAUUUAUAUAUGUCAAGGUACGAUUCCAUAGCUAAAAUUUAUGUUUCGUAGCUAAAAGUCUAUUUUUCCACAGCUAAAGGUGUGGACCAACAACCUUUUACACCAACAACUUUUAUAUUCUCUAAGAAGGCCAUAAAUCCCUCGUACAGUAGCGAAAUGCACCACUUCUUUUUUUUCAUAAUUUUAAAAUAAUGAUACGAAUCUAAUCAUUCAGUUGUGACUCAAUUUCAUGCAUGUUUGCCCAGUUAGAUAUUAUUUGUACUUGUUAAAGAAUUAUUUCAUAUUUCACGAUAAAAUUGGAUCUUAUCGAAAUUACACCAAACUCUUCAGAUCAAUCCUAUAAUUCAUGCAUGACAUUCUAUAAAUUUAAAAAUAAUUUUUUGAUCGUUAAAACUAAUAAUGAACCUUUUUGCCGAAUGUUUCUACUUAAACGGGGCCAAAAACACUCAAAAUAUUCAAAAAAUUAUUCAAAACUCAUCCGGAACCUCCCAAACCCAAACCAUAUAUGCUAAUAGCUUGAGAAAGUCAUUCCACACUUAGCAUUCAUUGAGUUUAUGAAAAGAGGCCGUUUACAAUAAAUUAACCCCCAAGACCUCUUAUAGGAUAUUUAAACUAAUUUCUGAAUAGAGGAUCAAAAUAAAAAAUAAAAGUUUCAAAUUCGAACCAACCCCGCUACCAAUUGAAAUUCGAUCUUUCUGACCUAAUGAAACUAUCAGAAUCACCAUCUGAUACUCGAAUCAUGAAAUAUUGAUCGAAGUCAAACUAAUCCCUCUAUGGAUAUUCAAAAUCAUAAUCUCACAUAAGACACUUCCGAAUUUAUCGGGGAUCGUUCCAACCAUUCCCGCAUCUCAUAAAUGAGAUAAAACAAUCACAAGGAAGGGUAAAAUAAUCAAAACACAGAAAAUUCUAAUUUCAAUAUAAGGGUCAUUACUGUAUCCACCAUUACAUUUCACAUUCAUCUUUGAACAUACAAGAAGGGAAAUCCAAGACAAUAGAAAAUAUCCUCGAGAACCUCAAGUAAGCACGCAAAAGUGGAGUCUAAACUAUAAAAUUAUCGAUAUACUGCAGAACCAGAUAUCUACCACACAAUGACUUACAAGGUUACAACACUGGCAUCUAAAGCCAAAUUCUCAAUGAAGCCGAAUUUCCUUAGUUUUGAACUUACUUAAUACCCAAUGAGUCAAUUAUGCUAGAAAUUCUAAACUCAACCAGCUAACCUAAACUUGGCCAAGACACCAUAAGACACUGAUGGCACCACUAAACAAAAUUCAUCAUUGGACUCACAAAAAGCCAAGGAGUUCAUGAAAUCAUAUAACCAUCUACUAAUAUACUGAAUAAACCCAUUCAAGGUCGAUACCACAAUUAUCAACUUAGAUAAAAUUAUAUCCCCAAACUAACACAGCUUAGUUAGAAGUCAAUAUCAAAUUCACAUAAAACCUCAAAAGCCACACUUAUCAUUCUUAAGACACUAUAACAUAGUCAAAUAUUUAUGUUCAACCCUCGUAGGCAAUCGAGAAUUACCAUAAAACUCCAUAUACCAUAGAUAUGAUCACUCAAAAAGGGACCAAAAUCUUAUGUAACUCAUCGUAAUAACCCAUGUAGUCCUCUACACUAAAGUAACUUUAAUCAACCAAAAAUUCUUAAUAAUCUAGUAGAACAAAGAGUUUAUAUUGACAACACACAUACGUAAGUUGUCAUAUAAGGGAUGACUAACCUAUAAAAGAAGAACAAAAAUCAUCAUAUCACACUUGUGGACGUCUAAAUUAUAACUCAAAUCUUAGGAAAGUCACAAGUAGACUCCUCAUAGACACUGAAGAACUACACAUGUUAAGGCUUCAAAUUUCUAACUCAAACCCAUAAUAAUUUCUGAUAUACCAAAAUUCCUUAUGUACAAGUUCUUUGUACCUUUCUUAGUUCUCAUUUAGUAUUCCUCCAGGAUAAAAAUCAUGAAAUAAUAAUACAUACUCUAAAUCAAACUCAUGAGCGAAAUAUUUCAUUAAGUCGUUUUACUUCCAAAGCAAUAAAUGCUACAAAUUAGGCACCUUUUCCAUUCAGUAUAUUUUUAAAUUAAAAGGCAAGGAUCUUUAUAAAUCAAUUUUUUUUCAAGUCUAACUGAUGUGUGAUCAAUAUCUCUAAGUUUUUUCAUGCAAGCAAAGCUAAUCACUGAGAAAGUAACAAAUCAUAAAACAAUAACUCUAAAAAAUCAUCCCUUAUCCAACCAAAAAUAUUUACUUGAAAACCUUUUGAAUAACUUACCACAAGUCCAAUCCAUUCUACAAUUUGAAAGUAUAUCCAAACCUAGAAUUGAUACAUUACUAUGCCACAACAUAACCAUCAAGAAAAUCGUAUUCAAAUACACCAAAAUCCACAAUACUCAUAACAUUAAAUCUAGUCCAGUGAUAUACUUUAAACAAGUCACAACAUAGGAUCAACAUACCUGAUCCACCACUAAGAAAAUAUUUAUAGGAUAGAAAAUAUCAACAAAUCCAACAAAGCUAACUAAUCAUAUCAAGACUCAAUGCCAAAUAAAUAAGUAUGUAGGAGAAUGUAAAACCCUACUCAUGAAUCACUACUAAAACAAACCAAAGGAGUACCAAAACCAUACUUGUGGCUACUGUACCAUAGACUCCUGCCUCGAGUCCUCCUGUGAAACAUGACACUAAAAUAUGUCAUCUCUCAGAGCAAAUGGUGUAGCAUCUCUCUGUCUGAGUUGUGAGCAAUCCCUUCUAUAAUGCCUGAGAUCUCCACAUAAGAUGCAACCCAAAAAGGUAGGAGCCCACUGGGAUAGGACCGAAGAACCUGAACAACCACUAUGAUCUAAUCUUCUUCAAGAAUAACUAUGAGUAUUCAGGCCUCUACCAAGAAUAUCACCAUCAUCAUCAAAUCUGCAAGGCCUCUGGUCCACAAGCUCUCAUGUCUCUAUACAAACUCCUCUAGAAACUCUUGAGCAAACUAAUCUCAUUUGAGAAGAGGUUAUGUAGUCAGUCUGCUCUCUACCAAAGUUCUCCAACACUGUCUAGCUGGGCCAAAGAACUAAAAUAAAGUGAAAUCCACCCUAUUAGAAUCCACCAAGCCCAAUUUGUGCAACCUCUUAUUGCAACCAAACAAGAACAUAUAAGUUUUAAAUUUGGUAUCUCCUUCAAAUCGAGGUGGAUCUAUCCUCAUUAACUCUGUAUAUCUACUUUAUCCCCUCCAUGGACAUAAAAUAUAAGGUCACUAGAUAUAGGUCAAUCUCUGGUUAAGCUCAUCAACCCUAGGAGAACAUGUAAUCAAAUGUGCAUUUGGAUCCUGAAGUCUUAAAGUAACAUGUUGAAUCAAAGUAGAAUCCACCCUCUCAAGGAUACCCAAUACUCGUACUAAAUAAUCUUCAAGCAUAAGUAUAGUCCCAGGUAGUGUCUGUACUAGUCUAAACCCCUAUAUCUCAAAAGUCCUAACAUCACUAGCAACUCUCGAAUCUAAAAAGUUAACUAAACCUAACCUCUAGCUGGUCUGGAUAUUCUAAUCCAACCUCUGCUCAUAUAAUACAUUGAAGGCACGAGCACUGUAACUCUAACUAAGAAAAAAUGCAUACUCAUCAUAUAUUCGAGAGUGAAUAGGAAAUUUUGGAGUUAUUUAAGGUCGUAACGCAUGAAAUAGAAUAAAGAAUUGGAUUUCUCCAAAAGUUGUGUAGCCUCUUGAAGAUAUAUAAUAAGCGUCUUUGUAUCGAUCCGCAAUACUCUUCUCAACUUGGCUUGUACUAAUGAGACUAAUGAACCUAAGGCUCUGAUAUCAAUUUUUCACUAUUCAAAAAUAGACACGGGAUGACACUUGUUACACCUUCUGGACAAGUAACCCUAAACCAACCCGAGGAACAAGAAUUAAAGGGAUUCAAAAAUGAAAAUUGAAAAAACAAAAAAAAAACCAUUAGUAUGUAUAUAUGAGAUCCAAGUCUCAAAAAUACAUCAAAAUUUGGUUGUCAUCAGUACAAGCCUCUAAAAAUAGAAUUAUAGCAAUAACUAAAGUAUCUUAAAUGCAGAUAAUCAUAAGAUAACUAAAGAAAGAUCCGUCUAAGCUUGGAGUCCCCCAGCACUACCUCGAUCUCCAUAAUGUCAAUGCUGGAGAAAAAUAAUCUACAAGCUACUACUCGAUCUAAUACUUGCAUAGGGUGCAAAAAAUAAGAAAAAAGGAAUAGAAACAAGGGUGAGUACAAAAUCACUUGUACUCAGCAAGUAUUGUUGAUAACCUAUCCUAAUCCAAAGCGAUAGCGAGAACCACCACACAACCUAUCCAGUGUAUCUCAAACAACCUAUAACCCACCAAAUGUAGUACUUCAUUCUAUCACGAUAACCUAAUAUAACGAUCCACAGGUAUAUCAAUACAACAUAGAUAUAUUAAUCUAGGUGAGUCAACACUAUUCAUUUUGUAUUAAAAAAUUAUAGAUGUCAUUUAUGAAGAAAAUUCACCAAUGCGAUAUAUCAAGAUCAGUCAAUUAUAACUAACCAAUAAUAUGAGAUAAAACAAGAAGGGUGAGCAUAUAUAAGGGUGUAUUCCAUAGUACCAAAAGAUGCUACCCAUCUAUCUUCUCGAUCAAGCCACUGCCACACUUCACGUCUCAUAAUACCUUAACCUCCCAACCUAUAUAAGAUAAAAUAAAAUAAUAUAAUAAAGUUAAAUGAAUGCUCAAAUACAAUAUCACAAACAAGGUGCUAUCAUGGUAAUACAAUAUAAGAGUAAAUACUAUCAUACCAAGGAGUGUUAAUGCAAUAUAAUUGAUGAAAUAUAAUAUAGUGAUGAUGAUGAAUGAUGGAAGUCAUCCUUUUUGUAUACACCCAUCGAGCUUGCAACUUUUAGUCAAGACCUCUAGGAGGUUUGCAAUCUAUAUACUUAUAUAAUCUCAAUCUAAUGUCUCAAAUCAACCUUAUCGACACAUCUCUCGGUAUAGGCAUUUUAUAAGGCAUUUUAUUUUCUUUUAAAAAUUAGAUGUGUCCAUGGUACCAAUAUCUCAUAAAUAUGCAUGCAUGAUAUGAGGAUGUAAUGUUCACAAUCAAUUGGUACAAAGAUUCAAAUCUAUUUAAUACAUGUCUAAGUGGGCUCAGAAUCCGCUCAAUGCAUCAAUAGUUCAUAAAAUUAGUUUUCACUUGGCCCUACCAGAAUAAAUAGUCAUACAGUAAUCAAAAUUAUCAUUCCCAACCCCUCACUCGGGUAUCAUUGUAAUUAACAUGCUAUUAAAUGCUCAUAUAAGACCUACAACAUCAAGUCAAGCCCCCACUCGAAUGACACAAUAGUAAAUAAGGUAUUUAAUGCACAAAAAUGACCACCAAAGUUAAUUUUCCACUUGGGCAUCACAAUAGUAUGUCCUCUCAAAUCAAAAGCAAUAUGCAUAUAAGCCCCCACUCGGACACAUGACAUAAAUAAUUACUCAAGUCCAUAAUCAAGUUCACAUAAGCCCCACACAGGCAUCACAAAAUAAACAACAAUCCCAAUAAUAAUAAAUGGAGGACUACCCAAACCUAACUUGGUCUAUUUAUUAAGUCUCAUCAACUAUUACAAGUAUAUUCAUACUCUAAUUAUUCUCUAAAACUCAAAUAUUUCAUUAAUAAUAACGAUAAUAACAUAAUUAUACCCUAACAAGACAUUAAUCCACAAUCAUCACAAUAAAGUUCGCCAACAAGAUUCAAGCUCUAAUGGCAGUGCAAUAUGAAUUAUUCGAGAAUCAUUAGUUUAUUUAUCUACAUUCUACUCUAAGGAUAUUUAAGAAUAUUAAUACUAACUAAUCAAGACAAUAAUCUAAUUAUAAUCCAUCAAAGACUCCGGUACCCAUGGAGAUGCUCUCCAUUUUCACCUAAGUGGGACCACUAAUCCUAAGUGAUAUACAAAAUACUAUAAAUAAGCACACAACACCUAUACACUUUGAAAAAAUCUCGAGGUACGUCUCAGCUUGCCUUAAACGAAGAUUCGCAAGUCCAAGUGCAAUACAAAAUCUCAAGUGGAAGCUUAACCCUUUCAAAUCAAUACCAAAUGCAUCCAAUCUAAUCAAAUAUAUUAGCUUCAAGUUGUAGACACCUAAUUUUGUCUCUCCCGAAACCCAAUUCAUCCACUUUUCACCUCACGUUAUCAUACACCCUCACCCAUGUGAUUAUACCCCACAAAAUUCAAAAAAUAACCAAUUUCAAUAAAUUCCUAACAUAUCAAAUUCCUUAUAUUAUUUAUCCUAACAAACUUUAUCCUAACUACUACCCCACCUUACCCCUAGACAUCCCCCCUCCCCUUACGUUGUGAACACAUAUAAACACAGUAAAAUAAGGAAAAAAGGGGAGGUCCCACAGUAAAAACAAAAAAAAAGGCAUACAAAAGAGGACCUAUCUUUUUCUUCCAAGAGGGACGAACACAGCAACAAUAGAGGAUCUUUUAUUUUUUUUCACGCGACAUCAAAGUAAAAGGGAGAAAGCAUAUGGAGCCAUUAAUAAACACACCAAUACACUCACAGAGCUGACCGUAAACAUACGCACGCACAGCCACCAGAAAUACUCACACACACACCCACGUCGGAGGGAAGAAAGGGAUUAAGAUUAAAUUGGACGGAGAGAAAACCAGAUUGAGAGAGGGAAGGGUAACAUGGAGAGAGAGAAAGAACACAUAUUUUGGGUUUUGGUUAUCGUUCCGGUGACAUACUCGCCGAAAAUGCAUCAAACGUCAUGAAACCCAUUCGAAACCAUCACAAAAAGGGGCUAUGGGUUGGUAUCUGAACCCCGAAUCCACCAACACCACUAAGAUCCAUCAUUGAUUCACAUAUGUUGGUUGAUUUUUUGAUGGGUUUGGCCAAAAAAUGGUGAAGCUGCGUGUCUAUUGCUCUGUUGCAGUAUGUAAAAAUACUAUUAAACGGGCGAAAUUCCAAAGUUUCUGUUUGGGGUGCUUGUUUGGUUCUUCACGGGUCUUUAAUUCGAGUCAGAUUUUGGGUUUCGUUAUGGAUUCGAAUUGGUCGUUCUUAUUCGGGUUGAUUCCGACAAGUUUAAACUGGUUUUAUCAAUUGGUGAGUUCGAAGUUGAGGUUUUCCAUUUGAGGUUUCCUGGUGUGGAUUCUUUUUAUUCGAAUAAUAUUAUAUUCAAAAGCUUCAAAUUGAGGUCCAAUUCUACUUUUCACCCUUUUUAUUUCAUCAUUUAUUAUAUUCUGAUGCAUUGAUUUCAAUAUUGUGUGUUGGUUGAUUCGUGAUGAUGUGAAUUGUUGUUGUUUUGAUUCAGUGUUUGAUUUUUUAAUUAUGGAUUGAUUAUGGCUAUGGAUUGUUGAAAUGGUGAUUGUGAAUUGUGGAAAUUUGUUUUAAAAAGGAAUGUGAGGUUGGAUGGUAGCAAUUGAUAAAAAUGAAUAUUGUUUAGUCUUGAUUUAUUGUCGUUAGUUGUUUUGGAGUAAAUACGAAGGCUAAACGUGAUAGUAUCAUGAUAGGAUGAAAUUGGUAGGAAAAUGGUAGGCUGGGUAGGCAAAUUUAGGAAUAACGAAUUGUUGAGCGUUUGAAUAUAUGUGUGAAUGAUUUGUUCUAUUUUAUCGCACAAAAAUUGAAAUUGUACUCAUUUUACUAGAAAUGCCCCAAGGAAUUUGUAUUGAUUUAUUCGGGGAAUGCCCGAAGUAUCAUGUACGUAGAUGAGGCUCGUGAUCAAGGCCCAAGGCUUGGGUAAAGCCUUGGAGCAUAGUUUAGGAUUAGUGUAGGUUUACUUUUUAGUCCUUUUUUUAUUUCAGGUUGUAAUAAUUGGAUUAGAUACUAUAAUUUUGGAUUUGUUUUGUUUGUUUGUUUGUUUAUUUGAUUGGUUUGUGUGUUUUUGUGUGGUUUAUAUAUUCAUAAUGUCAAAAUUAGCCGAUACGCUCCACCAAGAUACUGUGGUCGAACUACGAGAUCGAGGGGUGCCUAACACCUUUCGCCCGAUCAACAAAAUUUCUUAUCCGGAAUCUCUGUUCGCAAACCAGUUUUAAAGAUUCAAAUCAUUUUGAAAAGGAAUUUGCAAAGGUGACUUGGCACACCGGAUUAUGUCAAGUGGCGAUUUUGAGUUUUGAAUAUAAAAAGUCCUUUUCGAAAUAAAUUUUUCAGCUUUUGUCACUUAAUAAUAAAAACCCUUUUGAAAACUUAAAAUGAAUCUUUUUUGAUUAAAAAUGGGGGUGUGAUAGCAGUCAAAAGAAAGCUAAUGAUACCCAUACUGGCACUAUUUAAUAUGAUUCCAAAACGAGUUAAAAAAAGAAAAGGUUGAAACCAAUUUUUUUUUUUUGAAAAUACUUUUCCCAUAACGUUAAAUACCUAUAACUGAAAACCCGCGCAUAAAUGAGGUCCAAAUCAAAGAAAAAUUAUUUUUAAGAUUUACCGGCACAAAUCACAAAAUCAAAUUUAAAAUCAAAGAUUUAAAGAUGAAUUUGUAUUAAAAUAAGUGAUAAUAAAUACAAGGUUUAGAAAUAUACCCACGAAAGAAAUCUCAAAAACUCCUUUGGAAGCACUCAAAUCCAAGCCCUCAAGCCCCAAAAAUGGUAAAAAAUUGUAGAAUGAGAAUUUGAAUCUCAACUUUGAUUCAGAAUUGUGAAAAAAGUGAAUAUUCUUAAAAAAUGGGAAAAGUGAAUGUAAAAUCACAAAGUAAAUGAUUACACGCGAAAAUGCAUCGAUAAUCGCAAAAAAGGAGUGUUUUAGCUCUCAAAAUGUCAAAAAUAUAAAAUAGAAUGAAGUCUGUAAUAUAUUUUCAGGUAUAAUUAUCGUAGCUAAAGCCCAUUUUUUGUAGCUAAAAUUCCAUUUUUCAGAGUUAAAAGUCUGCAUCAACAAAUUUAGUAUUCACUAAAAGAAUCAUAAACCUCUCAUACAAUAGCAAAAUUCACCAAUUCUUUUUUCUAUAAUUUCAAAAUAAUGAUACAAAUCUACUCAUUCAAUCAAAACUCUAUUUUAUGCACAUUCACCCAACUAGUUAUUAUUUUUACUCGUUAAAGAAUUAUUUCAUGUUCUGCAUAAAAACUGAAUCUCGACUUAUCAAAAUUACACCAAACUCUCUAGAUCAAUUCUAUAAUUCAUGCAUGAUAUUUCAUAUAUUUCGUAAUAUUUUUUUGAUCUUUAAAACUAAUAAUGAACCUUUUUUUGUUGAUUGAUUUUACUUAAAUUUGACCAAAACAUCCAAAAUAUUCAAAAAUUUAUUUCAAACUCAUCUGGAACCUCCCAAACACAAACCACAUAUGCUAAUAGUUUGAUGAUCAACUCUGUGAUCAGUUAUUAGAAUCAAUAGAUCUUCAAAUUGUUCAUUUCCAAAAAAUAAAACCUUUCUUAUUGGACGAUCAUUAUACUUCCUAAAAAUUGAAAUUCUUGAUCAAUGGAGGAACAAUAUCACCAUUUUUGUUCAAUAAGAUACCAAAGUCAAUGGUUUACUAAUAAUAAAAUUUUAAACUCAAUAGAAUCAUCAAAUUUAUGAAAAGAGUUCGUUUACAUUAAAUUAACCCUCGGGUCCCCUUACACGCUAUUUAAACUAGUUUUCAAACGGAGAGUUAAAAUAAAAAAUAAAGGUUUCAAACUUGAAUCAACCCCGCUACUAACCCAAAUUUGACAUUUUGAAUCUAAUGGAACUAUCAGAAUUAUCAUUCAAUACUUGGAUCAAGAAUAAAAAUAAUCCCUUUAUAGAAGUUCAAAACAAAAUCUCAUAUAAAAUACUUUCGAACGCAUUGAGGAUCAUGCCAACCAUUUCUACAAUUUAUAAACGUGAUAAAGUAACUUUAGAGAAGGGCAAAGCGGUCAAACUGUAAAAAAAAUUAAAUUAUACUACAAGGGUCAUUACAACAAGUGCGAUGUACGUAAUAUAUCAUAUUUUAGACCAAAACAUGAAACUUUGUUCUCAUAAAAAAUGCCUGAAGUAUUUAUUGUAGUCAUUCAACGCCAAAUAAAUACUCUCAAGAUGAAUUGUCUUGAUUACAUAAUCUGAAAGAUGUACUCUUUACUCAAUUAUUUUGAGCAAACAAUUUUGUAAAUGUCAAACUGCAGGUUGACAAUCAAUGCACAUGUAAUCAUCUUAUAAAUUAAUCUAUUCAACAUAUCACAUAGAAAGUGAAUGAGCCUUUAUUCACCUUCUGUUCUUUUCAAAAUUUUAGGGAAUUCAAUCCCAUCAUUAGCUGAUCUAAUCAACUUAUCACGAGAACAAACAACAUGAAAGAAUUAUGGAAGAAUCUUCUAAUUCUUCAGUAAAUGUUGAUGGUUAAUAUGCACAUCUCCAGGAUGACAAAGUUAUUCACUCCAAUAGAUAAAAUUAUUUUUACUAGUAAACUUAAAGUUUAUCAUGGUACGUGCAAUUUGGUUAAGGAAAUUUGAGAGUUUUACUAUUUUGAGAGUAGUUCGCAAGAUUUUAAUGUUGCACCGUAUUACUACAUUAGGAGUAAGUUUCAGAGUAUAUACUUCAGAUUUACUACUUCAUGAACAAAUUUUCAAGUUCUAUCAUUUCAAGAAUAGAACACAAAAUAUUUGAGAUAUUUCUCCUCAAUUAAUUAACCUCUUUUAAAGGUGGGUCAUGAUAUCUUCGUAACCAAAAGUACGUUUAUUUUUAUAAACUUUACUAAAUAUAGUCACAUUGACUUCAGAGAAUGAAUUUGUACUUAUAACAACUGAAAUUCUCAUUUUCCAGGAGUAUAAUAUAAUAGUUUCUUAAUUCUAUCAAAUUGAUACGGGUGUCACGGGCUCGAGACCAUUUACUAGAAGCCAAGCUCGGGAACUACAAAGACUUCAAGGCGCGUUUAUGAAAAUGAACGCAGUUGACCUUGUUGCAAACUCGCCCAAGGGAGUGUACGCCUUGAAGAGUGAGGGCUGACCUUAGGUGCUCAAAAUACACCCCAAGUAUGCCCCAAAACACUCCACACCUGCCAUCCCUUCAUUAAGGGUAAAGGGGUCCUUUUGCCAACCUUUUGUAAUAGACUAUUUAAAUUGUGUCCUUUAGUCUUGUUCCUUAGUUAGAUUAUUUUGAAUCAAGAUUAUUACAUUGAAACACGAUCCUCUCAAGAGAUAUUAGACGACCAUUGCCAUCACAAGAAAUGCUUUUCUUCUUGUGUUGUGUGUAUCGGCUAGAAACAUGAGUUCUUGAGUGAACCGAGUUCCUCUUGGGUUUGUGUAAGAACUUGGUGCUUGUUAACUUGUUUUGUAGAGGUUUUAAAGUUUGAUACACUUUUAGUUACUACCUAAUGAGUUCUCUUUGCGUCAAGUUACCUAUCCUUUUAUUGUUCUAAGUUUGUGUUUGCUUCUUGUAUCGUAUUGUUUCUUGUUGUUGCAGAUUUAGUUGUGUUGUUGAUGGCUCUUUGCAGACUGUUUUAGUGUUGUAGAUACUGUUUAGUAUAAGAGCGAAGUCUUGUCGUGUUCUUACACCACCAAUCUUGGGCUCUUCUAGUUGAAAAUAAAAAAAAGGUGUUGAUGUGUGACACGUGUUUGGCUAGGAAGUUGUCUAGAUUUAGAUGUUUUUGCUUGUCUUAGUGAUUUCGUAUGUUAACUUGUUAUUCCCCUAGCACAUUUGAGUCUAAGGUCCAAGAUUUGAGUUUCUGUUAAGUGCAGUUGAAGGGUUGGAUGAGUAGAUAUUGUUGUUGUUCAUAUUGUUCUUGAAAUGAAUGUUGGACAAAAGUCUUGUUGAUUUGAAAAAAGGAAGAGAGAGGCAAAGUCUUGUGUUUGUAUUGUAAUUAAUUUCAAGACAAACACCAAAGAGACAAGUAAACAAAAGACCUCCCAAAAUAUUACUUACCAAAACAGUGUCAAGCUUUUUUCAAAAAGAACCAAAAGAGGAAAGGGACAAGCCAAAGCAAAAAAGUGUUUUGCCAUUUUGGUGUAGGUUGGUGAAAAGUUGAUUGACACCUUUGACCUUUGGAAAGAGAGUCCAAAGCCUUGUGUUGUUACUCCAGAACCUAAAAUUCCUCACUAACAAACAAGAUUAAACAAUUUAAGUCUUGAAAACAUCAUACUCCACUUCAACAACAGUAUCAACAACCAAAGAAAAAAAAUCGUAGGCCAUGCCAACAACCAAAAACUCAAGUUUUUGGACAUCCAUAGUUUCUUUCCCUGUCUCUACUAGUUUAUUUCUAUUGACUCCUACACUAGUUGGAAACUAAGUAACAACCUACUAAGUUGUGAACUAGUUUUCGAGUUCGUCUUUCGUGUUAACAUUCCUUGUGAUGCUUUUCUCGUUUAAAAUUCGCCGUUGUUCUUGGUUCAAGUGCGUACACAACUUUAUUGAGUCUUUCAAACUGAAAUCCAUUCUAACUCGAGAGUAGACUCAUUCCCAAGCACUCACAAGUUGAUAGCCGUCUUACAAUACUUGAAGGGUCAAGUGAGAAAGCCAAGUGUGAAGAGUGUGUGAGGAUAUUUUAAACUAAUGUUUGCUUGUUUUGUAGGUACAUUUGCAAAUGGAACCCCCACACAUGGAACCCAAAACUUUCAAUGCACAAACCUUGGAUCAUAAUGUUAUGAAUGCCCUUGUAGCUAGUACUGAAUCGUUGUCUUAGGACGUGGCUAGAGUGAAUGCUACAGUUGAGAAGAUGAAAGUAGAAAUGGGCUCUAUUAGUGGCCGAGUAGAAAGGGUAGAAAGCCAAUAGAGUUCUCGUCCCUCAGCUCCUUAAAACACAUCCCCAAUCAUUACCCCCGAAUCCAUGCGUCAAAGAAUGUAUCCACCAAAUGCCAUGCCUUAAGCCAACUAUUACUCAAAAGGUCGAGGCCUUGAUAGACCUAGCCAUUCCCCACGCCACCAAGUCCUAUAUGAAGGACUUGGAACCCAAAAUCUACCCUUAAAUCCAAAUCCUCCAAACUAAAAUCCUCCAAUCCAAAGACCUCCUCCACUAAAUGCCAAUUCACCAUACCAAAUUCAACUGUCCAAAACCCACCAAUGCAAGAAGAGGGAUAUAUUAAGGAAAACCAAAGAGGAGGGUAUGGAAUGUAUGAUAAUCCUUAUUUGAUAGAAGAUGGGAUAAGAGGUAGAAGGGUAGAACCAAGAAAAAAUUGAGGGCUUGAAGGUAGGGGUGGCCAAGGUGUUCGGAAAAGGGAUGUUGGUCUUAAAACUAUCAAAAUGGGACUUUCGAUCUUUAAGGGAGAAAGUGAUCCCGAAGAGUUUCUUCCAUGGCAAUCCAUAUGCAAGAGAGUCUUCAAGUGAACGAUCUCACGAAGGAGAAGAAGAUUUGUUACGCCAUGACUCAUUUUGAGGGAUAUGCUACCACGUAGUAGGAGUAUGUCAAAUAUUUUGGCAAAGUCUUGAUUGAAGGGCAACCCCCUCCUUGGUUUCGGUUAAGGUAUCUUAUGAGGCAAAAAUACCUUCUCGAAAGCUAACAGAAUAAACUCCUUGCAAAAUUGUACAACUUGAAGAAACAAAACAAGAGUGUGGCAGCUUACUAUGAUGAGUUUCAACAACUCAUUUUGAAACUUGAUUAUAGAGGAGAGCAAGUGAAUCACGAUAUCAUCCGGUUCAAAGUCGGCCUAAACAAAAAAAUAUCUACGCAAAUGGUACUUCAUAAGUUUGAAACUAUUGAAGGAAUCUUUCAAGCGGCUUUAGAGAUUGAACGAGAGAGCAAGGAAAGGUCUGCAUACAAAACCAAAGCAUACCAAGACUCCUCGGGUUGGACCAAGGGGAAAGAAGUGAUUCCAUCAACUUCGGGGUGGAAUAAUUCUAAACGACAACCAACCAAGGCCCUUUCACCUUUGAACAAGGUUGCUCAACCACCUUCUUCACGAUUUGAAGGCAAGCCGAAUAUUACUCCCAAUUCUAAGGGAUUCCAAUGCUUCAAAUGCCAUGGAUGGGGACACAAGACUAGUGAGUAUCCUAAUCGGAGAAAUAUGAUAUUGAGAGAAGGGAAGUUGUAUUUCUUGGGAGAAUAAUUAGAGGCUGAAAUAAUUGGAAAUAAAGAAGCCUCUCAAUAUGGAGAGAGAGGAGAGGUCGAUAGGCCUAGUGAUGAUGAUGAAUAGGAGGUUUGGCCUCAAGAAGGUGAACUUGAAGUACCUAAUUAUGUGGUACGGAGAGUUAUGAUUAGUAAAGCGUUGGAUAAUCCUUGCCAAUGGGAAAACCUCUUUCAUACGAAGUGUAUCAUUAAGGGGAGUGUGUAGUCUUUGAUUAUUGAUAGCAAAAGUUGUGCUAAUGUGUCUAGUGCCUCAAUGGUAGAUCACUUGAAGUUGCCAACUACUCAACAUGCGAGUCCGUAUAGACUCCAAUGGUUGAACGAUUAUGGAGAGUUGAAGGUAACCCCCAAGUGGUGAUUUGGUUCAAAGUUGGAAACUAUGAGGACGAGGUACUUUGCGACAUCAUUCCUAUGCAAGCUUGUAAUCUCUUGUUGGGUCGGCCAUAGCAAUAUGAUAGGUCGACCUAGUAUGAUGGCUGCACUAACUACUACUCCUUUGAGUUCAAGGGUCGAAAGUACAACCUCCGGCCACUAUCAUUAUCACAAGUGUGUGAGGCACACAGACAAAUGAAGAGUUUACAAGGAAAGGGAAAGAAGGAGAAAGAAUCCGCUGGAAAGGGGGUAGAACUUGAGAGUAGAAAAAAUAAGGGGGAAGAGGGAGUUUCAGCUUUAGGGAUAGGGAUUCAAUGGUAAUGUUGGCUCGAAAGGACAACCUCUUAAAAGAGUAUGAGGAUGUUACUCCCAUGCUACUUUUGGCCCAUGUUUUGAAUGCUAACUCAUCCAAUUCCCCUAUCCCGUCUUCUAUCUCUAAUGGUUUUCCGAAAUUUGAUGAUGUAUUUCCUAGUGCAUUGCCACAAGGACUUUCUCCAUUUCGAGGAAUUGAGCACGAAAUCGACUUUGUUCUGGGGUCGCAAUUGCCAAACAAGCUGGCUUAUAUGAGCAACCCCACGGAUACAAAGGAACUCUAACGGCAAGUUGAGGACCUCCUCAAUAAAGGAUUCAUCAAGGAAAGCAUGAGUCCGUGCGUGGUCCCGAUGUUAAUUGUGCCGAAGAAGGAUGGGACGUGGAGAAUGUGCAUAGACUGCUGAGCCAUAAAUAAAAUUACGAUAAAGUAUCGUCAUCCUAUUCCUAGAUCAUAUGAUAAUCUUGAUGAACUAAAUGGAUCUUGUGUUUUUUUUAAGGUUGAUCUUAGGAGCGGAUAUCACCAAAUCUUUAUGCAACCGGGUGAUGAAUAGAAUACCGCAUGUAAGACCAAGUUUGGUCUAUAUGAGUGGAUGGUCAUGCCAUUCAGUCUUACCAAUGCUUCUAGUACCUUUAUGCGGCUAAUGAAUCAUAUGAUGAAGCCUUUUAUUGGCAAGUUUGUGGUUGUGUACUUUGAUGAUGUUUUAGUUUAUAGUAAGUCACUUAAUAAAUAUGUAUUGCAUCUAAGGAGUGUGUUUGAUGUUCUUAGAAAAGAAAAGUUGUAUGUUAAUAUUGAAAAAUGCUCCUUUGGUAUUGAUAAAGUUAUGUUUUUGAGAUUUGUUGUAAGCUCGAGAGGAGUAGAGGUAGACAAAUCCAAGAUAACCGCCAUUUAAGAUUGGCCAACCCCUAAAACCGUGGGUGGAGUUCGGAGCUUCCACGGGUUGGAAAGUUUUUAUAGGAGGUCCGUUAAAGGAUUUAGUACCAUUGCAGCCCCCUUGACCGAAAUCAUCCGAAAGGACCAACCUUUCCAGUAGGGUGAAGAGCAACCUAAGGCCUUUAAGACCUUGAAAGAUAUGCUCAUUUUGGCACCAUUGUUGCAAUUGCCUAAUUUUGACAAGAUGUUUAAAAUAGAAUGUGAUGCUAGCAAAGUGGGCAUAGGCGCGGUUUUGAUGCAAGAAUUAAAGCCUAUAUCUUUAGCGAAAAGCUUAAAAGAGAAACUUUAAACUACUCUACGUAUGGUUUGGAGUUAUAUGUUUUGGUUAGAGCGUUAGGCAAUUAGCAACACUAUCUUUGACCCAAGGAAUUCAUAAUCCGGACGAAUUAUGAAUCUUUGCAGCACCUUCGGGCACAAGACAAACUUAACAAACGGCAUGCCAAAUAGAUUGAAUUUCUUUAAACCUUUCCCUAUGUGAUUCAAUACAAAAGGGAAAAGGAUAAUGUGGUAGCCGAUGCGUUGUCUAGAAAGAAUGCUGUUGUGUCCACUUUGUCAUCCAAGUUAAUGAGGUUUGAGAGCCUCAAGUCUUUGUAUCCCAAGGACCCCUACUUCGCUCCUAUAUUUAGGGAAAGUGAAGCCGCGGGUAGGGACAAGAGACAAUCGGAUUCCAGCCCAUAUGCCAUGUUUGAUGGAUAUUUGUUUCGGGGAAGAUGGUUGUGUGUACCCUCUAGCUCUUGGAGAGAGUUGUUUGUGAGGGAGGAACACGACGACAGUCUCAUGGGUCACUUUGGAAUUGAUAAUACCCUCGGAAUAUUAGAGGAACAAUUCUAUUGGCCAAGGAUGCGCAAAGAUGUUGUCAAAGUUUGCGGCCAAUGCAUGGAUUGUGGGAGUGCUAAGUCUAGGCUCCUUCUUCAUGGGUUAUACACCCCACUUCCCACUCCAUCACGCUCGUAGAUUGAUAUUUCUAUGGAUUUUGUGUUGGGUCUGCCACAGACUCAAAGGGUUCGAGAUAGCAUCUUUGUUGUUGUUGAUCAUUUCUCCAAAAUGGCAUACUUUAUUCCGUGCAAAAAUAGUGAAGAUGCGGCUAGUGUAGCUUCUUUGUUUAUUAAAAAUAUUGUUAAGUUACACGACAUCCCAAGGACCAUUGUAAGUGAUAGGGACUCCAAGUUCCUUAGUCACUUUUGGAAGUCAAUGUGGGGUAGUCUCGAAACCAAAUUGUUGUUUUCUACGUCUUGCCACCCAUAAACCGAUGGCCAAAUAGAAUUAGUGAAUCGAACCUUGGGUUCUAUUCUACGUUCAAUGGUUAAAGGUAAGUUGAUGUCUUGGGAAGAUAACCUACCUCUCAUUGAAUUUGCUUACAAUCGGGUGAUCCAUUCAAGUACAAGCAUCACACCCUUUGAAUGUGUCUACAGCUUCAAUCCCCUAACACCCUUGGAUCUAACUCCGUUUCCAAGUGAUGUUGUUGUUAGCUUAGAUGGAAACAAGGGGUACGAAGCUCUGAAAGGCUUUCAUGAGAAGGUGAGAUUGCGGCUUGAAACGAAGAAGCAAGAGGUGGCCAAACGAGUCAACAAAGGAAGAAGUCGUCUUGUGCUUGAGCCGGGAGAUUGGGUGUGGGUACACCUAUGGAAAGACUGGUUUCCCAACCAAAGAAAGGGAAAUUUUAUUCCAAGAGGUGACGGUCCAUUCCAAGUUCUUGAAAGAAUCAACAAUAAUGCUUACAAGAUCGACUUGCCAUCGGAAUACCAAGUACAUAACACGUUCAACGUGUGUGAUCUCUCAUGGAUUGAUACCAUUGAAGAUGAAGAACUCGUGAGAUUGACAUCAUAAGAAAUAGUUUUCUUCUUGUGUUGUGUGUAUCUGCUAGAAACGUGAGUUCUUGAGUGAACCGAGUUCCUCUUGGGUUUGCGUAAGAACUUGCUGCUUGUUAACUUGUUUUGUAGAGGUUUUAGAGUUUGAUACACUCUUUAGUUGCUACCUAAUGAGUUCUCUUUGUGUUAAGUUACCUAUCCUUUUAUUGUUCUAAAUUUGUGUUUGCUUCUUGUAUCGUAUUGUUUUCUUGUUGUUGCUAGUUUAGGCGUGUUGUUGUUGACUGUUUGCAGACUAUUUUGGUGUUGUAGAUACCGUUUGGUAUCACAAAUUAGGAUAGCUUAUAAUCUCAUCUAAAGUCGUACCUCAUCUAAAGUCGUAUUACUUCAAAAGCAAAUCGAAGCACAUAUGAUGUAGAUAAUUUUUUUCUCUUACAUAUCUUUCACUUCUGGUGUUUAUAGACGUAAACAAAUCUCAAAGAGUUAUAUAUACAUAUAAACUAAUCAAGUGCUUUGUCCAGAAGAGGUAUUCCUCAGCAGCAUGACUCAUCAUGAUUGUUAAUUAAACUAGUAAAUACUUGUAUAAAUUUGCAACACUAUCAUUAUUGUUAAUUAAACUAGUCAAUACUUGUGUAAAUUUUGCAACGUAAUAUAAUUUAUUAAGGCUACAAAUUUUGCAAAGAACUGUGAACAUACCUUUUGUCAUCACAAAUACCUGCAUGAAGUCGGUGUUUUGCCAUUAAUACACAUAAAUAAAAACUACUUUAUGCAAUUCAACAUAGUAGCUGUUGAAGUGCGUCUUUAUUCAUUCUUUCGUCCCAAAAGUGUUUCAACAAUCUUUGGAACGACAGACAAAAAUCAUUCAACAUUUUUUUUGCUACUAUUCAAUUUCUCGAUUGGUCUGAAUCUUGUGUUGAUAAUAUGUUAUGAAAAAAUAGAGAAUGGAUGAGAUUAAUAAGGGUGAGUGAGGAGAAGAUAUUUCUUAUUUCUCUUUAGAGUUUGUAUUGAGGAAUGAGUUACAAUGACGGAAAACUCUUUUAUAAGGGAUAUUGGCUUGGUCCCAAAAUUAGAUUUCCUAACAUUUCUCCAAAGAAACAUGUAAGUAUACCUUCAACAUUGAUAUGAACUAAAAUAUAAAAAUGAAAAUAAAGCGUGGAAAUCGAAAGAUAAUAAAGAAGAGUAUAAAUAGAUAAACAUAAGAAGAGGAAAAGUAAGCAAACCAAAGAUAUGUUAAACCAAUGAUCCUCAAACAACAUCCUACAAUGAACACCUAACUCAUACGAAUGUCGUGAGGAAAAUUAAUCUACUCAUAAUCAAUGUAUUUAAACAAGUCAACAAAGCUCCCUACAAGCUUAGAAAACACUCUCAAGUGUAAAUUCAUCCAAAAUCAUCUAGGCCUAAGAAAAGAAGAAAUCUAGCUAUUUGUAGUCAUGGGCUAUUUAUUACAAAAUGAAUUCAAAAGUGAUCCUAAAUGUCAAAUGGGCCCAAAAGUGAUACAAGGUGCUAAAUACUCAAAGGGAGAGACUCCUCCAUCGCCAAAAAUAUUAUGGUGGGUCGCAAUACCCCUCUCAUCUCUAAAACAGUGCCAAUUAUCUUGAUUGAGAAUCUUUGGGGUAUUUUGGGAUGUAUAUCCUCUCCUUAUUGAAGAGAAUUUUUCCUCAAAUUCAACAGAUCAUCAUUUUUCAAGAUCAACACUAUCGGGGAAGUCGUUGGCAUGGGAGGAUUCAUAACUUGCUUAACCAAGUAAAGUGGGAUUCUAAUCUCUCCUUAUUGAGGCAAAACCUUUUCAAUUGACCCUUUAUUUGCAUGAAUAUUUGGGAUGGUAACAUCCUGAUCACAUGGAUCUUUUACCCUUCGCAUUCUCAUCAACAUUAUCAACCCUUCUACAUGUUUCUCCUCUUUCUCCACUCCAUCCUUAUAGUAGGGGUCACCUUCUUAGCGUAUAAUUUCUUUAUGAGUUGGGAACUUACUAAUUCCUUGAACCCAUCCUUAACAUUUCAAGAAUUAGGCACCCUUAAGAUUAUGAUUACCUGCUUCUCUAGGGGAUACCUUGGAGCAUUCUUUCAAUGGACUUCUUCUCAAAAGACCUCUGGAAAUCGGAGCCUUGAGCCCAUGUGGAUGAAACUUGAGUUAUGACCUUAGGAUUGUUGGAUCUCUCUUCCUUGAUAUGUCACUCAACAUUAAUAGCCACUUCUAAAUGAUUAUCCAUCUGAGCAAGUUUAUGUAUUGACAUUUUAGAGGCGAUUUCUCGAUUUAACCCUACUUUGAAUCAGAUCUUGGUGUUCUCUUCAUCCUUAUUGUAAUCAUGCUUCAAGAGCAAGUUUUGAAAUUCAUUAUAAUAUGCUUUAACACUCUUGUCGUCUUGCCUUAGAUUGUAUGACUUGGCAAUCAAACCUUGCGUAUACUCUUCGGCACAUACUUGACUCUCUGAGGGCUUUCAUUACUUCUCAUGGUGGAUAAUGCCUCUAUGAAGAACUUUUUGUAUUCUCUCAGACGAUUCUCACAAAGUCAAUGCAUUUACUUCAAAUUGAUCACUAAUAUUGGUUAUAUUCUUAAAAUCAGACAAAUCAUUAUUAUCUUGGAAGGUCCUAUCACAUUGCGACUUUCAUUUGAGGUAUUCUUCGUAAGCACUACCUCCUUGAAAACUAGGAAGAGUGACCUUGAUAGAGCUGAGGCCCAUGUCGCAACCUCCAUAUCCACCUUGAUCCCUUGGACCAUUUUCUUGAGUGUCAAAUCCAUAACCUCCUUCUACAUGUCCCUCAAACUUUUCUUAAACUCCUAUAGUUUAGUUGAGUGGCAUUUAGUUAAGUAGAACUUGGUAAGGUGGGUUUGGAUUUUGUGGUCUUUAGUAGUAUGGUACUUGGACUUGUGGUACUUGAUAGGGUAGGUAGUAGGGUGGGUUGAGACCUUGUGGCAUUUGUUAGUUUGGGACUUGGUUUUGCAGUGUUUAAUAUGGUGGAGCGAGAAUUUAUAGAGCUUGAGGUGGUGGUGAGUUUUGGAGAAUUGGUUGGGGUGGAAUAAAUUUUAAGGGUCGAACUAUAUUUCAUGGAGUUUGAUAGGUAGUUGUAGCAUAAGGUAAGGAAGCAUUACCUUGUUGGUAAGGAUAAAACACAUGGUAGAGAGUUCUAGGAGAAAUGGUAGUCGAAGUCUCUUGGACUUGUCCACUUUUGGAUGCUUGGAAAUUUUGUUGUAGAGUAGCAUUUGAGGAGUUAAGAUUCCUCUUCGCACUCACCAUCCUUCCAUUUAUAUUUUUCACUCUCUCUUUCAUAUUUGAUGUCUUCUCAUUCAUGUUUGACAUCUCUCCCUUUACCACUUUUAUAUCUUGUCACAGCCCUAUGAUGGCCUCGACCAAAGUUUCUAAAUUUACCUCACUUUUGGUAGGUUAGAUCUCAUCUCCUGUUGAUAUGGUACCUAUCAGCAAGACACUCAACACAACUAACAAUCAAGGUUAAUGCUAUUGAAACCAAAUAUCACAACUACUAGUGUUUUCACACUUGAAUUUCCUCAUAAGUAGCUCAAUCUUAUAACUUGCUUUUUCACAUUGGUAUAUGAAGUGCCAAUUUGCUUCUCACAUUUAGAAUGGAUUCUUGUUGAGAAAAGACCGUAUGACUCGAUUAAAAACUAAAGAACUUGAAUUAAAUAAGUUAACUAAGAAAUAAAUAAUAAAAAUACACAAAGAAAAAAAGGACAAAAAAGAAAAUGGACUCAAGAACUAAUCAACUAAGUAGAGGGAUUACUAGUUGUUAAUUAGUGAAAGAAUCAAGGAAAAGAUAAUGACGAAUCAAAGAAAAGAAACAAAGAAUAUAAACUUGAGCUUACUGAUUUUGGUUCUCAAGGGGCGGCCCGUCAAGUUGAUAGCGGUCAGUUAGCCUUCUCGUCCCACCUUAAUCAAUGUAGGUGUUAAGGGGCUUUGGGGUAAUGAUUAGGUGGUGAGCCAUCAACCUCUUUGUGGUUCGUUGCCCUACCCAUCACACCUUAUCUGGAUUAGGUGUUAAGUUGGAUUGGGUUGACAAUUAGAGUGGGGAAUUGCUAGGGUUGUGGCUGGUCAUCAAGGGUGUUACGAAACCCAAACAAAAUGUUGGCUAGCUUCUGUGCUGGUGAUGGCUUGGGUUGGCGGACCGUCGCUAGCUUCGUGAUCUGUCACUCAAGUUGUCAACAACAAUCAAGUUUGGUGUAAUUUGGACUCCAAAUUUCGAGGUUGAUUUCUUUGAUUCUGUGACUUCUUGGCCCCACUUCACCUCAUAUUUAUCCUUUAUGGGUUGAAAAAUAUUUUUUCCCAAACUGUCACCUAGGGUUUUGAAUCAAAUUCUAUUUUUUGCUUUUUCUUCACCAUGAACAUCAAGAACAAAGAUGAAGAUUUCAAAAAUCCAACUCACUCAUUUCAACUUGGAUUCACACAAAUUCAAGAUCCAAUCUCCUUUUUGAUAGGUUACAAACCCCAAUACUUUUCAACCCUCAAUUUCACUCCAAAAUAUUCAGAUUUAAAGACCCAUUUUUAAAUUUCUUCAAGCUCAAGUCAUUAAUGGAAGAAUCAUCAAUUCCACUCCAAUUAAGCUCAAAUUUAAGAUUUAGACUGAAAUAGUACUAGAGAACAAGAAGAGCGAUAGAAGCUUAAGAAAACACAAAAAUCAAAAACUCAAAAUUUGAAAAAUGACCCAAAAUGUGAAACCCUAUUUUUUUUUGUGAUUUUUAAUUUUCUUCAAUAAAAAAAUCCAAGAUUGAAUUUGCGAGAACAAAUCCAAACUCGACUCUGAUAACAAAUGAUAGGAAUCAAAAUAUAAAAAUGAAAAUAAAGUGCGGAAAUCGAAAGAUAAUAAAGAAGAGAAUAAAUUGUUAGAUACAAGAAGAGGAAAAACAAGCAUACCAAAGGUGUAUUAAACUAAUGAUCCCCAAACGAUAUCCUGCAACGAGCACCUAACUCAUAUGUAGAAUAGAGAAAAAUUAAUUUACUCACAACCAACGUUUCUAAAUAAGUCAAUAAAACUCCCAGCAAACUUAGAAUACACUCUCAAGUGUAAGUUCAUCCAAAAUCAUCUAAUCCUAAGAAAAGAAGAAACCUAGCUAUUUAUAGUCAUGAGCUAUUUAUUACAGAAUAGGCCCAAUAAUGACUCUAAAUGCUAAAUGGACCCAAAAGCGACUCAAGGUGUCAAAUACUAAAAGGUUGAGACCCCUUAAUCUGCAAUACUACUCCUCAUCUCUAAAACGAUGUCAAUUACCUUGAGUGAGAAUCUUUGAGGUAUUUUGAGAUGUAUCAAGUAUAGUGUAAAUAUAUUUAUAACAUUUACAAUAUUAUUGUUCAGAAAAUUUAAAUCCUUUUUUAACAAGAUCAUUAGUUGUUGACAAAUUGUAUUGACUUAAGGAAAAAAAGGAAAAGUUAAAAAGAGUAGAUACUUAACCUGAAUCUAUUAUGCCAAUAAUUACUCCAUCGCCCUGAUUUGUUUUGUUCACAAGACUAUUGGGAUCGUGUUUAGAAAGACCCAUAAAGUCCCAACUCCUCGAUGUAUGAGUCUUGUAAAGGUGAUUUGGUAUAACAUGAACCACACCAGGUAAUUCUGAAAUACAAGUAUAAAAAAUAUAUCAACUAAGAAUGUCAUGAAUAAAAUUUUUAAUUUUUCAUAAAAUUAUUUAUUUUCUUUAAUUUUUUUUUAUAAUUUUUCUACUAGAAUUUAAGAUAAAAAUUGUAACAAUGGAGAAUUCAAAUACCUCCAAUUUGUUUGGCUUGAAAGUCAGUGAGCUUAGCAGCGAAUCCAGAGAAACCAUGUCUAUAACUAUAUCUCAUAAGUUUUUUAGCUUCUUCCUUGCUGCAAUGACAAGAAAAUGCGAUUUAACUUUUAAAUAAUGAAAUAUACAAAAUAAUAUUUUCGCAAUGAUAUAUAGUUAUAAACAUGGUAGGGUAAUUAGAAGUAAAUAUUUCUAUGAUAAGCAUUAAUAAGAAAUUUAGUCAAAAUAUGAUCUACUACUACAUUUCAUUGGUUAAAUUAAAUUACAUUGAUUAUAUUAAAAAUAUACAUACCUCCCGACCACUUGACUUAAAAGUUCAUGAUGUGAAUCGGUGAUAAGUUCAUGAUUAUUGUGUGGUUUGUGUCCCAAGUAGACGGCGUAAAGCUAUUGACCAAAAGAAUACGAUUAAAAUAAUAAAGAAAAAAUCAAUGAGAGAUUAAUAUUCGUUACGGUCAUUAAACAAAUGAAAGCAUAUUUAUAAAUCAGAUUAAAGCUAACUUUUUAAAUCACCCAUUCACUUGAUCAAAAAUAUUACUCCUCUUCCACUUUAUUUUUUGCGCUUAUAUAUUAAAAUUAUUAUUUAUAUAUACCUAUAUUUUUAGAAAUUUAAAAAUUGAAUAUUUUUAAAAUUUAUUUUAGUUACUCUAUCAAAUAUUGAUAGGUUAAAUGAUGAGAGCAAGUAGAAAUAUGAUGAGGUAAGGCUGCAUAGAAUAAACACUUGCGUUUGGCCCUUUUCUGACAUUACAUAUAGUGAGAGCUUCAUCUAUUUUUUUUUUUUAAAUAUUAAAAAAUUGUGAAAUUUGAAUAAUAUUAAAUUCAAGAAUAUUUAAAAUGUACCUUAGUAUCAGCAACAUCUGCUCUUGCAGUUAUUUUACGUAAACAAAUAAAAAAUAAAAAUAAAAAUAAUUUAACAAGAGAAGAAGUUGGAUUAUUCAUUAUUUUUUUGUUUCCCUCCUUUCUAUAGAAAAUGUGAAAGGGGGAAGAUAACCCAACCUCUUGGUGAAUUAAAAAAUAAUUUGGUUAAUGAAAUUAGAAAGUACUUUCAAUCUAUUAAGUGUUAAAUAGCUUAACCUCACCACACAAAGUAGAAAAACAAAUGUGUGGCUAGUAUAUUAAUUCUAAAUUGUAGCCACUCACUCGAAUACUAAGUAGAUUAGUUAUUCUACUUUUACUCCUUUAAAAAUGGUAACUUUUUUUUAUAAAAAAUAUUUUAGACCGUAUACUUUCUGUUUUUAUUUUAGUGAUAAAUAAAAGGAUUUUGAGUUCUAACUUCUAACAUUUAUCUCCUUAUAACAAGUGUAACUACCUCUAUGACUAUUACAAUAAUUUUCUUCCCUCUUUCUUUCUUUAUUUUUCAUAAAGAACUAGUCAUAAUUACUUUUUGCGUCUCAAUUUUUGUCAAUUUAUUAUUAUUUGUGGAAUCAAAAUGAAUUUUCUUGGACUAUAUUUUCUUCAUCUUUUAAAUUAUUUUAAACUAGAUUUAGUUAAAAGGGUAUGUAGGUUAUCGAGAACCCAAUAACUGUUAUAUUGAUUCUAUAUUUUAUAAUGAAAAUUCUAUCAAAUGUAUAAGAAAUAUUUGUUGGAAAUUCAUUAACAAAGUAGAUUAGAAGCAAUUGUUGGCUUCUUGGAUAAUGGUUCGAUUCUCCUUAGCAUUACUAAAUAUUCUUAAAAGAAUUUGAGAUUUAUGAGUAUUUAUUCAUUAGUUUCGAAAUUGGACAAGUAUUAUGCAUACAUUGUAGAUUUAUUAGUUAGUAAUUUUAUCAUAUCACUUUUUGAAUAUAACUAAUUUAUUAUUUUAGAAAAUGCAUUGCAUAAUAAAUGAUAUUCAAUACCAAGAGCAAAAUGGUACAAGUGGAUAUAUUAUUUAUUGAUUUUCACAUUGAACAAGUAUUAUUGAACAUUUGUUUUUACUGUAGUGAACAAGUAAAAAUAGAUGAAGGAAGUAAAAGGUGAACAGGACUUGACCAAUAAACAAGAAGUCUUGUCAUGAAUUUAUCAAAUCAGUGCCCAAUAUUUUUUACGUCCCCAGAUCAAAAUUAUUUGUUAUUUUUUUACUUGACACACUCACUAAGAAAAUAAUAAUUGACAUAAUAUAUUUACCAUAUUACCCCUAUUGAUUGGUACUAGUUGAAAUUGACCAUUUAAAAUUUGAAAAAGUGCAAAUAAUUUAAGGGUAAAACAAAAAUUUUCUUUUUUUGUUUUUUUGUUGAUAUUAUAUGUCAAAAUAAAAAGCAAAAAUAAAAAGUAAAAUAAAAAUAAGUGCUAAGUCACUUUGAACAUAGAGAGAUUCAACUUGCGGUCAUUAGUCAAGUUCAAAUACCCCACACUUGUAACAAGGUAAAUAAGACGACAAACUGUCCAGCAAGCUUCGAAAAAAAUCUAAUUUCUCAUUAUUUAGAUGAAGAUAAUAUUAUAUUAUUAGAUUCAUCUCUCUUAUAUUUUUCAACUCUAAAAAUUAUGACGACUAUUUAGGGAUCGAUAAUUCGAACCCAAUUCCUACAUCUGUUUGAUUUUCAAAUAAUGUUUGUAUUAUUUAUUACUAUAUAGAAACGCUCUGCUUUCAACAUAUUGAAUAUAUGGUAGUAAUUCACUAGCCAAAAUUAGGCAAACAAUAUAUAGUGUACUCCCACAGGUUGAUUUUGAGAAGCAAAUAUUGAUGUCUUCAACUAUAGAGAGGAGUUGCUCAGAUGGUCGGUAAACACUUUUCACCCCCAAUCUAAGAUUGUGGAUUCGAGUCACCAAAAAGCAAAAUAUGAGAGUUCUCGCGAACAAAUUAAAAAAAAGUAUUUACGACUUAAACAUGAUUUCAAGACCACAUGGAACAAGAGUGAUUCAUAAACUCCAAAAAGACAAAUAACAUUCCACGAUAUUUCAUAUAUUUUAAAGUCUAUCUUUUUUAAUUAUUCACUUUUACUAUUCAAAAUUAAAAACAUGGAGAGGAAGAACUAGGGGGAGAGGAAGUUGAACAGCAUACGCUCACCGUGCUUGGACAUUCACUUGCUAUCUAGUGAAAAAAUCAUACUUGGAAUAGUAAAUACAGUAAAUCAUACUUUGAUAUAGUAAAUAAAUAAUCAAAAUUUUUACUGAGGGAGUUUGAAAAAUACAAAUAUAGUGCUUGGAAUUUGAAUUUGAAAUCUCAAGUCAAUUUGGAAUUCCCUAAACCAUUAAGCUAAUCUCUAGUCUUGUGUUGAGGGGACUCAAUAUCUAUGUAUAGACAAUGUAUUCUUAUGUCGAGAGGGUUCGGAUGAACACCCUCGCCCCCCUAAAUCCACCCUUGUACAUUAUGACCAAGUCUUUUUCCUUUGUAGCAUGAUUUAUGUCAUCGCUCCACCUCAUACCUCCCAAGCUAAGUUGGUGCAUUUUCUUUAUCCAUCUACUUUCUUCAUCACAACAAUAGGAAUUCUAACAAAAUUCUUGCCAUCACUCCAUGCCAAACUUCCAAAGGUAAAUUUACCACUUCUUUGGUAAGUAGAUGUGAUCUUUACCUUAAAGGAGAUCUUCUUUCUCUUGGCAUUAAACUUCAAGACAUCUGGAGUUACUUUAAUUGCAACAUUUCUCGGAGGUUUAACCACUAAUUUGUAUAUAGAGUUAUCAUUCCCAACAUUAGUAACGGUUCUCUUGAUAGUAACUGAAUCCUUGAGAUUUGGAAUUGAUAUUGAAGGGAGAUUCAUAUCCAACCUUGAUGGUACUACUUUGGGACACACAAUGCCUGCUGAAGAAGACGAUUUUUUUGCAUCGGAUUUAUAGUUAGUGUCAUUGUAAACCCUAUCUUUACUAUAACGCAGACUACAAAGAUAAUUCGAAUAAUCAUUUUUAUCCAUAUCAUAGAUUAAGCCAGGAUCCACUGCUCCAUUUGGAUUACAUAUGCCACCUCCAAAGUCAAAUGGAUCAGCAAGUUUUCCUCCACCUCCUUGUGAAAAAAUUUCACCUUUAUAUGUGUCCUCGUUCCAUGCUACACAGUUCACAAAUAAAUUAAAUACAUUCAGUAAAUACAUGAAAAAAAAAAUGCUCAAAAGAAGGAAAGACUAUUUUGUUCAAGAGUUUAAUUGAUGUACGAUGACAGUGUAAAGUGUAAACCUUUUGUGCAUGAUGGGAUUAAUUAAAGUGAUGUAUAACAUCAUGAAAUACUAAUUUAAGCUUAGUUUGGUAGUAAGCAACCUGUGGUAGUAGGUUAAAAUAUGUUAAUAGUGUAAAACUAAUAAAUGUAAAUUGUAAGGUAAAUUAUUUUCUCAAUAAAACUUGGAAGGUUAUUAUAUAGGAGUAUAAGUUAAGCGUAUAUGCAUUGACAGUAGAUGCGUUCUUUUAUCUUAAAUUAAUGAAUAACAAUGAGAAUUUUUCAUUAUGGUAAUUUAGUAUACUAUAAUAAGUCGAAUUGUGCUAUUAAUGUAUAGAAUUUAAAUUUAUAAGAUAUUACCUGUUGUCAUGAGUGCAGACUUGAUAGCUGUUGGAGAUCAAUUAGGAUGUGCAGCUUUGAGGAGUGCAACAAUUCCUGCGACAUGAGGGGCUGACAUGGAUGUUCCUCACAUGAUGUUGAAUCCAUUGUAUCCUCCUAGAGCGGGAGGAAAUGCUAUGAGUAUAUUAACUCCAAGAGCUGCAAUAUCGGACUGUAAUGAUAUAUAUUUUAGUAAAACUUAUAAGUCACUUUCAAAAAAUAUAAUAAAAUAAUUCAGUGAGAGAAAUUAUCAAACUAAAAGACGAUAAAAAUUAUUAAAUCAUUUUUAUAUUUACCUUUAGAAUUUCUGGGGCAAAGAAAUUGGGGACUCUUGAGGAGAAUCUAGCACCUUUAUGUAUGCCUCCUUGCCGUCACGAAUUUGAGUUUGUCCAUAUUUAAUUAUUGGAUCUUGAUUGCUGUUACAAAUGAUGAAUCAAUUCAGUGAUGUAUAAUAUAACAAGAAAACUAGAGGUACCUUGGCAUGAUAAAAGUCAUUUUAUUUUAUUAUUUUUAAAAGUUAAUUGUUUCUCAGAAAUUAAAUCAUUUCCUCAAAUUUAAAAAGUUCUCUUGUGUUUGGUCGGAGAAUGGAUAAGGUUUCCAAGAAAAUAAUAUUUAUUAGAGAUUGAUAAUAAUAUUAGCACAAGAUAAUACUCCCCGUCCCAUUUUAUCCGUCUCAAAUUGGGAUGAUACAGCUAUUAAGAAAAUAAUGAUUGGUAAUGUAACUUUAUCGUUUUGCCCCUCUUAAUUGUGUCUUGUUGUUAGUUUCAAUAUUGAUGGAUGACCAAUACCAAAACACCAUUUAUAUUCUUAAUGAUGUACUUUUAAUGGUACUCUUUUUUGCAACAUUUUUCAAGAAUACUAAUAACAAGGAGCAAGCAAUUACACUAAGGGUAUAAUGGGAGAAAAAAUUGUCUUGUCUUGAUAAGUAAAAAAGGAUAAGUAAAAUGGGACACUAAAUUAGAAAAUUUGGAAUGAAUAAAAUGGGACGGAGGAAGUAUUUAACAACAAAGCAUAAUUAUUACAUAUUACUAAUAAUAUGUAAGUGUUGGUUAAAAUUAAUGACGUGAAGAUAAGAGUUAGAGACAAUUGCAUGCGACUUCCAUCCAAGAGCUAGGAAGGUCAUUUUUUUUUUUUUUUGGUAAAAUAAUUUUCUCCAUUUUUAGUGAUCUGACUUCUAAAAAUAUUUUUAACUCGUAUCAAAUAUACCUUAAAAUAUUCAAAAAUAGGAAAAGAAAAGAAUAAAAUGAAGAAGGAACGGAGCAGGAGAAAAAUAUGUUUACUUUGAUAUACGUUGUUGAUAAUAAUCAAAAAUUUGAUUUCCUUGCUCGAAAUCAACGGUUAAAAAAGGUUUAGGAUUUCGAGUAAGUUCAGUGACGUCAAGGAGUUGAUCAGCGGGAACUGUAGCAAAAAUAUAAGCCAAAACUCCUCUAUCCUCUACAGCCUCUACACAUUCAGCUAUAUCUCCAUUUUUUUUGAAAGAAAAGCAUUAGAACUUUUCCUUUUAGUCCACUAGCAAUAAAUUUAAGGUCUUCAGCACUGCAAUAUUUGAAAAUGCAAGUAUUAGCAUGUAUAGAUAAAUAUUUUAAAAAAUGGUUUUAGUGAGAAACUACAAUAACUCUCGGGCCUUUAUGCCAAAAAUAUUCUUUAUCUAAACUAUUUUGUCAAAUACCCACAAGUUUUAAAUUCUUUGUCAAAUACCCACUUAAUUCCCCCUCACCACCAACUUUUCCAACUUAACAAUUUCAGCCUCAACCUUUAUAAUAAUUCACUUUAACUCAAUACUUCCAACUUAAUAAAUUCACCCAUAAGUUUCUAAUAAUACACUUCAACCCACUCCAUUAUCCACCACUAUAUAUAUAAAAAUAAUAUCUAGGUUUUCAAAAAUAUUAAAAAAAAUAAUUCCAAAAGCUAAAAAUAGAAAGUGGUUAUUUUUUCCACCAAAAAGCUCCGAAUCCGGCCACUUUUUCAGUGUUAUUUUCCGGCGAUCAGCUAUAAAUUAGUCCAGAAACAUCAUAAGCUUGUCCAUUGCAUCCAUUGUUACCCCAUUUGUUUCCUAUCUUCCCAAACACACUUUCCACCAUUGUUAAAAAGCUUUAAAUCACUCACAUUACUCAAAGCCACUUUAGAAAGUGCAUUACAGCAGCUCAGGUGACUCCAAGUUCAUUUCUUUAUUCCACAAACCCAACAAUCAUUGAUUACAAGUGAUAUUUGCAAUUUCAAGUAAUUGUACGAAAAUCUGCGCAAUCAUCGACCCAUCUUGGCCAGUCAUCGACCGUGCAUACAACACGACAUAGACCAUAAGCAUAAUCUACCAUCGACUGAAGCUUAAUUCUAGGAUGUCUAUUCCAAAAUUUGUUCUGGUUUCUGGUGAUUUCAUGGGAGAAUGGGUGGAGACUUCGAAAUGUUGGAAAUGGAGAUCAUUUACCAAGGUGACAAUUCCCAUUCCUGUUCGCCGCAACAGUUCGUACGAGGAAUUUGUUACAAGCGUAAUGCAGAGUGGGGAUCUAGAUUGUGCGCCGAGCGCCGUGGUGAUUAGUUAUGUAAUGCAUUCGAGGAAAAAGGUGAAUCAUACGAUCAUAAAUAGUAAUGUACGUGCGCUGACGUACAUAAUGGAUGCUGAUGUAGAUGACUUUAGGCCAAUUUUGAGGAUAAAUGUGGUUGAGAGGUCCUUUGAAGAACCGCUGAAUUCAUCAGCACCCCCACUGCGGCGCCCGGCAGUUGAUGAUGAUUUGAUCGACGACGAUUUGAAUGAUUACGAGAACGAUGUCGAUGAUACAAUUAAUAUGGAAGAUUAUUCUAUGCAUAUGGAAGACUUUUCAUCGGACUCGCAAGAUGAUGAAGAAGACCGUGAAACAGAAUCAUAAGCAAGACACUCCUUCACUGAUGGAACCAAUUUAUGUUGUGGUCAAACAUUCGCUGAUAAAAAAGAGCUGAAAAUGCAACUAGACGCAGCAGCGGCGAGGCAGUCUUUAGAUUAUUAUAUGGAGAAGAGCUGCACAAAAUUGGUGAAGGCGCAAUGCUUAUCUCAUGGUUGUGACUGGCUGUUGCGGGCAAAAAAGUACGACACCUUGGACAGAUUUUGCAUAUAUAAGUAUGUCGGGAUGCACACGUGCAGUGUUGAAAAUGCUACCCACAGGCACAAAAAAGUCUCAUCCGAAUUGAUUGCUUCAGUAUGCAUAAAUCAUUUUCGGGAUGGUAAGGGUCCAAGCAUAAGAGAAAUUCAAAGAAUUGUAUUUAAGGAGUUGCGUUGCAACGCAAGCUAUUGGAUGUGUUGGAAAGGAAGUGUAAUUGCGAAGAACAUCAUUCGCGAGACACCAGAGUACGGAUAUGCUUGCUUACCGGCUUUUUCCCACAUGGUAGAGUUAUUGAAUCCCGGGUCUUCUUACUCUAUCAUGGUAAACCGGAUGGAUAGAUCAUUCGUUUACUACUUUUUAGCAUUCGGAGCUUGCAUACGAGGAUAUACCCACAUGAGAAAGGUAAUUGCUGUCGAUGGCACACAUUUGUAUGGCAAGUACGGGGGCGUUCUGCUGAGCGCCGUUGCACAGGACACCGAAAAUCAUAUAUUUUUUAUUGUCUUUUGUGUCGUCGAUAAAGAGAACGAUGCUUCUUGGACCUUCUUCUUCCAGAAGCUGAAGUCUAUCAUAGAAGAUGAACCAGAUCUAUGCGUCAUCUUCGACAGGCAAAUUAACAUCGCCAAUGCCUUCUCCCAUGUAUACAGUCGUGCACAUCACGGACUUUGCAUGAGGCACCUCGCUUAAAAUCUUCGCGUAAAUCAACACCGUGGAGAACAUCUUUAUCUAUUCUACGCUGCAGUAAAGGCUUAUUCCUUUGAUGAGUUUAGCGAUAAUUUUGUGGAAUUGAAGAGCAAAUUCCCCGAGGUAGCUCAUGUCCUUGAAAAUGUGCUUGGUUUUGAAAAAUGGAGUAGAGCACACUCUCCGGGCAAUAGGUACGAUGUGAUGACCACAAACAUCGCCGAGUCGCUCAACUCGAUUUUGAUGGAUGAACGGGAGUACCCCAUGUCGUACAUAUUCAAUUCAAUUACUAAAAAAUUUGGUGAAAAAUUUAGGAGCGGCAUGCAUUUGUCGGUGAUAAAGAGAACAUAUUUGUGCCUUCGGCGGAAAGGAUCCUAAGGGAUAAUAAGAGUGCGAGCAAUUCCUUGUAUAUGGGUAAUCCAAACGGGAUUCUCGACGAGUAUAUGGUGUUCGGCAACGGCGUUACUGCCAAGGUCAAUCUCUUGGAGAGGAGCUGUUCUUGUCAGAAAUUUGACUUGGUGAAAAUACCGUGCGAACACGCAAUGGCAACUUUGCGAGAAAAGUACGACGAUGGCGAAGAGUAUGGUAACUCCAUCUACGACUACUCUUCGCCAAUUUAUAAAGCUGAAAGUUACCUCCUCGCAUACUCGAAAGCAAUUAACGUGGUCCCUCCUGAGGCUGAAUAGACUGUGUUACAGGAAUUGGUAGACACCAAAAUUUCUCCACCCCCGUACGAUCCCAAACUCAGAAGGAAGAAAGUUAAACGCACUAAGGGCGCCGGUGAGACAUUCAAGUUCAAAAGGAGGAAUAGGUGUUCAAUAUGCGAGAAAUUUGAAUACAAAAGAACCACGUGUAGAAUGGGCAUCAAUCAUAAAUAGUCUUUUUUUAGCUUCAGUUGUAAAGCUACUGUUUUGAGGGAUGAAUGUGCAUUUCUGUAGAUUUUAACGUUCAGUUGUUAUCGACCUAAAGCUUUGUCUACGAUAGACUAUCUAUAGUCUACGGUAUAUAUAAUAUAUGGUCUAUAAAAUAUUAUGUAUUGAUUAUAUUAUUACUGAUCUAACAUGUUAUGUUGGUCAUUUUCCUGGCUUAUUUCUCCAAUCGAUGCAAUGAAUCAUUAUUUCCCUUAUUUUCCGUUCCCAUUUAUUAAAAAGCUGCACAAAACGUCUCUUCACGAGGAAAAACAGCUGGUAUAUGCAUACAAAAUGUUUUCAUGGAUGUAUGAACGGAUGCAAUCUACAGGUCUAUAAGUAUAGGCCCUCUUUCUACGCAACCCUUCAGUUUUUUCUAAACCGAAAAUAUCAGAAAUCAUCUCUUUUUCUUCUUCACGCAAAUAAAAAAAAUCCUCCAAGAAGGAUACCCCUGUGCCCCAUCAGACGUGUUCCUCCUAGGCACUACGACCUCCUCCCCCUAAGGAAUGAUUUGGACUGGCUUUUCUACGUGCAGGGUCAAGACCGCAUCUACCUGGAGCGGGAGCUCCGUCGAAUUGCUCGUUUCUUGAGGGCAAUUCUGGAAAGGCUCGAAAUGGAAGACCCUGACUACAUCACCCCCCACCAUCCCCAUAAUUUAGUUUAAAUGUUUUAUUUUAGUAUAUGUUUUUAAGUUUUUUUGAUUUGUUCAUUGCUGAAGAAGCUUUCUUUGUAGGAUCUUGUUAGAAGAAAACUUCUUUCAUUUUUCCCUUUUUGAUGUAAAUUUUAUUAUGUAAUGCAAUGAACAAUUUUAAUACAACUAUGUUUCAGUUUCUUUUAACAUUGUGUGCUUGCCAUCUUUGUUCUGAUCCCUUGUUUGAAAACUCGAAUCAAAUAUGUCUGCCUUUUCAAGUUACAGUAUUGUGGCUUGACUAAUUUCCUGGAGUAAAAUCUAAUGUUUAGAUUUUAUACAAAGUAUUUCAUCGACUGUACAUAUAAGUCGAUCGUAGACUACAUGAAUCGAUGGAUCAUCGGGUAAAUUAAAACAAAUAAUAACAGAUUUUCAAAAAAUAAUUUAAUUUUAAAAGAUUUAAACAAAUUAUCACAUGUUAUGUGGCUGGUGGAAGAAAAUAAUAAAUUAAAAAUAAUUUAAAUAUAUAAUCACAUGUUUUGGGAAUUAUGAAAGACAAUUAUUAAAUUCAAAAAAAAUUAAAUAGAUAAUAGUAACAUGCUUUGGGGCUGGUGGAAGAAAAUAAUUAAAUAUAAUAUGAUUUAAAUGGAUAAUCACAUGUUUUGGGGUCAGUGGAAGAAAACAAUUACAUUAAAAAUGAUUUAAAUAGAUGAUCUUGGACUGAUGGUGACACUUAAUACACCGUCGUUGAUCAUGCACUAUGUCAUCCAUCGAUCAGUCUGGUCUAUUGUAGACUUACACGUUUAUUAUCGCAUCGACUGAUAUCAUGAUUAAGCGUAGACCACGAUGAUCUAUGUACAAGGUUAUAUAGAUCAUCACUUGGAUGUAGUUAAAAAAUUAUUAAAUAAAUUAUAAAUAAACCAUCCACACACUUCUUAAUUCACCCUUCCUAAUUUGUCUAAGCUCUAAUAUGAUUAUGUGACAUGUUUACACUCCUUCAUAUGUGUAGAAAUCCACACCAUAUUUAUUUAUAAUUUAUUUAACAAUUUUUUAACUACAUCCAAGUGAUGAUCUAUAUAACCUUGUACAUAGAUCAUCAUGGUUUACGCCUAAUCAUGAUAUCAGUCGAUGCGAUAAUAAACGUGUAAGUCUACGAUAGACUAUAUAGGCAUCAAAUAUAAUACAUAUCCUAUAUGAAUACUUUGCUUUGUUUAAACAUUACUCUUAUGAUAUUGAGCAUUCAACCACUAACCAUCCACACACUUCUUAAUUCACCCUUCCUAAUUUGUCUAAGCUCUAAUAUGAUUAUGUGACAUGUUUACACUCCUUCAUAUGUGUAGAAAUCCACACCAUAUUUAUUUAUAAUUUAUUUAACAAUUUUUUAACUACAUCCAAGUGAUGAUCUAUAUAACCUUGUACAUAGAUCAUCAUGGUUUACGCCUAAUCAUGAUAUCAGUCGAUGCGAUAAUAAACGUGUAAGUCUACAAUAGACCAGACUGAUCGAUGGAUGACAUAGUGCAUGAUCAACGACGGUGUAUUAAGUGUCACCAUCAGUCCAAGAUCAUCUAUUUAAAUCAUUUUUAAUGUAAUUAUUUUCUUCCACCGGUCCCAAAACAUGUGAUUAUCCAUUUAAAUCAUAUUAUAAUUAAUUAUUUUCUUCCACCAUCCCCAAAACAUGUUACUAUUAUCUAUUUAAUUUUUUUUUAAUUUAAUUAUUCAUUUUUUAACUACCUCCACGUGAUGGUCUAUAGAUGUGUACAUAGAUCACGGUAGUCUACGCAUAAUCAGGAUGUCAGUCGAUGCACUAAUAAAGGUGUAAGUCUAUGGUAAACCAUACAAAUCGAUGGCUGACAUAGGUCAUGAUCUACGACAGUCUAUUUAGUGUCACCACCAGUUCAAAAGAGAAAAAUNNNNNNNNNNNNNNNNNNNNNNNNNNNNNNNNNNNNNNNNNNNNNNNNNNNNNNNNNNNNNNNNNNNNNNNNNNNNNNNNNNNNNNNNNNNNNNNNNNNNNNNNNNNNNNNNNNNNNNNNNNNNNNNNNNNNUUGAGGACGUCACGCACGGAUUCAAAUCCAGGUCACAAAUUUUAUAAUUGUGCAAUUGCAAAGGUGAGGUGUGCGUGUUUUUUUAAAAGAUUUAAGUUAAUGGUUAUGUAAUUUUUUUUUCCUAGGAUAAUGGCGCAUGCUCGUUUUUCCAAUGGCUUGAUGAGUUAUCACCUCCAUCCAGUCCAUCAACGUUUAUUUCGGAACUCGAGACAUCAAAUUUUCAAGGCUUGGCAAAAUUUAAUCUACUACAAAGGCUCCAACAAUGCGAAGAAAAUAAAGAUUUUCUCAUGACUUUGUUCAAAGAAGCCGGAGAACAGAGUGAUCACUUUAAACUAUUGCUACAUGACACCCAAAUAGAGAGGGAUCAACUAAACGAAAAAUUGAUUUUGGCCGAAGAAAGAGAGAAUGUCCUAAAAAUGAUGUUAUGUGCUAUAAUGCUAGUAUUCAUUCUUUGGAAAAGUGUAACAUGAAUGUAGUGAUAUUGAAUGAAUAAUAAUAGUUCUACUUUUGUAUAAUGUAAAAUACUAUUUUUGAUAGAACCAUAGUAGAUUAAACAACACGUCAACUUAAAUUCGACCAGCAGGGUAAUGAUAGACUAUGCAUACGGUAUAUGGAAUAUUAAGUAUGCAUUCUAUGAUAUCAAGCAUACAAUGUACCAACUAUGACCACGCCCUGCAUAUUCAAAUUCCAUGCCACAAAUCAGUUUGAUAGAAACUGAUUCAGCUCAGAAUCAUAACAAGUUUCAUAAAAUAAAAGAAUAAUUGUCAUAUCCUACCACCAGAUCCUUCAAACUUCAUAUUUGUGAAAUAAAAAAAAAUUUAUCAUAUCCUAAUAACUCAUCAUUUAACAACAAAUUAAACAUCUUAGCAUUUAAAUGUCUCUUUCACUAAGUUCCUCAUCAACACAAGUGUUACUGUUGAUUUCAUCAACAAUGUCCAUGACCACAUCUGUUUGGACAGCUUCAACUUCUUUUUUCUCAACAAUUGCAGCUGCUUCUUCAUUCUCACCUUCUUCUCCUUCUUUUUUCAGCAUGUGCAUCAGCUGCUGCUUCUUCAGUUACCUUUUCUUCCACACCUUCUUUUUUUACUUCACCUGCAAUAGCUGUUUCUUCCUCAGCUUCAGCAGCUGUUUCUUCCUCAGCUUCAACAGUUGUUUCUUUCUCAGUUUCUUCUUUUCGUUCACCUGUUGCUUCUUCUCAACUUCUUCUUUGUCAGCUUUGUCGGCUUCUUCUUCAACAGUUUUUCCUUUUUCCGCGCCUCCUUGUUCAUCUGCUGCCACUUCUUCUUCUACUGCUGCUGCUACUUUUCCACCUUCUUCUUGGCUCUUAUCUUCUUCACCAUCAUUUUUUUUUUCUUCUUUUUUCCUCUUCUCCCACAACAACGGCCAACUCAUCCAUUUGCUCUUUUUUUCUCCUUCUUCAUUCCUCUCUGAUUCAUGCACAUGCACUAUUUCAUAAUAUUAUGAAGUGUUACUGAUAUUUAAAGCUGAAUAUUCAUUAACAACAUCAAUUAAUGAAUGAAGUUACCUCACUCAUGUUGUCGCUCAUCAUUUUCCUUUUUCUUCAUUCUUUUCUCUUUGAUAUAGGCAGCAAUAUCCAACACCGCUUCCUCGAGCGCAGCCACACGCUUAUGAAGAUCCCCGGGGGCUGAGGUUCCCGCUCCAUCUUUGGAGGUGCUUAAAGAAUCAUCAUCACCAACACAUACUCCAGCGGGGUUACCACCCAAAUCCCCGUCAUCAUCACUGUCCUCAUUUGAAGUGAGGACAGUCACCCCUUGUAAUUCUUUCUUCAAGCCAUCGAGAACGUUAUUCUUCAUCUCGUUCGUAUAUGGCUCAAAUGUAAUCAUGUAAUCCAUCUUCAUCUCACGAACAGUAGGGAUGAUGUACGGGUGCACGUUCUACCAAGUAUCAAUUAACAAUUACAUAACAUUUGAUAAAACCGUACUAUUAUUGCAUUAUAUAAAAUAAGUUCAUACCUCGAUAACUUUUCCUUUAUUCUUGAAUGGGUCGCCUUCGAUUAUCUUAUCGCUUUUUGAAGUGUGUCAUCUGAGGAUGCGGGGGAUGGGUAAGGACUCAUCCAUUAAUUUUCUAGCAAAUUCUCCAAGAUGAGGAAAGACCUCAUAGAUCCAAUUCUAUAUGCAGUACAACAGUGAAAAAAAUAACUAUGAGUCUAUGACAUAGUAUAAAUAAAAUGAUAAUCUACGAUAAACUCACUAAAGGGUUUAUGGUAGAUACCAUGAAUUCCCAGGGAAAUUCAAAUAGAGCAUAGGAUGCCUUCUGCUUCUCAUUAAAUACUUCCUUCUGCCUCUUCAGGUCACUUUUCUUCUUUAGAUAGUCCAUAGUCAGUUGAAAUGUCUCUUUCCCCCACGGAUACUUCUCAAAGAAACUCAAAGAGUCGACCAUUCGAAUCAGUUUUGUGUCGACAACCUUCGUCGAAUAUUUCGCAAGCAACAUGGUGUGCAAGAACCACAGUAUACAAUACUUGAACUUCUGGUCCUCGUUCAGCUUAUUCCCUCUGAUCAGGUGUAAGAAGUUCGCCGCCGUGAUGUUUUUAUUUUUUGUCACCUUAAAACGAAAAUUGUCCCCCUUUGCUAACACCUUCUUCAUUUUUGAUUCACGAGGGUAUGAUGAGCAGUUCAGCCCCGUGAUCAAACAAAACUCUUUCAAGCCAAAACAGGCGGGCUUGUUGUUAACGCAGAACCACAUCUCAUGACGUAUCUUAUCGUUCUUAACGCAUCGCAACAACAAAUAAUGGACCAACUGCCCAUUGAACUUGAGAUGUUCCGGCAGAUUUCUCAGGUGUCCAAAAUAGGACCGCUUGAAUCUUUUCUUCAAUUCUUGAUCGACAAGAAUUUGCUUAAAUUCUCGAUAAGCAGCCAUUCUUGAUCUGAUCGAUAUCUUUGCCGGGAAAGAUCCGACCUCGUCAAUUAUCGUUCGAAGGUCAUACCGCUACACGAAAAUGCACCUUGAAAGAUAUGACACGGACAAUGAAUCAUUAUCCUCAUCCUUGGAAUAAGUGGAAGGGUUAGGUGUAUUAUAUUAAAUUUGUAAAGUUGUAUAAAUGAUAAAUUGGUCCCUUGGCCCACGUGUGGGCCCCACUUUUUUCACUAUUUACACCCUAAACCUAAAAAAUGAAUCAAAAAAAAUUAAGUGGGUAUUUGGCAAAAUAGUUUUACAAAAGUUCUUCUUUGCCAAUUAUUCCCAUCACUCUCUGCCUCUAAGGUGGUCGGAGGUUAGGUCUGCAUACAUUCUAUCUUCCAUAGAUUUUACUUUUUGUGGGAUUAUAUUGAAUAUGUUUAUGUUGUUGUGUUUUUUCGUAAAAAACAGUUUGUAAUUAAUUAUUAAAUUUUAAAAAGAAUGUUUUAGCAACUACUAAUGUUUGACCAAGUAUUUUAAGGAGUACUUCAAGGUUUAUUUUUUUGAAAAUAUUUUUGAAAAAACUAUUUUUAGAGAAAAGUAAUUUUUUUUAGCCUCUACAAACAAUUUCUAUUAAUCAAAGAACAAAACCUUAGCCGAUGGCCCGAUAGAUAUUAUUUAUUCUCUCCUUAAAAAUUAACAAAACACCUGUCGUUUUUAAACAAAGAACAAACACUUUUGACCUUUUAAAACCUUAACCAAUAGAUAUUAUUAACUUGUAAAGUGCAUUAAUUGGAUAAUGUAAUAUACAUUUCACUUACCUCGUUACAUUCGCAAAAGUGACCAAAGGAGCAAAGCCUUGCCCCAUCCCUUUAACAAGUCCUGCAGCCUACAAUUACUCCAUGGGUGUAAAAAUAUGUACCAGUAUUGUAAUGUUUAGAUACAAACUGACCUCCGAAAAUUGAUUUUUUUUUUUUUUUUUGAAGAAAGACCUCAGAGGUUGUUUUUAUAUAAAAAAGGAAUUUUUAAAAAAUUGUAAAGUCAUAACCAACAAGCGUAGUAUAAAUGGUAGUUUGAAUCAUAGUUGCUGCAUUUUAUUAUUGUUUAAUGAUUUAUAAAUUGACUUAAUAUAUAAGAUUGAUGUUCUUAUAAAAAUUAAAAUAAAACUAAAAACCCGACCUUUGGAGAAUUAUAUUUUCCAUUUUUUUUCCUUGACCUGAAUUUUACUGACCUUUGAUAUGCGAUCUAUUUGCUAGAUGAACUGUUGACAUAAUUUUCUUCGAAAAAAGUUUUAAGAAAACAUAAGAACUUACUAGUAUCGUCUUGUUGUUGCCAAGUGUUAAAGGAGUAAUAAUUUCACUUUCGGAAUUGCUACUAGCAACACUUAUCAUCCAUGGAGAAGUAGCACCAACGACUGUGUAAGAGUCUGGUCCACAAUUUCCUGCGCUAGCAAUAAAAGGUAUGCCAUGGGAUACUGCAUGAAAAGAUCCUAUCCCGAAAAUUUUUUCCUCGUCAAAGUCAGCCAUGUUGAUAAUACUUUUACCACCAAUAGAUGUUGAUAUUAUGUCAACCCCAUCUUUUAAAGCAUCAUCAAUGGCAGAAAGAACAUCAAUAUUACUAAGCAUUGUUCCAUUUGUACCAUCCCAACCCACCUGUUAAAAAUAUUAAAAAUACGCAAAUAAAAUUGUGUUUAGAUUCUCUAACGUCUUAAUCUUUUUGAUAAGAGGAUCAAGGCUCAACAAAGAAGGUUUUUGGUUCAAUUUUGUAAUGACUUGAAUUUGUGAUGAGUUUCGAUUUUUAUAUGAUUUGAUCAUUUUAUUUUUUCCCAUAAUUGUUACAUGUCGAUUUUGGGGCUUGGGGGUGGUUAGUACAAUUUCUAAUGCAAUUGGGAAUGAUUUGUGCAAGUUUGUGUUUUUUAAAAGCUUGAAAAGUCAUAUAAUUGACUUAGAUCAGCAUUUAUUAUUUUGAGUGUUGGAUGAUAAUUUGGACGGCACUAGUAGAUUCAAAAUAUCUAAUUUGAGUUAGUAGUAUAGUUGAUUCGGAUUUGGGACUUUUAUCUUGCAUUUCGAUACUUCAUUUGGAAAAUAGUGAAAAGGGGUCCCCAAGAGUCAAUUUAGAGAAAUUAGUUUUUUCUUUUCCAAAAAAUAUGAUGUUGCUAUUGAGUCCAGAACGUGAAAAUAAACUAGUAGAAUAGUUCGUUUGAGUCCAUGGAAUUCUGAAUGAAUCUCGAGGUCCAAUCGUAAACUUGACAUUUAGCCAAGUUGUUGAUUUUGCUGUCAUCUAGUACAACCAGUUAAAUGGCCAAGGACCACUUUAGUGGCCUGACAUUGCUCAAGUGAUAGCCACUUUAGCGGCCAUGUGUUGAUUAAGCGAUGGCCGGCCUAAGUGGAUUGUCCACUUUAGCGACCUUUUAGCUGCUUAAGUGGUGAUUUCUUAAACGGUCAAUUAUCUUAAGAGACGUCCAUUGAUAUUAUUAUUUUCAAUGUUUUGGGGUACACAAAUCUGUAUUUAGGCACACAACAACUUCAACACAAGUUCAAGUCUAAAACAAGAACACCUAUGAAGUUACACAACACCUUCAACACAAGAUUAAACAUAAUCUAUCCAAGAAGUGUGUUAUUAUUUCAUACUCCCUCUGUUUAAAAAAGAAUGACCUACUUUGACUUGACACAAAGUUUAAGAAAAUAAAGAAGACUUUUGAAUCUUGUGGCCUUAAAUUAAAGUAGUGUCAAAUGUACCAAAAUGCCCUUUAAUCUUGUGGUCCUAAAUAUGUCAUGUGGAAGGUUGAAAUUAAAGUAUUUCCAAAAAAGGAAAGAGGUCAUUCAUUUUGAAACGGACUAAAAAGGAAAGUAGGUCAUUCUUUUUUAAACGGAGGGAGUAAAUAAGAUGAAACAGAGAGUUAAAGCCAAGUCUCCCGACUUUACAGAGUGUCCUUAAGGAAUAAUUCCCCUCACUGUACCCGAGCUUAUGGAAUUUUCCUCCCAGGAUAAAAUGACUUUCAAUCCAACAAUUGUGGUACCUCAAAUUCUUGGAUUCGUCGAACUACUUAACGGCUAAGGAUCACACUGAGUUUUUGUAGAGAAGAAGAGUGUUUAUGCUGUCAAAAAUCAUGUAUAUACCUGAGGAAUAUGUCAGGUAUUUAUAGCCUUAAGGUGUCCCUUCAGAAAGAAAGCAUUGGUGCAGCAAAAAGGCACUUAUUCAGUAUAGUCAAGUCACCUUCGCCCAAUCUGUGCUAGAACUGCGCCUGAUCUGCGGCCGUAGGUGACACUGUCCAAAUUUCAGUAAGUACCUGUGCUGCAUCUUCGCCCGCAGGUUACUGAGGUGCGCGUGUAGAUCGCCCCAUUGCGCGAAACAGUGUGCGGCCGCACAUGAAAAAAAUUUCUAUCAGAUUCUUUGGAUUAAAAUUUUACUUGUUUAUCAAGUUUCAAAUAAAUUUUUUCUAAAAAAUAGAUCUCAUUGAUCGAUCAUUUUCCAAAUCCAAAUCCGGAGCUAAAGACAUGCCUUGUGAGUGACGACGAAGACGGCGCGGGGUACCACCUUGUUCUUGCCUCACUAUCCAUGUGGAGAUGUGUUUCUCAAUAUAAAUACAUGAAUGCUUCUUUCUUCCACCAAUGUGGGAGAAUUUAGUAAGCUUUCCAUAAAAGAAUACACAAUCCAUUUUAGUGACUCUCUUUUCCGCCAUUAUUUUUUCCCUCUAUUUUCUAUUUAUACAUACACCUUGAACCCAACAGAUAUAAAAACUCAUUUUCAUAUUUUUUUCCUCCAUUUCUGAACUUUUGAGCUUUGGGUGUGGGCCAUUCUUGAGAGCUUUUGUUUUCAAACUCAUUUUGCACCUGGCACAAAUAUGUGCAAUAUGGAUAUUUUUAGCUUUCUUUUAAUGCAUAGAAGUUAUAUAUAUAUAUUUGAAUAUUGUAGUUGAUUCUGAGGUCGUUCAUAAAGGGGAGGCUCCAUAUUGAAGCACUUUGGAUUGGGAUUUCUUUGUUUUGUGGUAAGUUAUGACUUAACUUCUUUCAGAUUGAGUUGGGUAGUUAAUAAAUAAGUAAAUCAUGUUAUGGGUUGGGUAAAUAAAUAUGAGAUUUAUAUUUUGGUAUUAUUAAUGUAUGCCCAUGUGAAGGCUUAUACUCUGUUUUGUUGACUUGUGAUAUCUGAUAUUAUGUGUUGCCUGUUUGAGGGCUUUAUUUGACAUCAUUGAUAUAAUCUGUGUAUUAGAAUAUCUUUAUUAUAAACACCUUUCCAUUGCGAUCCUUCCAAGUGUGACAUACCAGUGCCCCCAUAAGGCAACAACAACUUUCUUUGGAAUACAAGGCUAAUGCUUCUCUCUGAUUUGAUCUAGUAUUUGACUCAUACUUUCUCUCUACAAUGCAAUACCCAUUCACGCCAAUAGUGCAAUUCUCACUAUAUUAAACCAUGCACAUUCCACAAAUAGAUGUUGCAAGUGUUGUCACCUCUGCAGAUAAGCCACAUAAACAACAAUCUGGAUCAUUUACAAGGACAUUCAGCUUGAGUGGCCUCCUCUUAGUCAGUAGUGUUAUUUUGUAGUAUUUCCUUCAGGUACACAAAAUCUGUAUAAGCAGAACAACAACUUCAACUAGAGUUCAAGUAUAAACAAGAACACAAUGAAGUAUAUCAAAUACCCUCAACACAAUAUCAAAAUGACUUUUCCAAGAGGUAUAUUUUAUUUUUUCCAGAAAAUAGACGAAACAGAAAUGAAUAAGGCCAAGUCGUCCGAAUUCAUGGAGUUUCCUUAAGGAAAUAAUUCCCCUCACUUUACCCGGGGUUAUAGAAUUUUUCCUCCCAGGAUAAAAUGGCCUUCAAUCCAAAUAUAGAGGUACCUCAAAUAUUUGGACUCUUCGAACACACUCAACAUUUUGAAUGAUCACAUAGAAUUUUUGAAGAUAAGAAGAGUAUUUUUUAUUCUGAAAUUUUGUAUCGAAACCUGUAAAAGAAAGCAGGUUUUUAUAGACAUAACAUGCCUCUUCUGAAAAGAGGCAAUGGUUUAUGUCAAAGGUUACACAUGUUCUGUAAAUUCAUGUUUGUUUAUCCAAAGAUUGCAUCUUUUCUUGAACAGUCAUCUCGUUUUGUGAAUUAGUGUGUCACUUUAUUGAAGGAUUACAUCCUUCUAAAGCAUCAUUUUGAACCAUUGCAACUUUCUGUAGCCUCAGAAUAAUGCAUCAGUUCACUUGAAACAGUGCAACUGUUACUGCAUGUAUAUAUAAAUGGAGGUUCGAAACACUGCAGAAAAAUUUUACUGCAUUUUUCUUGUCAUUCUUCGGAAUCCAAAUAAAGUUUAUCCAAAAAGAUAGAUCUCAUCGAUCGAUCCAAAUGCAAAUCCAAAGCCGAAGCCGAGCCGAGCAACGACGACGACGGCGUGAGGAAUCUCUUAUUACUUGCCUCACUUAUCCAUGUGGAAGUGUGUUUCACAAUAUAAACACUUUAAAGCUUCUUUCUCCCACCAAUAUGGGAGAAUUUAGUAAGCUUUCCUAUUUUUGAGUACACUUUCCAUAUUGGUGUGAUCUCAAUUUUUCUCUUCCACUUGGUUUUAUCCAUUUUCCAUUCACACUUCUCAUUUACUAUGAACCCAACAAUCCCCCACAUGAAUGGGAAUGGCUAUUUUUUGUAAAAGUUUUACGGACAAGUAUGUGAUCAUCAAGCAAAGACUAAUUGCAUUUGGAUAAGUGGGUUUCCCUUUGAACUUUUCGUCUUGAAGAUGUAUCGGAUGCACUCGGUCAAUCGGUAGAUUUGAUAUCUUUGAACCAUCGAUCUUUAAUGUACACCUAGAAUAUACAUGUCACAAAACCAUCCUUUUACUGUUUUAUGGUUCUCACGAUUUUGUUCUUUUCAUCCAUGAACACGUCCCGAUUUCGUGAGAGCUUAGAGGGUAGGCCUUUACUAACAUUCUCUUUGAAGCGACUUCCACUUCGUCCUCACAUAGGUGAUUUUAAUACAUUCAAUCCUAUAUAUUAAACUAUUUGGUCAAAUCUGCCAAAUUUAGAUAAUCAUUAAAAGACUUUUCACCUUAAGUCUUAUCCUUGUUUACUAAACAUUGUCUAUAUCAUGAGAAUGGGUUGGGUAAUUGACAAUGUUGAACCUGUCAGACACAACUUUAUUUGAUCUCCUUGAACCUAUCUCUUGGGAUCUCCAGUCUGCUAGGUAGAGUUACCGCCAUGCCGACUUAUCCUAGGCCUUAAACCCAUUCCCUUUGAUGUCCUUUCCACUUCUUCUCUAGAUAGGCCUUUUGUAAGUGGAUCCAACACAUUAUCCUUUAACUUUACAUAGUCAACAGUGAUAAUUACACUAGAGAUAAGUUCCCUAACGGUAUUAUAUCUUCAUCGUAUGUGAUGAGAUUUACCAUUGUACAUCAUGCUCCCUGCCCUACCUGUUGUCGCUUAGCUAUCACAGUGUAUACAUAUUGGUGCCAGUGGCUUGGACUAAUAAUAAAUAUCUUCUAAGAAAUUCUGGAGUCAUUCUGCUUCUUCACCGGCUUUAUCCAAUGUGAUAAAUUCAGAUUCCAUUAUAGAGCGAGAAAUACAAGUCUAUUUGGAUGAUUUCCAAGAGACUCCUUCUCCACCGAUAGUAAAUACAUAUCCACUUGUGGAUUUUACUUCAUUCGAUCCAGUGAUCCAAUUUGCAUCACUAUAUCCUUCAAGUACCGCAGGAUAUUUAUUAUAAUGCAAGCAUAGUUUUAGUGUAUUUAAGAUACCCCAAAACCCUUUUCAAUACUAUCCAAUGAGUUUUGUUGCGAUUACUUAUGUACCGACUUAAUUUACUGAUAGCCCAUGCUAUGACUGAUUGUGUACAGUUUGUUAUAUACAUUAAACAUCCCAAUACUCUUGCGUACUCCAAUUGUGAGUCACUUUCAACUUCAUUCUUUCGACGUGCAAAGUUCACAUCCAAUGGAGUCUUGGCAAUACCGAAUUCCAUAUACUUGAACUUGUCAAGUACUUUUUAGAUACAAUGAGACUGUGACAAUGCCAACCCUUGUGGAGUUCGAUAGAUUCUUAUGCCUAAGAUCACAUCUGCAACUCCAAGGUCUUUUAUAUCAAACUUGCUCUCGAGCAUUUAUUUUGUUGCACUUAUGUUAGAAAUGUCUCUACUGAUGAUCAACAUAUCAUCCACAUAUAAACAUACAAUGACUUGGUGAUUUGGAGUGUCUUUAAUAUAAACAUAUUUAUCACAUUCAUUUAUUUUGAAUCCGUAUGCCAACAUGGUUUGGUCAAACUUCACAUGCCAUUGUUUAGGUGCUUGCUUUAGUCUAUACAAUGACUUAAUAAGUCUGCAUACCUUAUUUUUCUUCCCUGGAACCACUAAACUCUCAGGUUGUUCCAUGUAAAUUUCUUUCUCUAAUUCUCCAUUUAGGAAAGCGGUUUUCACAUCCAUUUGAUGGAUUUCAAGAUGAUAUACCGCAGCCAAGGUAAUUAACAUUCGAAUCGAUGUUAUCCUUGUUACUGGCAAGUAUGUAUCAAAGUAAUCAAGACCUUAUUUUUGUUUGAAGCCCUUUACUACAAGUCUUGCCUUGUAUUUGUCAAUAGUGCCAUCCGCUUUCAUCUUCCUUUUGAAAAUCCAUUUAGAACCUAAAGGUUUAUUUCUGGGAGGAAGGUCAACCAAUUCCCAUGUAUGGUUGCUUAAGAGUGAAUCUAUCUCACUAUUGGCUGCCUCUUUCUAAAAGGAUGAAUCCGAAGAUGCCAUCGCUUCCGUAAAUAUUUGAGGCUCAUUUUCCAAAAGAAAUGUCAUAAAAUCCGAUCCAAAUGAAGUAGACGUUCUUUGACGUGUACUACGUCUUGAAUUUUCUUCAUUAUGUUCAUUCUCAAUUGGUUCAUCACAAGGUCGUUUAUACCCCCCACUAGACUGUUCAUGUCUAGUUUUAUACGGAUAAAUAUUUUUAAAAAAUUUAGCAUUGUCUGAUUCAAUUACCGUAUUUUCAUUAAUAUCCGGAUGUUCGGAUUUAUGAACCAAAAAUCGGCAUGCCUUACUGCUUUUAUCGUAUCCUAUGAACACCCAGUCCACUGUCUUAGGUCCUAUCUUUACCCUUUUAGGCACAGGAACUUGGACCUUUGCUAGACACCCCCACACUUUGAAAUAUUUCAAGUUGGGUUUUCUUUCUUUCCACUUUUCAUAAGGAAUUGAUUGUGUCUUACUAUGGGGAACUCUAUUGAGUAUACGGUUGGCCAUAAGGAUAGCUUUCCCCCAUAAGUUUUGUGGUAAACAAAACUUAUAAGUAAGACAUUCAUCAUUUCCUUCAAAGUUCAGUUUUUUCUUUUCGCGAUUCCAUUAGAUUAGGGUGAAUAUGGGGCCGUAGUUUGAUGGAUGAUUCAAUUCUCUACACAUAUUUGCGCAAAAGGAGAUUCAUAUUCUCCACCCCUAUCACUUCUUAUCAUUUUGAUCUUUUUGUCUAACUGAUUUUCAACUUCAGUUUUAUAUUGCCUAAACACAUUUACUGCUUCAUCCUUACUAUUUAGCAAGUAGACAUAACAAUAUCUAGUGCAAUCGUCAAUAAAAGUUAUGAAAUACUUUUUCCCACCACAUGAUGGUGUUGACUUCAUAUCACAAAUGUUAGUGUGUAUUAAAUCUAAGGGAUUGGAAUUCCUCUCAACGAACUUAUAAGGAUGCUUUGCAUACUUUGAUUCCACAUAGGUUUGACACUUUUAUUUAUUGCACUCAAAAUUUGGUGAAACUUCUAAGUUAAUCAGUUUUCGUAAUAUUUUGUAAUUAACAUGGCCUGAACGUUCAUGCCAUAAAUCAUAAGACUCAACCAAAUAAGAAGAAUUUGAACUUUUAUUUAUUUCAACAGUCAUUACAUUCAUCUGAUAAAGGCUUUCGGUCAGAUAGCCUUUUUCUACAUACAUUUCUCCUUUGCUAAUUACAAUUUUUCAAGAAACAGUUACACAUUCGAAUCCGUUAUUGUCUAGAAGUGAAACAGAAAUUAGGUUCCUACGUAACUCCGGAACAUACAAGACAUUGUUAAGUGUCAAGACCUUUCUCGAAGUUAUUUUCAAGCAUAUUUUUCCUGUUCCUUCCACCUUAGCAGUAGCGGAGUUAUCCAUGUAGAUCAUUUCUUCUACUUGAGCCAGAGCGAAUGACGAAAACAACUCAUUGUUGGCACAUACAUGGCGGGUGGCACCAGAAUCCAUCCACCAUUCGCGAGGAUUCCUUGCCAAGUUGCAUUCUGAAAACAUAGCACACAAAUCAUCGCAUUCUUUGUUGGAUUCAAUCAUAUUUGCUUGAUCCUUCUUCUUGCCUUUCUUCGGGGCUCGACAAUUCAUGAACUUUUGUCCAACCUUGCCACAAUUGAAGCAUUUUCCCUUGAAUUUCUUCUUGGAUUGAUGGCUUCCUUGUUCAACUUUCUUUCUUUUCUUAGAAUUAUUUUGAUCAUCUUUUACAAUAUGUGCUCCAUUAAUUUUAGAAUUCCCUUUUGACCUUCUCUCGGCAGCUUUAUUGUCCUCUUCAAUACGCAGUCGGACAACAAGAUCUUCGACAGCCAUCUCCUUGCGUUUAUGCUUCAAGUAGUUUUUGAAGUCAUUCUACAUUGGUGAUAACUUCUCAAUUAUCGUUGCUACUUGGAAAGCAUCAUUCACAAUUAAACCUAUAAAACAGUUUAUAUGAGUAUUAAGAACUUUUUCAACUAAGGUAUUUUCUAAAGAUAUACCUUCUGCUAAGAAAUCGUGGAUGAUUACUUGCAACUCCUACGCUUGAGAGACAACCGAUUUGCUAUCUACUAUUUUAAAGUCCAGGAACCUUGCAAUAAGGAAUUUCUUAAUUCCCACAUCCUCCAUCUUGUAUUUUCGUUCAAGUGCCCCCCACAAUUCCUUCGAUGUCUUAGUUCCACAAUAAACAUUGUAAAGGUCAUCUUGGAGACCACUUAAUAUGUAAUUCCUGCAGAGGAAGUCUAAGUGCUUCCAAGCCUCUACAAUUACGAAGCGCACUUUGUCCGAGGUUCCCUCGGGCACCUCAGGAGCGUCUUCGCUAGUGAACCGUUGCAGACACACAGUGGUGAGGUAAAAGAACAUCUUUUGCUGCCAUCUCUUAAAGCUGAUGCUCGCAAACUUUUCGGGCUUUUCCGCAGGUGCCAUAUGUUGUGGAGCAUUUGCGCGGCUUGUCGUAGCAAUGCUAGUCGCCGCCACAGUCGUAACAUCUCAUGCAUUUGACUUUCAGUUGCCAUUUUUCUGUCACCACAAGACAGUAAAUUUAGUAUAUCAAAAUAAAAAAAAAUUGCAACUACUUUAAACACUUCUUGUUUCUAGUUAACAAUGAAGUUUUUAUUACUUCCAAUUGUCAACCGAGUGAAUUUUAAACUUAUGAUGAAAAUUAUAUGUCUUCUAAUCACUAGUUAAAUUCAAACGGAGUAGAAAGCCUAAAGCUUUAAUCUCCAAAAAUAAGUAUACAGAUUCUUAAAUUUAUUUCCUUAAGAUUGUUAUUUUGUAGUAUUUCCUUCAGGUACACAGAAUCUGCAUAAGCACAACAACAACUUCAACUAGAGUUCAAGUAUAAACAAGAACACAAUGAAGUAUAUCAAAUACCCUCAACACAAGAUCAAAAUGACCUUUUCAAGAGGUGUAUUUUAUUUUUUUCAGAAAAUAGAUGAAACAGAAAUGAAUAAGGCCAAGUCGUCCGAAUUCACGGUGUUUCCUUAAGGAAACAAUUCCCCUCACUGUAUCCGAGGUUAUGAAAGUUUUCCUCCCAGGAUAAAAUGGCCUUCAAUUUAAAUAUAGCGGUACCUCAAAUAUUUGGACUGUUCGAAUGCACUCAACAGUUUGAAUGAUCACACAGAAUUUGUAAAGACAAGUAGAGUAUUUUUUAUUCUGAAAUUUUGUAUCAAAACCUGUGGAAGAAAGCAGGUUUUAAUAACCAUAACAUGCCUCUUUUAAAAAGAGGCAAUGGUUCAUGUCAAAGGUUACACAUGUUCUGUAAAUUCAUGUCUGUUCAUCCAAAGAUUGCAUCUUUUCCUGAACAGUCAUCUCCUUUUGUGAAUCAAUGUGUCACUUCAUUGAAGGAUUACAUCCUUCUAAAGCAUCAUUUCGAACCAUUGCAACUUUCUGUAGCCUCAGUCCUUGGCAUUCUUCGGAAUCCAAAUAAAGUUUGUCCAAAAGAAUAGAUCUUAUCAAUCAUAAUCAUUAUACAAAUCCAAAGUCGAGCAACAACAACGACGACAACGCGAUGCAACUCUUAUUCCUUACCUCACUUAUCCAUGUGGGAGUGUGUUUCACAAUAUAAACACUUUAAAGCUUCUUUCUCCCACCAAUGUGGGAGAAAUUAGUAAGCUUUCCUAUUUUUGAGUACAAUUUCCAUAUUGGUAUGAUCUCAAUUUUUCUCUUCCACUUUGUUUUCUCCAUUUUCCAUUCACACUUCUCAUUUACUAUGAACCCAACAAGUAACCUGUCUUUACUAGCCAACCACACAAUAAAUCUAUGCUCAGGCUGAGCAGCUUUAGAGGACAAUUUGUAUAUACUGAGGAAGUUAUAGCACAAACCAAAUAGGAACAAAUUAAUAGGCUAGCUAGAACUUUCAUAUCUAGCAAAGAAAAUAACCAGAUGUAGAUGCAUAAUGCAGAGAUUAACUUUGUAACUAGUUUAAUUUCAGUUUUAGAGGUAAGGAUGACUGAGGUGAUCUUAGGAUGUAUUGAUGAUGGUUGUGUUUGUCUAUGUCAAUGUUUACAGUGUUACUAAAAGAAUUACUUUAAAUUUUUACUUGAGAAAGAUAAAUGCACAAGCAAUUCAAUGAUGACACCUUAUACAUAGCUAACCGUGCAAGUGGUGCUCCUCCUCGUGUUGUUCCCAUAUUAACACCAUGAUAUUUCACAUUGUUAAUAUAAGAACCAGCAGCUGUAUAUGCAACAUGAGUACCAUGCCCAUUAUCAUCUAAUGGUCAUAAUUUAUAUAAUUUUUCAACCAUUGUUUGGUUUAGUUCAUUAUCUUCCAUCGCUCCUUUUAUGUACCAACGAGCUCCAAUGCUUUCGAAUUAUCUCCCCAUGCAAUACCUACAAAAUGUUGCUAGUUCUUUUAGAGAAUUUAACUUCUAUGCACACAAUAUUUAAAAUAUCAUGAUUUUUAAAGAUAAUUCUCGAUAGAAUUGUAACCUAUAAGAAAUAUUAUUGAUUAUUCUAUUAUAACAAGAUAAAUUACAUCAAUAAUCUAAAAUUAUUUUUUACAAUAUUAUUUGUGCAUCAUAUUUAAAUCCCUUUUUAACAAGAUUUUUAGCUGCAGAGAAAUGUUAUUGGGUUAAGAAAAAAACAAAAAAACGGAAAAAAAGAAAAAGGGAGACACUUAACUUGAAUCUAAUAUGCCAAUAAUUAUUCUGUCACCCUGAUUUGUUUUGUUGACAAGACUAUUAGGAUCAUGUUUAGAAAGACCCAACUCCUUGACGUAUGAGUCUUGUAAAAAUGAUUUGGUAUAACUUGAACCACAUCAGGUAAUUCUGAAGUACGAUUACAACACAUACAUCAAUUAAGAGUCGUAUAAUGAAUAAAAUCCUUAUUUUCAUAAAAUUAUUUUUUAUUUCCUUUUAUUUAUUUUUUAUAAUUUUCUGCUAGUAUUUAAGGUAAAAAUGUGUGACAACAGAGAAUUAAAAUACCUUCAAUUUGUUUGGCUUGAGAAUAAGUAAGAUUAGCAGCGAAUCCAGAGAAGCCAUGCCUAUAACUAUACACCAUCAAUUUUUUUAGCUUCUUCUUUGCUGCAUAACAAGAAAAUACGAUUUAGCUUUUAAAGAAUGAAAUACAGGAAAUAAUAUUUUUGCAAUGAGGUCAUUUGUAGCUAAUUAGAGGUAACUGUUUCUAUGAUAAGCUUUAAUAAGAAAUUUAGUUAAAAUAGUAAUCUACUAAAUUUCAUUAGUUAAAUUUAUAAAUUUCAUUGAUUAUUUAAAGAAUAUGCAUACCUCCCAAUUACUUGACCUAAAAGUUUGUGAUGUGAAUCGGUGAUAAGUUCAUGAUCAUUAUGAGGCUUGUGUCCCAAAUAGACAAUGUAAAACUAUAGAUCAAAAAAUACCAUAGAAAACAAACCAAAAAAAUUAAAUUAAUGAGAGAGAUUAAUAUUCGAUAUGAUCAAUAAUCAACUGAAAGGAUAUCAUAUAAAUCAGAAGAAAGCUAACUUUUUGAAUCAAUCAUUCACAUCGUCAAAAAUACUACUCCCUUUAUUUCACUUCAGUUAUUACGUUUGUUAAAAAUAAUUAUUUAAAUAUAUUUGUUAUUUUAGAAAAUAUUUGACGGAAAAUUGAUUAUUUUUUUCAUUUAUUUUUCGCUUACUUUAUUAUAUAUUGAUAGAUUAACAUGAUAAGAGAAAUUAGUAAUAUGAUGAUGUAAGGUUGCACCGAAUAAAUUCUUACGGUUUGGUUCUUUUCGACCUUGCAUAUAGUGAGAACUUUAGUCACCGGCCGGGGUUGUAUUUUUUGAGAUGGUAACAAAUUGAGAAAAUAAAAUAAAAUUAAAUUCAAGAAUAUCCAAAAUGUACCUUAGCAUCGGCAUUGUCUGCUUUUGUAGUUAUUUCACAUAAACAAGUAAAGAUUAACAAAAAAAAUAAAAUAACAAGAGAAGAAAUUGGAUUAUUCAUCAUUUUUUGUUUCCCUCCUUUCCAUAGAAAAUGUGAAAGGAGGAAGAUAACCCAACUUCUGAUGAAUUCAAAAUAUAAUUUGGUUAAUGAAAUUUGAAAAUAAUUGCAAUUUAUUUAGCACUAGAUAGCUUAAACUCACCUCACAAAGUAGACAAAUUAAUUCGUGGCUAGUAUAUUAAGCGUAAAUUGUAGCCACUCGAAUACAAAUAGAUAAGUUAUUCUACUUUUACUCCUUUAAAAAAAAAAAAUUAAAUUUUUUUAGAACGUAUACUUUGUAUUUUCAUAUGAGUGAUUAAGAGCACAAGAAAGGAUUUUGGAGUUCCACUCACCAUCAUAUUUUUCCUCAUAACCUGUGUAAAUACCAUUGUUUUUCCUCAUAAUGGCACUUAGGAUUUGUUUAUAUAUGAAGUUAAAUUUAUGGCCAAGUUGAGCCAUGUUUGAGAAAGAGAUAAGCAUUCAGAACCUCUCGAAUUAUGGUCAGAGUUGUUAUGACACAGUACAAUUUUAUAGGGGUUCUAUUAAUCUCCUGAACUCAAUUUUAACAUAUUUUUGUUAUCCUUUUUUGGUGUUGAUAUGACACUUUUGUAACAUAAAAUGAGGCUCACAUCAAUAAUGUCACGUCAGUUAAAAAAGUUGACAAAAAUACAAUACAAUUUAGUUAAAUGAGGUAUUUGAACUCUAGUGAAGUUGAAGUGUAUCGUUAAAAAUUUUAAAAAAUUUGGUCAUAGUCAUGGAUAUUUGAUGCUUUACUUUGGAGAAAUAGAAAAAGAAAUCUUUUAAAUGUUAUGCUAAGGAAUAUUCUACUUAAAAUUCAACUUAGUUUUUCUUCUUUUACCAAAAAUAUGACUUGUUUUUCUAGUUAUAUAUAAAAAUAUGGGGUCUCAUAAGUAUGAGGUCCUGGACAAUCGAGAAAUAAACGAUACUCUGUCUAUGCUUUAUUUUUUAAAAAUCAUUUUAUGAGAUUUUACAAAUAUAUUAUUGUUUUUAUUGUUUAGUCCAAUGAAUUCUAGGAUAUAUUUACUCAUGUUAGUGUCCCUUUUUGUUUUUUAUUAUCUUCUUCAUUGACUUCAAAAUUAGUGCCGGAAGUAGGAAACCAAUCCUCCGAUCCCUGCCUAAUGUUUUUGAUUCAAUCUUUUAAUAGGUGGAUAGGAUUGACCCAUAAACAAGAAUUUUUGACAUGAAUUUAGCAAAUUACUGACCUGUUCAAAUACCCUACGUUUAUAACUAGGCAAAUAAAAUCACAUAUUGUCCUGUGAGCUAUGGAAAAAGAAUCUAAUUUCUCAGCAUAUACCCACAAAAUAGAAUCUGGGAGGGGAAAGUGUACGCAGUCUAUAUCAGUAUUCCAAAGAUGAUAUAAAGAGGUUAUUUCCGAUAGACUCAAGACAAAAAUAGUUCAACUUCUCAUAGUUUAGAUGAAGAUAAUAUUAUAUUAUUGGACUCACCUCCCUUUUAUGCUUUAGAUGAAAAAUGUUUGUAUAAUUUGAGAAGGAAAUAGAGGUUAGCUGUUUCCUCGUAAAAAUGUGUAGCGAACUUAUUAAUUCCCCUGCGACAUACAGCUAAUUAACCUCCAUAAAAUGUGACUAAUUAUUCUUAACAAUGAUUUGUUGAUCAUCAAAGUAUAUAUUUGUGCAUGCCACGUUAUAUUCUAAUUAGUAUGUAGUAUAUGACGACCACCAAUUAAUUGAAGAAGAUUAAUGUAAGAUGAACAAAAUAAAGGUUAUUUGAAAUCUUAGUAUUUUCCUGUGUGUUUCGUUACAGAGGUGGUGUGAUUUAUACACCUUUGUAGACUUCAAUAUGGGAGUUGGAUACAAAGUCAACUAAUAUAUCUCUUGGACUCUCAUAUUAAGGUCCGACUAGAAGUGUUAGUAGAUAAAUAUUUGGUCUGCGUUUCAGUAAACAUUAGGUGAUCGUUCUGAUAUGAAACUCGAAAAAUUGGGAUAAUUUAGCUGCGUUUUCGACCCUUAGCCCCAGAAUUAAACACAAACACUUGCUACAACUUGAACGAUUAGCGAUGCUACUGCUAUCUAUUAAACUAGAUAUUGACGGCCCGUGCUAGCAUGGGCGCAAUUUAUCUUAUUCUUUAUCUUAAUUUAUGUGAUACAAAUAGAAUUUAUAUAAUCAAUCAUUAAAAUAAUUUUAGUUUUUAAUUAUCGUGAUUUAUAAUACUUUUUCUUCUAUUUCAAUUUAACUGACACUAAUAUAAUUUCGACAGUCAGCAAAAAUAUUUUAUACUUUUUAAUUAACGGCACAUUCGACAUAUGUGCUUAUUGUCUAUAAAUUACAAAGAGGGGUAUUCUUAUCAUUUUAUUCUUCAAGAGAUGUGUACUAUUCUAAGUUAUACCACACCGCCUUACAUAGUGUCUCUCAAUAAAUAAACACGUGUUCAGCCUAAUUUAGGGAUGUACCUUGAAUGUGUAUAACAAUCUAAUUACUUUACACAUGUGUUGAUAGUGUGAUUAGUAGAUGUGUUAGUUAUAGUUUGUUACAAUUAGCAAGUUAGCUAGAACAUAACAAUUGCCACUUUGUAUAUAUAGAGGAAGGCACCAAUUUGAGCUAACUAGAGAAGAUAUUUUUCAUUUUUCUCAACUUCUUUCUAUCUAAUUUGUGAUAUAAAAUUAUAAAAGGGAAGGAAUGAAACUAGAAAAAACUUGUAUUAAUCUUUUCUUCUUUUUUGUACCAAACUUUCAGCAAAUGUAAGGCUAUUUAUAGUCAUAACAAUCAAUUAAAUAAGAUUAUAUAUUCCUUAGUGGUGGAGUGUGAAUUGACAUAAAUUGCCCACAAAUCAAUUAUCCACUUAAAUAAAGUUGUCCACUUAAAUAAAAGGUAGAUAAAAUGGCCUACAUGUCAUCCAUUUACAACACUCUCCCUUGGAUGACCAUGUAAAGAAAAAUCUAUUGAAUACGCAUAUGAGUGUUGCCUCAUUAAAAAUCUUAUCAGGAAAAAUCCAGUGGGAUAAAAACCUUGGUUAAGGAAAAAAGAGUACAACACAUAUUCUUACUCCCCUGAUGAAGACCUCGAUUCAACCAGUUUAUUCUUCGCAUCCCAAUCCCGUAUAUCAUCUUCUCAAAGGUUGAAGUUGGUAAAGAUUUGGUGAAUAAAUCUGCUUGAUUGUCAUAGGAACGGAUCUGCUGCCCAUCAAUAUCACCAUUCUUCUGAAGGUUGUGCGUGGCAAAAUGUGCUUUGUUCUAUCUCCCUUUAUAAAGCCUCCUUUUAGUUGAGCUAUGUAUGUUGCAUUAUCUUCAAAUAUGACUGUGGGUACCUUGGUAUCACGCUUCAGGCCACAUCUCUUUUUAUGGAAUGUACUACUGAUCUCAGCCAUAUGCAUUCUCUACUUGCUUCAUGGAUUGUUAUUAUCUCCGCAUGAUUAGAAGAAGUAGCAACGAUGGACUGCUUUGUCGAUUGCCAUGAUAUUGCAGUACCUCCAUAUGUAAACACAUAGCCUUUUUGGGACCGUAUUUUAUGUGGGUCAGAUAAAUAACCCGCAUCUGCAUAACAACAAGAGCUGGACUAGCUUUGUUAGUAUAAAACAAACCCAUAUCAAUAGUCCCUUUUAGGUACCUCAAUAUAUGCUUAACUUUGUUCCAGUGUCUUCGCCUAGGGGAAGAACUAUACCUCGCUAGCAAAUUAACAAAAAAUGCUAUAUCUGGCCUCGUAGCAUUAACGAGGUACAUAAGUGCACCAAUAGCACUGAGAUAUGGUACUUCAGGACCAAAAAUCUCUUCACCCUCUUCCAAAGGUCAGAAUGGAUCUUUACUCAUCUCGAGUGAUCGAACAACCAUUAGAGUACUUAAUGGAUAUGCUUUGUUCAUGUAAAAUUAUUUCAAAACCUUCUGGGUAUAGAUAUUUUGGUGGAUGAAAACUCUAUCGGCUAAAUGUUCAAUUUACAGACCAAGACAAAGUUUUAUCUUUCCAAGAUCUUUCAUUUCGAAUUCUUUCUUUAGAUACUCGAUUGCCUUUUGGACCUCUUCUGAAGUCCUAAUGAGAUUUAUAUCAUCCACAUUAACAGCGAGUAUAACAAACCCCGACGUAGUUUUCUUAAUGAAAAUACAAGGACAAAUAACAUUAUUUAUGUAACCUUCAUUUUUCAAGUACUCACUUAGGCGAUUAUACCACAUACGCCCUGAUUAUUUUAGACCGUACAACGAUUUUUGUAAUCUGAUUGAAUAUAAUUUUUUAGACUUUGAACUAUAUGCUUCAGGAAAUUUUAAUUCUUCUGGGAUUUUCAUGUAAAUAUCGUUAUCAAGUGAACCAUAAAGAUAAGUUGUAACCAUAUCCAUUAGAUGGAUUUCAAGAUUUUCAUGUACAGCUAGACCGAUGAGGUAUCGAAAUGUUAUUGCAUCCAUGACAAGUGAAUAUGUUUCUUCAUAGUUAAUACCGGGUCUUUAAGAGAAUCCUUGUGCAACAAGGCGUGCCUUUUAUCUUAUAAUUUUAUUUUUCUCAUUUCUUUGACGUACGAAGACCCAUUUAUAGCCAACUGAUUUUACACCAUUUGGGGUUUGGACUACAGGUCCAAAAAUCUCCCGUUUAGCAAGUGAAUUCAAUUCAAAUUGAAUCACCUCUUGACAUUUUUGGCCAAUCUUUUCUUCAUCGACAUUCUGCAACAGAUAGAGGUUCAAGUUCCUCAUUGUCUUACAUGAUGUUUAGUGCAACAUUGUAUGCAAAAACAUUAUACACCAUAAUUUUCGAUCGAUCUAAAUUUACCUCAUCAGUAGUAGAACUUAUUGAAAGUUCUUCAUUCACUCGAGUCUUGGGUUCACUGAUUUCUUCAGGAAUAUCAGGAUUAAUCAGAUUUUGAGUCUCUUCAGGAGAAUCUUUUAUAAUACCAUCUUUAUCAUUUUUCGCGGUUCUUUUUCUAGGAUUUUUAUCCUUUGAACCCAACGGCCUUCCACGCUUCAGGCGUGCUUGGGAUUCAGAAGUUAUUACAUUAGAAGAUGGUUCUUUUGGAACUUCAAUUCGGAUAGGCACAUUUCGCUGCAGGGAUAUGUGACUUGGUUAUCCUUUUCAAAUCAGUAAAUGCAUCUAGAAUUUGAUUUGCUAAUUUCUGUAAGUGAAUAAUCUUCUAUACCUCACUUUCACAUAUAAGGGUGCAUGGAUCAAAAUGAGAUAAUGAUGAAACUUUUGACACAAUUUCUCUUUUAAGUUCACGUUUUUCUCUCCUUAAUUGCGAAAAAUUUAUUUCAUCAAAUUGACAAUCUGCAAAUCGAUUAGUAAAUAAAUCUCCCAUCAAUGGUUCAAGGUAGCGAAUUAUAGAGGGUGACUCAAACCCCACAUAUAUUCCUAACCUUCUCUGGGGGCCCAUCUUAGUACGUUGAGGUGGUGCAAUUGACACAUGUACAACACAUCCAAAAAUUCGUAAAUAAAAAAUAUUUGAUUCAUGGCGCAAAAUCAAUUGAAACGGGAGUAUUUAUUAUAAUGAGUUGGCCUGAGACGAACAAGUGAUGUUGUAUGUAAGAUAGCAUGACCCCAAACAAUAGUAGGCAAUUUUGUUUUCAUAAGCAGUGGUCUUACUAUCAAUUGUAGGCGCUUAAUAAAUGACUCAGCAAGGCCAUUUUGAGUAUGAACAUGAACAACAAGAUGUUCAACUUUUAUCCCAACUGACAUGCAAUAAUCAUCAAAAACUUGGGAUGUAAAUUCUCCAGUAUUAUCUAGGCGAAUAGCCUUAAUAGGAUAAUCUGAAAAUUGCGCCCUUAAUCUUAUUAUUUGUGCCAAUAAUUUCGCAAACGCUAGGUUGCGAGAUGAUAAGAGGCACACAUGCGACCAUCUUGAAGAUGCGUCUAUUAGGACCAUAAAAUAUUUGAAUGUCCCACUAGGUGGGUGAAUAGGUCCACAUAUAUCCCCAUGUAUACGUUCUAGAAACUGAGGGGAUUCGAUGCUAACUUUCAGUAGCGAUGACUUAGUUAUCAUUUUGCCUUGAUAACAAGCAGCACAUGAAAAUUCAUCUGGUGUAAGAAUUUUCAGGUUCUUUAACUGAUGCCCUUUUUAAUUUCAAUGAUUCGUCUCAUCAUUAUUGAGCCAGGAUGGCCUACUCGAUCAUGACAAAGCACAAAUGUAUCAGUAAACUUCCGGUUUAUGAUAGAGUGUGCUUCAAUUGUACUAAUUUUGGCAUAGUAUAAGCUGGAAGACAAAACUGGUAAUUUCUUCAACAUUUGUUUUUAACCUGAGACAUUCUUUGUAAUGCCAAGAUAUUUGGCAUUCAUUUCAUUUAUUGUCUUAACAUGAUAUCUAUUUCUGCGAAUAUCUUUAAAACUCAAUAAGUUUCUUAGGGAUUUAGAAGAGAACAAUGCAUCUUCUAUAACUAGUUUUGUCCCCUUAGGCAGAAAUAUAGUAGCUCUUCCGGAGCCUUCGAUCAAUUUUGAAUUACCAGCAAUUGUGUAACAUUUUCUCUUCUUCUGAGUAAGUGAAAAAAGUAUUUUUCAUCUUUAAAUAUUUCAUGUGUUAUCCCACUAUCAACUACACAAAUAUCGUCAUGAUCGAUUAUUGAUCCAAAUACGACUUGAGGAGUAUCCAUGAACAAAAUAAACAUUAUAAUAUAACUAGCACAUAAUAUCAUGCAUUUACACAUUAUUUUAUAUUUUAAUUGCAGUUGUGUUCUAAACAAUUAACAUCUCUAUUACAUAAUAGUUUUGCUAUUACUAACCAUGUGCAUCUAAAGUACACAUAUUUAAUAUUGUAUGUAAUAACAUGAUCUAUUGGCUACUCAUGUUAAUUUCAUAAUAUGUCUUCUAUGAAUAUUCAUUACUGCAAUAAAUAAUUCCAGUCAUAAUGUUAAAAUAAUUUAUGUACUAUAACAUUAUAUAAAUAGCUCACACUGUAAAAAUUUCAUGUGCGUACUACAAAACCAAAAUUACUUAGUGAUCAUAAUACUAUACUAUGGCACUAGCACAUAAUAUAUUAUAUAAACUUUAUAAGAUUAUUAAAAUAUUAAUAAUUGAAACGUAAAUUAAUUUUAACUUAAACAAACAAAAGAAAAUAAACUAAUACAAACUUAACAGAAAAUUAACAUAAUCGGAUUAUAUCAUUAUUAUCACCUACAAAGUGAUUUACUUGUUCUUCAGGAACUGCAAAGAAAUCUGACAUUUUCAAGUCCAUAGGCUCAACAUUAUCUUCUAGGAGGAAGUUUGUUUCAACAUCAUUUUCUGGCCUUUUCAGGGACGGCUGAUAUUGUUUUACCGGAUGCUUAGGCGUAUGACAGGCAUGCUCCCAGUGCCCCUUUCCUCCACAUCGAUAACAUCUACUUUCAGGGUUCGUCCUUGGUGCUACUUCAGGAGCUUUACCCCUCUUUUUGCACAGCUGGUGUUGAGGAUUGUUGUUUAUUGUAAGGCGAUUACCCUGAUUGAAAUACCUGUCACAACCACGACCAUGAUCAUGACCUCGACCUUAACCUCGACCACGACUAGGGUCAGGAUUUCUUUCACUCCAAGUUGGAUGAAAAUUUACAGCAUUCACUUCUGGAAAUGGAGCAGUACCAGGAGACCGAGUUUCAUUAUUUUUUAUUAAAAGGUCAUUAUAUUGUUCAGAAAAAGAAGAUGACCAAUUAAUUCAGAAUAUUUUUUUAAACCCAUUUCUCGAUACUGCUGCUGCAGGAUCAUACUCGAGGAGUGAAAAGUAGAAAGUGUUUUUUCUAUCAUGUCGUGAUCUGUGAUCUUUUCGCCGCAUAAGUCAUACUGCGAUUUAAUUCUAAACAUCGCAGAAUUAUAUUCAGUUACAUUACGAGCUUGUGGGAGUAUGACCAUCUUCAGGUGGUCAUAUCUUUCCUUUAAAUUGUUCUACAAUGUAAGGGGAUCUUUGAUCUUGAGUUACUCCAUUUUUAACCCUUCGUCAAGAUGCUGACGAAGAAAUAUCAUGGCCUUGGCCUUAUCUUGUUCUGACGCCUUAUUAUUAUUUUAAUGGUGUCUGUCAGACCCAUUGCAUUUAAAUAUAUUUCUGCGUCUAGGGCCCAGGACAUAUAAGUUUUGUCAGAUAUGUCUAGGGCAUUAAAAUCCCGUCUGAAAAUAUUAAUCAUUAUUUAAGAAAAUAAAAUACUAACCUUUAAAUACCCUCGGAAUGAUUUUAUAGAGGCUUGUGUUGAUAACGUGAUAUAAAAUUAUAAAAGGGAAGGAAUGAAACUAGAGAAAACUUGUAUUAAUCUUUUCUUCUUUUUUGUACCAAACUUUCAGCAAAUGUAAGGCUAUUUAUAGCCAUAAUAAUCAAUUAAAUAAGAUUAUCUAUUCCUUAGUGGUAGAGUAUGAAUUGGCACAAAUUGCUCACAAAUCAAUUAUUCACUUAAAUAAAAUUGUCCACUUAAAUAAAAGAUAGAUAAAAUGGCCUACAUGUCAUCCAUUUACAACAAUCUGGAGAUUUUUUAUGAACUUAAUAUGGUAUCAGAGCUUAGAAAUUGAAAAUGUUUUGCCGCAAUCUUCACAUGUUGUGAAGGAUUUGAGUAUUUCUCGCAUACAUUUUGCAAUUUGCAAUGUUUUUUUUGUGUGUGUAUUUUGAUUUGCAAUUUGUAAUUAAAUGAAAGAUAGUGUACUUUUUUCUGACACUUUUAAUAAGAUACAAAUAAUGCAACAUAAAAGAUAAAUUCUUUGAAUAAAUAAUUUUGUAAAAUGAUUAAAAUACCCUCAAUCUUUAAUUCAGUUCCUACAAGUUAACAUGUUGAAAGUAGCUUUGCUAACGGUCGUGUUAGCAUGGGCACAAUAUUUAAAAAUAAAAUUAAUAAUAUAUUUUUAUCAAAAUAAUAAUUUAAAUAAAUAUAAAUAAAAUAUGCAUCAUCUAUUUUGAUUUAAAUAUAUACAUAGCCUAUUGAUGUUCUAAAUAAAUUUAAAAUUCUCAAUUAUCUAUAGAUAUAGUAAUCACCGAGGAAAGGUGUUAUUUAGUUUUAUAGUUGAUUUUAGGGAUAUUACGAACUGAUAUAAUCAUACCAGAUUAGUUUUUAAGACUCUUUAAUUUAAAUCAUAAGUACGUUAGGUUUUUAAUUUAGAAAAAUGAAUUAAAAAAAUUGAAUUGAUCGAAUAAAUUUAUAUGAAUGUAAUGUGUUUUAUAUAUUAAGUUUAGCGUAAUGAAUAUUAAAAAUUUUAUUUUGGAUUUGAGGUAGUGAAAAUGAGUAGAAGCUACUGAAUAAUUAACAUUCAAAAUUUCAAUUGAAAAAUAACUCAUAAAAGUAGUAUAUUUAAUCAAAUUAAGUACAUCUAAAUUUCUAUCACCAUAUAUACACUCAUUUAAUUUCUGAGACCAUUUGGAAUUAGCAGUAAGAUAUAGGUUUCCUUAAUUUGAUUUUAUUAUUCGGUAUCUAAAGUUUACUGACUCUAAUUUAGGUUCAAACUUUAACUCAUAGAUAAUUAGGACUUGUCUAUUUUAGCAGUGGCGGAGCCACAGCCAACGAAGGGUGGUCAGAUGAACACCCUUCGUCGGAUAUUUUUUCGAAUAUAUAGGUUAAAUAUAGACAUUUAUAGUUAUAUACAUGUUGUUGCACACCCUUGACAAGCUAGAGAAGCAUAGUCCAGUGGUCAAGAGUGUGCAUUUCAGCAUUAACAACUCGGGUAUGAACCUAGACAGGUGCAACGGUGUUUUAUUUUCUUUAUUUUUUAAACAGUUCUUUGCCCAAGGGAAAAUAUGAAUACUCUUAAUCAAAAGUCUGGCUCCGCCACUGUAUUUUAGAGAUACUUGGUGAACUUUUGUUUAAUUAUUUUUUCUCGUCACUACUUGAAGUUGUGGGUUUCCUUAGUACAUAGCAAGACAAAGGAAACAGUUAUAAACAAUUGUUUAACAUUGCUAACGGUUGCAUUAACACUUUGCGCUUUGCCAUUUAAAAAAAAAAAGAAAUCCACAAUGCAUUGAUGUCUUCUACAAUGUAUUGACGUCUUCAAUUACAAAGAAGAGUUGCUUAGAUGGCCUUAAAUACCCUCCAUCUACAACUUGUUGGGUUCGAAAUCGUGAGGGCGUCAUGCGAAAGCUUAAAAUUUGUAAACUAAUAUGGUGAUAAUUCAGAUGACACAAAGCUAAACUAAAAAGCAUUAUAUUGUUGAUGUGAUUUGGCCAAUGAGCCUACAUAUUAUAAAACCUAAUAAUUAAAAAACACAAAAACUAAUGACAGAGAAAAUCUCCCCUAACCAAAACUCUUAAACACAUUGUGGAUUCUACUGUAUUUUUGUAUGAGAAGGAGACUCUUCUAUUUAUAGAGUUCCAAAAUCUUUCCUCUUUAGAACGAGUUUUUCCAAAUAUGAAAAAGUUUUAUAUUUUUCUUUUAGAAAAAGUAAAAGUAAUUAUGAUAUUACUUUUAUUUUCCUUCUAAGAAAAUAAAACUUAAAUUUGGUAAGAAAAUCAAGGCAAAAACCCUAAUAAAUCUCUCCUUUUUGGCUUAGUUUUCUUGACUUGUUUCUCCUUCUUCAUGUCAUAUGCAUAAUUUUGAUCCUUCACAUAAUCUUUAUUUAUCUCUGUAGUUUGUCAUGCUUAAAAAAUUGAGCCUUUUGGGGUUAAAAUAUAUCAGCUCUUUUUGAGUUAAAAGUAUUGGAACUCUUUUGCAGGGUUAAAAGUGAGCUUUCUUUUUAAAUAUGUGACAGCGGGAUUAUUGAAAUAUGAUUGACAAUUGUCUCCACGUGUAGUUAGACAAAAUCGUCAUUAUCGCCAAAUUGGUUGCAUCUUCAUUUGAAACUGCUUUGAACUUAUUUAAUCUCGUUUCACCAAACUUUUGGACCUUUAAAUCGUAGUCUCUGAUAUCACUUGUUGGGUUCAAAAUCGAGAGGGAGUUAUGCGGAAGCUUAAAGUUUGCAUCCUAAUAUGGUGAUAAUUCAGAUGACACAAAGCUAAACUAAAAAGCAUAAUAUUAUUGGUAUGGUUUGGCCAAUGAGCCUACAUAUUAUAAAACCUAAUAUUUAAAAAACAUAAAAACUAAUGAGAGAGAAAAUCUCCUCCUAACCAAAAAUCUUAAACGAUUACAUUGUACAUGUUGUUGUGUUAUGGUAUGAGAAGGAGGGUCUUCUAUAUUUAUAGAGUUCCAAAAUCUUUUCUCUUAGAACAAAGUUUGCCAAAUAUGAAAAAAAAUUUAUAUUUUUCUUCCAAGAAAAUAAAGAAAAAAUAAUUAUGGUAUUACUUUUGUUUUUCUUUAAAAAAAAAUAAAACUUAAAUUUGGUAAGAAAAUUAGGGAAAAAACCCUGACACAACUCUAAGAUUGUGGGUUCUAAGUCACUAGGAUACCUAACAAUCAGGAAUAUUACUUACUAAUAUUUGGUAUUAUUACAUAAAAUGUAAUAAGGAUCCAUGAAGAGAAUUAGGAUUUUUUUUACCUCUUCCUAGAAGUUUCUAUCAUUUUCGCUUUUGUAAUGAUCUAAUUUGUGAAAUUUUACUUUUUAUGUAUUAACUGUUUUACCUUUCCCGUAGUUGUUACAUGCUUAUUUUGGGGUGUAGAAAUGAUUGACACGGUUAUCAAUGGCUCCGAGUUGGUUUAGGGAGAGUUUGAGACUUUUAGAGGCUUUUAAAGCUACUAGUUUGACUUUGAUCAAUAUUUGAUAUUUAGAGUCCCGAAUGAUGAUUUGGAUAGUUACAUUAGAUCUGAAACGUCAAUUUUGGGCUAUUAGUGGAGUUGGUUCAGGUUCGGGACCUUUAGUUUACAUUUUGACCCUCCAUUUGGAAACUAGUUUAAACAAGCUUUUAGGGGUUUCAAAUGAUCCUUUUUCAAAAUUUUGACGUUGCUACUAAGUUCGUUUGAUUUUACAGGAUUUCAGAUGAAUCCCAAGGGGUCAAUCGCCAACUUUGCAAAAUAGAAAAGUUGUUGAUGCAAUUGCUUUAGUGGUAGUCGCUAUAGCGGCAAUGCAUCCCUUUAGCGAUCACUUUGACCAGCAAUGCUAAAACGGUUACUUUACCACUUUAGUGGGUGCCGCUUUAGUGAUGGAGGACCACUUCAGCAGAGCCAGCCCCGGUGGCUAGGCCGCUUUAGCGGAUCCAGCCAUGGUUGUUAAGCCGCUUAAGUGGUGACUACUUUAGCAAUCAUCUAGUUGCUUAAGCUGUCAAUGUUGGAAAAGUAUAUAUAAUUUAUUUUUGCAAUUUUUCUCCAUUUUUGGACCUCCAAGUCUCAAAAAAAGUGAUUUUCUUGGGUUUCUUCAUCACUUUUCAUGUGGGUAAUCUCUAAAAUCAUUUUUUUCAUUAUUUACUAUUGAUUAUGUCUUUGAAAACACCUUUUAACCUUGAUUUUGAAAUGAAUUUUUGAAAUUUUAUCGGUAAAGCUUGUAUUAAUUUUUCUUUGAAUCGAACAUCAUUUUUAACUCAUUUUCGCGUGGGUUUUCAGUUGUAGAUUCCUAUAACCUUAGGGAAUAUGUUUCUAAAAGAAAAUUUCAGUUUUACCCAUUUUCUUUUCUAACCUAUUUCUGAACCCUAUUUUGAACCCGUCUUAAAAAUAAGCAUUAUGGAUAUCAUUAGUUUUCUUUUGACCCGUAGGUGUUACCUUUGUAUGUUUUAGUUGUUUUUGAGAUCGUUUGAAAGAGAAAGGCUCCAUGCUGAAGAACCCUAGGUGAAAUAUCGAUGCUUCGAGGUAGGUUAUGACUGUUGACACCUAAUGUUUGCCCUCCACAACUAAGUUUAGUCCCGAGUUUCUUUGAAAUUUAAAUAAAAUCACAACAUUUAUUUUAUCCAGAUAAAAGCUCUCCAAAGUAUUUAUCUAGGUAAUUUUGUCAUUUUAAAGGACGAUUAUAUAUUUUUCAUAUUCAAUUAUACAAAAUCAUAUAAUUUUGUUACUUAAAUAUAUAUUCUAUGGAACACAGGAUUUUAAUCAAGUCUAUCAUGAUAAUUAGUUCAAAUGAUUAAGACCUUAGUUUAAUUGUAAUUUGUGCUUGAAAAUAAUUUAUUUUAAAAAAAAUAUUUGGUUGAUUUUAUUAAACCAGGAACUCAAAAUUAAAUUGGUUUAUAAUUCAUAUAAAAUUUUGAUUCAAUUUAGCCGAUUCAUUGAAUUGAGUAAUAUCCCAUGUAAUUGACUAUUUUUGUAAAAAUAAAUUCAAAUCCUAACCGCCACUCAAUUAAUUAGCUACUAGCCCACUCCAGCAGGCCCAAUCAACACCCGUCCUAAGCCCACUCCAUUCUACUGACCCAACCCACUUCAGCCCAACACCCUAUUUCCCCUCUUCUCCUUCAAACGAACAGCAACAAUACGCACAACAGAGAAACAACAAACAGUAACUCCAAAAACCCGAUCCCCACCUUCAAACCGCCCUCCCCCCAACAACCCAAACGUCGUUGCGACGUAAAGGGGUGUGCGUGGAAAAAGCUGGAAGCCACUAGAACCUUCUAGAAAGGUACUAGGUGGCAGCCAGGUCAUUGGUCAAAGAAUAUUCCGUAAAAAAUUCCCGCCAUGGAGUACAUAUAUUGCUCUAUUUCAAUUAGGGCUGGAUAUAUUUUGAUUUCGUUUUUUUGUUUUUUCGAAUCGAUUUCGAUUUCAAAUUUUAGAAAUGUAGUUAAAAGUUUCAACUUUUGUUUUUUUCAAUUUUUUUUUGAUUUAACUGAUAAAUUGAAAUUAUAUAAAUAAUAUAUAUAUUUAUUAUAUAUAUAAAUUAUAUGUAUAUUUUUUAUUUUAUAUAUUCAGUAUAAAUAUUAUUUUUUGGCUAUUUCAUGUUAUUUCAUCCUUGUUGAGUUGUUUAUAUUUGGAAAUGAAAAAAAGAUUUGAAAAAAAUAUUUUUUUUUAAAAAAAAAAUCACUAAAUUUUAAUUCCUAGUCAUGACAGAAAAAACUCACUACUUUAAUCUUCAAAACUGAAAUAAAAUUUUGAAAUAACCGAACCAAAUGUAUAGAAGCCGAACCAAACUAAAUUUAUUUUGGUUUGGUUACGGUUGUCAUUUUCGACAAUCAAAAAUAAAAAAACUAAAUCAAUACUAAAUAAUUAAAUCGAAUAAGCUGAAUGUCCAAUAUUCCUGAUUUCAAAUUUUCUUCCAGAAAUUCAAAAUUGAGUACAAGAAUGACGUUGCAAUUUGUCCAUAUCUAAAAAUUCAAAAUUUCCCUUUAAAUAAUUCUCAAAAUACUCCCGAUUUCCUUUUUGUCCACAUCGGUUGAGCUAAAAAAAUCGAUCCUAUUUUUUUAUUUUUUUGUUAUAAAUAGCUCACUUUAGAGCGAAAUUGGCAAGUCUGAAGAGAGUACGGAAAAGCUUUUUUUGAGAAAACAAGUAGUAAAUUUUUGAGUAAAGGCCCAAAAUCAUACAUUAUUUUUAUUUUAAACACAAAAUAAUACAUAUUCUUUCAACUGGUGCACUAAUAGUCCUUUUGUUUUAAAAGUGGUGCAUUUUUAGUCAUCACUCGAACACUGUUAAUUUUUUUUUAACAUCAACCAAUUACCUUUCUAUCACACUAUUUUUUUUCCUCCAAAGAAAAACUCACCUGCAAAAUGUUGCUGACAAGGGCUUGAAUCAAUUUGAGUCUUGAAGUGUCACUAGUCACUAUGAUUUUUAUUUAGUCAUAAGGGCAUAAGUUCUUGGGGUUCUCAUGAGUUCAUGGACUGAAUGCACAGUCAAUGAGGGAGGAAAAAAUAUAUUCCCAUAAACACAAGAACUUCGAGAUCAGCCUCUUCACCAACAGCUGGCCGACGAGGACGAACCAAGUAUAUUUGGGUUGCACACCAUAAGCAGUAUAAGAAAGCAAUUACCAACAUCAGCUUGACAGAGUUGAAACUCGUAACUUGAGCAGUUUCAGUGGCUUCACAUUGCAAGAUAGUUGCGACCCAAAAAUAACACGUUAACGACAGAGCAAGCAAUUGAAACGAAAGUAAAAUAUCAUUGACUAAUCCAUCAGUAAAACCUACUUUUUAUGAUGAUGUUCCUAUCUCAAAUUCUCUUCAAGUGGAACAUUUCACAAAUAUGACAUUUAAUCACCUCAAAGAAGUUAAAUUGGAAGGUUUUGUAGUCUAAGAGCCUGAUUUGCAGCGUAUAAAACUUCUCUUAGCCAAAAUCUUCGAUGCUGAUGAAAAUUCUAACUAACCUCUACUAACCUGCUGAAGAAUCUGGCAUCGCCUAACAUAAAAGUUGACGUCAUCUUUUAUCUUCAUGAGUCUUAUCAGACCAUGAAAUUAAUAGAUUGAAACAAUUGUUGAUGUAGUGAUACAGAGAAGUCUGAAUUGUUAAUGCAGUGUCGAUACCUCAAGGCUUAUUUGAUGUGUUUUUGCAUUGAUUUUCCUUGCCUAAUGGUGCUCGUGUUUACUUAAUAUGAACGUGAGGAGGCUGCUGUUAAAAAAAUUUACAGUGUUAGGGUGAUGACUAAAAAUGCACUCAGUUUUUAAACAAAAAAGAUUAAUAGUGCACUAAUUAAAAUAAUAUAUAUUAUUUUAUGUCUAAAGUAAACAUAAUGAAUGAUUUUGGGCCUUUACUCUAAAUUUUCUUUUAGUAAUUUAUUUAAAAAAAAAAAACAUCAGCUAAUCGAGAUUCUCAAAGUUUCAAAGCUUUCCAAUGGUGGCGGAUUCCAAUGAGGCUUGAAGUUCGGUUUUUCUGCCCUAAAAAAGAUAAACACACUUUUUUCCUUUUAAUUUUGUUAUCAUUUUCUUCUUCAUCUCUUUCUCUGUAGCAAUAGUUGUGUAGUCAUAAUCGUGAUAAUGCUGGGAUUGCUUGUUGUAGAUGGCUACAAUUGCCGUAGGAUUUGAUUGUAUUGGUUGUUAUUAUGUUGUUUGCUGAAUCAAUAUUUAUUUUGUUGCUUACGUUUCGGUUACUUUGAACGCACUGUUUCAUGUUAAUGGUGUUGAUUAGUUGCAGAUUUUUAAAGUAAUGAAUGAAUUCAAUGUCUCAUGUUACUGGUGAUAAUUAUUUGUAAGUUUAUAGUAUGAAGCUGCAUAUAUCAUGGAAUUUUUGUCUUUCCUUGUCUUGUUCACUAUCUUUGAUUUAAUAACUUUCGUUGCGAGAUAUUAUGUCACUGUCUAGCCUUAACGUUGUUUGAUGAAAGUUGAAUGUAUAGUUUCUUUUGAUUUAUUUUGAAUUGGAGUUGGAUAUAUUAAUUUCAUAAUUUUUGUUUUGCUUUCGAAACCACUAUUACACUAAGUUUUGUUGAUCCCCAGCAUGCUAUUUUUAUACUUAAAUAUUAUGAUCUGAUUUGCUAUCUGUUUAGGCUGAAUAUCCUUGUUUUAGUCUAGAUACAUCUUCCUAAGUUUAGUGUAAUUUUGGUUUGCUUUGAUUCCUCCCUUAAUUUUGUUCCUAUUUCAAGGUCACUGAUGGUGGUUUAAUUUACUGUGUUAACCAGAUACAAACUGCCUCCUAAUUCUUUUCUCCUUUAAAGCCAAUAGAGAUAGUGGUUGUAUGUCUGUAGUAAGGUCACGAUCUUAUGAACCCUCAAGGAUCUUUUCUUUGACCCUAGAAAGUUCAUUUCUAGUUCGUCAAAGAGAAUAUGAGGAUGAUUUUGUAGUGUACUCCUCUUGGGAUUAUAAGUUGUAUUUCUCUCUGUGUUAACUAUGUAAAAAAUGUCAUUGUAAAUAAGAUUACUUAUAUGUUCUGCACCUGCAUAACUAUAUUUUAUUUUAGAAAUUGUCUAGCUUCUCUUGCCUUUAUUUUCCUUCCCAAUUUGAUUACCGCACAUAUUCUUGAUCUGCCUGAAAGCGUGAUUUCCUCUUCUCUUGUUGAUUGCAUACUUGUUCCUUCAUUUGUCUUACUGGCCAUGUCGAACUUUGCCCCUUAAAUGUGAACUUUGAUUUUGUCUCGUUGACAAUAUGGUGGACUCAUGUCGUCUAAGUUUGAUGUUAGGCCCUUAUAUUGUCUAUUUGUAACUUGGUACAAAAGUAAGAUUUUCAAGUUCGUUUAUUUUGUGAUGAUUAUAGUGAUUGUUCAUUAGUAUUUUUAUCUUGAUUGGAUUUUGGCUCAUGGGCCUAAAGUUUUAAGGUUUCGUAAGGCUAUUUAUGUAAGAAAUGAUGUUCUAUCUUGUUUAAUGAGGUGGUAAAAUCAGUCAAUUUGAAUAUUAUUUUUUUAACCUAUGUUUCCUACCGAUUUGAAGUUUAUCUGCCUCUCCGUAAUGUUUUGCUAGUGUGUUGUAUUGAUAGUUGUUGAUUCCUUUAUCUGUGUUUGCUUUCGAUUAUCUAUUACUUGGCUUCAAGAAUCGUGUGAUAUAGCCGAUCACUUUCUAAUCCUUGAUGUCAUUUCUCAUUUUCAGAAGCAAAUACUGUAUUUUUCGCAUUUUCUGAGUUGCAUUUAGAUGCUCUACACUUAUGACACUAGAUGUUUGAGGCUUUAUGGUGUAUCAUUCAGACUUCCGUUUUACGUAUAUAAAUUGACUUGACUUCAUUCUAGAAGUCUCGUUUGUCUUAUUCUAAUUGCAAUUCUUGAUUUUCUUUCGAUUUUAGGAAAUCCGCUUACUCAUCAGGGCUGGGUCUCGGUGAGUAUCAUCAGGACCUCAACUUUUGAAUCUUGACAUCUUCACCGAUGAUUUUAAGUCAUUCUCAAAACUGAAGGUGGAGGGUACUUAUCAUCCGAGCAAUCCCCCUAUUAUCUUGAUGGGAUAUGAUUUAAAAACUAAGUUGUCCCGUCAAACUCACUACCUCAAAAUUGAAAGUCAGCGAUGCUUACCAUCCGAGCAACUCUCUCUUGGAAUGUUUUUCCUAUUCCCUUGGAUAUAAUCAUCUUUUUUGACCUGAGAAUUAGUGUCUGGAAGAGAGAAACCAAAGACGCCUGGCAAAUAUAUUUGAUUUUAGAUAUGGUUCAAUCUUUUAAUAGGUACAUUAUAUCCAUGACACUCAAGAGUGUCGGACUAAUUAUUGACCAAACAUAUUCUUUCUUCUUGAUACACAAUCAUUAAACUAAUUUUUAUAUAUUUUUCUUUUAACAACUAAAUGAAAUCUAACAGUUAAAUAUCAGUAUACACUGUACAUAUAUAUAACAACAUUCCACUAUAAUAAUCAUGAAAUUUUCAGACUAACCUCUAUUACUAUAUUUCUUGGUUUCAUGGUAUACUUUCAAUGUUUCUAUUGACUCGAUUAAUAGAUUUUAGUUUGAUCCAGAAUUUUAUAAUGUGAGUUUUCUCUACCCACAUGGAAUAUUGAGAGAUAUAUGUUAAAGUUGAUCUGACCUUCAUGAGGAAGUGAACUCCUGGGAAGCUAAGAUGCUUAUUUUAGAUGACUUGGAUCUUCAAAACAACAAUGAACAACAGAGAGAAGAGCUGAACAAAGGAUAUGCAGAAUAUGUAAGAUGGUUGGGUCUACAAGACAACUUGUUCAGACAAAAGACACAAAUAAAUUAGUUCAAAGAAGGUGACUAUAACUCAAAAUACUUUCAUAGUAUUCUGAGAAAUAGAAGAAGGAAUGUCCAUAUGUAUUCUAUUAAAAACCAUAGGAACAUUUGGAUCCAAGGAGAUGAUAAGAUAGCAAAGGCUGCUAUCAAUCACUACAAAGAUUUCUCUAACCUGAGGCAACAUACCUAUAACAGUUCCAUUCUGAAUUGUAUUCCUAAUAUUAUCAACAGAGAAGACAAUGAGUAUCUUUCAAAAAUGCCAGAUGAAGAGGAGAUUAAGGAUACUGUCUUCAGUAUGGGUACAGAAAGCAGUGCAGGGCCUGAUGGUUUUAAUGGCAUGCUCUUUUAGUAUUGUUGGGAUAUUAUAAAGCAUGACAUUGUUGCUUUUGUCACUGAUUUCUUCAAGGGUAAAGGACUUACCAAAUUCUAUACUCACACUUGCUUAACAUUAAUCCCUAAAGUGGAUUCUCCUUCUACUUUUAAUGAGUUUAGGCCUAUUAGUCUUAGCAAUUACACCAACAAGAUUAUCUCCAAAUUGGUAGCUAGAAGAUUGAACCCUCUUCUUAACAAAUUGGUCUCUGAUAAUCAAAGUGAUUUCGUGUCCGGGAGAUUAAUUACAGAAAAUGUUAUGCUUGCCCAAGAGAUCAUUCAUGAUAUUGCUAAACCUAAUCAGGGAGGAAAUAUGGUGAUCAAACUUGACAUGGCAAAGGCAUACGAUAGGUUAUCCUGGUCCUUUCUUUUUAAUAUCCUGCAUAAAUAUGGUUUCAGUAGUGACUGGAUAGACCUUAUCAAAAGGCUCAUUUCUAAUGCCUGGUACUCAAUCCUAAGAAGUGGUACCAGACAUGGAUUUUUCCGUUUCUCUCAAGGGCUCAAACAGGGGAUCCCAUAUCCCCUUCCUUAUUUAUCUUAGCAGCCGAGGUUCUUUCAAGAUCUCUGAACAACUUCAACAAUGAUAACAAGUUUAUCCCUUUCUCCAUGAACAAAAGAGGGCCUCAAAUUAAUCAUUUAGCUUACGUAGAUGACAUUGUCAUAUUCUCCAGUGGUAAUACAAAUUCAGUUAAGAUGAUUAUGAAGCAAAUUAAGAGAUACGAAAAGGUUUCUGGUUAAAAGGUCAACAAUGACAAGAGUUUCUUUUUAACAUACCCCAAGACUAGUCCAUAUAGAAUCAAUAGAUUGAGACAAUGCACUGGCUAUAUGGACAAGUCAUUUCCUUUUUUAUUUGGGUUGCCCUCUGAAUUAUAGUAGAAAAAAAGUAAAAUAUUUUGAUGGUAUGGUUUCGAAGGUAGUUAAGAGGAUGAACGGUUGGCAAGGUAAGAUGCUCACGUACGGGGGAAGAUCCGUACUUAUUAAGAGUGUCCUUCAAUCUCUUCCGACUUAUACUCUCUCUGCACUUAACCCUCCUAAAGCCACUCUAAAUAUGAUUGAGAAACACAUGGCCAGGUUUUACUGGGGUUCUACAACUGAGAGGAGAAAGUUUCACUGGAGCUCUUGGACUAAUUUAUGUCAUCCAAAAGAUGAAGGAGGUAUAGGUAUUAAAAGGCUGGUUGAUAUCUCCAAUACCCUGGCUAUCAAAAGGUGGUGGAGAUUGAGAACGAAAAACUCUAUUUGGGCUGAUUUUUUGAAAAACAAGUAUUGCGCUAAUAAACAUUUGGUUCAAAAGAAAUGGAUGUCGGGUAACUCUUAAGGAUGGAAAAGUCUUGUAUGGGCCAGGAAUAUUGCAGAAAACCAUGUCAAAUGGAACAUCAAUAGUGGAAAUUGCAAUUUUUGGUGGGAUAGAUGGACAAAUUUCGGCACUUUGGCUCUUAUUCCUUCUAUCUACUGUGAUGGGCUUUUUGCCAAAUUGUGUUAAAGAUUUCAUGUUGGAUAGAAAAUGGGGUGAAAGAAUUUUGUCUUGUGUUCUUCCUACAAACAUUGUUCAAAGUAUUAUGCACAUCAACAUUGGGCCAAAUGACCAGGAUGAUGAUCCUAUUUGGAUGUGUACUGCAGAUGGUCAUUACUCUAAUAAAACCGCUUGGAAUUUGGUGAGAAAUGUGAAGUCAAAAAAUGAUUUUAUGCAAAAUCUGUGGCAUAAGUCUAUACCAUUUAAGAUAUCUUUUCUUGCUUGGAGAUUAUGCCAAGGGAAACUUCCUUUUGGUGAGGUUGUAUCUAGAUCUGGACAACAUUCUAAUGUUGAAUGCUACUGCUGCACAAAUCCUGUAACUGAUUCCAUCCAACACACCUUUACUCAAGGGAAUGCUGCUAUGCAUAUUUGGAAAUAUAUUGGUGCUCCUCUGGGAAUAAUCCAUCGGCCAGGACCUAUAAGAAGAAUUUUCAAUAAUUGGUGGAGUGUUACGAACAAAAAUAGUGUACACAGCAUGAUCAUUCAUAUUGCCCCUAUAUUUAUAUGUUGGGAAAUCUAGAAACAAUAGACAAAUUGUAAAUUUGGGGAUCAAAACAAGAUGUACCACAAGAAGAUGGAGUAUCGAAUAAUAUGGAAUAUUACUGCUGCCCUCAACAUCACUUUCCCAUCAGUAACCGUAACAGGAAAUUGGCCCAACAUGUGUGACACUUUUGAAAGAUUGCAACCUAAGGUCAAUGUCAAACAAGUUAUUUGGCAAAAACCAGAAGUAGGGGACUACAAAAUUAAUGUCGAUGGUAGCUACAACAAGGACACAGGACAAGCAGGUAUCAGAGGCAUAGUUAGAGACAGCAAUGGAGACUUUGUGAUGGCUUUUUCAAAGGUAGUGCAUUGUACCAGUAAUAACCAAACGGAAGCUACAGCUGCUAGAUUUGGGACUCAAUGGUGUGUGCAGAAGGGUCUUAAUAGUUCCGUUAUAGAAAUGGAUUCGAUGGUGAUCAUCAACAUGCUGAAAAACAAAGGUAUCGCUAAUCUCAAUCUGAAGAAGAUCAUUUAUGAUACUAACAAUAGUGUUAAAAAUGCCAAUGUCGAUUUCAACCAUUGCUACCGAGAAGCUAAUGUGGUAGCAGAUUACUUUGCUAAAAUGGCCUCUACUAUUGGAAAUGAAACCUUUUUUUACUCUUGGCAAUCCCUUCACCAAGAGAUCAAAGGUUAAUUCAACUAGACAAGCGACAAUUACCUUAUAUGAGGAGAAAAUAUGAAAAAUGUAAUUUCUUUGUAAGUUGAUGUUUAUAUGCUUUGGUAGAGAAGGAGAUUGUAUAGGCUACUCCUUCCUCACUCUUUUUAGUGGAUCUUUUAAAGAUGGAAUCUGUUGGUUAGGGGUAAGGUCCAUGUCCCCCUUAACAAGCUUCUCGUUGAUUAAUAGACAUGGUAGGGGUCAAGCCUAACCCCCUCACCAAAGGCACCACAACCUGAGGUGAUGGCUUAUUUUAAAAAAAAAAAAAAUUACUUCUCCACUUCAUUGUUUUUACAUUAAAAAACAUGGAGGAAGACUGACCCCCCCGGGGGGGGGGGGGGGGAGGGGGUUGAACAACAAGCUCACCAUGCAUUUUGACUUGCUUUCUUGUGGGAAAAUAAAUACUCACAUAAAUUUGGUGGAGGAUUCAGAAUUCUCAUUAAGAAUGUUAGAAAAACAAAAAAAUAUACUUGACAUUUUAACUGGGAACCUCAAAUUGAAUUUCUAAUUCCCUAAAUCACUAAACCAACGUGUAGUCUUGUAUUGAGGGGAUUCGAUAUGUAUAUUUAUACACAAAAAAAAUUACCUUACAUACAAAAUGUUAUUUUUUGUCGAGGGGUCCAGGAUAACACCCCGAACCCCCUAGAUCCAACCCCUGUACACAGAAAGAUGUGUGUCUUCACUCCACUCCACCCCAUACUUCCAUCUAAUAAAAGUGGCUACUUUUCCUUUAUUCAUCUACUUGCUUCCUCACAGCAAUAGGAAUUCUAACAAAAUGUUUGCCAUCACUCCAUGCCAAACUUCCAAAGGUAAAUUUACCACUUCUUUGGUGAGUAGAUGUGAUCUUUACCUUAAAGGAGAUCUUCUUUGUCUUGGCAUUAAACUUCAAGACAUCUGGAGUUACUUUAAUAGCAACGUUUCUCGGAGGUUUAACCACUAAUUUGUAUAUAGAGUUAACAUUUCCAACAUUAGUAACAGUUCUCUUGAUAGUAACUGAAUCCUUGAGAUUUGGAAUUGAUAUUGAAGGGAGAUUCAUAUCCAACCUUGACGGUACUACUUUGGGACACACAAUGCCUGCUGAAGAAGUAGAAUUUUUCUUGUCUGAAUAAUACGUAGUUACAUUGUAAACCCUAUCAUAACUAUAGCCCAAACUGCAAAGAUAAUUCGAAUAAUCAUUUUUCUCCAUAUCAUAAAUUAAACCAGGAUCUGCUGCUCCAUUUGGAUUGCAUAUGCCACCUCCAAAGUCAAAUGGAUCAGCAAAAUCUCCUCCAGUUCCUUCUGAAAAAAUUUCAGCUUUAUAUGUAUCCUCGUUCCAUGCUACACAGUUCACAGAAAAUUUCAAUCAGUAAAUACAUAAACAAAAAUGUUGAAAAGAAGGAAAGACUAUAUAUUUUGCUCAAGAAUUUAGUUGAUGUACGAUAGCAUUGUAAAACCUUUUGAGCAUGAUGGGAUUAAUUAAUUAAAGUGAUGUAUAACAACAUGAAAUACUAAUUUAAGUUUAAUUUGGUAGUAAGCAACCUUGUUAUAACUUAUAAUAUGUUAAAAUAUAUUAGUAGUGUAUAAAUAAUAAAUGUAAGGUAAAUCAUUUUGUCAAUGUGUUGACAGUAUUUGUGUUCUUUUAUGUUAAAUUAAUGUAUAGCAAUGAGAACUUUUCAUAUAGAAUUCGCUAAGGUAAUUUAGUAUACUAUAAUAAGUCGAAUUGUGCUAUUAAUGUAUAGAAUUUAAAUUUAUAAGAUAUUACCUGUUGUCAUGAGUGCAGACUUAAUAGCUGUUGGAGAUCAAUUAGGAUGUGCAGCUUUGAGGAGUGCAACAAUUCCUGCGACAUGAGGGGCUGACAUGGAUGUUCCUGACGCGAGUUUGAAUCCAUUGUAUCCUCCAGCAGCAGGUGGAAAUGCUGCGAAUAUAUUAACACUAGGAGCUGCAAUAUCAGGUAAUAAUAUUUAAGUAAAAUUUAUAAAUCACUUAAAAAAAUAUAAUAAAAUAAUUCAAUGAGAGAAUAAAAAUUGUUAAAUCAUUUUAUAUUUACCUUUAGAAUUUCUGGAGCAAAGGAAUUAGGGCCUCUUGAGGAGAAUCUAGGCACUGUUAUGUAUGUCUUCUUGCCCUUAAGAAUUUUAGUUUGUCCAUAUUUAAUUAUUGGAUCUUGAUUGAUGUUAAAAAUGAUGAAUCAAUUUAGUGAUCUAUAAUAACGCAAGUAAAAAAUUAAAAGUAUUUUGACGUGAUAAAAGUUUUUUUUAAAAUAAAAAAUUCCUUGUUUCUCAGAAAAUAAAUAUUUUUCUCAAUUUAAAAAUUUCCUCUCGCGUUAGUCGGAGAGUGAAUAAUAUUUUUAAGAAAAAUGUUUAUAAAGAUUGAUAAUAAUAUUAGCACCGACUAAUGCUUAGUAAAAAUUAUAAUUACUACUGACUAUUACUAAUAAUAUUUAAGUGUUGGUUUAAAAUAGUGACAUGAAUAUAAGAGUUGAGACAAUUGCUCGUGAUUUCCAUCCAAGAGCAAGGAAAGUUGUUUUUCUUUUUUUCGUAAAAUAUCUUUUCCAUUUUUAAUGACUUGACUUCUAAAAAUAUUUUACCUCAUAUAAGAUAUGGCUUAAAAUAUUCAAAAAUAGAAAAAAAAAAAAAAAAAAAAAAAAAAAAAAAAAAAAAGUAAAAACAAGAAGUAUCAAAAUAGGAGAAAUAUAUGCUUACUUCGAUAUACAAUGUUGAAUAUAGUCAAAAAUUUGAUUUCCUUGCUCAAAAUCAACCAUAAAAAAUGACAUAUUAUUUUGAGAAAUUUGAUUAAAGCCAUUAAGUUGAUCAGCAGGGAGUGUAGCACAAAUAUAAGCCAAAAGUCCUGUUUACUUUAGAUGCAUUACAGACAUUUCUGCGUCGUCUUCCUUUUGAAAGAAAAGUAGUAGAACUUUUCCUUUUAAUCCACUGGCAAUAGACUUAAUGUCUUCAACUCUGCAAUUGGAAAAAAGCAAGCAUUAAUAUAUAUUUGAAAAAUGCCUUUGCUGAGAAGCUAAAAUCGCUUUACCUCUAAAGUGAAGAAUAGGUCUAUGACAUCCUAUCCUCCUCUGACCUCAUUUUUUGGAUUAUAUAGAGUAUGAUGUUGUUGUGCUUUAAGUAAGAAAUAAUUUAUUUUUAAUUAAUAAACUUUAAAAAGCAUUUUUAAGAAACAAUCGAUGUUUGACCAAUUUUUUCUAAGAGUACCUCUCAGUUGUUUUUGUCCAAAGUGUUUUUCAAAAAUAUAUUUUUGGAGAAAAGUAAUUUUUUUUUUUUAGCCUCUAAAAACAAUUUCUACUUAUCAAUCACCAUAAUAUUUAUUUUCUCCUAAAAAAAAUAACGAAACUCCUCUAUAUUUUUUGAAACAAAGAAUAAACUGUUGUAAAGUGCAUUAACUAGACGAUGCAAUAUACAUUUCACUUACUUCGUUACAUUCGCUAAAGUGACCAAAGGAGCAAAGCCGUGCCCCUUCCCUUUAAUAAGUCCCGAAGCCUACAAUCACUCCAAAGGUGUUAAAAUAUGUACUAGUAUAAAUGAUUAUUUGAAUAACAGUUGAUGCAUUUUGUUAUUAUUUAAUAAUUUUAAAAAUUAACUUUAUACAUAAAAUCGAUUUUUUUUAAAGAAGUAAAAUAAAAUUAAAAUCCCAACCUUUGGAGGUUUGUAUUUUUCAAAAUUAGUUUUCUUAAUUGACUGAAGUUUAUUGACCUUUGAUAUGUGAUCGAUUGGGUCUAUUGGGCAAAAAGAUACUCUGUCAAACCAUAUUUAACAUUUUACCACAAGUUUUAAAACUUUUAAUAAAUAUCAAUUAUUUAGGACACCAUCAAUCUCACUUCCAAAGUAACAACUUCUAGCCUCAAAUUUUUAAUACUGAUAUUUGAUAUGAGGCCAGUUUGUUGUUGAUUAUAUUUAAAAAUGUAACUGCAUUAAGUGAAUUAGCUAGAUAAAUUAUUGACAUAUUUUUCUUCAAAAUGAAGUUUUAAGAAAACAAAAGAAUUUACUCGUAUCGUCUUGUUGUUGCCAAGUGUUAAAGGAGUAACAAUUUCUCUAUUGAAACUGCUACUAGCAACACUUAUCACCCACGGAGAAGUAGCACCAACUGUGUAAGAGGUCGGUCCACUAUUUCCUCCACUAGCAAUAAAAGAUCUACCAUACGAUACUGCAUGAAAAGAUCCUAUCCCAAAUAAUGUAUCCUCAUUAAUGUCAGCAUAAUUGACUGCACCACCACCACCACCAAUAGAUAUUGAUAUUACGUCAACUCCAUCUUUUAUAGCAUCAUCAAUGGCGGCAAGAACAUCGAUAUUACUAAUCAUUUCACCAUUUAUACCGUUCCAGACUACCUGUUUAAAAUAUUAUAAAUAAGUAAAAGAAUUAUAUAGAUUCUCUAACAUCUAAAACUUUUAGAUAAGAGCAUCGGAGCUCAACAAAGAAGGUUUUUGGUUUAACUUUCACUAAUUAUCCAUUAUUUAGAUAUGGGGAUUAUUGAACAUUAUGGGUGUUAGGGUUCUACGGCAGUAAAUUUGAUCAUUGAAUUCAUAAUCGACUAUUUACAUUUAUCAUCGGAAGUUUUUAAACUCAAAUUCAAUAUUCAAGUUAAAAUUAUUGAAUUUAGAUGAAUCCAUAAAAUAUACGCUACAUCCAUCAAUAUAUUAUUUAAAAGCUAAGAAUAUUGAUUUGUUUGGUUAAUAAAAAUGGAUAAAAUCUAGAUGAGUUGAAACUAUGAUUAAAUACAUUUAUAAAAUUACUUUAAACUUUUAAUUGAGAAAGAUAACUACACAACCAAUUCAAAAAUGAUACCUUAUAAAUAGCUAACCGUGCAAGUGGUGCUCCUCCUCGUGUUGUUCCCAUAUUAACACCAUGGUAUUCCACAUUGUUAAUAUAAGAACCAGCAGUUGUAUAUGCAACAUGAGUACCAUGUCCGUCAUCAUCUAUUGGUGAUAAGUCAUUAAAUUUUUUAACAAUUGUUUGAUUUAUUUCGAGAUUUUCCAUUGAUCCUUUUACGUACCAACGAACUCCAAUGACUUUUCGAUUACAAUAUUUUGUUGCAGUAAAAUUGCCUUCAGAUUUGCAGCUACCUUUCCAUCGAGAUGGAAUUGGACCUAGGCCUUCAUCAUUAAAAGCUUUCGAAUCAUCUCCCCAUGCAAUCAAUACCUACAAAAUGUUGCUGUUUUUUUUUUUUUUAAUAUUUAACUUCUAUGCACAAAUCAUGUAAAACAUCAUGAUACUUGAAGAUAAUUUUCUAUAUGAUUGUAAGGAGGAAGAAAUAUUAAUAAUUAACUUAUUAUAACUAGAUAAAGUACAUCAAUAAUGUAAAAAUAUAUUUUUACAAUAUUAUUUGUGCAUAAUAUUUAAAUUCCCUUUUGAUAAGAUCAUUAGUUGUAAGACAUAUUUUAUUUAUUUAAGAAAAAAGAACCAAAAAAUGAAAAAAAGAAAAGAAAAGAAAGGGAGACACUAAACCUGAAUCUAUUAUGCCAAUAAUUAUUCCAUCACCUUGAUUUGUUUUGUUCACAAGACUAUUGGGGUCAUGCUUAGAAAGACCCAAAAAGUCCCAACUCCUUGAGGUAUGAGUCUUGUAAAAUUGAUUUGGUAUAACUUGAACCACAUCAGGUAAUUCUGAAGUAUAAUUACAAUACAUAUAUCAACGAAGAGUCAUAUAAUGAAUAAAAUCUUUAAUUUUUCAUAAAAUUAUUUUAUUUCCUUUUUUUAAUAAUUUUUCUGACUAUUAGUUAAGAUAAUUCAAAUACCUCCAAUUUGUUUGGCUUGAGAAUCAGUAAGCUUAGCAGCGAAGCCAGAGAAACCAUGUCUAUAACUAUACAUCAUCAGUUUUUUAGCUUCUUCCUUGCUGCAUGACAAGAAAAUACGAUUUUAAGUUUUAAAUAAUGAAAUAUAUGAAAUAAUAUUUUCGCAAUUUGUAGGGUCAUUAGAGGUAAAUAUUUCUAUGAUAGGCUUUAAUAAUUUUUUUGGUUAAAAUAGAUUCUACUACAUUUCAUUGGUUAAAUUUAUAAAUUUCAUUGCAGCCACUUGACCUAAAAGUUCAUGAUGUGAAUUGGUAAUAAGUUCAUAAUUAUUGUGAGGUUUGUGUCCCAAGUAAACCACGUAAAACUAUAGAUCAAAAGAAUAUCGUCAAAAAACAAAUUAAUCAAUGAGAGAUUAAUAUUCAUUAUGGUCAAUAAACAAAUAUAAGGAGAUUCUAAGCUAACUUCUUAAAUCACGCAUUCCAAUGGUCCAAAAUACUACUCCCUCUAUUCCACUUUAGUUAUUGUAUUUAUCUAAUUUUAAAGUCUAUUAUGGACAAAUGUGGAUUUUGGUUAAUUAUUAUUUUGACACUUAAUUUCAUUGAGUCAUUUAUUUAUCUCCAUAUUACUAUUUACUUGGCUUCUGCAAUGUUAUUAUGAUGAUUAUUGUGCUUUUGAGGUUGGGUUAAGGGGAUGAUCUUCGAUCUUGGUGGAUUAAAAAUUAUUAUUUAAAUAUAUUUGUUAUUUUAGAAAAUAUUUAAGGAAAUAUUGAUUAUCUUUUGCAUUUAUUUUCUCUCACUUUAUUAAUAUUGAUAGCAUUAUCUGCAUUUUUGCAAGUAAUAUUUUCUCUCAAGAAUAUCUAAAAUGUACCUUAGCAUCGGCAUUAUCUGCUUUUGUUGUUAUUUCACAUAAACACGUAAAAAUUAACAGAAGACAUAAAAUAACAAGGGAAAAAGUUGGGUUAUUCAUCAUUUUUGCUUCCCUCCUUUCAACAGAAAAUAUGAAAGGGAGAAGAUAACCCAACUUCAAAAUCAAAUUUGGUUAAUGAAAUUAGAAAAAUAAUUGCAAUGUAUUAAUCAUUAAAUAGCUUAAACUCACCACACAGAGUAGAAAAAUUAAUUUGUGGCUAGUAUAUUAAGCGUAAAUAGUAGCCACUCACUCGAAUACAAGUAGAUAAAUUAUUCUAUUUUUACUCCUUUAAAAAUGGUAUAUAUAUAUAUAUAUUUUGAAUUUUUUAGAACGUAUACUUUCUAUUUUCAUAUGAGUGAUUAAGAGCAUAAGAAAGGAUUUUGGAGUUCUAAUCACCAUUGUUUUUCCUCAUAAUGGCACUUAGGAUUUAUUUAUAUAUGAAGUUAAAUUUAUGGUCAAGUUGAGCCACGUUUGAGAAAUAGAAAAAGAAAUCUUUUAUAUGUUAUGCUAAGAAAUAUUCUACUUAAAAUUCAACUUAGUUUUUUUUUUUCGGCCAAAAAUAUGAGUUAUUAUUCUUUUUUAUACUAACAAACUAUUUCAAUAACUUUUAUAAAAUAGUAUAUAACUAGUUAUAUUGGAAAGGGUCAAAAUCAUUUACACCCUCGAACUUUGUUGUAAAAAUCAAACACCCCCUCAACUUUGAACAAUAAUCAUUCUCCCUCCUUUUUCUUAUUUGAUUUUUCAAAAUACCUACUUUACCCUUUUAUUUAUAUCAACAUUUGAAUAUUUAAAAACAAUUUUAUUUUUAUAAACACAAUUUUUAUUUUUAAUCUAUAUAACAUAUUUUCUAUAAAAAGCUAAAGGUUAUUUUUUAGAUGAAAAAAUAAAAGUGAGAAAUAUUAAUUGAGUAUAUAAGUUAAUGACAUUCUAUAAUGAAAUAAAUGAGCAAAAUAAUAAAAAUUAAUUUUAUUAAAAGUAAAAAUUCUAAUAUCUAUUUAUACGUGAAAAUAAUAGGUAAUUAUAUUUUUAUAAAUAUAUUUCAAUGCAGGUAAUACAAAUUAAUUAAUAGUCGAGGGUCCUUCGAAAACAACUUAUCUACCUCCCCACGGUAGUGGUAAGGUUUGNNNNNNNNNNNNNNNNNNNNNNNNNNNNNNNNNNNNNNNNNNNNNNNNNNNNNNNNNNNNNNNNNNNNNNNNNNNNNNNNNAAUCAAAAUAUGUAUCUAUAUACAUAAUUAUAUAUACACACAUACACACUUAAUACCUAUAAUAUAAAAAUAUUGAAUGUAAAAAAUACCAUUAGAUUUUGUAAUUAAUUUAUAAAAGAAUUUACUAAUAAUGUAAACAAAUUUAAAUAAAAAUAAUAAAUACAUCGGUUAUGAAAGAUAAAUAUAUAUAAUAUAAAAAAAUAUUAUAUAAACAUAAGUUUAAAAAUAUUAAGGGUAAAAUAGUAUUACAUAGUGAAAAGGGGGGAGAAUGAUUGUUACUCAAUACUAAGGGAGGUGUUUGAUUGAUUUUCACCUCAGUGAAAUCUCCUAAGUGAGGUAUGAGGAGGGUAGAGGUACGCAAACCUUACCACUACCUCAGAGAGGUCGAGAAGUUGUUUUCGAAGGAUCCUCUACUAUUAAUUAAUUUGUAUUACCUGCAUUGAAAUAUAUUUAUAAAAAUAUAAUUACCUAUUAUUUCGUUAUAGAAUGUCAUUAAUUUAUAUACUCAAUUAAUAUUUAUCACUUUUAUUUUUUCAUCUAAAAAAACCUUUUAGCUUUUUAUACAAAAUAUAUUAUAUAGAUUAAAAAAUAAAAAUUGUGUCUAUAAAAAAGUUUUUUUUUAAAAAAAAAUUCAAAAGUUGAUAUAAAUACAAGGGUAAAGUAGGUAUUUUAAAAAAUCAAAUAGAAAAAAGAAGUGAGAAUGAUUAUUAUUAAAAAUUAAGGGGGUGUUUGAUUUUUACAACAAGAUUGGGGGUGUAGAUGAUUUUAACCCUAUUUGGAAAUAUGGGAUCUCAUAAUUAUGAGUUCCUGCACAAUUGCUUAAGUGACCAAAUGGAUCACAACAACAAGAAGAUACCAAUAUAUUCACUUAAAAUGGGAUAUGGGGAGGGUAAUUUAAAAGUGAGAUAAAGAGAUUGUUUUCUAUAAACUUUCAAGUCAAGAAAAAAAAAACAGUACCAAUUUCUUAUAGUUUGGAUGAAGAUAAUAUUAUAUUAUUGAACUCAAAUCAAUACUUUGAAACCAGUACCUACAUGUAUAAUAUAUAUUCAACCUCCUUAAAUUUUAUCUUUUAAUCAUUUGUUAGUUAGUAACCAAAAUAAAAAAAAAUCGUUUCUCAGUUCUUAAUCAAUCUAUAAAACUUGGUGAAAAUUUCAGGAAUUGCCUUUCAAAAUGCAUAAUUCUUCAGCCAAUCACAAGACUUUUUACUUUACAUGCACGACGUUAUUCAUAGUGAGUAUAGCACUUCACAAGGCAAAUUCCAAAAUUAGUCACACAAUAUGUACUUUUUGCCCAACAUGUGUUUGAUUUUCCAAAAGUACAUGGAGGUUUGCGUGAAGAAUAUUUAAGGAAAAAUUUCAAAAAUAACAACUCUGUAGCUUUAAUUAUAACUUUUAUAAUAACAGUUUUAUAAUUACGAAAAAUAGUAAAUUGUAUUUAUAUUUAAGUAAAAUGUUGCUAUAUAAAUACAUAUACAAAUAUGUAUAUGUAUUACUCAUAAAUACAUAUGCAUGACUGAAAAAUACAUAUUCUUCUAUUACUAUGAAGUGGGUAAAAUAUUGCUACUUUUGCUAUAAGUUACAAUUUUGAAGAAGUGUUGCUAUUUAUUGUAAUUAUAGUCUUAAGGAUGCUAGUUUGUGUAAUUUUUUCAAUAUUUAAAGUGGAUUUUUUGAAUAACAUAGUAUUUCUUGUAAAAUUUCUAGCAUAUCUUAUGUAAAUUCUAGGAUAAUCAUCUUGAAGAAAUAUCUAGAUAUUCUAGGUAAUUAUUCUAGAGAGAGGAAUCUUGAAAAUAUAGUCUACUUGAUAUUUGUAUUUAGGAAAGAUCCAGAUCUUCUAGAGUGUUACAUAUUCAUGGAAGAUGAUAGAAUACUCUAGAUUUGUAGUAUCUAGAAUCAUUCCCACACAAGAAUAAAUAGAGGAUGACAUUAGACAUAUGUAACCAACCAAAAAAUAAAAUCAAUUCAAGUGUAGUCUUUUUCAUAUUAAAGUUCUUCCUUCUUUUUUAAAGCUUCCUCUUCUUAGUUGAAUCUUCCGGUCUUAGUUAACGAUCUUGGGCUAGCAAAAGGUCUUUAUAGCUACACCUUUCUUCUGCUAUUCUCUACAUGGUAUCAGAGCCAAACUCACAAAUUGACUUGUGUCUAUUUCAAAAUCGGGUUUGUGGUUGAUUCAACUGAUUUGUGCAAAUGGAUUUUAGCGGUCGCGUUAGUAGGCUGGGAAUGGAGUUGUUGAAUCAGUCCAAUUACAAGGUAUGCAAGACCUUUAUGGAAUCAUACCUUGUGGGCGAGGAUUUGUGGAAUGUUGUUAACGGGAUUAACACAAGUCUUCCGAAUGACAGACCGGAGAAUAGUAGUGCAUACAAGAAAUGGAAGCAGAUUAAUGCAAAGGCGGAGUUCAUUCUAAAGAGCUCCAUCUCCUCUAAUUUAUUCGACCAUAUUAUAAGGUGUACAUUAGCUCAUGAUAUUUGGAGGACCCUCGACUAGUUGUUCAACAAGAAGAAUUAAGCUCGGCUACAGAUAUUGGAAAAUGAAUUGGCUAACACCACUCAAGGUAAUUUUUCUCGUGCCGAGUACUUUUUAAAAAUUAAGAACUUAUGUUCUGAGAUUUCUUUAUUGAAUACAGACGGGACUAUCUUUGAAGCACGAAUGAGAAGAAUUAUCAUUAGUAGUUUGAAACCAGAAUAUAUUCCCUUUGUGACAUCAAUUCAGGGAUGGGCUCAACAACCAUCCCUGGAGGAAUUUGAGAAUUUGUUGUCAUCAAAGGAGUUACUAGCCAAACAAUUGACUUGUGAAUUUGUCAAAGCAAGGGAAGAAAAUAUUCUUGUAUCCGACAAGAAGAACGUUAAAGGAAAAGUAAGAGAUAUGCCUCACACUCAAUUUUCAAAUGGUUUAAGCUCGACUAGAAAGAAGGAAGAGACUUUUAACAAUUAUACUAAGAAGUCUCUCAGAUGUAUCGGUGUGGCAAAGCAGGACAUAUAAGAAGAUGUUGCCGAGUCAUGAAAAGCAACAUGGUUCAUACUGAAAAAAUUGUUGAAGAAUAAGAAGGUUGGGAAAGAUGCUUAGAAGCUGAGAGUCGAGCAAUAAAUGCAUUAUUUUCAUAAUUUUGGAAUGAGAUUGGAUCGGAUAUAAUACAAUGCAUUAUGUGGAGCAGGAAGGCACCUAUAAGAAGUAAGAUGAUAUUAAAUACGUUCAUACUGGAGAUGUGGUAGCUGCUAUCAAUGAAAUCAAAGAAGCAGAUCCUAAAAAUGACAAUAAAAGUCUAAACAUGGAGGAUAUUGAAGUAGACUCUGAGCAGACAAUUUUUGAAACUCUAUAUGCUAGUGAUGACUUUAUCGGAGUAAGCAUUAAGAGAGAUAUAGUUGAAGUCUCUGAUCAAUCAUCUAUGGUAUCAAGAUCAAUUAAUAACUCAAAACAAAUAUUGAAAGUUGAUGAGUAAACUAAAGGUCAAGAAAAAGAAGAAGUUGACCGUGUAGACUCAGAUGGAGAAAUGGAUGAUGAAGAGGUUGAUACUGAUGAAAUUUCUUUGUUCUUUGUAGUUGUAUCUGAAGAAGAGGGUUCUAAAAUAUUGAACCCAAGAUUUUCAGAUUUGUCCAUGAGAAAUGAUUCUUCAAAGAAUAUAGUUGUUAAGGAGUUCAGAGAAAGAGGGAACUCGAAAACUCAACAACAUGAAACUCGACAACGACUAUUUUUUGAGAAACAAUUAACUUUUUAAUAAAAAAAAGACUUCUAUCCCGUCAAGGUACUUUUAAUUUUUUACUUGCUUUAUUAUAGAUCACUGAAUUGAUUCAUCAUUUGUAACAACAAUCAAGAUCCAAUAAUUAAAUAUGGACAAACUGAAAUUCUUGAGGGCAAGGAGACAUACAUAAAAGUGCCUAGAUUCUCCUCAAGAGGCCCUAAUUCCUUUGCUCCAGAAAUUCUAAAGGUAAAUAUAAAAUAAUUAAAAAUUUAUAUCUUCUUUUAAUUUAAUAAUUUCUCUCAUUGAAUCAUUUAUUAUAUUUUUUUAAAGUGUUUUAUAAAUUUUACUUAAAUAUUAUUUCAGCUCGAUAUUGCAGCUUCUGGUGUUAAUAUACUCGCAACAUUUUCUCUUGCUGCUACUGAUGGAGGAUACAAUGAAUUCAAACUCAUGUCAGGAACAUCCAUGUCAGCUCCUCAUGUUGCAGGGAUUGUUGCACUCAUCAAAGCUGCGCAUCCUAGUUGGCUUCUGCUGCUAUUAAGUCUGCACUUAUGACUACAAGUAAUAUCUUAUGAAUUUAAAUUGUAUAUAUUGAUAACAGAAUAUAACUUAUUAUAGUAUAUUAAAUUACCAUAUCAAAUUUGAUAUGAAAAAUUUUCGUUGCUAUUCAUUAAUUUAACAUAAAAGAACACAAAUACUGUCAUUGCAUUGAGAAAAUGAUUUACCUUACAUUUAUUAUUUAUAACUACUUAAAUAUUAUAACAUAUUAGUAUAAGUUAUAACAUGUUGCUUACUACCAAAUUAGACUUAAAUUAGUAUUUCAUGUUGUUAUACAUCAGUUUAAUUAAUCCCAUCAUGCACAAAAGGUUUACACUGUUAUCAUACAUCAAUUAAACUCGUGAGCAAAAUAUAUAGUCUUUCCUUCUUUUCAGCAUUUUUGUUUAUGUAUUUACUGAUUGAAAUUUUCUGUGAACUGUGUAGCAUGGAACGAGGAUACAUAUAGAGCUGAUAUUUUUUCAGAAGGAACUGGAAUAAAACUUGCUGAUCCAUUUGACUUUGGCGGUGGCAUAUGUAAUCCAAAUGGAGCAGCAGAUCCUGACUUAGUCUAUGAUAUGGAUAGAAAUGAUUAUUCGAAUUAUCUUUGCAGUUUGGGCUAUAGUAAUGAUAGGAUUUACAAUGUAACUAUGUAUCAUUCGGACAAGAAAAAUUCUACUUCUUCAGCAGGCAUUGUGUGUCCCAAAGAAGUACCUUCAAGGUUGGAUAUGAAUCUCCGAGAAAUGUUGCUAUUAAAGUAACUCCAAAUGUAUUGAAGUUUAAUGCCAAAACCAAGAGGAUCUCCUUUGAGGUAAAGAUCACAUCUACUUACCAAAGAAGUGGUAAAUUUACCUUUGGAAGUUUGGCAUGGAGUGAUGGCAAACAUUUUGUUAGAAUUCCUAUUGUUGUGAGGAAGCAAGUGGAUAAAUAAAGAAAAUGUACCAACUUAACUUUGGAGGUAUGAGGUGGAGUGAUGACACAUAUCUUGCUGUGUACGGGGGUGGAUCUAGGGGGCUCGGGGUGUUAUCCUGAACCCCUCGACAAAAAAUUACAUUUUGUAUGUAGGGUAACUUUUUAUGUGUAAAUAGAAAUAUCAAAUUCUCUCAACACAAGACUACAUGUUGGUUUAGUGAUUUACGGAAUUAGAAAUUCAAUUUGAGGUUCCCAUUUCAAAUAUCUAAUUAUGCAUUUUUGUUUUCCGAACGUUCUUAAUGAAAAUUCUGAAUCCCGCACCAAAUUUAUGUGUGAGUACUUUUUUAUUUCCACAAGAAAGCAAGUGGAUGUUCAAACAACUUGAAAAAAAUGCAUGAUGAGCCUGCUGUUCAACCCCCCUCCCCCCUUCCCCUACUUCAGUUCGACUUUAACAUAUAUGACUUUCAAUAUUCCAUGUGGGUAGAGAAACCUCACAGUUCCAUGUGUCUACAAGCUCACAUAUAUAAUGAUAAUUCUGGCUCAAACUAUCUGUUAAUCGAGUCAAUAGAAAUAUUAGAUGUAUAUCAUGAAACCUCGUAAUAUAGUAGCAGAGGUAGUCUGAAAAUUUCAUAAUUGCUAUAAUGGAGUGCUGUUAUAUAUACACGUUAUUGUAUAUUGACAUUUAAUGGUUAAAUUUCAUUUAAUUAUUAUAAAGAAAAUUAUGCAAAAAUUAGUUUAAUGAUUGGGUAUCAAGACGAACGAAUAUAUUUGGUCAAUAAUUAAUCUGUGUCAUGGAUAUAAAACACCUAUUAAAAUAUUGAACCAUAUAUAGAAUCAAAUGUAUUUGCCAGGCGGCUUUGAUUUCUCACUUCCAGACACUAAUGUUCAAGUCAAAAAAAAUGAUUAUGUCCAAGGGAAUAGGGAAAACAUUCGAAGAGAUUUGUUCGGAUGGUAAACAUGCUCACUUUUAAUUUUGAGGUAAUGAUCAGUUUGAAGGGACAACAUAAUUUUUAAAUCGUAUCCCAUCAAGAUAAUAGGAAGAUUGCUCAGAUGAUAAGUACCCUCCAUCUUUAAUUUUGAGGUUGACUUAAAAUCACCAAUGAAGCUGUCAAGAUCCUAAAGUUGAGGUCAUGAAUCAUGAAGAUACUCACCGAGACCCAACGCUGAUGAGUAAGUCGAUUCACUAAAGAAAAAAUCAAGAACUGAAAUUAAAGCAAGACAAAUGAGAAUUCUAGAAUGAAAUCAAGGAUAAAUUACACAAAUCCCAUACUUAAGAGAGACUAUAUUACCUAAUAUCUCUUACUUUUUAAAAUAUUUUUAAAAAUUUACAUAAAAUCCCCUUUUUCAACUUUACUUUGAUAUAUAUAUAAAAAAAAGAGUAAAUACAUAAUUACACCACUGAUCUUGUCCGAGAUUUUCGAAAAGACACCUAAACUUUGACAUCAACCUAUUACCCCACGAUUUUUCUUUAUUUCAUUGCAAACGCACCAUUUUUCGCUGAAUCUCAGUCACAACAAAGUGAGUGAAGACACACGCCAAUCAGGUGCUUCCACGUGUCAACUACGUUUAAUUUCAUAUUUUUUUAAUAAAAUUUUUCUUUUUAUUUAAUUUAACACCCCACCCACCCCCUUUUCCCCCCAAUCCAGCACCUCUCCUCUCUCCCCCUGCAUCAACAGCUCCCCUCAACCCCCACCCCAAUUNNNNNNNNNNNNNNNNNNNNNNNNNNNNNNNNNNNNNNNNNNNNNNNNNNNNNNNNNNNNNNNNNNNNNNNNNNNNNNNNNNNNNNNNGUUUUUUUUUUUUAAAAAAAAAAGCUUCAAUGGAGGAGCUUUAAUGGUGACAUUGUGUUGAAGAGCUUUAAUGGUGUUGAAGAAGACAUUGUGUUGAGAAAGAAAUGGUGGGUAGUUAAAUGAUAUGAUUUAAUUGUAAAAUAGAGCUUUAAUGAAUGAUUUCAAAAAAAAAAAAAAAACUUCAAUGGAAGCUUUAAUGGUGAAUUGAGUUGGAGAAGAAAGAGUGGGUGGGUUGGGGGGAGAGGGGUAGGGAUAAUUUUAUAAAAUAAAUAGAUAUUAUUUAAAAAAAAAUAUAAAUUAUAUAUCAAUUAUUUUACACGUGGCAGAUUUUGAUUGGUCCAAAAAGUCAAAUUCGAUCCCUUUCAAGCGCCUGUGGCGCGUGUAUAUACGCAGAGGAUCAAAAUGAUGUGUUUGCAACGGAUUAAGUAAGAAUCGUGGGGUAAUAAGUCGAAUUCAAAGUUUAGGUGUCUUUUUUGAAAAUCUCGGCCAACAUUAGUGGGUAAUUAUGUAUUUACUCUAUAAAAAAUCCCAUAUCCUAUUUAUACUCCACCAUUAACUUAUUCAAGAUUUCCUCCCCUAAAAUAUCUCCCUAAUUAUCAACAAUUAAAUCAUCUUCCUUCAUGAUUUUUUCUCUUCCAUUGAUGCUUAAAUAAUCUUCCUUCCUGAUUUUUUCUCCUCCAUUAAUGUGUGCAACUUUUUUUUUCUCUCCUAAAAUCUCUCCCAUCUUUUUUAAAAAAAAUCUAUUGAUACAUAUAUAAAUCUAUUUAGUUAUUCAUACAUGUUUAUUUUUUUAAUGGUGAUUCAUAUGAAUGAUAAAUAUGAUAUCAUUAUAUAGGUAUUAUGGUGAAUCAUACGAUAGAUACAUUUUGUAUGAUUUUAAUGGGUGAUACAUAUUGUAUUAUGGUGAUUCAUAUGGUAGAUACAAUUAUUUAUUUUAAUUAUUGGGUGAUUCAUAUGGUAUUAAUGGGUGAUAUAUAUGGUAUUAUGGUGAUUCCUAUGGGUGAUACAUAUUGUAUUAUGGUGAUUCAUAUGAUAGAUACAAUUAUUUAUUUCAAUUAUUGGGUAAUUCAUAUAUAUGAUAUUAUGGUGAUUCAUAUGGUAGAUAAAAUUAUUUAUUUUAAUUAUUAGGUGAUUCAUAUGAUAUUAAUGGGUGAUAUAUAUGGUGUUAUGGGUGAUUCAUAUGUUAUUAAUGAAAGGUAAUGGUGUAGUCAGUGUAGGAAACAAAAGUAACAAUAUUUUUUUAAAAAAAGACUAAAAGCAGAAUUGAAACAUAAUUAAAAUUAUAUCUAAAAAAGUAGACUAAAAUUAAAGACGAAAAAAAAGAGAAAAAAGACCCCAAAAAUAUAUCUUUCAUAAUUAAAGACGAAAAAAGAGAAACAUAAUUAAAACACCCAAAUUAAAUUUAAAAAAACAACAGAAAAAUUAGAUAACUUUUCUUAAAUAAAAGAAUACAAUGAAUAAAAGAGAAUCUAUUAUUUUCUUAAAUAAAUAUCUUGUUAAUUUAAAAUGUAUCACUUUUUUAUAUGUAUCCCCAUAUAACACAUGUAUCACAUUUCAAAAAAUCGAGAUAAAAUGUGAUUAACAAAAUAGUCAGGAUUUUAUGUAAUAGCACUUAAAGAUUCAGGAAUUUAUGUAAGUUACCCAUCAAGUAAACCCAUAUACCUAAAACUGAAGUCUGAAUGAUAUACAUAAAUCCUCCAACAUCUAGUGUCAUAAGUGUAGAGCAUCUAAAUACAAUUCAGGAAAUAUAGAAAAUAUUAUAUCUGCUUCUGAAAAUGAGAAAAGAUAUCUAGAUAGAUAAGAAGAGGUUAGGAGUCAACUCUGAAAUCCUAGAGCAUGCCAGUACCUCUACCACUAACUCUAAUAAGCACGAACUCGGCUACUGCACCUCAUACUUGUUGAUACAAGUAUGAUCAUGAUCAUGACACUUUUGAGUAUUUUUGAAGACUAGUCACUAAAGGGCUCUUUUGUCAUUUCUCUGUUAUUUGUAAUGUUGUAUAAAUAGAACCUUGUAGGGUUUAUUUUCUUAGUUUAUGUUUGAGAUUGUAAGAACACUCCUUUUGUGAGAGAGAACUCCAAAACCGAAAUUAGGGCAUAGCAUAGGCCUCAGUUAAGUGCCGAGUUUGGCGUAGUAUUCAUUUACACUUCAGGUCCUCAUGUUUUAACCCUUUAGUGAACUCUCCUUAUGAAAUGAUGUAGUGAUAAACGAUUGCUUAGAUGGAAUAGAGUAAAUAUUUCAUGAUAAGGAAAGAUUUUUUUUGCAUGCUUAUUUUACACGAGGCUGUGGUUAUGAAAAUAGGCUUGAAUAUCAGGUUAGUGUGCUAAGUAAAUGGCAAGCAAGAAGUUGUAUUUAGUUGUUGAAGGGAGAGAAAUCAAAAUUUUUCUUGAGAUGAUAAGUUGAGAAAAUGCCGAGUGUGAGUGUCUAUUCUGAUCCUCAAUUUAUGUCAGUAUCUAUCACGCAGUUAUCAUAACCUAGUAUUCAGUUCCACUACAGUCUCAGUUACCUUCAUAGUUACAACCUCAGUCCCAGUCUUAGUUCAGUAAUCAGAUCAGUAACUCAGUUCAGUUUCAAGUUUGCUUGACCAUAGCGUACAGUUAUCAACUAUUCAGUUAUCAGUAUUUCUGUAACACCCCACAUUUUGGACUAGAAUGAAAAUCCAUCAUUCAUAUACGCAGAUGUUCCAAAAGCCUCGAAUCCUAUGUAAAUUUAGUGUGUUAAUCAAUUAUGUAGUGUGGGAAUCUAUUUGAGCAUGAAUUAAGAUCAUAGAGGUCCCCUAACUCAAGGACAAGUUGAAAGCUUUCCUAUCGUUCAAGUUUUAGUGAGCAUCAAAACUUGGAUCAACAUCAAUCGACUAUAAAUCCUUGUAUAUAUUAAAUUAGAGGACCUACUAUAUAUCAAAUAAAAGCUCUUUGAAUUAUCUUUCCAAUGAUACCAAUUUUUCCCAAAUCCGAUAUCGGCGCAAAGAGUUAUGCCCAUUUUACUCCAGCAUGUUAGGCUGGGAAAUGGAGUGAUGACAUUCGUGAUAAGUUAUCACAAGCGUGACGACUUAUCACCAAUGUCGUCAGCCUUAGGCAGAUUUCCACCCCCAGUGAAGAUAUUUUGUGAUAAUUUAUCACGAGUGUGAUGACUUAUCACCAAUGUCAUCAACCUUAAGCAGAAAAUCACAAAUUUCACCCUUUUGUGACGAUAUUUCGUGACGACUUAUCACCAGUCUGAUGACUUGUCAUGAAUGUCGUCAGCUAUUUUUUUCAUCAAUUAAGGGACAUUUUUGCAAGGGUAUUUUGGUCUUUUCCCAUCUUUUGGAGGCCUCUAUAAAUAUGAGAAUUCCCAUCCAAACCCUAAUUUCUUCAUUUUCUCUUCCAAUUCUCUUAAGAGAAUAUAUCUAGGAUUUUAUUCAAGAAUAUUAAUCUUUCAAAAAUCAUCCAUAAAUCUUCAAGAUUUCUUUAAGAACUCAAGAAUUCCUCCGUCAAGUUUCUCCAAAUCAAGAAACUAAGGUAUGCAAAUGUUCAUUUUGGGUCCCUUCCACCCAAGAAGUUCAAAAAUCUCUUUUUAAAGUUCCAAGAUUAUAUUUUUAUGAAUUCUCAUGAGUUAUGUGGUUUGAAGAUGAUUUUCAUGUUGAUAUUGGGUUUUCGUUCAUGUUUUGAUCAUAAAAAUGCAAGUAUUGACUUUAGUGUGUGUGGAUUAUGUGAUGUUCAUGACAAGGUCCCUUCAAGAAGCAUGUUGAAUUAUGUAGGCAUGUUAAUUAUGGGUAAUGAAUUGUUGUAUGACCAAAUUGUGCCUCACAUGUGUAUGCUAGAAUGCUUAUAUGAAGAAAAUAGUACCAUUGUAGUAUACUAAGUAUAAAAUCCCCAAUGUGGUGACAAAUAAAGCAUGCCAAGUGUUUGUUGUUUUGCCAAGAUGAGUGAAGUAUGAUAUGUUGCAUGUACUCCCUAUUCAUGUGUCCUUGUGGAAUAAUUUAUGAGACAAUAGCAUGCCUCUAUAUACAAUCUACAUGGUUGAAUGUUCCCAAGUGCUUGAAGUGAUACGUCCUUGAUCAUGUUCCAAAUUAUAGACUAUUGUUAUGACAUUGGUGGUGAUAGAUUAUUGUUAUGAUGUGAUGUUGGUCAUAUAUUCAAGAGUCAAGUCCUGUCAUUUUACUUCCAUAGAGUCCUGGGGGUACUUAUACCCAAAAUAUAGCUGUGUGCCUAGAGCCAAGUCAGUCUCACGAUAAUCUUUGUCGUGCUAUGAUCAGUAGAACUCAGUCAAUGACUGAACAGUAAGAAAACUCAGUAAUCUCAGUAUUCAAGUUAAUCAAGUUUAGUACACAGUCCAGACCCUAGUAGUGUUCAGUAUUCAGUACAGGUUCUAGUAAAGCUCAGUAAGUUACAAAACUCAGUUGUAUUCAGACAGAAAGUAGAAUUUAGAAGUAUUUCGUCAGAGCACGGAACCAAGCCAACUCAUUUAGAUCAGUCAAGUAAGAUAAUCAAUAACAAUAUUUAACUUAGUCUAAGUUCAGUUAAGAAUCAGUUCAGAGUUUUUCAGUUGGAAGUAGGAGCUAGCACCGAGCGAGUGCAGGAUGGUGGCUUCUCCGUUAGAGAGAUGGAGUCGUUAGCAGCAAUCCCUGUACUCCAGAACUACGUAGCCAGCGCAGGAUGAGGAUUCACCCAUUAGAUAAAGGCUUUACUACCUGCAGGAGUACUCAUAGCCUUAGGCUUGACUUCCUCUUGAGGGUCACCCAUUAGAGAGGCUUGACCAGAGAGGUCUUUACCCAUGGCACGGUAUUGAAAUCCUUCCAGUUGGGGUUACAGGUUGGACUCCACCAAAUUUGGGGCAUUUCAUUUAAGCGAGAACUCCCAUAGUUGUAGUUUCAGUAUUAGUCUUCAGAGUAGAACUCAGAAAUCAGGACUGUCAGAUACAGUCAUCUAUCUCAGUAAGGAACUUAGAUAAUUUCACUGAUUCAUGGACUACCCGUUAGAUAGGCCUGGUCUCACAUAAAGUUAUUUAGUGUCAGUACUUACAAAGAUCACCCGUUAGAUAGGCUUAUCUCAGUCUCAGAUUCAGUUGAGUAUUCUCAUUACCAGUCCCAGAGAUCACCCGUUAGAUAGGUCUAAUCUCAAGUUCAGUUAAUGUUAAUCAUUAUCAGAAGAUUCAGAGAUCACCCGCUAGGUAGGCUUGAUCUCAAAUUCAGAUUCUUAUCUUUCCUUAUCAUUAUUAGAAGACAUAGAGAUUAUCCACUAGAUAGGUUUGAUCUCAGAUUUAGCUAGUCAAUAUCAGCAAGCUCAGAACUCAGUUGUCGAUAUUAGUUGAUUCAGCUCUUCAGUAUUCUAGAGCUAGCAAACUUAAAUAUCAAUUAUCAGUAGACUCAUCCAUCUAGUUCUUAGUAUUAAUAAGUACAGAUAUCAGUUUCAGUAGCUUUAGAUACUCAAAAUCUCAGUAUGUUCAGAGAUUUCAGAAUUAACAGUAUAUUCAAUAUCAGUUAUCAUAUUUAGUCCUAGUAUGCUCAGUGUCAGUAUGUGCGGUAUGUUCAGUAGUUCCAGAUUCUCUAUGUAUGCUAAUCCAGCUCUUACAUAUCAUUUAAUUAAGUAAUUAUGCAUGCAUAAGCCCUUAUAUUUAGCCUUACCUCAUUUACAUACUCAGUACAAUCCAAUAUACUGACAUAUUUGCACUAUGGUGUUGCUAUUUUACCUUCACCAUAGGUUCAGGAGCACGAGAUCCAGAGUACCCUUAGCAGUUCCAGACUCAGUCAGCAGCAGUAGACGUAUUAGUGAGUCCUCAUCUUUUGAGGACGAUUAUCAUUUCAGUACUUUAUUUUAUUAGACGGGGUUAGUUGGGGACAUGUCCCAUCAACUCUGUAGUUUAGACAGUUAGAGGCUUUUCGGACAGAUGUAUAAGUUUUCAGUUUAAAGACUUUGAUCAUUUCAUAUGUUUUGAACUUUAUGGCAAGUUUUCGCCAGUUUUCCGCAUGUAUUUUAUAAUAUUAUACAGUGACCAGGUACAAAUAUCAAAAGAGGGUUAGCUUAUGGUCCUUUGGGAUCAUGAGCACCGUGUGGCGUUCCGGUUAUACCAAAAUUGGGGUGUUACAAUUUCAGUACUUCAGAUUACUAAUUAUUUUAGAAUCAAGUUAUACGUUUUGUCUUGCAUUCUUAGAUAAUACAGAGUUCAUGAAUUCAUGCUCAGUUAUCUCAUGUUACUCAGACAGUCCUUACCUCAUACGUAUAAUACUCUAUAGUUUCAGUCCAGUUAUUCAGACUAAGUACGGUUCAGUCUUACAUGCCCUGUAUUCAGCUAUCAGCCUUUCAGUUAAUCAGAUAAGUUAGUAUGCUUAUGCAUUUGUGCUCAACGCCCAUGUGAAUGUUUCAGUAGUCUCAGGUGAAGCGUCGUACUUGGGUCGAGAGUAUAGUAUAGUUGAGAGAGUAUUCGAGGAAUAUAUCUAAGCUUGAAAAUUAUUAGUUGCAGUGUAUGAGGCUUAGUAACUCCAUAUUAGAUGAUAUUCUGUAGGCCUUGCUCUAUAUUAUAGAAUUGUAGCCAUGUAGUGAUUUCUUAUUCAGAUGUUUUAUUCAGACUAUGCCAAGAUUUCCUUGCUCCCUAAAGUUAGUAGAAAUCUAUAGAAAGGGUGUCAAGAAUUGCUACAGUUUAGUAUAAGUUUUCAGUAUGAGUAGUCUGUGUCACACCCCUUUUUUAAAUCCCAAAAGAUUUUAUUUUUAAGGUUCGAAAGGGUUUUUAUUAUCAAAGUUACAAAAGAUGAAAAUUUAUUUAGAAAAGGACCUUUUAUAUUCAAAACUCAGAGUCGCCACUUGGAAUAAUUCGGUGUGCCAAGGUACCUUUGAAAAAUCCUUUUCAAAACGUUUUGACUCUUUAAAACUGGUUUGCGAACAGAAAUUUCGGUUAAGGAAUUCUAUUGACCGAGGGAAAGGUGUUAGGCACUCCUCGAUCCCGUGGUUCGACCACAGUCUCUUGGUGGAGCGUAUCGGCUAAUUUGACAUUACAAAUGUAUAAACCGCACAAAACACAUAAAACAAUCAACUAAACACACGAAACAAAACAAAUCCAAAAUAUAAUGUUCAGUCCAAUUAUACAGUCCAAAAAUAAGAAAAAUGGAAAAAUAAAUCCUAUUGUAACCUCACUAGUACUAAACUAUGCUCCGAUGAUUUACUCCAUCCGAUGUUUCGGGUCUUGACCGUGCGCCGUCUUCAAGUACAACUUUCUCAGGGCAUUCCCCGGAUAAAGCAAUACAGAUACCUCGGGGUAUUCCCUGGUCAAAUGAGUACAUUUUUUCAAUUGUGAUAAAAAAAAUCCAUUCAACACAUAUUUCAAACAUUUCACUAAUUUCGCAAUCCCUAAGUGUGCCUACCCCUAUCGUUUGCCUAACAAUUCAUGGUCUAAAGCAUGAUACUAUCAAACUUAACAAAGUCGACGUUUAUUCCGAAUCUAGCAAUCGUUACUAAACCAAAAUAAAUCAAUAUUCACUUUUAACAAUUUUUGAUCUUUUUUCCCAAAAUCCAACUUAACCCUAAAUCAACUACGUGAUAAACAUACUUCACACCAGGAUUAACAAUCAAAUAACUACGAGCAAAAUCACCUCAAUUAAAUUCAACCAAAAAUCACACCAUUCAAAAACAUACACAAAAGAGGAGAUAAGAGAUAUAGAAUUGGACCUCAAUCGCUCAUUUUAUUCCAAAAUCAGUGAUGGAUUAGAAUUCACGGGUAACAGAACCUCGACUCAACUGGAACCUCAACGUCGAACCCGCAACUUGAACAAAUACCAAAGAGCACAACCCAACUCAAGUUUUUUGACUAAAAAUCUGUAAACAUCGUCAAUCCAAAAUGGACUACUAGGAACCAAACGAGACAACAGUAUCUAAAACCUGAACCCAUUCCAACGCUGAACCUUUUUUUGAACCAAUUUUUGAAGAAGAAUCUGGAGUCAUUUUUUUUCAUCUAUUUUCGGCGGGUAACGUUAGUGAUCCUCAGUUUUUGGUUGGAAAAAGGGAAACGAUAGAGAGCUGGUGGAUUUUUCGAUGGGGGGAAAUAAAUUUCGGCAAUAAUCUCGCUAGAAAAUUCAAAAUAUUAGCCUUUUCCGGUGACUUCCCCACUCCAUUUCCCUUUUCUCGUCUCUCUGUCUCCGAUCUACCUAUCAAUCGCCCAAUCUCUACUCUAAUUCCUCAACCCUCGAUUUCUCUCUCUGCUUGUAAUCCUCACACUCUCGAUCUCACUAUUCCUCUUUUGAUUCACCUCGCGUCUCACUAUUUUUCACCAUUUAUGUGUGAUUUGGGUAUGGAUGUGUAUGUAUGUGGCUGUGCUUGAGAGGGGAAUUGCGAGUUGGUGCGUGGUUUUUGUGUAUUAUCGAUCUAAGAAGAGAAAAAGAAAAAUAGAUCCCCCCUGGUAUGCCUGAUCUCUGAGGUAUAUGGUGUAUGUAGUAUAUGUGAGAUGGUGUUCUGUGGGUUGGAAGAAGAAGAACUAUUGUGUGUAUAUCUCUUGUGAAAAAAAUCCCCAAAAUACAUGGGGCCCUUUCCUUUUUAUUGUUAGUGUAUUGAACAUAUUAGGAAUAUUCUCCCGUGGGGCCCACUUUUUUUUUGUUUUCUUUUCAAAAUGGUUUCAAAUUGGAUAAAAAAACGUAAGGGAUAGGGAAAUUGGGGUGUGACGUGUCCUAAUUUCAUAGGAUACGGUUGUUAGGAUAAGGUGUAAAGUUGGUUUGGAUAAGGUUGUUAAUUUGUUAGGGAGUUUGUUAUUUUUGUAUUUUUGUGGGGUAUGAUCACAUGGAUGAGGACACGUGGUAAGGUGAGCUAAAAAUGGAUAAAAUCAACGUCGAGAGGGACAAAAUUAGGUGUCUACAGCUUGCCCCCUUUGAAUGUAAACAUGAAGUGUUUUUAGACAAAGAAGUAGACAACGAGACAAAAUUUUGUCCCGACCAUUAUUCAAAAAGAAUGAAACAGAAGGAAGGAGGGAAACCAAUUCUUGACAUUGGACGUCAUAUUAAUCCCUAGUUAUGAGGGAAUUAAGUCACAUAUAUCCCUAAGGACUGAAAGAAGAGGGGCUAUACCGAGUUGGAGAGUCGAGCGAGGUUCUGGUCCGCAGCUCUGUUAUUACAUCAAAAAUAAAAAUUAUAAGUUAAAACAAAAUUAAAAUUAUAAAAAUCCUAUCUAUGCAGCUUCUUUUGGACUCUUGACUUGAGUUUCAUUACCCUAUUCUUCAGGCGGGCUCCUGACUUGCAAUUUCUUCAACUUGUUGUUUGGCUUUCAAUUUCUUCAACUUGUUGUUUGACUUUCAACUUCUUCGCCUUGUUGUUUGACUUUCAACUUCUUGACCUUGUUGCUUGACUUUUAAUCUCUUAACCUUGUUACUUGACUUUCAAUUUCAUUACCCUAUUCUUCAGGCGGGCUCCUGACUUUCAAUUUUAUCACCCUAUACUUCAGAUGGGAUCCUGAUACCAAAAUCAAAGCUAAAAUGAAAAUUAUCCCAAACAAAUAUUAUGAUAAAAAAAGGUUUCAUUUUUUGAAAGUAUGGUCCUAUUUUCCAGGAGGCUCCUGAACAGAAAGUAAAAUCUCAUUUUCUAGGAGGGUCCUGAACAUAAAGUGAAUCCCAUUUUUCAGGAGGGUCCUGAACAGAAAGUAAAAUCCUAUUUUUCAGGAGGGUCCUGAACAGAAAGUAAAAUCCCAUUUUGCAGGAGGGUCUUGAAUAGAAAGUAAAAUCUCAUUUUGCUGGAGGGUCCUGAACAGAAAGUAAAAUCCCAUUUUGCAAGAUGGUCCUGAACAGAAAGUAAAGUCCCAUUUUUCAGGUGGGUCCUGAACAGAAAGUAAAGUCCCAUUUUCCAGGUGGGUCCUGAACAGAAAGUAAGAUCCCAUUUUCUAGGAGUGUCCUGAAAAAAAAAUCCCAUUUUCCAAGAGAGUCCUAAGCAGAAAGUAAAUUCCUAUUUUCCAGAAAGGUCCUGAACAGAAAGUAAAAUCCUAUUUUCUAGGAGGGUCCUGAACAGAAAGUAAAAUUCCAUUUUUCAGGAGGGUCCUGAACAUAAAGUAAAUCCCAUUUCCAGGAGGGUCCUGAAUAUAAAUUAAAAUCUCAUUUCGCAGGAGGGUCCUGAACAUAAAGUAAAUCCCAUUUCCAGGAGGGUCCUGAACAUAAAGUAAAAUCCCACUAUCUAGGAGGGUCCUGAACAGAAAGUAAAAUCCCAUUUUUCAGGAUUGUCCUGAACAGAAAGUAAAAUCCUAUUGUCCAGGAGGGUUCUGAACAGAAAGUAAAAUCCCAUUUUCCAGGAGGGUCCUGAACAGAAAGUAAAAUCCCAUUUUUCAGGAGGAUUCUGAACAUAAAGUAAAAUCCCAUUUUCCACGAGGGUCCUGAAUAGAAAGUAAAGUUCCAUUUUUCAGGAGGGUCCUGAACAAUAAGUAAAAGCCCACGAAAGUGCUUUUCCAAUGGUCGCUAAAUUAAGUGAAUCGAAUUUGUCCCCAUUUCAACAAAGAAAAUUUAUCAGUUAAAAACUUAGUGAUGGUUUGCAACACUUGGAUUUCCUGACACCUGCUCCAAUGUCCAUUCCCUUCAUUUUGUUUCAUAUUGCUGGCACUUUCCCCUACUUUAUCGUGUCAUUCACCCAAACACAGAUUAAGGGAAAUGACUCUAAAAUAAACAUAGUAUCUUUGCUUUGCCAUGCUCCUCAGAUAAACCCUUUGAACCUCGGUAUUUUCAUGAGUUCCCAGACUUGUCUAUUGACAAAACUUUCUGCAUGCCUUGUUUUGACUUGCAAUCUUAUUUCUUUUUUGUGCUGGCCCUUGGUUUUGCUUUGUGUAAUUGAAGAAGCUGGUAGACAGUUUUAAAAUCUUUUCUCACUUGUUUUGACAUGGACUUGACUCAAAGACAAGAGAAAAAUGACAACAAAUUUUAUUUUAUUUGGAUAACUGAUUCAAGAAAGAUAAAACAAAAAUAAAGAGAAGAAAGAAAAGAUAAUGAAUGACCCUUUUUGAAACAAAAAAACAAAGAUUUAUCUAAAAAUGACAAUCAACUCUAAUGAUCAUUCCAUGCAUUUUGGAUCAAACUGCCUAAUCAUUCUAUCCAAACUUUCUGCCGAAUGUUGUUAAGUUAACGACCUCGAAAUUGAGUUGCCUCCUUAGGUCAAUUGUAUUUAAGACCUCAUUCGAUUAAUGACGCCUUAAAGGGUUUUUGCCAACAAGCCUCUCUCAUUUUUUUUUCCUAGCUCACCAUUUUCUUAUGGUGUCCGUGGGGUUUUCACCAAUAAGACUCUCUUAUUUUUAUCUCUCUCAGCUUACCAUGAGGGUUUUCACUGGUAAGACUCUCUCAUUUUAUUUCUCUCUUGAUUCCUUAUGUUGGGGAAGACAAGUAGUUCCCUAAAUGCAUCCUCAUAUCUAUUGCAUGCUUAGCCUUAAUAUCCUCAAAGAUUGAUCUGAAGGUCUUUCUUUGGUUGUAACUCGACUUUUGGAUAGGGUUAGAAAGAAAGGAUGGCAUGGGGCCCAAACGACACUUGAUGUGGGAUAGAACUUACAACUUUUGGAAUCGACUCAAACAAUGAGGAUUAACUCAUUCCCCAGUUUUUUUUGACUGGGCAAUUCUAAAUUGUUUAUUUGGUUGGACCGAGCCUAAGAUAGGGCAGCCUACGUAUCUCACCUUCGAGAGAGGAGAAUCAGGCCAUGGUAGUUCUGGCAACUUGUUUUGCUUGAUUCUAAUUUAUUUUUCUUCUAUGUUUCUUUUAUUGACUCUUUCUCUUUUGGAAUUUUCUGACUCUAUUUAUCUUGACACUCUUUUUUUUUCUUUUUGGACACAUUUUUUUUUCUCUUCUUCUUUUUGAAGACUUUUCUGACUCUAGUCUUUUACUCGACACUUUUCUUUUGAGCUUUGUUGAAUCUAUCUUGAUUCCAAAAGAGGGGUAUGAAAGAAAAUAAUACUAAAGCUCAAGUGGGGUAAACAAAGGAUGACAUAAUAUUUAGAUAGCAGAAUGAAAUGCCUUCAUCAUAUCAAUCCCUGAAAAUGCAAGUACAUAUCAUGCAAUAUGAAAUAAAAAAUGAAGAUCAUUUGUGAUACUUUAACAACACUAACUUUAACUGAGUAUGUGUGCCACUUCUUUUUCUAAACUUGUCAAACUUACAAACUCCACCUUUGUUGUAUAUCCAUCACCUUGAAUGAUUCAUGCCUUCGUGGAGUUGAUUUUCUUUCUGUUCCUUUUGAUAGGAUCACGCAGACACUGUUUGACCUAAUUAAGACAUGUCUUUCAAUUGAUGACCAAGUUAUCCUUGUGAUUCUCAAAAUAAAAGUCUAAAUUUUCAAAGAAGGCUUCAACUUGAUCACCAAAUUCCCUAACACUCUAUCUAUUUUCUCAGAUGCUCUAUUUUCCUAACUUUAACUCUCUGAUUCAAUGCUUCAUAAUUAAGCUGGAUUUUAAGAUCUGACUGAAAAUUCUACAAAUAUGUCAUAUCACUAGAAUCAACAUAAAAUGUACUAUAUAGAGAAAACAAACAAACAACACAUAUUUGAAACAUAAAAGGAAAGGGACACUUCAGUUAGUCGAAAUGAAAGAUAAAAAGGUUUGAACAUAAAUGAAAAAGGGACAAAAUAAGAUAGAUCCCGCACUACAACCCUGAAAUACUUCAGAAAAUAGAAAAGAAAAUAAAACAAACUACCAGAUCUUUUCCUAGUAGGGAGAGAGGUGACUUCUCAAUUGCUCAGCCUGACAAUUUAGCCACUGGUUUGCAUAUAAACAUGACUAGAGCUUCCCUCACUGUCAAUGUUCUGUACCAUAAUUGAUCCAUCUUGAAUCAUUUUUUCAAUUUCCCUUUUCAAAUCUUGACAAUCUUUAAUACUAUGACCCUGAGCACCAGAAUGAUACGCACAUCGUACAUUAGGGUCAAAAUUUCUUGAAUGUCGAUUAAGAGUGCACCCAAGGAGAGGAGUGAUCAUGUCCCAUUAUACCAAUCUCUAAAAUAAAUUGGCAUACGGCUCUCCAAUUAGUGUAAAGCUAUCUCUCAACUUCUGCCUCAUUUCAUCGUUUGGCUUGGAUCGAAAAUCAGGCUUAGAAGGGUUUUGGUAUAUUUGUGGAGUUAGAGGAUGACUCUGAGGAGUUGAUGUGUUCCACUAUGGGUAAGAUGGGGGUCGAACAUGUGGUUGUGCAUUAUACACUGGAUAUGGAUGUGGAGGAACAGAGUAUAAUGACUUUUGGGAGUGAUUAUGUAAAGCUUGGGAAUGAACUUGGGUUUGAGCCUGAGAGUGACGAUGACGAGGUCUUCUUGACCUUUUUUGCUGUCCAACUACAGUAGCAGAUGCAUCUUCCCCAUUCUUUUUCUCCCCAACACUUUUUGAACCCUUUUGAAUUGCUUGAGUAGUCGCUUUCAAUAUUGCAAAACUCACAAUACGACCAGUCUUAAUUCCCUCUUCUAUCAUCUUCCCCAUUUUAAGGACCUCAAUGAACGGCUUGCCUAAUGCAGGUAGCAAGUGUUGAUAAUAUGUUUUGUCCUGUGCCUGAAUAAAUACUUCCACUAUUUUGCUUUCUUUCAUUGGUGGUUUUACUCUAGCAGCUUGUUCGCACCAUCUGAUCGCAUACUCCCUGAAACUCUUAGUAUUCUUCUUUUUUAUACUAGUUAGGGAUUUUUCGUCAAGGAUCAGCUCCACAUUGUAUUGUAAUUUUUUCAUAAAUUCAUUAGCUAGGCCAUCCCAAAUAAUCCACUUGUCAAUGUCUUGGUCAACAAACCAUUCUGAAGCUAGGCCUAAAAGACUCUCAUCGAAAUAUGCCAUGAGUAAUUCUUCCUUCCCUCCAGCGCCCCUUAGCUGGUUGCAAUAGCAUCUCAAAUAUGCUACAGGAUCGCCAUGUCUAUCAUACGUCUCAAGCUUCAGUAUUUUAAAACCAAGAGGAAGAUAUACACCUGGAAACAUGCACAGAUCUUUAUAUGAGACACUUUUGUACCCCCCAAGUCCUUGCAAGUUAUUCAUAGUCAGUUCUAAACUUCUUAAUUUCUUGGCCAUUUCCUUUUGUUCUUCUGCAUAACAGGCUUCUUAGUGUAAGAAGAAAAUUCAUAAGGUUAAGUGCAGUCGUAAGGACCAGUCGACUUAAAUGUGGACUUGGGAGCAUAAUGCUGAUCACUAAAAUAUUCAAUACAGGGUCGCUUGUAGAGUGAGGAAUCACAACCUUUGGAUUGACAUUAAAAGUAGGAGCUUCAGACGAGAGUGGGACUGCAAAAGCAUGAAUAGCAGGCGGAGCCGAGCAUGUGGUAAUUUUGUAUUGAAGAGCGAGCAAAUGAAUAUUAGAAGUGUUUGGAUACUGUUUCCCCGGAGUAGGUCCUGAUGUAUGUUGUGGCGUGUCGACCAAAAUAGGGAAUUGUGCAUGUGACACUGGAGGCAAACUAGAAAGAUAUUCCAGAUUAUCAGUGGGAAAUGGAGAAGCCGGCUACCCAUUAGCCCAAGCUUGAUGCAUUUCUAUCAUUUGCUGCCUUAAUUUCCGAAUCUCUUCAUUAGCUCCUACAACCUUAAUUUCCGAAUCUCAUCAUUAGCUCCUACAUUCUCAUUCCACGAACUCCCUAUCUGAUUAGUGACAACUAACUCAGUAUCCUUGUUGGCCAUAACUUUCUCUGUGAGUUGGAGCAAUAUGGAGGACCAGCUAAAAUGCGACAAACCAACCACCUUAAACUAACUGGACAAGAGAUAGAAAAUGCGUUAGAGUUCAACAAUUUUUCAAAACCUCUUUUUUUUUUCUUGAAAAGAUCACCGAACCCUAAAAGGGCGCCUACGUAUCUCGCCCCAAAAAGGGGAGAAUCGGGUGUGCGUAGUUCGUGAAGUCUUGCUAAAAUGACUAAUUAAACUCUUUUUCUUUUUAUUUUUCUUGAAAUUUUAAGAAGAAAAGAAAAAUAACAAAUUGUCAAAAGAAUAGACGAAAAUCUUUUUGAAUUUUUUAGCUUCCUAUACCAAAUGAAACUUAUGAUUACCAAAGAAAAAUCUUUUUGGAUUUUCGACUUUGAAUUUCAUAUGAAAAUGAAACUUGAACCUAUUAAAGAAAAAUUUGUUUAGUGUUUUUCUUUUAAAGGUGUAUAUGAAACACCUACUCUAAGUGAAGAGUGAAGAAAAUCUUUUUGGAUUUUUAUGAAAUAAGAUCCCCAAACCAACAAUAGGUUGCCUACGUAUCUCACUCCCGAGAGAGGAGAAUCAGGGGUACGUAGUUCGUCCUGAUUGGAUAAUUAAGGAUUAAAUAACAAACUAAGACUUGACCUGAGAGACAGACAAUGAAAGACGUCAAUAAAAUCUUUUUGAGUUUUUUUAAUUUGACACUUCACAUAAAACUGACACCAACAAUUAUGAAAGAAAUUUUUUUUUGGGUAUUUUAGUUAGAUGAAAUGUACAAAACAUCUACCAUCUUUUUGCAUUUUUUCCUUUAUAAAAAGCUCCAAUUAAAAAAGCAUUUUCGAAUUUUUUGAAUUAUGAAUGCAUGGUAAAGGAACAAAAGGAAAAUCUUUUUGAUGUUUUUGAGAAAAUGAGUGAGAAAGGUAAAAAAAUCUUUUCGAAUUUUUGGAUUGUGAAAAACAAAAGCCAUAAAAAACUCUAAAAACUACAAAACUCUUUUUUCCUUUUUGACUUAAUUUUUCAAUUUUUCCUCUUUUUUUUCAAUUUUUUCUUGCCUACACACUUUACUUCUAACACAUGCUUUCCCCAAAUCAGUCCGUCAAAUGACCACGUUAUCCUCAGAGAUGCAACAUUUAGCACGUAGGGAUGCUUUAAAGGUGAGUCUCCUACAAAGGACCGUGUGAGUCCUGCUAGGUCUCAAUAUGAUGCACAUAAGAAUGACCUAAAGGCUGACUUACGUUGUGGUUUACUAACAAGGCCGUUCGGGGGAGCAUAUGGUCAAUAGUGGCUGCUUUGCUUUUCACCUACUCCAUAUAUCCAACAGCUCCCCCCCCCCUAAAAUAAGGGUGACUCAACUAGAGUUCGUGCAUACGACGUGCACUCCAAGACGUUGCAGAAAGAAUUGACUCGGGUUAUGCAAAUGAUGUCAGAUAUAUAAUGGUAACACAUAAAGAAAAAUUGUAAAUAAAGAGUACAGAAAUGCACAACAGUGAUAACAAUAACACAAACAAUAAUCACAAACAAUGUUUAUACACCCAUAAUGCCAAACAAAGCCGAUACGACUCCCCAAAAAAAAAAGCUCGAAUUCUUAAAGAUUCUCCAGCAGAGUCGCCAGAGCUGUCACACCCAUUUUUUAGCUCCCAAAAGAUUCUAUUUUUAAGGUUCGAAAGGAUUUUUAUUAUCAAAGUGACAAAAGAUGAAAAUUUAUUUCGAAAAGGACCUUUUAUAUUCAAAACUCAAAGUCGCCACUUGGCAUAAUUCAGUGUGCCAAGGUACCUUUGAAAAAUCCUUUCCAAAAUGCUUUGACUCUUUAAAACUGGUUUGCGAACAGAGAUUUUGGUUAAGAAAUUCUAUUGAUCGAGGGGAAGGGGUUAGGCACCCCUCGAUCCCGUGGUUUGACCACGGUCUCUUGGUGGAGAGUAUCGGCUAAUUUGACAUUACAAAUGUAUAAACCACACAAAACACAUAAAACAAUCAACUAAACACACGAAACAAAACAAAACAAAUCCAAAAUAUAGUGUUUAGUCCAAUUAUACAGUCCAAAAAUAAGAAAAAUGCAAAAAAUAAAUCAUAUUCUAACCUACAAUAGUACUAAACUAUGCUCCGAUGAUUUACUCCAUCCGAUGUUUUGGGCCUUGGCCAUGCGCCGCCUUCAAGUACAAAUUUCUAGGGGCAUUCCCCGGAUAAAGCAAUACAGAUACCUCAGGGUAUUCCCCGAUCAAAUGAGUAUAUUUUUCAAUUGCGAUAAAACAAAUUCAUUCAACACAUAUUUCAAAAAUUUUACCAAUUUUGCAAUCCCUAAGUGUGCCUACCCCUAUCGUUUGCCUAACAAUUCAUGGCCUAAAGCAUGAUACUAUCGAACUUAACAAAGUCGACGUUUAUUUCAAAUCAAGCAAUCGUUACUAAACUAAUAUAAAUCAAUAUUCACUUUUAACAAUUUUUUAUCUUUUCCCCCAAAAUCCAACUUAACCUCAAAUCAACUACGUGAUAAACAUACUUCACACCAGGAUUAACAAUCAAAUAACGACGAGUAAAAUCACCUCAACCAAAUUCAAUCAAAAAUUACGCCAUUCAAAAAUAUUCACAAAAAGAGAGAUAAAAGAUAUAGAAUUGGACCUCAAUCGCUCAUUUUAUUCCAAAAUUAGUGAUGGAUUGGAAUUCACGAGCAACAAAACCUCGACCCAACUGGAACCUCAAUGUCGAACCCGCAACUUAAAAAAAUACCAAAGAGCACAACCCAACUCGAGUUUUAUGAAUAAAAAUCUAUGAAAAUCAUCAAUCCAAAACGAACUACUAGGAACCAAACGAGACAAUAGUAUCCAAAACCCGAACCCAUUCCAACGCUAAACCUUUUUUUGAACCAAUUUUGGAAGAAGAAUCUGGAGUCGUUACUGUUCACCUAUUUUCGGUGGGUAACGUUAGUGAUCCUCAGUUUUUGGUCGAAAAAAGGGGAACGAUAGAGAGCUGGUGGAUUUUUUGAUAGGAGAAAAUGAAUUUUGGCGAUAAUCUCGCCAGAAAAUUCAGAAUAUUAGUUGUUUCCGGUGACUUCCCCACUCCAUUUUCCGUUUCUCGUCUUUCUGUCUCCGAUCUACCUCUCAAUCUCCCAAUCUCUACUCUAAUUCCUCAACCCUCGAUCUCUCUCUGCUUGUGAUCCUCACUCUCUCGAUCUCACUAUUCCCCCUUCGAUUCACCUCGCAUCUCACUAUUUUUUCACCAUUUAUAUGUAAUUUGGGUAUAGGUGUGCGUGUAUAUGGUUGUGCUUAAGAGUGGAAUUAUGAGUUGGUGCGUGGUUUUUGUGUAUUGUCGAUCCAAGAAGAGAAAAAGAAAAAUGGAUCCCCCCUGGUGUGCCUGAUCUUUGAGGUAUAUGGUGUAUGGAGUAUAUGUGAGAUGGUGUUCUGUGGGUUGGAAGAAGAAGAACUUUUGUGUAUAUAUCUCUUGUGAAAAAAAAUCCCCAAAAUUCGUGGGGCCCUCUCCUUUUUGUUGUUAGUGUAUUUAACAAUAUUAGGAAUAUUCUCCCAUGGGGCCCACUUCUUUUUUUGUUUUCUUUUCGAAAUAGUUUCAACUUGGAUAAAAAAAAGUGAGGGGUAGGAAAAUUGGGGUGUGACGUGUCCUAAUUUCAUAGGAUAUGGUUGUUAGGAUAAGGUGUAAAGUUGGUUAAGAUAAGGUUGUUAAUUUGUUAGGGAGUUUGUUAUUUUUGUAUUUUUGUGGGGUAUGAUCACAUGGAUGAGGACACGUGGUAAGGUGAGCUAAAAAUGGAUAAAAUCAAUGUUGGGACGAAUAAAAUUAGGUGUCUAUAGUCCGUAAAGCCAACAAUUCAAUUUAGCAGUCAGGCGGACAGGUUCAUAUGGUUUCCUAUCUUUUCAUCUAAUCGCACUACCUGAAGUCUCAUGAAUAUAACCAUUCCAAGCUGGGGCAACCAGGUAGUUGCGAGUUUAGCUCAGUUCAUGUAUUAUGCCUCAGUUUCAGAUCCUCGAUAUGCAGUCAAGAUUCAGUUAAUAGGUGCCCUGUGCAUCGUCUCAGUUUUUCCUCAGUAUCUCAGCCAAGUCAGCAUUCUUCAGGGGAUAUAAUGUCCCAAGGGGGAGAUGCGCUAUAAUCCCUCGAGCUUUUAUGACCUAAACCUUCCAUCUUCUCUUUAUGUAAUGAAUCCAAUUUGGAGUAGUGGGUGCUCAUAGGUGGACCCUCAAGUACCAAUAUCAGUCGUAAGCCAUGCAUCCAGGGGCUCAGUUUAGUUUAUGAUAUUCAGUUCACGUAUCACAUUUCAGGCUUAGUCAUGUUCUCAUGUUCCCGUUCAUGCAUGUUUAGUAAAUGAUCUCAGGUUCAUUAGUAUUCUCAGUUUAAGGCAACAGGUUUCCUUAGAUUGGCUUAGUUCCAUGUUCAGGUUCAGCUACCGUUGCACAUUCAGUCAUACAUUUAUGAAUCAGUUCAGUCAUGUACUCAUUCAUCAGAUAUGCAUGUACAGAUUGAAAACUCAACUUAUUAGUAGUUUCAGUCAGGUGUUUGUCACGACCCGAACAAGGCCCUGGCCGUGACGAGCAUCCUGAGCUGUAAAGGCCCGAGCUCCCCUUUAUUAAUAGGCAAUCAUACACACGUUCAUACAAUCAUAAAGAGAAUGCGGAAUGGAUUCAUACGGAAACAUGGUCAAUAACAUCAUACGACUGAAAAGUCAAAGAUUUCAAUAAGACCUUCAACAUCAUCUAACAUCUAUCUGCAAAAUCUCUAGUAUAUCAAAACCAGUCAUCACAACUAAAACUGGGAUAAGGUCCCCAGUGGACCUAAACCAAAAUAAAUAAUAUAUGACAGAAAGAAAUAGACCUUUCGGAAUAAAGAAGGCUCACCAAUUGCAACACACUUCACUUCUGCCCGAAAACUCUACGGCUUUUCAGGAUCUCUAGACUGAGCCUCAGAUACUGGAAUAUAGGGGGUCAAAUCAAUUGUAAUGUAGCAGAGUAAUCCAAAAAUAAAAUACAACUUUUAUAUAACAUAGGUGAGAGCUAUUAUAAAACACUUUAACGUAAAAUCGUUUGAAAACACAUUGGCAUAGUAUAAUGAUUUUUCAACAAAAAUGCAGCACUAUUUAGCUAGAUGGUACACCCUACAAUUUCACAUUUUCACCAACUUCCAAGUCUCGAUUGCCACCAAGAUUGGAGUAUUAGUGAGGAAAGGACACACAAGAUCAUACAGCAGGGUGCCACAAUCCCAAUCAAUUCAAUAUGUCGUGGUUGGGCUCAAGAUCAUAAAGCAGGGCUCCUAACCAUUGGUCCCAAUUUGGGAUGAUAUAGUACUAGGUACACAAGAUCACAUAGUAGGGUACCAAGUUCCCGUGUUGGCAAUUCACGGUUCCCAGCAUAGAGUCAUCUGACUCAUGCUUUCUUCAGGUAACCAUCUAACUCAUAUCAAUUUAAUAUUUAAGUUUGAUAUAAGACAAAACAUGCAUCAUACUCACAACAUUCUCUUCCUCUUUUUAUUCGAGGAAAUUCCUUCACACGUUUUAUGCAAGUCAUUAUAUGAACACCAACAAGACUCCCAUACACCAACAUAAGCAUAUCGAUUCCCCAACACGAAAUAGUCAAGAAACUUCAACAUUUACCAAGAAACCAUCAGGAUAGCCUAGUUGCUUUGGAGGGCGGUUACCCACCCGGGUGACCAGGGAUCGAUUCCCCCCUCAAUGCCUUCUGGGUUUGAGCCUGUCGCACAGGGCUUGCCUAGUGCGGUUUAUAUCCCCAUGUGGUUUGUAGGCUAUUGCAUCGGGGGGUUUACCCAGUGCGCAUACAGUGCUCACCCGAAGGGAAGAGGCUGUGGCAGAGGGUGUAGCGGCUGCGGGUUUUUCUGGAAAGUUUCCAAAAAAAAUACAUUAUCCAAACACACUUUUCCAUGAUAAAAAAGGGGUUUUAAAAACACAUGCUCUCAAUACUUUAACAAUAGCAUUAUGUGGGGUUCAUAAACAUCAUCAUGAGAAAUAAAGAAUUCACAACUCAUGUUCAUAACACUUUUUAAAAUUCAAAUCACAUGUCCACAAAUCCAAAAAUUGAGAUACAUAAGCAAACAACCCCAUAUUCUUUCAAUAUUCUUCUCAAAACCAUAUCACAAUGCAUGCUUUUUGUGUUAAAACGAAACCCCACUUAUAAUGGCAUACAUACAUACAUACAUAAUUAUUAAAAAAUCUUAUUUAAAUUCAUAUCAAAAUCAUGUCCAUGAGAUUUAGGAUAACCCCACAUACUUUAGAUUAAUUAGUUUAGAGAGAAGAACCUGAAUCUCCAUUCAUUCUUUGGAAAUCUUGAACUUAGAGGUUGGUUCUUGAUUCCUUGUUCUUGGGAGAAACCCUAAUUUUGAUGUUAUGAAUGAAUAAGGAGUUAUGUCCUUUGAUUUGAUGUAAUAAGGUGUUAAAAAAGUGAAAAAGACCCAAAAAUUUCUUUAAAAACGGCUUUAGAUCACUAAACGGAGGUUCGAGACGGUUUGGGCGACGAACCGUCACCCCAGGGAUGGACCGUCCCUCAAACCAUCACUUUUUGGCCAGAAAAUGGACUUACUACCUCAGUUGCGAUGGUUUGGCUGGCGGUCCAUCGCUGGCGCGAUGGUCCGUUGGCCUUCUCGUCGCACUUUGGCAGUUCGUAUAGCUCCAAAUAAGUUUUUCUAAUAGUAAAAAGCACCUUAAAACCACUCAUAAGUUGGAGAUGAGGAUGAUGAGUUGGGAUCCGGCCAUAACUUUUUACCCCGAUAUCGGAUUUAGGAAAAAUUGGUGGUGUUGGAAAGAGGACUCAAAGAACUUUCAUUUUAUAUAGAGUAGGCCCUCUAAUUCUAUAUAUACAAAAAGUUAUGGUCAAUUGAAAUUAACCUGAGUUUAAAUGCUCACCAAAACUAAAUCGAUAGGAAGGCUUUCAACUCAUCCUUGAGUUAAGGGAUCUCUAUGAUCUUAAUUCAUGCUCAACUAGAUUUCCACACUAUUAGUUGAUUAACACACUACAUUUACAUUAGAUUUAUGAUUUUUGGAUUAUUUACGCGUGGAAAUAACGGUUUAUAUUGUUUAAUUAUAUUGUUUUUAUAUCUCUAUUUUGAGAUUUUUUAUUGUGUUAAUGUUAAGUUUAAUUGUAUUUUUUGAUAUCUCUAUUAUAUAGUAUUAUUUUGUUGUAGUUUACAAGUGGUAGAUGGGUGUCAGAUGGCUUUGACAAAUUUUUUGUGUAAAGGUUAGAUUUAAUUAUACUGUUUUGACUAAAAAAAAUAACUACUCCCUCCGUUUAAAAAAGAAUGACCUACUUUCCUUUUUUGUUGGUUUCAAAAGAAUGACCCCUUUUCUUUUUUAGCAAUACUUUAAUUUCAACUUUCCAUAUGACAUGUUUAGAACCAUGAGAUUAAAGGACAUUUUGGUACAUUUAACCUAAUUUUAAUUUAAGGCCACAAGAUUCAAAAAUCUUCUUUAUUUUCUUAAACUUUGUGCCAAUUCAAAGUAGGUCAUUCUUUUUUAAUGGAGGGAGUAUCAUUCUUUUUUGAACUUGAAAUAUCAAGGUGAAUUUUUUAUGGAGAGGAUUCGGAUGAACACCUUCGCCCCUAAAUCCAACCUUGUACAUAAUGACCAAGUUUUUUUUUCCUUCUAGCAUGCAUCAUGUGUGUCAUCACUUCACCUGAUACUUCUAAAUCUAGCUUGGUACUCUUCUUUUAAUCAUCUACUUGCUUUCUUACAACAAUUGGAAUUCUAACAAAAUAUUUGCCAUCACUCCAUGACAAACUUCUGAAGGUAAAUUUACCACUUUUUGGGCAAGUGGAUGUGAUCUUUACCUCAAAGGAAAUCUUGGUUAUCUUGGAAGUAAACUUCAACACAUCUGGAGUUACUUUAAUAGCAGUAUUUCUCGGAGGUUUAACCACUAAUCUAUAUAUAGAGUUAGCAUUUCCAACAUUGAAAAUUUAUUCGGGUUGUGGAUCGAAGAUAAUAUUUAAGCUCUUCCCAAUAAUUUGAUGUGUAAGCUCUCUCAUCAACACUGUUCCAACAAGGUAAAUCAUAAAAGGAAUCAGGAAAACUAUUAUGUGUCGGCCUUUUAGAAGAUGAUAGCUCCUCGGGAGGAUGAGGAGCGAUAGUUGGAGUGAUAUUUGUAGGUACUACUAAAUCAACUAAAUCAGCAUAGUGAUUAUAUAAUUUUUCUAUAUAUUCAUUAGCAUCACCCAUAGUCGUCCACAAAUCAGAUUGUACUUGUUCAGAAUCGUUGUUAGUAUUUAUUUCUAAGUUAGCAUAAAUAAGAGUACUAAGUGGCACAUAGUAUUAUAUUUCAUGCACGAAUUUAGCAUAGCACCAACCAAGUAAAUAAGGGGAAUCAGAAAAAAAUAUUUUUUAAAUUUAGUAAACAUGGUACCAACAACUUCUUUAUAACCUUCUUUAUUUUUAUAUUCUUUGAGCAAACCAAAAAUAUUGACUAUAUAUACCAAAAUAUUACAAACAGUAGGAUAAUAAGCACCGAAAAAUUCAACCGUAGUUAUAUAAUUUUUUUCUAAAAACUUAACAAGAUCAUUAAUUACAACCUAAUCAGAAUCAUGUAGCAUGCAAUCAACAGAAUCAGCAAAUGAACCACAAUGUUGGUUAAAAGUUAGUGUAAUAGGAACUCUAUAUUUAUAACAAGUUUUAAAAAAUCAUACGUACAAUUCCAUCUAAUAUCCUCAGGCAUCAAUAUCGGUGCAAGUCCAUUUUCUUGACAUUUAACUUUAAAUUAUCUAAUUCUUUUUCUUCGAUUAUUGCCUUGAAUAAAACAAACAGCAAAACGAAUUUUUUCAAUAUAAAGCUCAAAAAACUCGAGAUCAUCUUUUAAUUUAAAUUAUAUAUAUGACAAGCACACUUAAUAUGAAAAAUUUCAGGUAACAGCGUAGAUAGGUCAGAUUUUAACUUUGUUAUAACAGUCUUGUUGUUAGAAGCAUUAUCAAAAGCAAUACAUAAGAUUUUAUUUUCGAUACCAUAAAAUUCUGCAACUUUAGCAAUCGAAUCAGUAAUAAAAUCUCCAGUAUGUUUACGAUCUUCAUCAUAUAAAAAAGCAAGAAUACGUUUUUGCAUCACAAAAUUACUAUCCAUCCAGUGACAAGUAACGGUUAAAUAAUCAUUUUUAUUUACAGUACGACCAAGAUCAGAAGUUAGGGACAAUCUACAUUGAAUAGUUUUUGACAAUGUUGAUAAAUAAAAAUAAUAUUGUGAAUGAAGUCUAAAAAUAUCAGACCGACAAGUACUUCUACGAAUACCAUUAAACAUAGGAUUAUAAAUUACUCGUAUAUAAUGAAUAAAGGCAUCAGAAGAAGGAAAACUAAAAGACAAACAAUCCAUAACUACCAUUUUAGUUAUUUUUUACCGGUCCCUCAAUUUAUUAUACUUCUUCAUUACCUGACCAGUUGCUGGGUUCAUUCUAGUUUGCGUUGGCCCACCAACAUCCCCACCACCUCGUGCAAUAUUUAACUCUCUUUCAUGAGCAUUACCUAUAUGUCUCAAUAAUGUACCCGUACCCCCUUGCUUGCCUCCGUUUUUAUACUUAUAUAUUUAUUGACAAAUAUUGCAUUGCACCUCAGUAUUUGAUAUACGUUCAAAAAAUUGUCAUGCAAUGCUAGUUGUUUUACGAGCUCUUGGGGCACGAGGAGGACGGGGAGGGAGAUUAAUUGAUUCAGAUCUAACUUUAGCAUUUCCUAUUGUGGGUGUCUCACCAAUAUUUUCAUCAUCUUCGUCCAAAUUAACCGUUUCUACUUUAUUUUCUUCUUCUAUACCGUAAAUUUUCUGAGCUUCUACAUAAUCCAUAUCGUGAGCACCUACACCUAUUUCUUCCUCAAAAGAUGUACCAAGCGGUACCGGAGGUGAAGGCACACGGGUAUAUCUACUACUUGAAGUACCUCUACCGCUAGUAAUUCACUUUUUACUACCACUACCGCUUCAGGGAUAAAAUUUUUUAACACUUUUAGUAGCGAGGUUUCUUAAUUUAUAUAUAAUAUAAAUUAAACAAAAAAAUUCAAAAUACACAAAUAUAAUAAAAUUAAAUAUUCAACAAUUAAUACACUAAAUAAAAAUUAAACGUAAGAGAUGGAACGACAAUACCAAAUUUUGAAAGUAUCCGAAGAUUGUGACUUUAGAAACUUUCACUCGUACUUUGUAAUCACAAAAUUAAAAAAUUAAAGUGAGCACUUUAGAAAAUUAAAUAUAUAGAAUAUUUGAGAAUUGAGAAUUGAGAUUUGAGAGAAUAAAAAAUUGUGUGAAAAAUGAUUUGAAGGUGUAGGGUAGUUAUAGAAUUUUUUUUGGAUUAAAAAAAUAAUUAAAAUGAAAAAAAAAUUAAUAAAAGGUCCCAAACUAGUUGUUUGGACCCAAAAACGGUUAUAUAGCCGUUGGGCCAACGGCUAAUUUGGCCCAAAUCUCCAAUUUUUUUUUUUUAAAAAAAGUUAACCGGGUCGGGCCGGUUAACCGGCGGACCUGAACCAGUUUUGGUCUGGGUUGGGUUAACCGGACCCAAUUUCAAAAUUAAACCGGUCCGGGACCUGGUACGCUACAGCUUGUGGGUUGAUCGGGCCGAUUUUUUUAAGUGGGCCGGGUUGACAGCCUUAACUUAUUGACAAAAUGGACCAGAAGCAAUUGCUAACCUCUUGAAUACAGGUUCGAUUCUCCUUGGGAAUUAAUAAACGUUCUUAAAGUAAUGUGAGAUUUUUGAGGUUUCAUAAAACUCAAAUCUUAAAUUUGUUUAUGAUGAGUAUAUGCUUUUAUACUCAAUUGCGGAGCUGGACACAUUGGGCGGACAGCACUCUGAUCAUGCAGCUUCUUCGUGCUAACCUCACUUUAUGGACCUCCGAUAUGCGGAAUGAUGGAACCGACGAGAUCAAAGAAGCAGCACCGAAACCAGAUAAUGAAUGAGAAGGCAGUAAAAACUGGUGAAAUUUCUUUUAAGAUUCAAACAUGCCAUGUUGUAACUUCGUUAUUUGUCUGGGCUCAGCUCUUUGUUAGUUCUAGAUCUUGUGAUUUGUAAUACCUAAAAAUCAACCCGUUGUUAUUUCUUGUUUUUCGUUUGUUUCUCUGUGGAUUUCUCUUGUAUUUGGAUUAUUUCCUUUUUCUCAAAGGAAUGACUUAUGGGAAGUUGGAUCUAUCUUUUAAUCCAAAAAUAAAAUAAAAUAUAUAUAUGUUGUAGUAUUGAGUGAUAUUAUAUCCCCUUUCUCAAACAUCGAUAUCCAUAGCUCUUUCUUUAUUUUUUUUAUUUUUGAAAACCAAGACUUCCUAGGACUCUAUUGAAUCUUAGACUAUGAUACUAAUUUUGUAAUAACCCAAUUUGCUAAACUAGAAUGCUACACAGUGCUUAUGACCCCGAAAUAUCACAAGCUAACCCAUGACUGAUAUCUGUACCUGUACACUGCAUAAUAUACAUGUAAAAUGUGGAAAACAUGAACAAUAGGCCAUAAGGUUCAACUAAAUAGAAUAUCUGAUAAAUAAUAACAUCCAUAUGGGGUAACAAAUAACCAAAACAACUGAAGCCUGGAUCAAAAAUUAAAAGCCUCUAAAUACUGUCUGAAAUAAGGAGUUGAGGGAAUAUGUCUCCAACUAACUCCGUCUAGCAAAACUGAACUAAAAUAAUGAAUAAAAUAAAAUAAAGUCAUCCUCAGAUGGAUGAGGACUCACUGCCACUCUGCAUACUGGAAUGCUACUGGUACUGCUGAUCUGUAACUCGUGACUCUGAACCUAUGGUGUAACAUAAAAGAAAGCACCAUAGCGAAAAUGCGUCAGUACAACUGAAAGUACUGAGUAUAUGAGUGGGGUAGGCUAAAUUCAAAAAGGUUUACAUGCAUGGCCAAUGCUUAUUGACUGACUAAUAUGAAUGUGAGAGUGUAAACAUGCAUACAUAGUAACUGAGAUCGUUAAUAUGUGAUAUCUGAAUCUGUACGCUAAUACAUAGUUUACUGUUAUCUAACAUGACUGAUACUGGAAUUUUGAUAACAUGGAUGACUGUGUCUGACAGUCUUAAAUCUAAUGGUACUACCUGAGUUCUGUACUGUAACUGAAUUGACUGUAACUGAUAGUCCUGGUAUACUAAAAUUUGAAGGAAUAUCUGAGUUCUUUUACUGAGAUUGGAACUAAAACUAUGGGAGGUAGUUGCUUAACCAAAAUGCCCCAAUAAUGCAUAUAGCUAAGUUGGGGUCCAAUCUCUGCCCCGACUGAAAGGUGUCAAUACCGCGCCACUGGUAAGGACAGCUGUGAGUGACCCUUAGCUGGCAGGUACUCGAAUAAGAAUGGUGGGAACCCUAAACUAACAGAUUAAGCCACCUCAUCAACCCUAAUCUGGUAGGUUAAGAUGUCUCAACCUACGCUGGCUACGUAGUUCUAGAACACAAGGAUUACUACUAAGAAUCACACCCUAAACUGGCAGGUGAUUUUCCAUCCUUGGGUUCACUCGGUGAUAACUUAUACUCCCAUCUAAAGAGACUGAACAUUAUUUAACUGGCUGUACAUGGACUGAGUAACUGACUUCCGUUGACUGACGAAAUAGAACUACUAUCUGAGAAUUCAUUGAGAUCAUGAGAUUUCUGAGAUUUCCUGAGUCACAUGACUGACUGAGUUCUAUAGAUCAUGCCUUGAUUGAGAUUAUUGUGAUAACGUGACAUGGUUCUGGGCACACAGCUAUAUUUUUUGAGUACAAGUAUCCCGAGGAAUCGAUGGAAGGAAACUGACACACAUAAUUGACUUGAUCAUAAAAAUAGAGUCCACAAUUCACCAUAUCAUAAGUAGGGGAUUUCACACUAAGCAUAGUUCUCAACACCUUGCGUAUGGAAGGGACACUUGCAUACCUUCAAUAUCAUACUCAAUCCAUAUCACAACAACGACGCAUAUCCAUCACGUGGAAUUCAUGUGUAAUCAUAAAGCAUAAAGCAUGGACUUGUCAUUUAAGCACUAUUAAAUUAUGGGACAUGAAUCUUAUCACCUUAAGCAUUUUAUCAAACACUUUGCAUGCAUUCUUUUAGCUUAGGUGUGUUUUCAUGAAUUUCCCCAUUUUAAACCACAUAAAGUUCAUGGAUUUCAACUAACGAACACAUAUACUUCUUGAAAACACCUUUAGAUAUCAUCUUGAAACUUAAACAACAAUCAUCAAUAUGUACAUGGUCAUAUCACAACAAGACAAUCACAAAAUAACAUUUAAAACAUGGUUCUUGAGCUCUAUGAACGAAAUGGAUCCAUAGAUGAACACUACGCAUACCUUAGAUGGAAGAUCCGUGAAAAUUAACGGUGAAAUCCUUUGAAUCUUAAAGCUUCUAUGAAAAACCUAAGGGAUUCUUCAGAGAAUUUUGAGUAAAGAGAGUAUAAUGUGGUUGUAUUGGGGCUAAAUUUCGUGUUUAUGGAAUAUAUAGGGGUGGAAAGAUGACCCAAAUACCCUUCUAGAUGCGUCAUUUAAUAUCUGUGAAAAUUACUCAAUUUGGGCCCCUGGUGCGAUGCAGAGAUAUCGUAUUGCAACCCGUUUGUCAUUUGGAAACUCACCGCGAUGUGGUGGAAUCGUGGAGAGACACUGUAAAUUGACGAACAUCAUUUUGGCUUAUGGUGCGAUGCGCCACUGACUGAAAUGACGCUGCUGAAACUUUAAAUAGCUAUAACUUCUUCACCGAGUGUUCGUUUUAGGCGAAUUUGGUAUCGAUGGAAAGCUUAUUCAAUUAUCUACGGGUAUAAAUCUACCAAAAUACCACCUAUUAAAAAGUUAUUCUUUUUAAAUAUGACCUAUGUUAAAUCACACACAAAAACUUGAUGGAUUUAAAAGUUCUUAGCUUGGCUUACUCUAAGUGACUCUUAUGAACAUGCUUAACACAUCAUAAGCUCUAUUAUCACUAGGAUACUCAUCCUAAUUCAUGUACUCAUAUAUGAAUCACAGGAUAGAAGGUUUCAUGUGUAGGAACAACGGUUCAUCUUCUAGCUUAGAAAUAUAUGGGGUAUUACAUAAUGACCUCAAAAUUGAGUUUCUUCCUUAGGUCAAUUGCAUUUAAGACCUUAUUCAGCUUGUGACGCCUUGAAGGGUUUUUGACAACAAGCCUCUCCCAUUUUCUUUUCCUCAGCUCACCAUUGCCUUAUGGUGUCCGUGAUGGUUUUUCACUAAUGAGACUCUCUUAUUUUCAUUUGUCUCAACUCACCGUCGUCUUACAGUGCCUGUGAGGGUUCUCACUGAUAAAACUCUCUUAUUUUAUCUCUCUCAGCUUACUAUCAUCUUAUGAUACCCGUGAGGAUUUUCACUGAUAAGACACUCUCAUUUUCAUUUCUCUCCUGAUUCCUUAUGCUGAGGAAGACAAGUAGUUCCCAAAAUGCGUCAUCACAUCCAUAUCAUGCUUAGCCUUAAAAUUCUCAAAUAUUGAUUUGAAGGUCUUUCUUUGGUUGUAACUUGGCUUUUGGAUAGAAUUAGAAAGAAAGGAUGGCAUGGGGCCCAAACGACACUUGUAGUGGGGGUGACUUACAACUUUUGGAAUCGAUUCAAAUAAUGAGGAUCAACUCAUGCCCCAGUUUAUUUUGACUGGGAAAUUCUAAAUUAUUUGUUUGGUUGAUCGAGCCCCGUAUAGGGAAGCCUACGUAUCUCACUCCCAAGGAAGGAGAAUCAGGUCACACGUAGUUCCGGCAACUUGUUCUUUAUCUUGAUUCUGACUUCUUCUUCUUUUUAUUGACUCUUGAGCUAUGAUUUUCAAUUGAUGACCAAGUUAUUCUUGGGAUUCUCAAAAUAAUUGCCUUAAUUUUCAAAGAAGGCUUCAACUUGUCACCAAAUGUCUCAACACUCUACCUAUUUUUUCAGAUAUUUUUCUGACUUUAGAACUAUGAUUCAAUGUGUCGUGAUUAAAUUGGAUUUUAAGAUCUGACUGAAAAUUUUGCAAGCAUUUGAUAUCACUAGAAUCAACAUAAAAUGAACUUUAUAAAGAAAAUAAAUUAACAAAUAACACCUAUUUAAAACAUAAAGGGAAAUGGACACUCCAUUUAGUUGAAAUGAAAGAUAGAAGGAUUUGAACAUAACGACAAAGGGACAAAACAAGAUAGAUCCAGAACUACAACCCUAAAAUAAUUUGAAUAACAAAAAAUAAAAUAAAACACACUACCAGACCUCUUCCUAGUAGGGAGGUAGGUGACUUCUCAAUUGCUCAUCCGUACAUCUUAGCCAUUGGUUUGCAUAUCAGCAUGACUAGAGCUUUUCCCACUGUCAAUGGUUUGCCCCAUAAUUGAUUUAUCUUGAAUCAUCUUUUCAAUUUCUCUUUUCAAAGCAUGACAAUCUUCAAUACUAUGAUCCUGAACAUCAGAAUAAUAGGCACAUCGUACAUUAGGAUUAAAGCUUUUUGAAUGCGGGUCAGAGUAUACCCAAAGAGAGAAGUGAUCAUGCCCCGUUGUACCAAUCUCUAGAAUAAACUGGCAUAUAACUCUCCUAUUGGUUUGAAGCUAUCUCUCAACUUUUGCCUCGUUUCAUUUUUUGUCUUGGACCAAAAAUCUGGCCAAGAAGGGAUUUGGUAUGUUUGUGGAGUUGGAGGAUGACUCUGAGGAGUUAGUGCAUGCCAUUGUGAAUAAGAAGGGAGUUGAACAUAUGGUUGUGCGCAGUAUACUAGAUAUGGAGGUAGGGAAAUGGAGUAUAAUGGAUUUUGGAAGGGAUUAUAAAGAGCUUACGUAUGAACUUGGGCUUAAGACUAAUGGCAACGACAACGACAUCUUCUUGGAUGUGACCGUUCUCCAACUACAAUAGCAGUUGUAUCUUUCUUAUCCUUUUUCUCUCCAGUUUCCCUUAAUUGAUUGCAAUAUUAUCCCAAAUGUUUCAUGGAUUUCUCCUGUCCAUCUUGCUCCUUAAAUUUCGAUGUCUCGAGGCUUGAAGGAGGGUUAACACUUGAAGAUAUGCCCCAGUUUUUGUAUGUAACAUCUUCUUUACCCGCAUGUCCUAGGAAACUUUUCCUAGCAUUUUCUGCACUCUUCAUUUUUUCAACCAUUUUCUCCGGCUCUCAUGGAAAGCUAGACUUCUUGUUAAGAAAUUUUUGUGGUCCAAUUAACAUUGAUGUGGGCUUGGGAGUAUAGCAAUGAUUAUCAAGAGUAUUGAACAUGGGUCCACUAGCAGAUUGGGGCAGCAUAACCGUUGAAUUGUUAUCCAAAGUGGAAGCCUCAACAGAAGGUUUAGCAAUAAAAGCAUAGGCAGUCAGUGGUGCGUUCAAUGUAGUAGGUUUAUACUGAGAAGCUAGAGGAAGAGAGGGGGAAGUAUUGGGAUGCUUUUGUCUUAGAAGAAAUUCUGAAUCAUGUUGCAAUGCAUCAACAAUAAUAGGAAACUUCCUUUGCAAUUUUGGUAGAAAACUCGAGGUAUUUGUAGAUCAGUAGCGGGAAAUAGAGGAAGAGGCAACCCACUGGCCCAAGCUUGGUGCAUUUUUGCCAUUUGUUUCCUUAGUAUCCUAAUCUCUUGCCUUAAACUCUCAUUUUCCUGAGUCUUGGUUUGAUCCGUAAUGUCAAUCCAUAUAUUCUAGUUGGAAACAACUAACCCUUUGGAAUUGGUGUGAUGUGAAGAAUCAACUACAAUGUCAAAAUGACACAAACCAACCACCUUAAACUAACUCAAAAGAAGAUAACAAACAUGUUAGAGUUCAACACUUUUCAAAAGCCUUUUUCAUUUUUUUCCUCCUUUUUUUUUUGAAAAAUAUCACCGAACCCAAGAAGGACGCCUACGUAUCUCACUCCUGAAAGAGGAGAAUCAGGUGUGCGUAGUUCAUGAAGUUUUGCCAAAAUGGCCGGUAAAACUCUCUUUCUUUUUUUUGUUGACACUUUAAGAAGAAAAGAAAAUAAUAAAUUGUCAAAAGAAUUGACGAGAAAUCUUUUUUUUGCGUUUUUCAAUUUUAACACCCCUAUACAAAAUGAAACCUACGAUUACCAAAGAAACUCUUUUAAGGUUUUCAAUUUUGAAUUUCAUACGAAAAUGAAACAUGAACCUAUUAAAGGAAAAUUUUUUUAUAUUUUUCGUUUAAAGAUGUAUAUGAAACACCUACUCUAAAUGAAGAGUUAAGAAAAUCUUUUAUGAAUUUUUUUUCUAUAUUCAUAUACAAAAUGAAACCUAUGAUUAUCAAAGAAAAUCGUUUGGAGUUUUCAAUUUUGAAUUUCAAAUGAAAAUGAAAAUUGGAACUAUAAAAAAAAAUCUUUUUGUAGUUUUCUUUUAAAGAAGUAUAUGACACUUACUCUAAUAAAGAGUGAAGAAAAUCUUUUUGGAUUUUUCAAAUAGGAUCCGAGAACCAACAAUAGGCUGCCUACGUAUAUCACUCCCAAGAGAGGAGAAUCAGAGGUGUGUAGUUCAUCCAGACAGGACAAUUAAGGAUUAAAUAACCGAUUGGACCCUGACUUGAGAGAUGCGACCACAAACAGAAGAUGAAAAAUAUCAAUAAAAUCUUUUUGAGUUUUGAAUUUGACACUUAACAUAAAACUGACACCAACAAACUAUGAAAGAAAAAUCUUUUUGGUAUUUUCGUUAUAUGAAAUGUACAAAACUUCUACCAUCUUUUUUUGCAUUUUUCCUUUAUAAAAAGCUCCAAUUAAAAAUAAUCUUUUUGAAAAUUUUGAAUUAUGAGUGCAUGGUAAAGGAGCAAAAGGAAUUUUUUUUUUAAUUUUUUUUGAGAAAAUGAGUGCAAAAAGUAAAAAAAAUCUUUUUGAAUUUUUAGAUUGUGAAAAAAAAAUCAAAAGUCAUAAAGAACUCUAAAAACUAUGAACUCUCUUUUUUCUUUUCGACUCACUUUUUGUUUCUUUUUUUUUUUCUUUUUUUUUAAUUUUUCAUUGCCUACACACUUUACUUCUAACAUAUGCUUUCCCCAAAUCAGUCUGUCAAAUGACCACGUUACCCUCAAAGAUGCAACAAUUAGCACGUAGGGAUGCUUUAGAGGUGAGUCUCCUACAAAGGGUCACGUGGGUCCCUCUAGGUCUCAAUAUGAUAAAGAUAAGCAUGACCUAAAGACUGACCUACAUUGGGGUCCACUAACAAGGUUGUUCAGGGGAGCGUAUGGUCGAUAAUGGCUUGCUUUAGCUGUCCACCUACUCUAUACAACCCAACGGCUCCCCCUCCUAAAAUAAGGGUGACUCAACUAUAGGUCGUGUACACACGUGUACUACGGACUUGUUGCAGGAAGAAAAACUCGGAUUAUGCAUGCGAUGUCAGCUAUAAAGCGGUAACAUAUAAAGUAAAAAUUGUAAAGAAAGAGCAUGUAGGCACUCAACAAUGAUAAACAAUAACUCAAAACACAAACAAAAUGUCUAUACACCUGUAGUGCCAAACAAAGCCAAUACAAAUCCAAAAUAAGCUCGAAUUCUGAAAAAUCCCCAGCAGAGUCGCCAGAGCUGUCACACCCCCCUUUUAACCAAAAAAUUAUUUUUAAAAUUUGAAACUGUUUUUAUUAUUAAGUGACAAAAGAAAAUGAUUUAUUCUGUAAUGGAUUAUUUAUAUUCAAAACUCAGAGUCGCCACUUGACAUAAUCCGGUGUGCCAAGUCACCUUUGGAAAAUUCUAUUCAAAAUGAUUUGACUCUUUAAAACUAGUUUGUGACAAGAGAUUCCGGCUAAGGAAUUCUGUUGACCGAGGGGAAGGUGUUAGGCACCCCUCGAUCCCGUGGUUCGACCACGGUCGCUUGGUGGAGCAUAUCGGCUUAUUUAAACACUAUGAAUGUAUAAACCACACAAAAGCACAUAAAACAGUCAAUCAAAACAAACCUAAAAUAUAAUGUCCAGUCUAAUUAUACAGUUUGAAAUAGAAAAGUGCGAAAAAUAUAAACCUGCUCUAUUCUAACCCUAUACUAUGCUUUACCCGACGCCUUGGGCCUUCAUCACGAACAUCCUCUGGGUACAGGAUACUUUGGGGCAUUGUCCGAUAAAUAAAUACAGAUGGACUCGGGGCAUUCCUUGGCUAAAUAAAUACAUUUUUAGUGCAAGAAAAUCAAACCACUCGACGAAAUUUCAAACAUUCAACAAAACCACAAGUCUUAAACUUUUUCUACCCAAAACCUAUGAUUUGCCUACCAAUCCUCGGUCUAAACAGGAUACUAUCGACAUUCAACAUCAACAAUGACUCAAAAAUACCAUAAUAUCCACUUUUUAUUAAUUUUCUAUUUCCACCCCCAAAUCCAUUCUCAAUAUGAUUAAACCAAUUCCAUACUCAAUCCACCAAUCAAGUUUUAAAUCCAACAUAAAACACCACACAACAAAGAUUUGAACACACAAAUCAUUCACGAUUAUGUAAAAAUUAAAGGGAGAGAAGAUAGAAUUGGACCUAAAGAGCUUUUGAUUGACGUAAGAAGAGAAAUAAGAGCCAUCUAUCCCGAGAACCUUAAAGAAUACCAACAAAAUCUUGACUCUCCAAAUCAGUCUAGAAACAGUCCCAAAAACAUGAUAACUCGAAUUUCGAUUUGAACGAAAAAUCUACUAAGCACGGAUGAAUACUAGAGACCAAAAUGAUGAGAAAACUAAUAGAAAUUGUGUGGUCAAAACUCCAGUGAACGCAAACUGUGGCACAAAUAGCCGGAAAGAGGAUCAAAUAUUUGGCAGAUUUGAAGGUUUUCUAGAUAGAAUCACUUGAAAACAACUAGAAACAGACAGUUUCGGUGAAGAGGUCGCCGGAAAACUAAAACCCACCAGAUUCUACUCGAUCUCCUCUCUUUCUCUCUCUCUCUCUUCAUUACUCUCUCUGUUACUCAUCUCUCCCUCGUGAUCUCCCUCUCAAUUUCUCCAUGAGUGUGAUUUUUGUAGGUGACGGUGUGUGCGAUGAAGCUCUGUUAUGUGGAGAAGACAGUGGUUCAUUUAUUUAGUGAGGAUUAGUGUAUAUUCAUAUCUGGAGAGAUUAUAUUCGUGAGUUGUCCUCUCAAAAAGAUGAUGGUUGUCCCUCCCUUUGUAUCUGUAUGGAGUAUAAAAAAAUGGAGAGCUUUUCUGUGGGUGUCCUUCUCAUGUGUGUGAGAAUAUGAUGAAUGUAAAAAUGGAAAUUAUAUCCCCCCCCCCCAAAUGGAAAAUUACUGUGGGUACCUUUAUGUGAAUUUUUAUUCUCUUUUUUGUCCAUUCUAUUAUGGAAAAAGGAUGAGGAAAAUGUCAGUAAGUAAGAAGUGAGCGUGGAGAACACAUGGCAGGGUAGGGGUAGGGGUAAGAUAGGUGAGGGUAAGGGUGUGGGUGAUAGGAGGAUUAAAAAAAGAUAAAAUUUAUUAGGAAUUUUGGUAAGGGUUAUUAUUUUUUGUAUUUUUGUGAGAUAUAAUCACAUAGGUGAGAGUGUAUGAUAACAAGAGGUAAUAAAAUGGAUAAAUUGAGUUUUGCGAGGGACAAAACUAUGUGUCUACUGGUAGUACAUAUCUCAAGGCUUGUGAUGUGUGGAUGGGUAUUAAAUAAAGAUUUGAUAAAACAGAUGGAUCAAGAACUUACAAUUUGUAUCAAGAAAUUACAACUAUGUCCCAAGGUGUUCAAUAUGUUUCAUCUAUUUCACUAAGUUGAAAGUUUUAACGGAUGAGUUUGAGUCAUUAGUCACAUCACCUUCUUGUAACUAUGAAAAAUCAAGAGAUUUUUAGCUUUUCUUCAAAGGCAAAAGUUGUAUUAGUUUCUAAUGGGCUUGAAUGAUUCAUACUCACAAGAAAAAGCCAAAUCUUGUUAAUGACACUACUACCUACUGUUAACAUGGCCUACUCCAUGAUCAUAAGUGAUGAGAAUCAAAAUUCUAUAGCUCAGUCAGUACAGGAAACAAGUCUUCUUAGUGUGCACCUAUUACAAUUGAUGAUGUUGCAAUGUACUCUAAAACUGGAUAUCAAGGUGGUUAUCAAAAUUGAAAAAGGAACUAUGUUUCAACUUAUAACUCAAAUGAUGUUUGUGAUCAUUGUAAGAUGAAAGGUCACUAUAAUAUGGAUAUCUACAAGUUAGUUGGAUAUCCACCAGGUCAACCAAAACAUGGAGAUCAAAGAGUUAACAAUGACUUCAGAAGUGGCUUUGAUGACAAAAUUAACCAGAGAAAGGUUGCUUCUAGUGCUCAUAAUGUUAUGGUUGAAGACUGGCAGCUACAACCUCAACAGAGUCAAUCACAUGGUGCUUAUCUGGCUUCAAAAAAUUUACCAAAGGAUGGGAUGAUUACACCAAUGUUUACACCUAGCAGUAUGAUCAAAUUUGCAAAAUACUGGAACAACAGAAUCAAGUUUCAGCAUUUAUGCCCUCUACUAUUGUAGCAAAUAUGACAGGUAUUGGUAGGGCCCUGUUGGUCCACAAUAAACCACAUGAGUGGAUUAUUUAUAUAGGUGCUACAAAUCACAUGACAAUAGACAUUGAACUUCUAAAUAAAGGUUCAAUAUCUGAGUCAAUACAUCCACAAAAAGUAACAUUACCAAAUGGUGAUAAGUCAAUUGUUACACACACUGGAUCUAGAAGUAUCUCUAAUAGGAAUACUAUAUAAAAAGUGUUCCAUUUACCUCAAUUCAAAUAUAACUUAUUGUCGGUAUCACAGGCUACUAAAAAACUUAAUUGUUCUGUAACUUUCUUUCUUACCUUUUGUGUGUUUCAAGAACUUUGGCAUGGGAAGGCAAAGGAGAUUGGAAAAGAGAAAAAUGGACUAUACUUCUUAUUGAGAAAAAAACUUCUAGGGCAUGGCAAAGUAGCAGGUUGUGUGUUCAAUACUCAGAAUAUAAAUAAAUUUGAUCUAAGGCUUUGGAAUAAGACACUUGGACAUGUUCCUUUUAGGACACUAUCUCACAUGUUUUAUAUGUCAAAAACUCAUGUAGAUGACAAUAUAUAUAAGUGUGAAGUCUGUCCAUUUUCUAAACAAACUAGGCUAACCUUUCCUUCUAGCAGUACAUCUAGUGUUAAAGCUUUUGACUUAGUGCAUAUGGAUCUCUGGGGUCCUUAUAAGGUUUCUACUUAUGAUGGACAUAGGUCCUUCUUAAUUGUUGUGGAUGAUUUUACUAGAAUGACAUGUAUAUUUUUACUUGAAUUGAAAUCUGAUGUUGUAGCUAUUUUGAAGCAUUUCUUAUCUUAUGUUCAUACUCAGUUUAAAACAUGUGUAAAAGUCAUCAUGAUAGACAAUGGAACUGAGUUUGUUAACAACUCAUGCACUAAUUUGUUUGCAAACUUAGGGAUAAAGCAUCAAACCUCCUGAUCUUAUAAAUCCCAACAAAAUGGUGUGGCUGAAAUAAAGCACAAGCAUUUGUUGGAAGUGACCAUGGAUUUAAGGUUUCAAGCUAAUAUACCUUUAAAGUUUUAGGGAUAUUGUGUACAAGCAGCAACAUACUUGAUUAAUAGGCUUUCAUCUGUUAUGUUAGGUUAUAUGAUACCUAAUGAGAGGAUGCAUAAUAGAAAACCUUCCUUAGAUCAUCUAAAGGUAUUAGGAUGUCUAUGUUAUGCAAAAACUGUCAAUGAGUCGGAUAAACUAAUGCCUAGAUCUAGAAAAGCAAUUUAUAUGGGAUAUUCAAAAACAAAGAAGGGCUACAUUCUCUAUGAUCUUACUAACAAAAUUUUCUUUGUAAAUAGGGAUGUGGUGUUCAGAGAGGACAUAUUUCCAUUUAACACCGAUCUAGAUCAAUCUCUAUAACAUGUGUUUGCUCCAUAUGAUCUAGAAGCGAAAUCACCUAAUACCACUGGAUUGACUAGACCUCAACCUGAUGUUGAUCUUUAACAGUGAACCAUAAGUGACUUUACUACAGAUUAACCAAGUACUACACAUAGUCAACCAGUACAACUCACUGCACAGGAUCACCAUGUACAACCUGUUCCAACAAGAAGAAUAACAAGAUUUAUUACUAGACAGCAGGUUGCAGAACAGACUGUCACAACAAGGAUCACAACUAGACCACAACCAACUACUCAACAAGACCAAAUAAAAUCUACUAGGGGUUCAAAUCCGCCUGCAUGGAUGAAAUAUUUUGUGUCAUUGACUAUUAAUGACAAUGUUUUAUACCCUUUAUCUAAUUAUAUUUCUUAUGAUAAUAUAUCUACUAAGUAUCAAUGCUACCUAUCCAAUUUUUCUAACAUUAUGAAGCCUACCUCUUAUGCAGAAGUAGUAAAGGAUCCAAGAUGGGUAGAUGCUAUACAAACUGAAGUGGCUGUACUUCAAAACAACAAUACCUAGUAAGUAGUUGAUCUUCCAGCAGGCAAGCAACCUAUAAGGUGCAAAUGGAUCUACAAGAUCAAGUGUAAGCAUUAGGAAAAGUAGAAAAAUUUUAGGAAAUACCAGUUGCAAAAGGUUUUAGUCAGAAAGAAGGCAUAAACUACCAAGAAACAUUUUGUCCAGAGGUAAAAAUGAUCAUAUUGAGAAUAGUUUUGGCAAUAGCUACUACUAGACACUGGCACAUUCAUCAAAUAUAUGUGUUCAAUUCUUUCCCACAAGGAUAUUUAGAGGAUGAUCUACAUGAAGCUCCCACAAGGAUUUAGAGGUCAGGGGGAGAAUAAACAAGUACAUAGACUUACUAAAUUCUUGUAUGGAUUGAAACAAGCACUAAGACAGUGAAAUGCAAAGCUUCUCAGGCAUUAAUCAACUGCAAAUUUAGGUAAAGAAAAUAUGAUCAUUCAUUAUACAUUAAGGAAAUCAAUGAUGAAAUGAUUGUUGUACUAGUAUAUGUUUAUGAUAUACUAGUAACUGGGGAUAAGAUAGAUCAGGUAAUGGAGACAAAGGAAACUCUUCAUAAGGCCGUCAAGAUGAAAGGCUUAGGAGAAUUGAAAUACUUUCUAGGUAUUGAGUUUGCAAGGUCUAAACAAGGGAUUGUGAUGUACCAAAGGAAGUGUACCCUUGAGUAGUAACUAUGAUCAACAUGUUUCAUCAGUUGUAAGGCUUAAUGAUGAAAAACUGUAUGACCAAAGAAUGUAUCAAAGAAUAAUAGGGAAGCUUCUAUAUAUUAUAGUAACAAGACCAGACAUAGCUUAUAGUGUUCAAACUCUAAACCAAUUCUUGUAGAAUCCAAAAUAAUCUCACAUGAAUGUAGCACUCAGAGUUAUCAGAUAUAUAAAAGGAAAUCCAGGACACGGACUUCUGAUGUAUAGUGCAAGAAGAUGUUCUUGUUAAAUCUCUUAUUUUUUAAUAAGUGGUUUCAUAUUUUAUAAAACAGUCCUCCGGCCAAAAAGUCAAAACUUCUAAAAUAAUAUUAUUACUAGUUUGUUAUGAUAUUGAUGUAUAUUAGUUGUAGUAAAUGUCUAUCAAGAAUAUAGAUAAUAUCUGUCAAGAUUUAGCUGAUAUCUUCAGUAUUUGAAGUAGCCAUCUUUUAGAGGGAAACUGGGAGUAAAUUUCUCCUAUAUAAGGGCUUCCUUUAUUGUAAAUCGUCCCUCAAGAGAAAAAAUAAUUACUCUCUCUAAUCUUGUUUUUCUGUACUUUAUUUUUUAUAACAUGUUAUCAGCAUGAUACUCUACAAGUGAAGAUAUUUAUUUGAUUGAUUCUGGCACUACACAUGCGAUAUUCAAAGACGAUAAAUAUUUCUCUCAUCUAAACAUGAGCUAUAUUAAUGUUACUAUAAUUUCUGGUAGCACUAAUUUGAUUGAAGGCUUCAGAAAAGCCAUUAGAAUCUUGCUCAAGGGAGCUAAACUCAUCAUAAAUUAUGCUAUGUUUUCUCUUAAGUUUGGGAGAAACUUGUUGAGUUUUAAAGAUAUCUGUGAAAAUGGUAUCAUAUCAAGACAAUUGAUGAGAUGAAUCUUGAAUAUCUUGAUAUCACCAAGAAUGUCUCUGGGAAGACAUGUGUUAUAGAAAAGUUCUCUGCUUUAUCUUCUGGCAUGUAUUGAACAAAGAUUUGUACAAUUGAGGUACAUUUUAUAGUAAACCAGAAGUUUACUAAUUCCAGUACUUUUGGACUUUGGCAUGCUCGUCUGGAACAUUCCAAGAGGUGGGUGACAAUAGGCAUGAAUGCAUACAUGGGGAUAUUUGUGAACCCGUUCACCCACCUAAUGGGUCGUUUAGAUACUUUAUGCUCCUAAUAGAUACUUCUUUUAAAUGGUCUCGUGUGUGCCUAUUGUCAUCUCGCAACUUGGCAUUUGCAAAAUUAUUGGCACAAAUAAUAUGAUCAAGGGCACAGUUUUCUAAUAAUCAUAUUAAAUCUAUUCGCCUUGAUAAUGUUGCAAGACUUUCAUCCCAAGCAUUUAAUGACUAUUUCUUAUAGAUUAGGAUAAGAGUGAAACAUCUUGUAGCUCGUGUUCACACUCAAAAUGGCCUUGUCGAGUUAUUAAUUAAACAUUUUCACUUGAUAGCAAGACCAUUACUUAUGAGAACUAAGUUUUCCACUUCUAAUUGGGCUUAUGUGUAACACCCCGUAUUUUUCUAGUAUAAUUUAAGUCCUAAUAUAUGAGUAUUCAUAUAUAUAUAUAUAUAUAAAUAUAUAUAUAUAUUAACACUCAUUAUUUUUCAGUUUAGAGUCUGCCAUUGUGUAGAAAAUUAAAGUAGCUUUCCAAAGAUAUAAAAUUUGCCAAAAUUUGAUAAUCGGAUAAGAAGUUAUGGCGAUUUAAAGUUUCAGUCAUUAAACACCGUUAUUUUAACCCUUAGCGCGUUGUGUAGGCAGCCCAAAUGACAAUUGUCGAUUUCCAGUGUGACUCCGCGAUUAUGGUGCGUCGUGGAGAAGGCUAAUUUCCCAUUUGUCAAUUUUCAAUGAACCUCCGUGAUCAUGGAGCACCGCGGAGAUGGAAAAAUUGGCAUCCAUAGGCUUACCGUGAUAUAUAGUGGCGUAUUGCGGCAUUUGUUCAGGUCCCAAUUGUCCUUUUUUCAGUGGCUUGAUGCGAUAGUGACGCAUCACGCCAAGGCCAAAAAUCAGUAUUUCAAUUUCCAGCUUGUGUUUUAAAUUUGUUUAAGAGUAUUUGAGUCUUUUUCCUAAGACUUAAACUAGUCCUAAACAUAAAAUUUAACCCCUAAUUGACCUAAAUACUCAUCAUUAUUCACUUUCUCUCAAAUUAAAAAUCCCCUUUUUCAAGAACAAGAAACCCUAGCUCUCAAGAAUCAAGGCCAAAUCUCAAGAACACACCAUCAACCAAUUCAUCCAUUAAGGUAUGUUGGAUGUUCAUACAUGGAUACCUUUCAUCCAUGGAGUCCAAGUAUCCAUUUUAAUGACAAAUCUAUCAUAUUUUCAGGUUUAUUUGAUUUUAAAUUAUGAUUUCAUCCAUGAAUCUCCAUGUACUAGUGAUUUCAUACCAUGUCACCAUGAAAUUAUUGUUAUUAUUCAAUCCUCCAUGUUUUAAUAUUGUUAUUUACUGAACAAAACCAUGAUUUAACUCUAUUAUGUCGGAUUUAUGCUAUUUCUAUAUGUUUUAGGACAUUCCUAUGAUUGUUUUGAACCAUGAACUAUAAGUGUUUGAUAAAAUGCUACAAGAGUAAAUGUUUUAUGGAAGCCUUCAUGUUAUGUCCUGCAAUGUUUUAUUGUCAUGAUAAUAUUAUUGUUUUGAGUCCUGGGGGUAUUAAAUACCUGAAACCAUAGUUGUUUACUUAGUGUUGUUUUAGUAUCUUAAGAAUAACUUUAAAUUAAAUCAUGAGUAUUAUCAGAACAGUCAGUUAAACUCAGAACGAUUAGUUGGGAGUAGGAUUUAGCAUCGAGCGAGUGUAGGCAUGGAGGCUUCCCCAUCAGAUAGGCAGAGUCUUUAGUAGCAGUCCUUAUACUCCAGAACUACGUAGCCAGCAUAGGAUAUGAGAAGUCACCCAUCAUAAUAGGCUUGACUAUCUCGCAGGGUCACCCGUCAGUUCAGGCAUGACACCCUUAGUCCUUUGGACAUUAUAUCAGUUUAGUGGAUCCACACAACCAAUGUUAGUACCCGUGACACGGUAUUAACACCCAUCUAAUUGGGGUUAUAGGUUGGACUCUGAUUAGCUCAGAUUAGUGCAUGUCGGUUAGAUGAUACCUUCCACAGUCUCAGAUAUAGUCCUAGUUCAGUUAUGCAGUCUUAGAGUUGUUUGACCAAAGCAUACUGAUAUCAGUAUUUUGUCAGUAAUUUAGUUUAAAGAUUUUACUCAGUCUAUGUUAUAUGCUUGGUCAUGCAUCCUCAGGGUCUACAUAUUUUCAUGUAUUUUCAGUAUUUAGAGACUCUCAUGCAUAUAUAGUAUUUACUGAUUUACAUAUCUCCGGUAUCUAUAGAUUUCAUGUCCUAUACUCAGUACUCUAUGCUUACAUAUAUAUUCAGAUAGUUUAUUACUCCUAUUCAUAAAACCUUGCAUGUCAGCCUACCUCAUUUAGCAUACUAGUAUAUUCAAAGUACUUAUCGCAUACUUUUUAUUUUGCACUAUGAUGUCUCAUAUCAUAGAUGUUGACGCUCAGUUCCUGGAUCAAACCUAAAUUCUUAGAUUAUGAGCAGUACAAUAGCAGUGGUGAGUCCUCAUCAUCCGAGGACAAAUUAUAUUACUUCAUGUCCUUAUCCUAGUAGUUAGUAGAGUUAGUUGGGGGCCUGCUUUAUCAACUCACAGUAUUCAGUUUAGAGGCUUUCCAGACACUACAGUUAGCUAUUCAGAUUAUUCAGAUUUAAGUAUUAUACCAGAUUCAUAAUUUAGUAGUCGUUUCAUUAUUAAAACCUUAUGGCAUUUUAGUUAUUCUUCCACAUUCAUGAUUAUAUUAUUCAGUGCUCAUAGCAGGUACCAGCUGAUGGGUUAGCUUGUGGUCCCUCAGGAUCAUAAGCACCGUGUAAUGACUAAGGGUAGUCUCAGAUCGUUACAUCAUGCGAUUUUUCAUACUGCAAUACUUGUUCAUCUUAGACUGACAAAUCAUCAUAAAUUUUAUCUAUUGCAAUUGGUUGGCUCAAGAGCCUAAUACAUCUCAUCUGAGAAUUCUUGGGUGUGUUGUAUAUGUGCCUAUAGCACCACCAAAUUGCACCAAGAUAGGCCCCCAAAGAAGGUUAGGAAUUUAUAUUGGGUUUGAAUCACCCUCCAUUAUUUGCUAUCUUAAACCAUUAAUGGGAGAUAUGUUCACUUCUCGAUUUGCAAAUUUUUAGUUUGAUGAGACAGUUUUCCCAAAAAUUAGGGGGAAAAGAUAGUGACAUCAAAAGAGAAAUUUUAUGAAAAAAUUCAUCACUGUCUCAUCUUGAUCCACACAUUUUUAAUUAUGAGCAAGAAAUACAAAAGAUUAUUUAUCUGUAGAAAAUUACAAAUCAAAUGUCAGACAUAUUUACAGAUUUAAAAAGGAUCACCAAAUCAUAUAUUCUUGCAGAGAAUGUACUAAUUCGAAAUGAUAUUCCUAAAGGGCCAUCCACCAGUGUCAUACCUAAUGAGUCCAAAGUACGCUUGAAGUGUGGUAGAUCAUUGGAUUCUAAGGAUCGAAAUCCUAGAAAAAAAUAAAUUAUCAAGAUGACACUAUGAAAGAUCCUCAUAUGGAAAUUCAAGAUUUGGACAAUGUUGAUAUCCUUAAAGGAAUCAUUGGGCCUGAGACUCAAGAAAAUGAGGAACUAUCCAUAAAUUCAAGUGAUGUUGGAACUAAUUUGAACCGAUCCAAAAUAGUAGUGGAUUAUGUCUUUGCAUAUAAUGUUGCAACAAAAAUCAUACAAGAUAGUGAAGAUCUUGAAUCUCAAUCUAUCACAGAAUGUCGACAAAGAAAUGAUUGGCCAAAAUGGAAAGAAGUAAUUCAAUUUUAAUUGAAUUCACUUGUCAAACAUGAAGUUUUUAGACCUAAUGGUGUUAAGCCUAUUGGCUACAAAUGGGUCUUUGUACAAAAAAGAAAUGAGAAAAAUAAAAUACUAAGGUAUAAGGCACGUCUUGUUGCAUAAGUAUUUUCACAACGGCCUGGUGUCGAUUAUGACAAGGCAUAUUCACCAGUUAUGGAUGCAAUAACAUUGCGUUAUCUUAUUAGUUUCACUGUUCAUGGGAGACUUGAAAUGCAUUUGAUGGAUGUGGUAACAACCCAUCUAUAUGGAUCACUUGAUAAUUAGAUAUACAUGAAAAUUUCUGAAGAAUUUAAAAUUUCGGAAGCAUAUAGUUCAAAACCUCAAAAAAUGUAUUCCAUUAGAUUGCAAAGAUCAUUGCAUGUUUUGAAGCAAUCUAGAUGCAUGUGGUAUAACCGUCUUAGUGAAUAUUUAUCUAAGGAAGGUUAUACAAAUGAUGAAAUUUGUCCAUGUAUUUUUAUAAAGAAAACAACGUCGGAGUUUGUUAUACUUAUUGUCUAUUCGGUGACAUAAACCUUAUUGGAACUCUAAUAGAGCUUCAAAGGUUCAUUGAUUAUCUAAAGAAAGAAUUUGAGAUGAAAGAUCUCAAAAAGACCUAAUUAUGUCUUGGUUUGCAAAUUGAGCAUUUGACAAAUGGUAUCUUUGUCCAUCACUCUCUCUACUCCUUUUUCCUUCCAUACACGAUUGAAGUACCCCUUCAUUACUGAUUGUAGAGGAUUCAAACCCAUCACAUAGCAUAUUACCGCUGACUCCCAAAAAUUUACCUCCUUUUGAACAUCUUGCAUCGUUAUUUUAACUGUAGUACUCGGCUCCUUAAGAUUAUCCAAUUCAAAUUCCUCUAUAUUUCUCCCAACACUUACAAUUCACUUCAUUUGUUCUCACUAGAUUUCAGUGCCCAUGAGUCAUUAUGGUGUAUGACUGGGUCUUCCUCAACCAUAUCUACCCAGCUUGUUUUGCCUUAACUCUUUGAUUGCGAAGUCAUCGUAUCCUCCAAAUUUGAGGUUUUGGUCAUAGGUGUACUGUGUGGUAACUGGAAUGGCACUAUCCUUUGUAAUUCAUUCACAUUCUGUAUUUUUUUUGUAUCUCCCGAUUGUGGUACUGGCUUUGUAUUAUUGUUGGUGGACCGAUUUACUAUUUGGCUCUGUGAAUUUGUCCCUCCGAGCUUCGAUUUCCUUGCCAUUUUCGAUUUUCACUAAGAGAGAUCGCCAUCUCUACAAAGAGAAUUUUUUUGCAACUUAAAGCAGUACUUUCUUGAUUAACGAAUAGGAAAGGAUUUUGGAGUUCUAACUUCUAACCAUCACGAAGUUUUUUCUCCUCAUAUAUAACUGGUGUAACUACCUCUAUUAUAUUUUUCUUCCCUUUAUUUUUCAUAAAAGGACUAGUCAUAGUUACUCGAGAAAAUUGAAGAAUAGGUGUCUUUUAAGUCUUGAAUGAAGGAUUGGUGACAUUGACCAUCAGAUAGGGGUCAAAUAUUAUUAGGAAACUUGAUCAAGUUAAUUGUGGACUUGAUUAAUAUUUUCAAAACUUUCUAAUUUUUUCAAAAAUACAAAUCAACUCAACCCACACCCUCUUCAAUCCAAAUCAACCACUCUCUUCUCUCUCUCGACAGCUUCUCUCAACUAACAGUUCUGCAAAAUUUCUCCCUUCAACCCCCGACGAUAAAUAGUUGGGCUUCGAGUACCCCUCUUCAAUUCAAUCAACCUGUCUCUCAUCCCUCAGCUUCUCUCAACUCUCUCCCAACCAACUAUUUUGCAAAUUUCUCAUUUCAAUCCUUGGCGACUUUAACAUUUGACUAUAAAUAGUUGGGCUUCGAGUUCCUUUUCGACUUCAAUCAAUGUGACAGCCUUGCUCUCCAACACAACAACUUCGAAUUCUUCAUCGGUCCUUUUCUUCUUUCACAGGUAAAAAUUUAUGGCCUUUUUAGUUUUGAAGAAAAUGAGGAACUUGAGCCAACUUCUUUUACAGUAUUGGUUAACAAUUUCAAUAUUUGUUGUACUAAUUUAAAAUGUGGUCUGAAUAAAAUCCUAAUUUCCAGUAUUUCUUCUCUUCUCUUUUUGAAGUGAAUUAUGAUAUUUUGUUGUUUGUUACAUUUUUUUGAAGUUUGAUUUUUAUUGUUUGUGUUUAUAAAAACAAAAGGAAAAUUUUAUUUGAUUUGUUCUGUUCUUGUUCUUCGUAAAAAUGGUGAAAUUGCUGUUUUUUGUUUAACAAAAUUGUGCUACUGUUUCCCCCGAUAGAUUACCCAUCUGGUGCAACAUAUUAACCAUCUGAUGUAAUAGAUUUAUUAUAUGAUGCAAUAGAUCAACCAUCUGAUGCAUCAGAGGAACCAUCAAAUUAUAAUUCUGAUGCAACAGAUUAAUAAUCUGACGCAACAACUUUACCAUAUGUUGCAACAGAUUAAGCUUCGGCUAAAAAAUCUGAUGCAACUAAUUAACCAUCUGGUGCAAUGGAAGAACUAUCAGAUUAAUGAUCUGAUGCAAUAGAUGAACCUCCUAUUGGAUAAAAUCCUACCAACUCUUCCUACAGGAAAAGUUCAAGACUUGAUUUUUCCAACGCGAUAAACGACCCUACGUUGGAAGAAAUUUAAACAAUAUUGAUCGUUGAUAACUGUUCCAACGGAUCACUUAUGUGUUGCAAUAGAUGUCUGGCCUGUUGCACAGACCAUUCAUCUUUCUCAACAGAUGAGUGAUAUGUUUUGUAUUAUUGCAACAGAUUACUCAGCCAUUGCUACAGAUUAUUUAACUGUUCCAAUAGAUCACUCAUAUGUUGCAAUAGAUGAUGUCACAACAGUUGUGUGAUCUGUUGAACAGAACAUUCAUCUAGCUUAAAAGAUGAGUGUAUGUUUUGUAUUAUUGCAACAGAAUACUCAUCCGCUGCAACAAUUUAGUUAUAUGCUGCAACAGAUAUACUACCUAGUGUAACAGAUCGGUGAUCUGUUGCUACUGUUAUUUUACUAUUUUGCUUGUUUGAUUUACUAUUAUCCUUUUUUAACGAUACAUUAAUCAACAAUAAUAUAUUAUUUUAUGUUCCUGUUAAUUUUAGAUAAUAUGAUUCUCAAAAGAACAAAAACCGAAUCAAGUCCAAGUAAAGGAACAAGUGAAGCAGCUAGGCUAUAUCCACCACUCUAUGAGCUUGCUUUACAAGCGUUAUCUAAAUCUGGAAUAGAAUAUGAUGAACACGGGGAGGAGGAAUGUUUCAAAAGAGAUGAUGCAGAUGCUAAUAGCCCUUCCACCGAAGAGCUGGUCAAAGCCUUCAACAUUGAUCGUUAUCCUAUGAGAAUGCAGUGCGAUGGUGCCGCAGAUUUAAUGGGUGAUUUCAUGGUUAAGUUAGCCAUGGGAAAAUCUUUCGACGCCUUCAGAAAAAUACUUCAAGAAGAAAAAUUGGAUGCUUAUUUGGACAGCUGCUUUGGGAAAUAUCUUGAUUUGCCGAAGGAUAACAAUGUUCGUUUCCAAAUGAAAAUGGUAUAUGAACUUCUUAAGCUUAGGUUUAUGUAUGAAAACAAAGAUAAGAUGGCUGAGGUAUGGAUAAAUUACUGUGGCAUGCCUGUUUGUUUUGGUUGGAAGGAGUUUGCCAUAGUUACUAGACUAAAAUGUUAUCCUCCUUCUCAAGUUAUACCUAUUCUAACCCCAAAAAAGAGCACCUCGCACACUCAAAAAAGGCAAAGGCAAGUCGUGUGAUCGUAAUGACCUGGUGUCCAUUGUUGGUCCAAGCUUCAAAAAUAAAAAUUUGAUAGAAGGGUUGAAAGCUAAAGGACUUUCAAAGAAGCAAAAGCAGUCAUUGUGCUUGGUUUGGUUUGUACAUAAUAUUCUUUGGGCGAGAGACAUUAACAACAACAUAAGCAUCAGUUUAAUAAAUCUCUCUGAGGAUCUUGAGGCAUUUAACAGCUAUCCAUGGGGGUAUGAAAGCUUCAAAAUGACUGUCAAAUAUUUAUUGACUCCGUUAGCGCCAAAGACAGUCAACUUAUAUGGCUUCCCAUGGGCUUUCAUGGUAAAUGUUUCUUUCUUUCAAUAAUGGUUUUGAUUUAUUUACGUUAUUUUAUAGGCUUGGGAGUUUUAAGCUAUUCCUUAUUUGAGACAGCAAGUGAACUACCAGGAAGGAGUUUCCUGUCCAAGAAUCUUGAGAUAGUUGUCGGCCAAAACUGAUAAAAAUGUAAAAUUUCUUGAUCUCUUCAACCCUCGAAGGAUGCAGUAAGCAUAAUUAUAAUUAAUUUUUUAUUUUAAUUAAUGUCUUUUUUUGAAUAAUCUAAUCAUCAUUCUAAUAUAUGUAAUGAUUUGUGUUAGAAUGUGCAUCCGUCGCUAGUUCCGACCAAUUGAGAGUUGAAGAUGCCAUUUUUUCUUACUUUACGGUCUGUGCAAACUUUAUCGGACCCUAAGGUCAUUGAAGAAUAAAAAUGGAAUUGUUUGGAGCAACAACCAUUACAAGAAAAAUAAUUUUGGAGGGUGGGAUUGUUGUUGUUGAUGGAGCUGUUGGUGGUGGUAGUGGUGUUGCUGUUGGUGCUAAUGAUGCUCCUCUUACAGUAUUCAAAGCAAAUCAUUAUAAGUAUGAUCAUACUGGUUAUACAGAUUUUGCCUCUCCCAGCCAAUGUUUUGCAUGCAAAUGUCAAGACUGCAGGGCGAAACAUGAUAUAGUGAUUAAUACUAUUAAUGCAUUAACUCCUUCUGUAAAGAAAUUGACAUCUAAGAGGGGUCUUAUUCCAUAAAAGAGGAUUUUAUUUCCAUCCUCUAGAUUAGAUAUUAGGGCUAAGAGGAGAGGGAGAGUGAUUUUUAGGGCAUUUCAGGCAUCCAAAAAAGCAAAAUUGUAACUCCUCUGUCUGUGUGUUGCACUGAGCAACGUACAAUGUCCAAAGGAGAGCAGCACGAGCUGAAGAAAGUAAAUAUAUUAUAUGUCUUCCAACUGACAAAACAAACAGACACAUAUCUGUUUCAACAAAUGACACAUCUGCUGAAAAUUAUCAAAUCGAUAUCUAUAUUUGUUGCAACAGUUGACUAACCUGUUGCACCAAAUACUUUAUCCGGUGCAACAUAUGUCUCGUCUAUUUUAGUAAAUCAAACAGCUCUUUGUACAGCUUUUAUUUGUACUAACAGGUGACUUAUCUACUGCAACAGAUGAUUCAUAUGUUGCAAAGGAUGGUUCAUCCGUUGAAAAUUAUCACAAAGGGUUUUCCUCAUGUAAAAAUUUGUUCCAACAAUUGAUUCAUUGUUCCAACAGAAAUUUAAUAUGUUUGGGACAAUUUAAAAUGGGAGGAAGACUUGUUUGAUUUGCUAAAAGAGAUGAGUUAUCCUAUUCCAUUUUGUUAUAUCUCCGUGAUUAGCAUUGACCAAUUCUAGAUCACCAGGCGGAUGUAGAAGAAGCUACUGCUGAACAAUAUUGACAAUAUGCUACUCUUUUUAUGGAAAUAUAGAGAACAGAAAGCGCAGAAACCGUACGCAAGCGACAAUGAAGAUCCACGACGAGCAAAGCCAAAUUCCAUAGCACCGGAUGAAGAACAACUUGUCCAUACUGAGUAGAUCUUUAUAGCUUGAGCCAGUCAAAGUAAUCCUUGGCAGUAUACUUAAAUUGUUGUUGAUGUAUUUGUUAAUAUCUGUACCCAUAACAAUUUUUUUACAUUUCAUUUAUUUGUUGACUUAUUUCAGCUAAUUUAUGAAGGCUUCGAUUUAUUUUAUUUUGUCUAUGAAUUUUAUUUAUUCCUUAGAUUUGAACUUAUUAAUUGAAAAGGAAUACUAGAUUCAGAUAUUGCAAUAGAUAAUGUAUCUGUUACAAUAGACGACACAUCUAUUGGAAAAUUCGAACAAAUUUAGACAUAUGUUGCAACAGGUAGGUGGUCUAUUGAAAUUUAUCAAACAGGUCUUCCCACUGUUGCAACAGAUGGACUUUAGAUAAAAACAUCGAGAUAAUGCAACAGAUAACACAUCUAUUGGAAAAAAGAACAGAUUUAGACAUAUGUUGCAACAGAUGGACUUUAUCUGUUGCAACAGACGACACAUCUAUUGGAAUAAUCAAAUAAAUUUAUACAUAUGUCAUAACAGGUAGGUUAUAUUGGAAUUUAUCAAACAAGUCUUCCUACUGUUGCAACAGAUGGACUUUAGAUAAAAACAUCGAGAUAAUGCAACAGAUAACCAACCUAUUGCAACAGAUAAACUAUAUGUCAGAAUAGGUAGGAUAACUGUUACAACGGAUGGAGAAUCUGUUGCAUUAUAAAAAUUCAACUUUUGUUAGACAUAAAAAAUUGUCACUACGUAUAAAAAGGUUAAAGUGAAUUGAAAUAAAAAAGGCNNNNNNNNNNNNNNNNNNNNNNNNNNNNNNNNNNNNNNNNNNNNNNNNNNNNNNNNNNNNNNNNNNNNNNNNNNNNNNNNNNNNAUUGUCUUAUAUAUUCAUCUUCCUCCUAAAAUUUAACCCUAAAUUUCCAAAUCUUCUUCUUUAUUGUCAUCUUCUUUUAUCUAUCCAAAUUCUUCAAAUUAUUACUUUUAUUUUUUCCAACUGACCUUGACAAUGUCAAGCGCAUCUUCCACUGUUUUUUGUGAUAAAGAUUUUUGAUAUUGUAAUUGCGGUCAUGAAGCUCUGUUAAAGAUUUAUUAGACUCAACAAAAUCCAGGUCGUAGGUUUUUACUUAUAAAAAAUUUUAAAGGUAAUAUUUUUUAUUUAAUUAAUUAAUUAAUUAUUGACUUGUAAUUAUUUUAUAAUUGUGUUCUCUUUUUUAUAGAAAUUGGGUGGAUGCGAUUACUUUGAUUGGUAUGAAGAACAAAUUCCUUCAAAAGCAAAUCGUUUAAUCUGGGUUUGUUGAACAAAGUCAAGGAUUCUGAAGAGAAAUAAAAUCGAGUAAGAAGAUACCACAUUGUUGUCAUUAUUGCUACUGGUUUGGUGUUGUUGGGAACAUAGAUAUUGAAGCCUAAUUGCUGAAAUUUUCAUGGUGGUGUGUGUAUUUUCUACUGGUUUGUUGUCGACGAGCACAUGGAUAUUCAAGUGUAGCUGUUGAAAAAUAUCAAAAAGAUUUAGGCAUAUGUUGUAAAAUUUAGGUCAUCUGUGGAAAUUAUCAAACAGGUCUUCCCACUGUUGCAACAGAUUAGACUUAGAUUAUUAGAUUAUUCAUAGAAAUUAUCAAAUAGGUCUUCCCACUAUUGCAACAAAUUAGAAUUAGAUUAUUAGAUUAUUCAAACAGGUCUUUCCACUGUUGCAACAGAUUGAUAAUCUAAUCUAUUGCGUUAUAAAAAACUCAACUUUCAUCAGAAAAAAUUAUUACCACUACAUGUACAUGUAAUAAAGUGAAGGGUGACUUGAAAUUAAAAUUUUCUAUUUCACAGGAUCUUCUAUAUACACAGGCUUCAAGCAUCCAGUUAGUACCCCAUAAGCCCAGACCUCUUGCAGGUUUGCCACAGUGUUGUCGCAUAGAAAAGUCAUUGGCUCGGCCAUUUCUAUGCUGGUCAGCAAAUAUUUGAUGUGUGCAAGAGCAUACGAGCCGCUCGCUUUAGCAGCAUCAUCUUUUGGAAGGAUCAUUCCCCUGUUUCGACCUUCAAAAUCCCAUGAUUUCUUCAUCAACACUUCCUUUGGCAAAUGAUUCAUCAGUUUACUUUUCCUCAACAAGAUGGGUAACAGCACCAUCAGUGGCUCCACGAGGAGAAAAAGAUCAAAAUCAUCGAUGAGAGGUACGUUGGAGUCAUAAACAUUGAUCUUUCCCUCCUCGAGUAGUAUCUCAAUAGCCCGAUAAUGCAUGUCGUUCAUGCUAAUAACUGCAAGAAUCCUUUUUGUCUCGGUCCAGCUCUUUCCGUAUGGAUUUGGCCUGUCCCCUCUAACAUAUCUUAAUGUUUCUUCUUCAUCCAAGACCAAUGUAGGAACUAAGAAAUCAAGUCCCACGCCAAGGCCUGACACCUCUCAAUUGAGUUGAUCAUACCUAUAUUUGAGCUUCUUGCAGAAGUCGAGGUCCAUUAUUCUAUCAGCAGCAUCAUAAACUUUCCGGUACAUUAAUUUCCUUUUCCUCAUGAGGUAGAGAAUUAUGUCAACAUGCUGUGAGAUAAGAAGUCAAUUUUUAAAGAAGUCAAUUUUUAAAUAGGUUAGUAAUUGUAAAAAUGCAAUGGAUGGUCUAUCUGUUGCAUAGGGUUCUCUGAAUCAAUAAUCCAACGCAACUUAUGCAACAAAUGGAUAAUGAGUUGCAACAAAACCACAACCAGUUGCACCAAUAUACCCAGCUGUUGCAAUAGAUGUGAAAUCUAUUGCGUAGCUUCUUAUUCAUGGGGUCGAUUAGAAGGGCUAGGUUAGGAAAAGUAAACUUGCCUUGUCCUCGUACGGCAUACGCAUAUCAGUCAAUGUCUGGAAGUCUUAGGGGGAAAGGGAGGCCUGGGGUAAUCUGGUGCGCGUGGCUUGGAAUUCUUGGCCUGUCGCAGAUCCCUCUUCUCUUUGGCGCCAAGUUCCACAUAUAUGUCCACCUUCUUGACUAGCCCCUAAACUUCAAUAGCUUUUGGAGAGGGAGGAAUUGCAAUUUCUUUUGAUUUUCGAGCGGAGAGUACGUCUCUAAUUGCUCAUUUCUUUCUCCUAACCAACGCUAUAGAAGUGUGUGGUUCCUUCACCUUCUUGGAUGGUAUGACACAACUCUUGGAUUUGAAUUCCUCUAUAUCUUUAGAGAUAGCCUCUACUUUUUCAAAGAUUUUAUCCUUUCUGUUCUUGUACUCAUCACAUUCGCAACGAGAACACGAGGGUGAAGAGGGCUGAGAGGGACCUAUGUAAGGGUGAAAAGGGGUUUUUCAAACAUAUUUAUUCUUUCUUGAGCAUCAACAUGCUCAUCAUCAUGAGUGGUAGCAGCAUCAGCAUGCCUACCACCAACACCAACAACUCCACCAGAAGAAGCACCCGGAUCUACCUUAGUAAAAGGUUGGUCAUGAAAAGCCUCAACAUUAGGCUGACCUUGCCUAACUGCUCUUCUUAUGGUUGUUGCUCCAACCAAUUUCUUAUUUAUUAACUCCACCGUUGGGUCCGCAAUAGUAUCAACAUGACCUAGAGUAAUAUAAAAAGUCAUCACGACUCCUCCUCGGUAGGCACAAUCCAUGGAUGCACAACCUAUAAAAAAGAAAAAAAAGAUAGAUGCAUUUAAAUCAUAUAAUAUAAUAAUUUUCACAAUUGGGCUAUAUUUUAAAAAAAUAAAGAUCCAUCUGUUGCAUAGUUUGCAGUAUAUGGUUAAAAUUUGUUUGAGUCUGGUUCAGAGAAACAGAGCAACACAUGGAUAAUCUGAUGCAAAAUAUCAAUCAUCUAUUGCAACAGCUGCACAAGACGAGUAAUAUUUUAUGCAACAGAUGAUCUGUACGUCGCAAUAGAUGAACGAUAUGUUAUCAGAUUAAACAUUUGUUACAUAAUUUGCAGUAGAUGGUUAAUCUUUUAGGAGUCGGGUUCAGAGAGCCAAAGCCACAGAUGGGUAAUCUGAUGCAAGAUAUACCUCGUCGCAACAAAUGUCCCAUCUAGUGCAUCAGAUAUAACAUCUCAUGCACCAGAUAUAACAUCUGUUCAAUAUCUUUCUUAUCUUUGAGUAGAAUUAUUUUACUUGUAGAAGACAUACUGCAUCAUCCGGAGAGUUAAAGAGAUCAGCCUCCUUAAUAUUGGUGUUGCUCUUUGCAGCCAACCACCUAAACAUCCUUGGAUGAGAAACCUCAUCCGGGUAAUCCAUUAACUGCUUUCGGAAGGGAGGAAUGGGUUCAAAUGCCCAAGCCUAAAAAUGUAAACAGGAAGCAAGCAAAAAAAAUCAUAAUAAAUAUAUUCAAUAUAAAUUAAUGGAUGAGUAAAAUUAGUUAUUAAUUUUACCAUGAAAGCCCAAGGAAAGCCAUAUAAUAUGGUCGUCCCUGAGGAUAGCUUUGUCAGUAAAUAUUGGACAGUCAAGUAGAAGCUAUCAUAUCCCCAGGGAUAAUUGUUGAAUUUAUCAAAAUCCUCAGCAUGCGCUAGCAAAUCAUCUUCUAUGACCUUGUUGACGUUUCUUGCCAAUAUAACUGAAUGGGUAAACCAAACUAAGCACAAUUGCUCCCUGUACUGAUCUGGUAUAGUUUUAUCCUCGAGAUCUGUCAACAAAUCUGAUGCUUUAUAGCCACGAUGGCAUCUCAAGCCCGUCACUAUGGCAAACUCUUGCAAGCCAAAACAAACAGGCAUGCCACAGUAGUUGAUCCAGAUUUCAUCCAUCUUCUUCUUGCCCCUCUCCUCCGAAUCUUUAUACCAUAUACCAUCGUUAUAGGGAAAUAGAUACGGGCAGAGGGGUCCUCAGUCAACUCAAGAAAGCAUCCAAAGCAGCUCUUCUUAAAAAGUCCGCCUAUGUUUUCGUUCUUCAUAAUUUUCAUGAAAUGUUUAAAAAUUUUCCCCAUCUAACAUUUAAGUACAAUUUGACAAGUUAGUUCUUUUCCUUCUGGGUCAUUUAUCGGCAUCGCAACUUUAAACCUGUCAAUACUAAAAGUUUUGAUAGGAUUAUGCUGGGAUAUCGAUAUUAACUCACUCCCCGUCGGUGAUCUAUUAUCAUCAUGUUGAUGAUCAUCUUCUUUAUCUUUUUGACUCUCCAAUUCCUCCUCUUUCUCACUUUCAUUUUGUUCAUCACCAUCUACGGACCCUUGUCCACCUCCCUCAAUGUUGUUUUCACAUCUCUCCUUAGCUUCACUUUUUCCUGACUGAGAUUGUUCAAGAAGCUUCUUCAAAUCCCUCUGUACUGUAGCCGAUUUUUUAGUAGUCAGACAUUGAUCCACUUUCACUUUCUUUUUUUGGGGGAGACAUGUUUUACCUACAGACAAAGAAAAACAAAAAUUACAUUACAGCUGAUGUAUGCAUAGAUUUUAAAAAAUACAUUACAAACACCAUGAAUACUGACACACCAACAGCCACCACCACAAACACCACCAACCAAUGCCAACAAACAAACAAACACCACGAAUACCGACACCACCACAAACACCACCAACCAAUGCCACCGCCAGUGCCACCACAACGACCAAAAACACCACCACCACUACUACCACCCACACCAUCCAACUAUACCACGACAGUCAACAGAACACUGCGACGGAAACUAGGGAUUUCUUAAGUUCUUCCUACAAUUUUACCAUCAAAACUAAAAAUUGUAAAUCCAUUCUCAAAGAUAAUAAAACUAAAAGUUUUAUUUUUUAUCAUUAACUUAAAAUACCUUAUUUUUUAGAGAAAAAAAUAAAUAUAGAGCUCUUCUCAAACUCUGUUGCCUACAAAGACAAAGAAAACGACUAAUACAAGCAAGAAUGAUGUCAAAAAUAACACAUAUGUGGUCGGAAAUGAGAAGAAAAGUGAUCUGUUGUGGAAGGUUGAGCAAAUUUGUUGAGUAGUUGUUGUUUGUACUGUAUUGUUGGGUGAGAAUAAGAGAGAAAGAGCCAGACCUCGAGAUUUGAAAUGAUGAAACGUUUUGUAUGGGUUGAUUUGUAUUUUGGAAAAGAAUGACAAGUAGUUUUGAAAAUGUUAAUUUUGUCCGAAAUGAUUUUAAUUAUUUUUAAAAUCAUAAAAUAUAUGUGUAAUUUUUAAAAUCAUAUAAAAACAAUUGAAGUUGUAGUUGACCAAGUACUCUAAGAGGUGACCCUGUGAAAACUCACCCCUGGUCCUAGAUUAAUCAAUUUAGGAGUCUAACAUAUGAACUCAAUUGAAAUUGUAAAAAACAAAUGUUCAACAUGUUGCAUUAGAUUUCUCAUCUGUUGUAUAUUAUCAAUCAGAUUAGGUAACAAUAGAUUAUGAAUCUGAUGUAUAUUAUCAAACAGAUUAAGUCAUCUGUUGUGAUAUAUUACCCAUCUGUUAUAAAUUAUCAAAUGGAUUGUCAUAUGUAGCAACAAAUUAACCAUAUGUUGUAAAUUAUCAAAUAGGCGUUGUCAUUUAUUGUGGAUGACCCUAUGAGAACUCACCCCUAGUCCUAGAUUAAUCGAUAGUUGACCUUAUGAGAACUCACCCCUAGUCCCAGAUUAUUCAAUCAAGGUAUUAGUACCCUAGUCCUAGAUUAAUCAAUCAAGGUAUUAGUCUAACAUAUGAGGUAGGAAAAAUCAGUUCAGCUCAAAGUGAUCGAUCGCCGACUUUGGUCGGGAGGAACGCAAUACCGUUUCAUCAUGCAAUUGACAAAAGACUCAAUUGAAGUUGUAGUUGACCCUAUGAGAACUCACAUUCAAUUAAGGUAUUACUCUAACAUAUGAACUCAAUUGAAUUAUAUAUAAAUAAAUGUACAACCUAUUGCAAUAGAUGUCUUUUCUGUUAGAUCAAAUCAAACAGAUUAUGUAAUUUGUUGCAAUAUAUUACACAUCUAUUGUAAACUAUCAUACAUAUUAAGCCAUUUUUUGUGAUAGAUCACGAAUCUGCUGUAAACUAUCAAAUAGAUUAAGUCAUCUAUUGCAACAGAUUACCCAUCUAUUGUAAACUAUCAAAUGGAUUGAGUCACAUAUUGCAAUAGAUUACCCAUCCGUUGUAAAUUAUUAAAUAGGCGUUGUCAUCUAUUGUAGUUGAAAUUAUGAGAACUCACCGCUAGUCCUAUAUCAAUCAAUUAAGGUAUUAGUCUAACAUAUGAGGUAGUAAGAAUCAGUUCGGCUCAGAGUGAUCUAUCGCUGACUCUGGUCAGGAGGAAUACAGUACCAUCUCAUUAUGCGAUUGACAAAAGACUCAAUUGAAGUUGUAGUUGACCCUAUAUUCAAUUAGGGUAUUAGUACCCUAGUCCUAUAUUAAUCAAUUAAGGCAUUAGUCUAACAUAUGAGGUAGUAAGAAUCAGUUCGACUCAGAGUGAUCGAUCGACGACUCUAGUCGGGAGGAACACAGUACCAUCUCUUUAUGCAAUUGUCAAAAGACUCAACUGAAGUUGUAUUUGACCUUAUGAGAACUCACCCCUAGUCCCAGAUUAUUCAAUCAAGGUAUUAGUACCAUAGUCCUAGAUUAAUCAAUUAAGGCAUUAGUCUAACAUAUGAGGUAGUAAGAAUCAGUUCGACUCAGAGUGAUCGAUCGACGACUCUGGUCGAAGAAACGCAAUACCGUCUCAUCAUGAAAUUGCCAAAAGACUCAAUUAAAGUUGCAUUUGACCCUAUGAGAACUCACAUUCAAUUAAGAUUUUAGUCUAACAUAUGAACUCAAUUGAAAUUAUAUAUAAAUAAAUGUUCAACCUGUUGCAACAUAUGUCUUUUCUGUUGAAUCAAAUCAAAUAGAUUAGGUAAUAUAUUGCAACAUAUUACGCAUCUGUUGAAAACUAUCAAAUAGAUUAUGUCAUUUGUUGUGACAGAUCACAAAUCUGUUGUAAACUAUCAAAUAGAUUAUGUCAUCUGUUACACUUAAAUAUUUUUUGAUCCUUUUUUUAUAAAGCAAUUUAGGUAUUUCCUGUCCGAGAUAAAAUAGUAAAAAUAAUAAAGUGGUAAAAAAUAUUACUCGGUAUAACUUUGAUAACUCAAAAAUCUCCUGAGUGAGUAGUCUUAUCUGGUCUUUUCAAUGUCACUAUCUCCUCAUGCCCCUCAAAAGUUAUUAAUGAAUAUUUAAAACCCCCCAUACCUAGAACUCUCUCUCCUUCAUCCAUAAAGUAGUCUAGACUAGACUUAACUCAUAACUUUUCUUUAUUCUUUAUUCUCAAUUAUCUUUGUUGUUUUCUUUUUUUUCUCUCUUUUCUCUCUUCUUUCUGAUAAGGAUCCUUUGGAAUCACAACCAAUCAAUAUCUUUUCUCAACUGAACUAGAUGUUCUGAUCCAUUUGCUUUUUUGACAUUGCAGGUAUGGUUCAAAGUUGCUCUUUUCAUCUCGUCUUUUUCUUUGUAUAUCAUUUAAAUUAGUUACUUACAUCUGUUGCUAUCAAUGAUUUACCCAUUACCAGUUUGCUAUUUAUUGACAAAAUUGAAAGAAAGGUGACUUUUAAGUCUUGAAUGAAUGAACCAUUGUUCUUAUUAAAAUAUGUGAAAAAAGUCAUCUAUUGGGAGAACUUAAAAAGCCUUGUUAUCAAUAUAGUUUUUUUAUGUCUUUUGUUUGUUACUUUGGUGGUGCUGUUGUUGGGGGUGGUGGUUUGUUGGAAUAUGUGAUGUUUGUGUUAUGGAUGGUGUUGGAACAUAUAGUGUUGUUUUGUUUAUUUCUUUGUUGUUGAUGAUGUUGGUGGUGGUGUUGCAAUAGUUUUCUCAACUGUUGCAACUGAUGAAUCAGCUGUUGGAACAGACGGAGCAGCUUUUUUAAAAAAUCAAACCAGUAGAAAGGCUGGUUUGAUUUAUUCCAACAGAUGGACCAUCUGUUGCAACAUGUCAUCUAUCCUUUGCAAACAUUGCCUCAUCAAUUGAACAGAUGGGUAAUCUGUUGCAUCAUAUUGGUCAUCUGUUGAUUCACUCAAUUUUGUGUUAUCCUUUUGUAAUGUUCUUUUUGUUCUUCUCUUGUUUGAUAUCAAAUGUAUUUCUCUUGUUUGCAGACAAAAAGAAGUGAAAUUGGAUCCACUUUUUCCCUGACAACAUUAAAGGCUAGAGUAAAGAUGGGUUCAAAGAAAUAAGCUUUUUGCAGAUGGAACCACUUCAUAUGUGGAGGGUAUGUAUUACUGACCAACCUAUCAUGAAAACAAACAUCCAGUACAAUGAUUUUGUAAAUGUUUAUUUUUUACCUAGUAGGCAUUAAUUCUUCAAACAAGAUAUGAAAUUUUACAGUUAAGAUUGUUAGGUUCGAACUGGUAAGGCUGACAGACUAAGACGAUGGUGUCGAUAUCCCGUUACAAUUUAAUGACGGUUUAUGCUCGUGUUUUUAUGUCAAGUUUGGGGAAGGUUUCAAGUUUUUGGCGGCAGUGUAAAUAUUCCAUAGUGAUUAGACCGAUUUUAAUGGCACAAUGGACUUCUUGAAAGGCCUCCGAAGCCUCGCAAUGGAACAAACAAUGAUAGAACCAAUAGAAAUUCCCCUGGUCUAAAUUUAUAUGGAUGGGUUGUUGGCGGAGACUAUUAUACAGCAGAAGGUGUUUGGGAGAAAACCUGUGUGGGAAUAGGGAGGUUGGGAAGGCCAUAUAUCAUCUUAGUACUUGUUUAAGAGGAUAAACAGGAUCGGAAAAGUGUAGCGAAAUUAGCUUAUGAAAUUGACAUGAAAAAUGAAAAAACUGGAUGAUAUGAGAAUGUAAAAGUGUAUCAAAAAAUGAAAAUCCAUCAGUCGUUGAAGAAAAAGAAGAAUGGUCAAGAGGAAUUGACCUUGUGUAUCCUCUUAAACAAGUACUAAGAUGAUAUAUGGCCUUCUCAACCUCCCUCUUCUCGCACAGGUUUUCUGCCAAACACCUUCUGCUAUAUAAUAGUCUCCUCCACUAAUCCAUCCAUAUAAAUUUGGACCAGGGGAAUUUCUAUUGGUUCUAGCAUUUUUUGCUGCAUUGCGAGGCUUCGGAGGCCUUUUAAGAAGUCCAUUGUGCCAUUAAAAUUGGUCCAAUCACUAUUGGAUAUUUACACUACCGCCAAAAAUUUGAACCCUUCCCCAAACACAAAAUCAUAUGCAUGAAUCGUGUCAUUAAAUUGUAACGGGGUAUCGACACUACCAUCUUGGAACUCUUUGGCCUUAUCAGCUCGCACCUAUCAAACUAAACUGUACAAUUUAGGAUCUUGUUUGAAGGAUCAGUGUCUAAUCAUCGAUAAAAAACUCCAUUCACAAGAUCAUUGCACUUUAUGUGUCUUCACGGUAGCCUGAUCAAUAAUAUACAUAACUCCAUGCAUGAAAAUAGGAUCCAUUGCACGCAUCUUAUUCUUCCUACCCCAUCAGGACAUAUCAGUGUUUUUUAUUCAUUUGCAUGAAUAUGAUGACUAUUAAAAUAGAGGUGUGAAGAGUCGUGACUUUUUAUCUUAACACAUUCAAAAUAGCUGAUAAAUCCAAAUCUCCAUCUAUUGCAACUGAUGAAUCAGCUAUUGGAAGAAAUCAAAACAUCUCCUCCAAACAUAUGGUCCAUCUGUCGCAACAGAUAAUCUAUAUGUUGCAACAGAUGGUAAAUCUGUUGCGAUAGACCUGACUUUUUUUUAAUUAAUCUGCAUGUAUGUGAUUAUUUCUUUCUAAAUACAUUUGUUUCAAUUUAGUAUUCCUAUUUAUAAAAUCAAGAGAAUUUUAUUAUAUUCUUUCAAGAUUACCCCUAUUAUUAAAUGACUACAUAAAGUAUAUUAUUCACAUUUAUACUUUCUAAUCAUAAUUAAUAAGGCCAAUUUGGUAAAACAAUCACCUAAUUUAUAUUUUUAUUAAUUGGUGUGGCAAGCCCAUGGGGCCCAACUAAUACGUAGCAGAGGGACUAUUAAAAAGAGGUGAAUACUUUUUAUCUCACAUAUUCAAAACAGCUAAUGAAUCGGAUACUCCAUCUGUUGAAACUGAAACUAAUGAAUCAGCUGUCAGAAGAUAUCAAAACAUCUCCUCCAACUUAUACAUACUGUCCAUCUGUUUCCACAGAUAAAUCAGAUGUCUUAUUUGUUGCAUAUAAAAACCAUCUAUUGCAACAGAUGGUAAAUCUGUUUUGACAGCCGUCUAUUGCACAUUCAAUCCAUCCAUCUGUUGCAAAAGAUGCUAAAUCUGCUAAAAAUGUUGGAUGAUCUGUUGCAACAGCUCAAUAAUAACAGCUUUUAUCGAGUCUCAAACCGCUAUGAAAAGGUAAGAAGUAAUUGGUGUAAAAUAAAAAGUCACGACUUUUCACAGAAAAUAAAAUGCCACCAGUUUGAAUGUAAUUAAUACAAUAGAGCUGAACAGCCCUGCCUUUUGGCCUGACACGUCCAGAUUAUAUUAUAGGUCCCUCAAUCUUCAUUCAACUCUAUUUAUUUCUUGCAUUUUUUCCUUUCAUGUUACAUCUUCAACCACUUCUCUUCAAAGAUCAUAUUCUUUUCUCGUUGAGGUAAGUUUUUUUUUGGCAUAAAUUUACCAGUUGGUCGUAUACGUUGUAUUACAUUGUGAACAUUUUUCUUUACAUGUGUCAAUUCAUGAGUGUUCUAGAUAUGGCUGAUCCUUUUUCGGACAUUGCUAUUCUACGCGACACAGUUCGGGAACUUCAAAGGCAGGUUAAUGACCUACAGAGCGAGUUGAUCGCUGAGAGAGCGACAAUGUUCAAAGAGAUGUAGAGGCUGAUGAGAGCCCUGCUGCUGCGAUUUGAUUGACCGACUGUCAUUAAUGAUGAUAAUGAUAAUAAUAAUUAGAAUGUGCUUUUUCUUUUAGUGUAUGUAUUUUAAUUUUUCUAUAUUGGAUCUAUACCUAAUGUAUUUUAUUUUUCAUUUAAUGGAAAAUUUACUUUUAGUCAUACUUUGGCGUUUUAAUUCUUAUUCAAUUUUCAUUCUGUUUUCUUCUAAUCUAAUACAUGUUGGAGGCAAUGUUGAAUCCAGUAGCACUAGCAAUUUUGGCUUUUGAGUUCUUUCAACAGUUGGAACCGAUUGUCAUCUGUUGGGUUUCAACAGAUUAUCCAUCUGUUUUGACAGAUUUUCAUUUGUUGGAGAAAAGCAUUCCAGUUGUUUGUGCAACUGUUGAGAAUAAUUGUGGUCUGCUAUAUAAUUUAAGUUCAUGUUUUGCCUCAUUUUAUUGAUGCACAAGUUAUUUAAAAAAAAGGAUAUUUUAUAUAUAAUAAAUGAUAACAUUAGAUUCACAACAAUGAGUUAAAUAUAUAAAAUUCCACAACAAACAAACAAAUAAACAACAACACAAGUUUCUGCAAUUACAACGAUCAUGGUGGAUUAUGAUUCAGGCAUGUAGUUCUUUUGUCUCUAGCGCAAUUACAUAUGGAGCACUUGUUUCUUCUUGAUGAAAAUGAUCCUCCAACUCCACGCCUCCUUUUAUAUGACUUUCUUCCCGGUUUGAUAGUGCUCGGGUCAAUAUAUGGAGGAGGUAUUAAUCUCCCCAUAAGCUCUACUGAAACAACCCAAGAUUCUUCGGGAGGCACUGGAGUAAUAUGUCCACUAUAUGCCAUUUCAUAUUUUUCCACCAAAUAAUAUUGAGAGGAGUGCUCGUAAACUUCAGGUCCAUAUUUAUGGCCGUAUUGAGCUCGAAGGGCUGCCAUAGCAUGUGGACAAGGUAUUUUGUCCAAGUCAAAAACUCUACACGUACAAGAUCUUGUUUGAAGUUAGACUGUGGCAGCAUCACCAUGACCGGUGAUAUGAAAUUUGUAAUCUGCUAUUUUAUGAGAGAAUAACCUAUUCCCCAAACUGAUGUUCAUUGAUAUUUUCUUUUCGAUUUUGAGAAGAAAUCAGGUUCUUUUUCUGGAAACUUGAACUGUACACGCCUUUCAUUAAAAAAAUUGCUAUAUUUCUCGCUUAUUUUUUCAAACAUAGCCUUGAUGGAAAAUUUUCUUUCAUCGCCAAACAAUGAAUUCACCGAUUCAGCUAUGUUUGAUGUCAUAAUAUUGUACCUAUCACUUAGUACGACAUCAAACUAAAAUUGUAAAUCAAACAAGACAUUAAAUUCAUAAGAAUGGACCUAUUUGCUGGACAGAAUCCCCGGCUCCAUCUCUCGAAACCGACACGUGCAAGAAAUUCUGCUACCUUGGGAUUCACAUCCGCUAUUUGCUUAACUCAAGUGAUCUGCUUAUAUAUUCUUAUUUGAGUCUUCUAACCUCUCCUAUCUAAUGUCACGCCCUUGAUAAAAUGAAAUUGUGUCAUUAUUCCUUGAUAAUCACUUCUCUCUAAUACUUCUUGAAUCUACCUUCAUAUUCAGCCUUACAUACCUCCACAUUGGACUUUCAUACAUCUUCUUUGCAUGAUUAGAUUAUUAAUUUAAUGAAUUUAUAAUUUAUUUUUUGGUUAGAAAUUAUUGAAGUUUGUAGAAAAUGUCCUUUCUGGCCCUGUGAACAUCUUUUCUCAAUGUAUUAAAGAGGGCCUCUCUAACACAAUUCUUUUAUAACAAAAAAGAAGGAAAGAAAGAUUGUUUUCUUUCAACAAUAAAACUAUUUUAGACCUUGAAUUAAUCCUCUUAAAUAUUCAUAUUCUCUAACAAAAAGUCUUACAACAAAAUCCAAAAUAAUAUUGUCACGACUCAAAUUUGUUGUGAGUGGCACACACAUUACUAAUUCAAUGGGAGAAUCAUCUACCCUAAAAUACCAUCUUAUAAUCAAAGUUUAGUAUAGGACCACCUAUUAGACUUGGUCUUGGCUACCAGAAGGUCACAGUUUAGGAGUCCUAUGUCGGAAAAGGGAUGGACAAUUGGACUUCUUAUAUAGACUUAAACAAUUCUUUCUUUGUGAACAAAUGAGCUAACUUUUGGGGUUAGAUUAGACCCAAGAUUCAUUUUUUGUCGGUCACAAAUACAAUAUUCAGUAUCCAAGUCCACUUAGCUUAUAGAACAUCAUGACGUGCAAUGAAUUGCAUAUAAAACUCUUUGUUGCCUGUCUACUUGAUCCAAAAUAAGAAAAAGAAAAUUUCCCAAUUCGUUUUUAUAGUUUUCCAAUAUUCACAAAAAUAUAUAGUUUUUCAAAUUUUUUCCGUACCUAAUUUUCAAAGUUAAUCCAAAACCAACUCUUUAAGGGAACCUUCAUAUCAAGAGUAUAACAAUCAUUUUUUCAUCAUAGAAAGCAUGACUUUUGUGCAUGAGUUUAACUUCAAAUUUCAUUAUUAAAAAUGAUAGUUUGUUCUUUUCAUUGAAUUUUUUAACUCCAAAAGACGAUUUUAAAGCGGAAUCCCCAUUUAUUAGAUAGAGAAGAUCACCAAAAUUUCACGAUCCGCUAUCGAAUUUAUUCCAAUUCAGAAUGCUCAUUGAAUGAGCAUUCUCAAUAUUAUGCCUUGAAGAGGACUCGAACCUCCACGCUCUUUAGCAUGAGAUUUUGAAUCAAGUGUGUCUACCAUUUCACCACCAAGGCAUCUUGAAAGUGAAUCGUAUUCCAUGAAUACGAUAUCUAUCUAGUGUGAUGUAUAGAAUAUAUGACAAAGGUGGAUCUAUUGAUCGGUUAUGUCAUAUAGGCCCGAGUUGGACAUCCAAUUGCUUCGAUUUAAAUUAUUUGGAGAAUGCAAUGCCUGAUAUCUAUCAAAAGAUGGACAAUCAUUAUGCAAAAUGAUAGUGUAGAAGCAGGUAGUUAAAGGAGUUCCAACUAUAUCAAAUUACUACUGCAAUGAAUUAGUGAAGUUAAUUAUAACUAACCUCUAGCUCACCACUAACCAACCAACUAACCUACUAGUUGUCUUAGCCUACUUACUAACUGUCUAUAGAUACAUAUGUAUCAUGUACUAUUGGAUAACAACUUGAAUACAAAGAAUUAUAGUUUUGGCUAAUGCUCUAUGAUUAUUAUCUGUGCUCUCUUCUUCUCUCUUCUCUCUUACUUUCCUGCCUUCUUGCUUAGUUGUUCAUAGUGAUUACCAUUAAGAUCACCUAAUUCUUCAUGGUAUCAUAGCUUGCACUGAAUUGAAUCAAUACGUGAGACUAGAUUCUACAUUUGUUCUUGAAAUUAAGAACUACAGAAUCUGGGAGUUUAUUUUUUUGCAAAUCUUCUGUAAUAAAUUGCAAUGGCGACCGAUGUUGAUGGAAUUGGUAGUUGAAUUGUACCUUCAGUGAAUAAUGCAAAUUCCAGUACUUCAUUUCAGUUUACAACUACUACUAGAGAUAUUAAUCACCCUCUAUAUCUCUUAACUGCAAAUAUUUCAGGUACUUCACUUAUUUCAUUUCAGCUGCAAAGAAGUGAAAAUUAUGUAGUAUGGAGUAAAAUAGUUAGGAUACAUUAUUAGGUAAAAAUAAGUUUGGAAUGGUUGAUAGUUCUUGGAGGAAAUAAAUCUUCUCUACAGACUUAGCUAAUCAAUGGGAAAGGGUUAAUGCAAUAGUACUGUCAUGGCUGAUUAAUUCAGUGUCUAGUAACCUUCUUGGAGAGGUAGUACAUGUCUCAAAGCUUGUGAUUUGUGGAUGGGUCUUAAAGAAAGAUUUGAUAAAACAGAUGGAUCAAGAACUUACAAUUUGUAUCAAGAAAUUUCAACUGUGUCCCAAGGUGUUCAAUCUAUUUCGUCUAUUUCACUAAGUUGAAAAACUUAAGGGAUAAGUUUGAGUCUUUAGUCCCAUCACCUGCUUGUAACUAUGAAAAAUCAAGAGAUUUUUUAGCUUUUCUUUAAAGGCAAAAGUUGUAUCAGUUUCUAAUGGGCUUGAAUGAUUCAUACUCACAAGCAAAAAGUCGCAUCUUGUUAAUGACACCACUACCUACUGUUAACAUGGCCUAAUCCAUGAUCAUAAGUGAUGAGAAUCAAAAGUCUGUGGCUCAGUCAGUACAGGAAACAGGUCUUCUUAGUGCUGCAACUACUGCAAUUGAUGAUGUUACAGUGUACUCUAAAUUUGGAUAUCAAGGUGGUUAUCAAAAUGGAAAAAGGAACUAUGUUUCAACCUAUAACUCAAAUGAUGUUUGUGAUCAUUGCAAGAUGAAAGGUCACUAUAAUAUGGAUUGCGACAAGUUAGUUGGAUAUCCAUCAUGUCAACCAAAACAUGGAGAUCAAAGAGACAACAAUGACUUCAGAAGUGGCUUUGAUAACAAAACUAACCAGAGAAAGGUUGCUUCUAGUGCUCAUAAUGUUAUGGUUGAAGACUGGCAGCUACAACCUCAACAGACUCAAUCACAUGGUGCCUAUCUGACUUCACAAAAUUUACCAAAGGAUGGGAUGAUUACACCAAUGUUUACACCUGACAAUAUGAUCAAAUUUCCAAAGUACUAGAACAACAUAAUCAAGUUUCAGCAUUUGUGCCCUCUACUAUUGUAGCAAAUAUGACAGUUAUUGGUAGGGCCCUGUUGGUCAACAAUAAACCACAUGAUUGGAUUAUUCAUACAAGUGCUACAAAUCACAUGAAAGUAGACAUUGAACUUCUAAAUAAAGGUUCAAUAUCUGAGUCAAUUACCAAAUGUUGAUAUGUCAGUUUUUACACACACCGGCUUUAGUAGUAUCUCUGAUAGGAACACUAUACAAAACGUGUUCCAUUUACUUCAAUUCAAAUACAACUUGUUGUCAGUCUCACAGGCUACUAAAAAUCUUAAUUGUUAUGUAACUUUCUUUCUUAAUUUUUGUGUGUUUCAAGAUCUUUGAAAUGGGAAGGUGAAGGGGAUUGGAAAAGAGAAAAAUGGACUAUACUUCUUAUUGAGAAAAAAACUUCCAGGGCAUGGCAAAGUAGUAGGCUGUGUGUUCAAUACUCAGAAUAUAAAUAAAUUUGAUCUAAGGUUAUGGCUAGGCAUAAGACACUUGGACAUGUUCCUUUUAGGAUACUAUCUCACAUGUUUUCUAUGUCGAAAACUCAUGUAGAUGACAAUAUAAAUAAGUGUGAACUUUGUCCAUUUUCUAAACAAACUAGGCUAGCCUUUCCUUCUAGCAGUACAUCUAGUGUUAAAGCUUUUGACUUAGUGCAUAUGGAUCUCUGGGGUCCUUAUAAGGUUCCUAAUUGUGAUGGACAUAGAUCCUUCUUAAUUGUUGUGGAUGAUUUUACUAGAAUGACAUGUAUAUUUUUUCUUGUAUAGAAAUCUGAUGUUGUAGUUAUUCUGAAGCAUUUCUUAUCUUAUGUUCAUACUCAGUUUAAUACGUGUGUAAAAGUCAUCAGGAUAGACAAUGGAACUAAGUUUGUUAACAACUCAUGGACUAAUUUGUUUGCAAACUUAGGGAUAAAACAUCAAACCUCCUGAUAUUAUACAUCCCAACAAAAUGGUGUGGCUGAAAGAAAGCACAGGCAUUUGUUGAAAAUGACCAGGGCUUUAAGGUUUCAAGCUAAUAUACCUUUAAAGUUUUAGGGAUAUUGUGUACAAGCAGCAACAUACUUGAUUAAUAGCCUUCCAUCUGUUAUGGUAGGUUAUAUGACACCUAAUGAGAGGAUGCAUAAUAGAAAACCUUCCUUAGAUCAUCUAAAGGUAUUAGGAUGUUUAUGGUAUGCUAAAACUGUCAAUGAGUCAGAUAAACUAAUGCCUAGAUCUAGAAAAGCAAUUCAUAUGGGAUAUUCAGAAACAAAGAAGGGUUACAUUAUCUAUGAUCUUACUAACAAAAUUUUCUUUGUAAACAGGGAUAUGGUGUUCAGAGAGGACACAUUUCCAUUCAUAAUCGAUCUAGAUCAAUCUCCAUAACAUAUGUUUGCUCCAUAUGAUCCAGAAGCAGAAUCACCUAAUACCACUGGAUGGACUAGACCUCAACCUGAUGUUGAUUUUCAACAGUGAACCAUAAGUGACUUCACUACAGAUUAACCAAGUACUUACUCAGAGUCAACCAGUACAACUCACUGCACAGGACCACCAUGUACAACCUGUUCCAACAAUAAGAAUAACAAGAUAUAUUACUAGACAACAAGUUGCAGAACAACCUGUCACAACUAGGAUCACAACCAGACCACAACCAGUUGCUCAACAAGACCAAAGAAAAUCUACCGGGGGUUCAAAUUCUCCUGCAUGGAUGAAAUAUUUUGUGUCAUUGAAUAUCAAUGACAAUGUUUUAUAACCUUUAUCUAAUUAUAUUUCUUAUGAUAAUAUAUCUACUAAGUAUCAAUGCUACCUAUCCAAUUUUUCUAACAUUGUGGAGCCUACCUCUUAUGCAGAAGCAAUAAAGGAUCCAAGAUGGGUAGAUGCUAUGCAAACUGAAAUGGCUGCACUUCAAAAAAACAAUACCUAGUAAGAAGUUGAUCUUCCAGCAGGUAAGUAACCUAUAGGGUGCAAAUGGAUCUACAAGAUCAAGUAUAAGCCUUAGGAAAAGUAGAAAGAUUUUAGGCAAGACUAGUUGCAAAAGGUUUUAGUCAGAAAGAAGGCAUAGACUACCAAGAAACAUUUUGUCCAGUGGCAAAAAUGGUCACAUUUAGAAUAGUUAUUGCUACCAAAACUCCCCAAGAACACACGAAAAAAACACCAAUCAGUCCACUAGUUUAAGAACUAUAGACCCUUUUGAUGACCUAUCUCGGAUUCGCAAGAGGAACAAGAAAGGAAGUGAUAUCAAGAGUAAACACACUAAAAAAAAGCAAAAACACGUGAUGAACAAGAUGAACACAAGAACACAACUUUCAGAUUCAACAAGGUACAAAAACAGUCCACUGCAAACAUACAAAAUGCAAUAAGAUAAAGAUAGAUAGAUAGAUAGAUAAAUGAAGAUGUAAUAUUAACAACCCAAAAGCUUAUUCCACUUUUGGACCUUUAAUAUCACACACAACCUAAACCUAUCUCUUACGUGACCUUAAGGGAACCGGAAUCCCCAAGCAAUCUCUGUUUCUAAGUGAUUCAUCAACACAAGGAUUCCACCUUGCCCAAGGAUUUUACCUUGCUAAGAGGCUCUCAAAAGAGGCUACAAAUAUCAUCAAAAAUCAGCCCUAAAAUGACCUAAUAAGGUUAUAUUUAUAUCUAGGAAAACUUAUUACAAAUGAUCAAAAAAGCCUUGCAAAGGGGCAGAUGAAUAAUGAUGGAUGAACAGUAAUAGCUUUGGAGUGUGGGACUUGCUCUCUACACUUUAAAGCCUAUUCCUUGGAUGGGCAGCCCCACAAGAUGGGGUCUUCACUCACGUCUUCAUGUCCUCAAGUGCUAAAAUGCCUUUUUGACCCCUAUCAUCCUUCCCUCCUUAGAAAGGAUUCGUCCUCGAAUCCGAACCUUGCAAAAUGAUAGGAAGGACAAAAAAACAUAAUUUCCUCAAUGUAUGAGGGUUAGGGUUAGUGUAAUGAAUCAUAGCAUUAUGCCAAGGUUUCUCAAACUUCACGUAUACCCAAACAUCCCUCGAGUUCUCAAAAAUGAUACACCAAUCAUAGGAAACCCGAAUUACGUACAAGACAUGCUUAGCAUCAACAUAAUCAUGCUCACACAAUGCACAUAUGUCAUUCCCAAAUAUGGUUUGAAAUGAAUCAAUAUCACACCUUAAGUUAUCAAUGGGAUCAAAGGGGUAGGGUAUCUAUGGACAUGGAUGGAGGAUAUGCUUCUUUUCCCCGAGACUACCACCAAUACAAUCACAUAUUCCCUUUAUGCUAGGAUGAUCUACAACAAAAACAACUAGAGGUUAAUCUUUAGUCAAUCGAACAAAUUGUUCAACAUCACCAUUUUCACACAUAAGUUGGUUGUCAUGACUUCCAUAAGACAAUGUACUAUCACUUUCCACAAUGGAUUCAACACUAGGUGGAUCAACUAGUAUAUCUACAAUUUCAAGUUGUAAAUUAUCAUCACAAAAUAAAGGCACAUUCAGCUCACUUAAAGACAAACUAUCAUUCACACUAAGUUGGCUAUUAUCCUCAUUCACUAGAGUGCAAAAGUUAGUUUGAUUACCUUGUAGCUCAUGUGGAGCAUGGCCACUCACGAAAAUUUGAUUAGGAAGGCUUUGAUGCUCCAUCAAGUUAUCCAACUUCUUGCAAAGAGAGCCUUCCGUCCCUUCUAAUCUCCCUUCCAUUCUUUCCAUUAUUUGACCAUCGAUGGCAUCAAGCCUUGACAUGAUGGAUUUAACCCAACUAGGCAUUUCAGUUUCAUUCACCAUUGUACCUAUCAAGAUCUACUAAACAAACAUCACAAAAAUAUCAAACACGUUAAAAAAUUAGCAAAAAUUAGUCCGCAUGAUGUAUCAAAACAGUCCGCACACUCUCAAGCUCACGCUUUGGAAGUUUUCACUCUAUUGGCCUCACAAGUGUUGAUAACUCGCAUGUACUCCAAUGAGGUCACUUGGUUCCAACUGUGGCUAGAGGGGAUUAGAUUCUUGUUUUAAACGACUCAAAAAGUAAUGUACGAACUUGAACCAAAAAGAAUACUAUGACUCAAAAACGAGAAAAGCACACAACAAAUGCUAAACACGAAUGAACGAACACAAAGACUAACUAACAAUCUAGUAGAUGAGUACUAGUUUGCCAAUUAGUAUUGGAACCAAAGAAAUUGAAAGUAAGGAACAACAAAAGGAAACUAAGAAAUAUAAAAUUUGAGCCAAAAUUUGAUGAAUGAACAGUAUCUUGAUGAUGUGGCAGCCACGUAUUGGUCGCGGUUUCUACAAUUUUUAUUUUCCAAAGUCCAAUUCUUGACCAAUUUUAAUUUGGAUUGGUAGAAUUUGUUUCAAGGAGGGAAGAAUAAGUCUUGGAGCCUUUUUUUUUCAAGUUUCACAUUUCAAGACUUGACUUUUCUAGUACUUUUCCUUCAAACAUGGACCCUUGUUUCAUGGGAAAGUGGUUGAGAAGUGAUGUAAAGUCUUUAGUGUGUAGGAAAAGUCUUUGAGUCACAAGUACUACACCUUGAAACUUGGAUCNNNNNNNNNNNNNNNNNNNNNNNNNNNNNNNNNNNNNNNNNNNNNNNNNNNNNNNNNNNNNNNNNNNNNNNNNNNNNNNNNNNNNNNNNNNNNNNNNNNNNNNNNNNNNNNNNNNNNNNNNNNNNNNNNNNNNNNNNNNNNNNNNNNNNNNNNNNNNNNNNNNNNNNNNNNNNNNNNNNNNNNNNNNNNNNNNNNNNNNNNNNNNNNNNNNNNNNNNNNNNNNNNNNNNNNNNNNNNNNNNNNNNNNNNNNNNNNNNNNNNNNNNNNNNNNNNNNNNNNNNNNNNNNNNNNNNNNNNNNNNNNNNNNNNNNNNNNNNNNNNNNNNNNNNNNNNNNNNNNNNNNNNNNNNNNNNNNNNNNNNNNNNNNNNNNNNNNNNNNNNNNNNNNNNNNNNNNNNNNNNNNNNNNNNNNNNNNNNNNNNNNNNNNNNNNNNNNNNNNNNNNNNNNNNNNNNNNNNNNNNNNNNNNNNNNNNNNNNNNNNNNNNNNNNNNNNNNNNNNNNNNNNNNNNNNNNNNNNNNNNNNNNNNNNNNNNNNNNNNNNNNNNNNNNNNNNNNNNNNNNNNNNNNNNNNNNNNNNNNNNNNNNNNNNNNNNNNNNNNNNNNNNNNNNNNNNNNNNNNNNNNNNNNNNNNNNNNNNNNNNNNNNNNNNNNNNNNNNNNNNNNNNNNNNNNNNNNNNNNNNNNNNNNNNNNNNNNNNNNNNNNNNNNNNNNNNNNNNNNNNNNNNNNNNNNNNNNNNNNNNNNNNNNNNNNNNNNNNNNNNNNNNNNNNNNNNNNNNNNNNNNNNNNNNNNNNNNNNNNNNNNNNNNNNNNNNNNNNNNNNNNNNNNNNNNNNNNNNNNNNNNNNNNNNNNNNNNNNNNNNNNNNNNNNNNNNNNNNNNNNNNNNNNNNNNNNNNNNNNNNNNNNNNNNNNNNNNNNNNNNNNNNNNNNNNNNNNNNNNNNNNNNNNNNNNNNNNNNNNNNNNNNNNNNNNNNNNNNNNNNNNNNNNNNNNNNNNNNNNNNNNNNNNNNNNNNNNNNNNNNNNNNNNNNNNNNNNNNNNNNNNNNNNNNNNNNNNNNNNNNNNNNNNNNNNNNNNNNNNNNNNNNNNNNNNNNNNNNNNNNNNNNNNNNNNNNNNNNNNNNNNNNNNNNNNNNNNNNNNNNNNNNNNNNNNNNNNNNNNNNNNNNNNNNNNNNNNNNNNNNNNNNNNNNNNNNNNNNNNNNNNNNNNNNNNNNNNNNNNNNNNNNNNNNNNNNNNNNNNNNNNNNNNNNNNNNNNNNNNNNNNNNNNNNNNNNNNNNNNNNNNNNNNNNNNNNNNNNNNNNNNNNNNNNNNNNNNNNNNNNNNNNNNNNNNNNNNNNNNNNNNNNNNNNNNNNNNNNNNNNNNNNNNNNNNNNNNNNNNNNNNNNNNNNNNNNNNNNNNNNNNNNNNNNNNNNNNNNNNNNNNNNNNNNNNNNNNNNNNNNNNNNNNNNNNNNNNNNNNNNNNNNNNNNNNNNNNNNNNNNNNNNNNNNNNNNNNNNNNNNNNNNNNNNNNNNNNNNNNNNNNNNNNNNNNNNNNNNNNNNNNNNNNNNNNNNNNNNNNNNNNNNNNNNNNNNNNNNNNNNNNNNNNNNNNNNNNNNNNNNNNNNNNNNNNNNNNNNNNNNNNNNNNNNNNNNNNNNNNNNNNNNNNNNNNNNNNNNNNNNNNNNNNNNNNNNNNNNNNNNNNNNNNNNNNNNNNNNNNNNNNNNNNNNNNNNNNNNNNNNNNNNNNNNNNNNNNNNNNNNNNNNNNNNNNNNNNNNNNNNNNNNNNNNNNNNNNNNNNNNNNNNNNNNNNNNNNNNNNNNNNNNNNNNNNNNNNNNNNNNNNNNNNNNNNNNNNNNNNNNNNNNNNNNNNNNNNNNNNNNNNNNNNNNNNNNNNNNNNNNNNNNNNNNNNNNNNNNNNNNNNNNNNNNNNNNNNNNNNNNNNNNNNNNNNNNNNNNNNNNNNNNNNNNNNNNNNNNNNNNNNNNNNNNNNNNNNNNNNNNNNNNNNNNNNNNNNNNNNNNNNNNNNNNNNNNNNNNNNNNNNNNNNNNNNNNNNNNNNNNNNNNNNNNNNNNNNNNNNNNNNNNNNNNNNNNNNNNNNNNNNNNNNNNNNNNNNNNNNNNNNNNNNNNNNNNNNNNNNNNNNNNNNNNNNNNNNNNNNNNNNNNNNNNNNNNNNNNNNNNNNNNNNNNNNNNNNNNNNNNNNNNNNNNNNNNNNNNNNNNNNNNNNNNNNNNNNNNNNNNNNNNNNNNNNNNNNNNNNNNNNNNNNNNNNNNNNNNNNNNNNNNNNNNNNNNNNNNNNNNNNNNNNNNNNNNNNNNNNNNNNNNNNNNNNNNNNNNNNNNNNNNNNNNNNNNNNNNNNNNNNNNNNNNNNNNNNNNNNNNNNNNNNNNNNNNNNNNNNNNNNNNNNNNNNNNNNNNNNNNNNNNNNNNNNNNNNNNNNNNNNNNNNNNNNNNNNNNNNNNNNNNNNNNNNNNNNNNNNNNNNNNNNNNNNNNNNNNNNNNNNNNNNNNNNNNNNNNNNNNNNNNNNNNNNNNNNNNNNNNNNNNNNNNNNNNNNNNNNNNNNNNNNNNNNNNNNNNNNNNNNNNNNNNNNNNNNNNNNNNNNNNNNNNNNNNNNNNNNNNNNNNNNNNNNNNNNNNNNNNNNNNNNNNNNNNNNNNNNNNNNNNNNNNNNNNNNNNNNNNNNNNNNNNNNNNNNNNNNNNNNNNNNNNNNNNNNNNNNNNNNNNNNNNNNNNNNNNNNNNNNNNNNNNNNNNNNNNNNNNNNNNNNNNNNNNNNNNNNNNNNNNNNNNNNNNNNNNNNNNNNNNNNNNNNNNNNNNNNNNNNNNNNNNNNNNNNNNNNNNNNNNNNNNNNNNNNNNNNNNNNNNNNNNNNNNNNNNNNNNNNNNNNNNNNNNNNNNNNNNNNNNNNNNNNNNNNNNNNNNNNNNNNNNNNNNNNNNNNNNNNNNNNNNNNNNNNNNNNNNNNNNNNNNNNNNNNNNNNNNNNNNNNNNNNNNNNNNNNNNNNNNNNNNNNNNNNNNNNNNNNNNNNNNNNNNNNNNNNNNNNNNNNNNNNNNNNNNNNNNNNNNNNNNNNNNNNNNNNNNNNNNNNNNNNNNNNNNNNNNNNNNNNNNNNNNNNNNNNNNNNNNNNNNNNNNNNNNNNNNNNNNNNNNNNNNNNNNNNNNNNNNNNNNNNNNNNNNNNNNNNNNNNNNNNNNNNNNNNNNNNNNNNNNNNNNNNNNNNNNNNNNNNNNNNNNNNNNNNNNNNNNNNNNNNNNNNNNNNNNNNNNNNNNNNNNNNNNNNNNNNNNNNNNNNNNNNNNNNNNNNNNNNNNNNNNNNNNNNNNNNNNNNNNNNNNNNNNNNNNNNNNNNNNNNNNNNNNNNNNNNNNNNNNNNNNNNNNNNNNNNNNNNNNNNNNNNNNNNNNNNNNNNNNNNNNNNNNNNNNNNNNNNNNNNNNNNNNNNNNNNNNNNNNNNNNNNNNNNNNNNNNNNNNNNNNNNNNNNNNNNNNNNNNNNNNNNNNNNNNNNNNNNNNNNNNNNNNNNNNNNNNNNNNNNNNNNNNNNNNNNNNNNNNNNNNNNNNNNNNNNNNNNNNNNNNNNNNNNNNNNNNNNNNNNNNNNNNNNNNNNNNNNNNNNNNNNNNNNNNNNNNNNNNNNNNNNNNNNNNNNNNNNNNNNNNNNNNNNNNNNNNNNNNNNNNNNNNNNNNNNNNNNNNNNNNNNNNNNNNNNNNNNNNNNNNNNNNNNNNNNNNNNNNNNNNNNNNNNNNNNNNNNNNNNNNNNNNNNNNNNNNNNNNNNNNNNNNNNNNNNNNNNNNNNNNNNNNNNNNNNNNNNNNNNNNNNNNNNNNNNNNNNNNNNNNNNNNNNNNNNNNNNNNNNNNNNNNNNNNNNNNNNNNNNNNNNNNNNNNNNNNNNNNNNNNNNNNNNNNNNNNNNNNNNNNNNNNNNNNNNNNNNNNNNNNNNNNNNNNNNNNNNNNNNNNNNNNNNNNNNNNNNNNNNNNNNNNNNNNNNNNNNNNNNNNNNNNNNNNNNNNNNNNNNNNNNNNNNNNNNNNNNNNNNNNNNNNNNNNNNNNNNNNNNNNNNNNNNNNNNNNNNNNNNNNNNNNNNNNNNNNNNNNNNNNNNNNNNNNNNNNNNNNNNNNNNNNNNNNNNNNNNNNNNNNNNNNNNNNNNNNNNNNNNNNNNNNNNNNNNNNNNNNNNNNNNNNNNNNNNNNNNNNNNNNNNNNNNNNNNNNNNNNNNNNNNNNNNNNNNNNNNNNNNNNNNNNNNNNNNNNNNNNNNNNNNNNNNNNNNNNNNNNNNNNNNNNNNNNNNNNNNNNNNNNNNNNNNNNNNNNNNNNNNNNNNNNNNNNNNNNNNNNNNNNNNNNNNNNNNNNNNNNNNNNNNNNNNNNNNNNNNNNNNNNNNNNNNNNNNNNNNNNNNNNNNNNNNNNNNNNNNNNNNNNNNNNNNNNNNNNNNNNNNNNNNNNNNNNNNNNNNNNNNNNNNNNNNNNNNNNNNNNNNNNNNNNNNNNNNNNNNNNNNNNNNNNNNNNNNNNNNNNNNNNNNNNNNNNNNNNNNNNNNNNNNNNNNNNNNNNNNNNNNNNNNNNNNNNNNNNNNNNNNNNNNNNNNNNNNNNNNNNNNNNNNNNNNNNNNNNNNNNNNNNNNNNNNNNNNNNNNNNNNNNNNNNNNNNNNNNNNNNNNNNNNNNNNNNNNNNNNNNNNNNNNNNNNNNNNNNNNNNNNNNNNNNNNNNNNNNNNNNNNNNNNNNNNNNNNNNNNNNNNNNNNNNNNNNNNNNNNNNNNNNNNNNNNNNNNNNNNNNNNNNNNNNNNNNNNNNNNNNNNNNNNNNNNNNNNNNNNNNNNNNNNNNNNNNNNNNNNNNNNNNNNNNNNNNNNNNNNNNNNNNNNNNNNNNNNNNNNNNNNNNNNNNNNNNNNNNNNNNNNNNNNNNNNNNNNNNNNNNNNNNNNNNNNNNNNNNNNNNNNNNNNNNNNNNNNNNNNNNNNNNNNNNNNNNNNNNNNNNNNNNNNNNNNNNNNNNNNNNNNNNNNNNNNNNNNNNNNNNNNNNNNNNNNNNNNNNNNNNNNNNNNNNNNNNNNNNNNNNNNNNNNNNNNNNNNNNNNNNNNNNNNNNNNNNNNNNNNNNNNNNNNNNNNNNNNNNNNNNNNNNNNNNNNNNNNNNNNNNNNNNNNNNNNNNNNNNNNNNNNNNNNNNNNNNNNNNNNNNNNNNNNNNNNNNNNNNNNNNNNNNNNNNNNNNNNNNNNNNNNNNNNNNNNNNNNNNNNNNNNNNNNNNNNNNNNNNNNNNNNNNNNNNNNNNNNNNNNNNNNNNNNNNNNNNNNNNNNNNNNNNNNNNNNNNNNNNNNNNNNNNNNNNNNNNNNNNNNNNNNNNNNNNNNNNNNNNNNNNNNNNNNNNNNNNNNNNNNNNNNNNNNNNNNNNNNNNNNNNNNNNNNNNNNNNNNNNNNNNNNNNNNNNNNNNNNNNNNNNNNNNNNNNNNNNNNNNNNNNNNNNNNNNNNNNNNNNNNNNNNNNNNNNNNNNNNNNNNNNNNNNNNNNNNNNNNNNNNNNNNNNNNNNNNNNNNNNNNNNNNNNNNNNNNNNNNNNNNNNNNNNNNNNNNNNNNNNNNNNNNNNNNNNNNNNNNNNNNNNNNNNNNNNNNNNNNNNNNNNNNNNNNNNNNNNNNNNNNNNNNNNNNNNNNNNNNNNNNNNNNNNNNNNNNNNNNNNNNNNNNNNNNNNNNNNNNNNNNNNNNNNNNNNNNNNNNNNNNNNNNNNNNNNNNNNNNNNNNNNNNNNNNNNNNNNNNNNNNNNNNNNNNNNNNNNNNNNNNNNNNNNNNNNNNNNNNNNNNNNNNNNNNNNNNNNNNNNNNNNNNNNNNNNNNNNNNNNNNNNNNNNNNNNNNNNNNNNNNNNNNNNNNNNNNNNNNNNNNNNNNNNNNNNNNNNNNNNNNNNNNNNNNNNNNNNNNNNNNNNNNNNNNNNNNNNNNNNNNNNNNNNNNNNNNNNNNNNNNNNNNNNNNNNNNNNNNNNNNNNNNNNNNNNNNNNNNNNNNNNNNNNNNNNNNNNACCAUGUACAACCUGUUCCAACAAUAAGAAUAACAAGAUAUAUUACUAGACAACAGGUUGCAGAACAACCUGUCACAACUAGGAUCACAACCAGACCACAACCAGUUGCUCAACAAGACCAAAGAAAAUCUACCCGGGGUUCAAAUCCUCCUGCAUGGAUGAAAUAUUUUGUAUCAUUGACUAUCAACGACAAUGUUUUAUACCCUUUAUCUAAUUAUAUUUCUUAUGAUAAUAUAUCUACUAAGUAUCAAUGCUACCUAUCCAAUUUUUCUAACAUUGUGGAGCCUACCUCUUAUGCAGAAGCAAUAAAGGAUCCAAGAUGGGUAGAUGCUAUGCAAACUGAAAUGGCUGCACUUCAAAAAAACAAUACCUAGUAAGAAGUUGAUCUUCCAGCAGGUAAGUAACCUAUAGGGUGCAAAUGGAUCUACAAGAUCAAGUAUAAGCCUUAGGAAAAGUAGAAAGAUUUUAGGCAAGACUAGUUGCAAAAGGUUUUAGUCAGAAAGAAGGCAUAGACUACCAAGAAACAUUUUGUCCAGUGGCAAAAAUGGUCACAUUUAGAAUAGUUAUUGCUACCAAAACUCCCCAAGAACACACGAAAAAAACACCAAUCAGUCCACUAGUUUAAGAACUAUAGACCCUUUUGAUGACCUAUCUCGGAUUCGCAAGAGGAACAAGAAAGGAAGUGAUAUCAAGAGUAAACACACUAAAAAAAAGCAAAAACACGUGAUGAACAAGAUGAACACAAGAACACAACUUUCAGAUUCAACAAGGUACAAAAACAGUCCACUGCAAACAUACAAAAUGCAAUAAGAUAAAGAUAGAUAGAUAGAUAGAUAAAUGAAGAUGUAAUAUUAACAACCCAAAAGCUUAUUCCACUUUUGGACCUUUAAUAUCACACACAACCUAAACCUAUCUCUUACGUGACCUUAAGGGAACCGGAAUCCCCAAGCAAUCUCUGUUUCUAAGUGAUUCAUCAACACAAGGAUUCCACCUUGCCCAAGGAUUUUACCUUGCUAAGAGGCUCUCAAAAGAGGCUACAAAUAUCAUCAAAAAUCAGCCCUAAAAUGACCUAAUAAGGUUAUAUUUAUAUCUAGGAAAACUUAUUACAAAUGAUCAAAAAAGCCUUGCAAAGGGGCAGAUGAAUAAUGAUGGAUGAACAGUAAUAGCUUUGGAGUGUGGGACUUGCUCUCUACACUUUAAAGCCUAUUCCUUGGAUGGGCAGCCCCACAAGAUGGGGUCUUCACUCACGUCUUCAUGUCCUCAAGUGCUAAAAUGCCUUUUUGACCCCUAUCAUCCUUCCCUCCUUAGAAAGGAUUCGUCCUCGAAUCCGAACCUUGCAAAAUGAUAGGAAGGACAAAAAAACAUAAUUUCCUCAAUGUAUGAGGGUUAGGGUUAGUGUAAUGAAUCAUAGCAUUAUGCCAAGGUUUCUCAAACUUCACGUAUACCCAAACAUCCCUCGAGUUCUCAAAAAUGAUACACCAAUCAUAGGAAACCCGAAUUACGUACAAGACAUGCUUAGCAUCAACAUAAUCAUGCUCACACAAUGCACAUAUGUCAUUCCCAAAUAUGGUUUGAAAUGAAUCAAUAUCACACCUUAAGUUAUCAAUGGGAUCAAAGGGGUAGGGUAUCUAUGGACAUGGAUGGAGGAUAUGCUUCUUUUCCCCGAGACUACCACCAAUACAAUCACAUAUUCCCUUUAUGCUAGGAUGAUCUACAACAAAAACAACUAGAGGUUAAUCUUUAGUCAAUCGAACAAAUUGUUCAACAUCACCAUUUUCACACAUAAGUUGGUUGUCAUGACUUCCAUAAGACAAUGUACUAUCACUUUCCACAAUGGAUUCAACACUAGGUGGAUCAACUAGUAUAUCUACAAUUUCAAGUUGUAAAUUAUCAUCACAAAAUAAAGGCACAUUCAGCUCACUUAAAGACAAACUAUCAUUCACACUAAGUUGGCUAUUAUCCUCAUUCACUAGAGUGCAAAAGUUAGUUUGAUUACCUUGUAGCUCAUGUGGAGCAUGGCCACUCACGAAAAUUUGAUUAGGAAGGCUUUGAUGCUCCAUCAAGUUAUCCAACUUCUUGCAAAGAGAGCCUUCCGUCCCUUCUAAUCUCCCUUCCAUUCUUUCCAUUAUUUGACCAUCGAUGGCAUCAAGCCUUGACAUGAUGGAUUUAACCCAACUAGGCAUUUCAGUUUCAUUCACCAUUGUACCUAUCAAGAUCUACUAAACAAACAUCACAAAAAUAUCAAACACGUUAAAAAAUUAGCAAAAAUUAGUCCGCAUGAUGUAUCAAAACAGUCCGCACACUCUCAAGCUCACGCUUUGGAAGUUUUCACUCUAUUGGCCUCACAAGUGUUGAUAACUCGCAUGUACUCCAAUGAGGUCACUUGGUUCCAACUGUGGCUAGAGGGGAUUAGAUUCUUGUUUUAAACGACUCAAAAAGUAAUGUACGAACUUGAACCAAAAAGAAUACUAUGACUCAAAAACGAGAAAAGCACACAACAAAUGCUAAACACGAAUGAACGAACACAAAGACUAACUAACAAUCUAGUAGAUGAGUACUAGUUUGCCAAUUAGUAUUGGAACCAAAGAAAUUGAAAGUAAGGAACAACAAAAGGAAACUAAGAAAUAUAAAAUUUGAGCCAAAAUUUGAUGAAUGAACAGUAUCUUGAUGAUGUGGCAGCCACGUAUUGGUCGCGGUUUCUACAAUUUUUAUUUUCCAAAGUCCAAUUCUUGACCAAUUUUAAUUUGGAUUGGUAGAAUUUGUUUCAAGGAGGGAAGAAUAAGUCUUGGAGCCUUUUUUUUUCAAGUUUCACAUUUCAAGACUUGACUUUUCUAGUACUUUUCCUUCAAACAUGGACCCUUGUUUCAUGGGAAAGUGGUUGAGAAGUGAUGUAAAGUCUUUAGUGUGUAGGAAAAGUCUUUGAGUCACAAGUACUACACCUUGAAACUUGGAUCUAUGUCUUGCAAGACUAACACAAUACAAACUCUUGUUCUUCAACUUCUAAGAUCAAUAACCAUUUUUUUCAACAAGGAGAUGGUGAAGAACACCAAGAACACAAACUUUGAGUCUUGAAGUUCUAAGGUUCAAGUUGGACCUCCCAAACAACAAUAAUAACUUCCCAAGCUUAAAUUCAACAACACAAAUUCCACAAUACACGUUCAAAACUUGAACUAACAACACAUCACACGUUCAAGUCUUGAACCCACAACAACAAUACCAACAACAAUCGGCCACACUUUGUUUACAUUAACAACAUCAACAUUUCAAGCUAAAAUAUAAGAUAUAGACUCAACGUGUUAGUGAAGAACAAAACUAACACUUAGAGACAACAAAGACAAGUAAAAAUAUUGGUCAAUACACAACAAAAACACAAUUUUUGGCCAAGAAAACAAAAUGGACAGAUUGAUAUUUUUCUGAAAUCUUCAAAUCUCAAAUUUUUAUUUUUAUUUUCAAGUGAGCUAGCCCAAGAUUUGAUCUUGUAAGAACAAUAUUAAUCUAUGCUCUGAUACCAAAUGAUACCAAAACUCCCCAAGAACACACGAAACAAACAUCAAUCAGUCCACUAGCUCAAGAACUAUGAACCCUUUUGAUGACCUAUCUCAGAUUUGCAAGAAGAACAAGAAAGGAAGUGAUAUCAAGAGUAAAUACACUAAAAAAAUAGCAAAAACACAUGAUGAACAAGAUGAACACAAGAACACAACUUUUGGAUUCAACAAGGUACAAAAAUAGUCCACUACAAACAUACAAAAUGCAAUAAGAUAAAGAUAGAUAGAUAGACAAAUGAAGAUGUAAUAUUAACAACCCAAAAGCUUAUUCCACUUUUGGACCUUUAAUAUCAUACACAAACUAAAUUGUAAUGUCCCAAUUUUCUGAAUUGAAAUGCUACACGGUGCUCAUGAUCCCAAGGGACCACAAGCUAACCCAUGACUGAUAUCUGUACCUGUACACUACAUAUAUAACAAAAUAAUGCGGAAAACAUGAACAUGUAGGCCAUAAGGUUCAACUAAAUACAGAAUCUGUCAAAACAUAAUAUCCAUAUGGGUGAAAAAUACCCAAAAUAGUUGAAAACUAAAUCAAAUCUGAACAUAAAUAUGAAUACUAAAUCUGAAAGCCUCUAAGUACUGUCUGAAUAAGAAGUUAAAGGAACAUGUCUCCAACUAACUCCAUAAACUGAUAACGGGCUAAAAUAAUAAUGAAUAAAUCAAAUCAUAUUGUCCUCGAAUGAAGAAGAAUCACUGAAUAUCUACGACUGGAAAUGCUCCUGCUAAUGCUGAUCUGGAGCUCGUGUCUCUGAACCUAUGGAAUAAUAUGAAAAGAAAUCACCAUAGCGCAAAUGUGUCAGUACGAUGGAAUGUACUGAGUAUACAAGUGAGGUAGGCUAAAUAUAAAUAGGGUUUACAUGCAUGAACAAUGCCAACUGUCUGACUGAUAUGAACGUAAAAGUACAAAUAUACAUACAUAGUAACUGAAAUUGUGGGUGCAUGAUAGUUAUUCCUGCAUGCUAAUACAUGGUUUACUGAUGGCUAAUAUGACUGAUACUAAAAUUUUGAUAACAUGGGCGACUGUAUCUGACAAUCCUGAAUCUGAUUGAAUUAUCUGAGCUCCGUACUAUAACUGAGUCUGACUGUAUCUGACAGUCCUGAUAUAUGAAAUCUGAAGACCUAUUUGAGUUCUUUUACUGAGAAUAAUUCUAAAACUGUGGGAGGUAGUUGUUUAACCAACACGCCCUAAUAAUGCAUAUAACUAAGUUAGGGUCUAAUCUCUGCCCUGACUGGAGGGGUGUCAAUACCGCGCCACUGGUAAGGACAGUUGUGAGUGACCCUUAGAGGGCAGGUAUUCGAAAGGAGAAUGGUGAGAACCCUAAACUGACAGGUUAAGCCACCUCAUCAACCCUAAUCUAAAAGGCUAAGAUGUCUCAACCUACGCUGGCUACGUAGUUCUAGAACACAAGGAUGACUGCUGAGAAUCACACCCUAAACUAGUAGGUGAGUUUCCAUCCUUGGGUUUACUCGAUGCUAAGUUCUACUCCCAUCUGAAGAGACUAAACAUGAUUCAAAUGACUGUACAUGGACAGAUUAACUGACUUCCGUUGACUGAUGGAGUAGUACUAUUAUCUAAGAGUUAACUGAAAUCAUGAGAUUUUGAGGUUUCCUGAGUCACAUGACUGACUGAGUUCUAUAGAUUAUAGCUUGACUGAGAUUAUCGUGACAACAUGACAUGGCUCUAGGCACACAGCUAUGUUUUUUGGGUAAGAAUACCCCCAAGACUCCAUAAAAGAAAACUGACACACAUGACAUAACUUGAUCACAAGAUUUGAGUCUACAAUUCAUAAUCAUAAGUAGGGGACAUCAUAUUUCAUAUAGUUAUUCUACAUCUUAAACAUUGUAGGGAAUGCAUGGAUAUAUUUUGUGCACAUAUUGUAUAUCUCCAUUAUCUUACAUGCUUCAUACCACCACAAUAGCAACACAUGAAAAGCAUGGAAUUCAUAUUGAAGUAUAUAGCUAACAUGGACUUCUCAUUUAGACAUCAUAGAAUCAUGCAAAAAUGAAUUUCUGGCAUCCUAAGCAUUUUAUCAAACACCUUGCAUGCAUUCUUUAAGGCAUAGGUGGGUUUUAUACUUGUACCAUAUUAAACCACCUAAAGUUCAUGGUUUUCAAUUAACAAACAUAUAUAUUCCAUGAAAACACUUUUAAUCACAUUGAAAAUUAAACAACAAUCAUCAACAUGUACAUACUCAUAUCACCAUAAAAAGUUUACAAAAUAAUAUUUAAAACAUGGUUCUUGAGCUCUAUGAAUGGAUUGGAUCCAUAGAUAAACACUACGCAUACCUUAGAAAGGAAACCUUGAUGAUUUGCUGGAGAGUUCUUGAAUUGGGAAAAUUAAUUAUCGAUUAUCUUGAAAAAAAGGCUUGAAUCUUGGUUUGGAGAGAUGAGUUUGAUGGAAACCCUAAUCUUGUAGCUGAGAGCGUAAGAAAGGGUUUUUGAGUUGCUUAACUGAAGAAAAAUGGAAAAAAUUACACCUCUUUAGGGUUAUAUGUCAUGAAAGGUGAAGGAAAUAACCAAAAUACCCUUAUGAAAUAAAUUUCCAGUUGCUGAAAAAUCAUAGCUAAUGACCUUCGUGAUAGGGCAUCACAAAUGUGAUAAGCUAUCACAAAUGUCUUCACUUAGGAGCUGGUUUCUACCUAAGGCUGACGACCUUCGUGAUAGGGCAUCACAAAUGUGAUAAUCUAUCAUGAAUGUCGUCACACUAUUUCCAGCCUGACAUGCUGGAGUAAAAUAGGAAUAACUCUUUUCUUCGAUAUCGAAUUUAGGAGAAAUGGGUAUAGUUGGAAAGGUAAUUCAAUUAUAUGUCUGUUGAUAGGUCAUGAGCUGAAAAAUUCCAAGUAUAAUGAGAUAUGUUCUCAUUUGAAGUUGACUAUACCAAUAUUCUUCUCAAGAAUUCAAUCGGUAAGGAAUGUUUGGAUUCGUCUGAUAGCUGGGAGUUAUUUGAAGCCUUAAUAUACAUCUAACUUACUCAUAAAACUAUAAAAUAACCAUGAUGUACUAUGCAUGAGCUUGGUACAUGGCUCUAAUAUUGGUUUGGAUUUUUCAGGGUAUUACAUAAACCUAUCUCUUACGUGACCUCAAGGGAAUCGUAAUCCCCAAGCAAUCUCUGUUUCUAAGCGAUUCAUCAACACAAGGAUUCCAUUGCCAAAACCCUUGAUUUUUUUAUUCAGGUAUAUUAUAUUACACUGGCCUAGUGUCAUGUGGCAUAUCAAAAUUAGAAACUCCAACCUUAGCGGCACACUCGGGUUGGGGGCUUCCUCGAGUCAAUGGCGGAUUCCAUACGGCCCAUGGGAUUUUAGAAUUGUAGGGGUGUACCACCUAACUCAGAAUUAAUACAAAGAUCAUAAACUGCAUUGUCAAUAAUGAUUUAUAAUUUUUCAGAAAGGUGCCCAUGUGUUUUGAAAACUAUUUUAUGUAUGAUGUUUUGACAAAUUUCUAUCCAUUAUUUUAUUUAUAUAAAACCUUUAUUUUUGGAUUACUUUGCAUACCAGUACAUCUGUAUUGACUCUCUCCCCCUCCCUCCAAGUUCUGAGGAUCAGUCUAGGGGUCCAGAUAAAUGGUAGAUAAUUCAGACAGUAGAUCAGGUUGUGCAGUGGUAAGCCUUCUCUAUUUUAGAAGUCCUGUUCUUUCAGAUUAUGUCCUUUAUUAUAGUUUUGGUCUACUAAGGGCCUUGUCCCAAUUUCAGACAGUUGUUAUUUAAUCAUGUAGUAGAGAUUUUGCAGACGGUGUUUGGUUGAUAUUGGAUUUUAUUCCUUAUUAUUAAACUAAAUUUAGAUAUUACCAUGUUUUCGUAGCAAAAUUUAUUUCUACAUUUCCUAUUUAUAUAUAUAUAUAUAUAUAUAUAUAUAUAAUUACAAUUUUGAAGGGCUCUUGGGCCUUCAUGGUUUGGGAUGUACGUCACGGCCAGGGCCCCGAUUCAGGUCGUGAAAAACUUAGUAUCAAAGCACGGUUCAUGGUCCUACGGUGUCUGCGAAAUUGCAUUGGGUAGAGUCUUGUUUAUGGGUGUGUAGUGCGCCACACUUAUAAGCAGGAGGCUACUAGGCGUUUAGGAGUGUCUCCCUUUCAUCAUGUUCUAGUUCAUGCUAUGGAGUUAGAAUAUUCCUCUUUCUUACUCUAAUUCGUUCUAUGGUGUCGCCCAUACGAAAGUAAUAGUCAUCCUUAUUUUUUCCUUACUAUGAUGUUCUCAGACAUGUCUCAUUAUUGGGGUGAUUCAAGUGCAAAAGUUUAGAGUUUCAAUGGUAUGGUCCUUUCUGAUUGAGCUAUAUAACAUUUUGAAAUUGUGAAAGGAAUUAUGAAGAGUCCAUUAGUGCUUGAGGUUGUAUUAAUUCUAGUGUGAACCUUGAUCUUGAUAAAAUCGUGCUUUUCAGCCAGCGAUAUUAAGUGUAUUCAGUCUUUUAUUCAAAAAUUUAUGUUGCAGAUGUCAUGCUUUUGGGAGGAUUAUGUAUAGCAGAAUGUUGGAACUGUAUUUCCACCUGAGUAGUAGUAUAAGUUAAGUGUCGGUGUCAUGACCUAUUGGUAGUGAUGUUGGACCAAGAAGUUGGUGAUGUGAAGUCACAAAGUUAGAAGUUAGAGUGAGGGUGACUUUUGUGUAAAUAAUAUUUUAUUUGCAUAACCAAUGUUGGAGGAUGAUCUACCCCUUUAUAGUGAUAAACUAAUGUGGUAGCUCGUAGCAUGUGUGUAUUGCAUGGUAGUCUGUGGGGGAAGUGUUUGACUCAGAUUUUAUUUAUACAGAGUAAGAUGUGUAUUCUUAGAUCAUUGAUUAUUGUGUGUCAAGUUUCUAACUCCUGUAAUCUUGUUAUCAUUGUAUUAUUGAAACUCAAAGUCUAGUGAAGCCGUGUGGGGCUCUUUCGAUUCACUAGCAUAGUUUCCUUGUCAUUCAUCUCAUUUCCUUAUUCAAAACACAAAAAUCAAAGUCUAGUGAAGUCGUGUGAGACCUAUUUUGAUUCACUAGCAACUUGUUGUUCAUCUUGUUGUUCUUGUGUUGGUUGGAACUGGGGUUUUAAAGGCGUAAUGGAAAGAAAAGUAGUAAGGGCUAUUUAUUGAAUAUAUGUUUAGCCAAUUUUUUUUUCAUGAGACUGAGUUAGUAAUGAAGUGAUACAUCCUUGUAUGUUAGUUUAGUAGAAGACAGAGAAGGAGUUAUUAGUCAAGGUGAAUUGUUGGUUGCCUGAAGUACGAAAAUGACUAGCUUGGCCAGUAAGUUAUAAUUAUAGACUCGUGGUUGUUUAUGGAAUCUGAAGGUAGUCUAAAUGUACGCUUGGGUAAGUAAGUGUGAUGUGGGAAAGAUGUAUAAUUAGAUAAGAUCGUACGGGGUUAUAAUAUAAGAUUAACGUUGACCAUGUCUACUAUGUGACUUUACCCCCCCCCCCCCCUUUCCUUCUUUUCGUUGGUAGUUGUAAACUAGUACUACUUGUGAGAAGGUAUGUAGUAGAUUUUUGAGGUAUUUGGAUGGAAUAUCCCAAUUUGAUGGACUAGUAUAUUGUGUUGCAUUCUUCAUCGAAGGUAAAUGAUUGAUGUUAGACUAUAGGCUUAAAUUUAAUGUAGGCUAUGACGGAAGUAGUAUGGUUCAUCAAAGGCUUGGUGAGAUCCAUGCUAAGUGUUAGAAUCUAAGUUUGAGUUUUUAAAGAUUGAGCUAAUAGAAAUAAGAGUUGAGGAACUAGAAGGUGUACACUCCGACUAUAGGGAUACUUGUGAAGACCCGAAGUUAGUAAGUGUGCAAGUAUUAUAUGAUGACAAUUGAUGGCUAUAGAAAGAUAAAGUGUAUCUUAGAAGGUAGUACUUUUCACUUUUAGGUGUAUUCAUUCGGUUUAAGUUUUAUGAUAUGCGUGUAUGGUCAUUUUCCAGACCCCGGAGUGCAAUGAGUGUAGUUCAGUUUAAAGUCUAAAAAGAGAUCUAUCAAACUUAAGUGGUGGCUUGAAGCUAAGGGGGAGAUGAUAGAUCAAAUAACCAAGUCAGGCUCUCAGAUUCUGAUAGUAAUGCCAGUGUGACAUAGAACAUUAGAAAGUGAGGGUGAGACUCAACCCAUUCUCAUCUCAGUAUUUUUCAGCUAUCCCAAUACCUACUCAUGCUUUGCGUUUCGGUUCAAUCAUCAUAGUUCCUGUUCAUGUAUAUGAUAGAGAAUCACGUGCUCUUCCAGUUCCUAAAUGAGAAAUUAUAGUUCAUUCAAUAGUCGGGAUCACAUUCCAUAAGUUAUGAACUCCAAAUUGAGGUCAUAUAGCUCAUAACUCGUGUACUCACGCUUUAUAGUUUGCUUAGUACCUAUAACUUAUGCUAUACACCUAAUGAUUGGCAAGGUUGAACCAUAUGGAAGAAUAAGCGAUGCACCCCUUGUUGUGUCCGAAAUAUAGAAUGAAAUAGAGGUAAGAUUAGCAAGUUGCUUCAGUUGUGUACCCUUUAUUUUCUCUUUACUCUUAGUAUACCCAACGUCAUUCGAGGACGAAUGUCCCCAAGGGGGAGAUAUUGUGAUGCCCCGCACUUUUCUAAGCUAGAAAACGAACUAUUGUUCGUAUAUGAGAAAACCCCAAUUUUGUAAGCCAUAUUUGGGAACCUAAACUACCAAGAGUACCCUAGUUAUAAGAGAGCUUAUGAUGUGUUAAGUGUGGUUAUAUGAGUCACUUAAGGUAGUACAAGCUAAGAGUUUUGAAAUCCAUCAAGUUUUAAUGUUUGAAUUUGCAAGGGUCAUCUUUGAAUGAGCAUAACUUGAUAAAUAUGUGGUAUUUCUGCAUAUUUCUACCCACAAAAUUAUAGAGAAUCGAAUUAGCUUUCCAAAGAUACCAAUUUCACCAAAAUCCGACACCCGAGCUAGGAGUUAUGGCUUUGCGAAGAAGAGUGCGUCGCCUAACCAAUCGCACAUGCACACUGGAAAGCAUAUGCGGCGCCUAUGUAAAUAUAGGAGAUAUCAUAUGCGGCGCCUAUGUAAAUAUAGACGAUAUCAUAUGUGGCGCCUAUGUAAAUAUAUGCGAUAUCAUAUGUGGCACAUAUCUAAUGGUUUCAAGUGACUUAAACACUCUGUUUUUGGGUUAUUUUGAGGGCAAUUAAGUCUUUUGGCACUCCUUACACACCCCUAAACUUAACCUUAUGAAACGAGUUACGGAUUUUAUCAUUUUUUUAACUUAAGAAAUAUGAGAUUACCCUUAAAAUGGAUUUUUCUUGAGAUUUUUUAGCAUAAUAUUGGGAGUAAUAUUUAGCACCGAGUUGGGUAUGUUACUACGGUUUCAUACCCUAGAACUACGUGCCAUCGUAGGUUGAGACAUUGACUUCCACUAUAUGUAGAAAAUUGAGAUAGGGAUCACUGAGAUGAGAUUGUUCUACACCGAUGGAAAGGGUAGGACAGCCCUAACCUUACGGGGGCAAGUCGUGGGACAUCAUGGGUGCUCACAUGGUGUACAUGUCGGUUAAAAGAACCUCCCAAAGAGUCAUCCCUCAUUCUUAGAUUGUUUUUACUGAUUUAAAAGAGAUUUGAAAUACAGAUUUAGGAUGUAUUCAAUAUUCCAGAUUUCACUAAGAUUUCUUGAUGAGAGAAUAAGAAAAGAAUCUUGAUAUUUGGAUUAAGUGUAAUGACUCAUGAUAUCUAGAUUGGCAUAUUUUACCAUUCAUUGUGUAUGAUUUCAGAUUUUAGAUUUCUUUCAAGCUUUAUGAGCCAUUUACAAAUGUCCUGCAUGAUUUGGAAAGAAAACUUAUGACAUGAUCGUUAAAUAUAUAUAUAUAUAUACAUAUAUGCAUAUAAAUAUGUUUAUUUCAUGCACCCCCAUGUACUCGGUACAUAUUCCAUGGUACUGACCCAUAUGUUCGCAUGUGGACUACAUUUUUCCUAUAAUGUAGGUUCAGGUGCUCAUUCCCAGGUUUGAUCGUGAUUAUCCGAGCAUGUAGAUCUACAUCCUCUGCAGUGGUGAGUCGUCAUGGUCCGAGGACUGGUUAUUUAGAUUUCCUCAUUUACUUUGAGUCGUUCAGUUUAUUUCCUGAGUUCGGGUCAGUUGGAGUUUGUCCCAAUGGCUCAUGGAUAUAUAGUUUAGUAGAGGCUUGUCACACUAGAUGGAUAGAUUGAUCAGAUUUGUUAGAGACAUCGUAUUUUGUUACUUUUCGUAUUUCAUUCGUAUUGCAGUAUGAUAUUAUGGAGGAUGUUUUGAUUAUGAUGACUUUGAUUAGUGUUGAAUGGUAGAAAAAUGGCUAAAAGGGUUAGCUUGGGGAUACUUGUAGCCUUAAGCACCGUGUGACGCCUCGGGACCCAUUUUCGGGGGGUUACAGCUAUAUCCUUUCUUAGAAGACAUAUCAUGUCCAUGUUAUUCCAUACCUUAAAGACUUUAACAUUCCUACUGUAAUGCCCCAAUUUUUUAAAUCGGAAUGCUACACGGUAAUCAUGACCCGAAGGACCACAAGCUAACCCAUGACUGGUAUUUAUACAUGUAUACUGCAUAAAACACUGUAUAAUGCAGAAACAUGUACUGAAAGGCCAUAAGGUUCAAAUCUGAAUAAACAUCUGAUAAGAACAAUGUCUGAAAAAUGGUAUAACAAUACCAAAACAAAUUUGAAAUAACUAUCUGACAUGCUAUAGUCUGAAAUCCUCUAAUUAUCUAAAUAAGGAGUUGAUGGGACAUGUCCCCAAGUAACUCCAAAUACUGAAAUAAACUGAAAACUGCAAUAGUAAUGAAAUCAUCAUGUCCUCGAAAGAUGAGGACUCACUUCUAACUCUGACUGCUGAGACUGGAAUCUACUACUAAUCUGGAGCUUGUGCCUCUGAACCUAUGGCGUAAGAUAAAACACCAUAGCACAAAUGUGCCAGUAUGUCUGAAUGUACUGAGUAUACGAGUGAGGUAGGCUAAAUUCAAAGGGUUAUAUGCAUGAACAAUGCUGACUGAUAUGAACGUGAGAAUACAUACAUGCAUCGAUAACUAUAACUGAACUCGUGUUGAUAUUGACUACUAUGUCUGAAUACUGACAACAUAAGUUUGCUAGUGCUGAAUAGAUGAAUGACUAUUUCUGACAGUACGAAUUAUGAAGAACUAGUCUGAUUGAUUGUGUCUAACAGUUUUGAAAUUGAAUACUGAUAACGUAAGCUAUGAUGACUAAUAUAGCUGAUAUGACUAUGAUGGUCAGCAUGACCGAUGUAACUGAUACUGAGCAAAUGUAUCUGAUAGUCUAAGUUCUGAUGGAACUAUCUGAGUUUCGUACUAUAUCUGAUUAACUGAAUUUGAGAUCAGUCCAAUCAGUGGAUUUGACUUAGUCUGAGAUCAGUCCUAUCAAGCGGGUGAUCUUUAAAUCUGAUGAUUUAAAUACUGAUUGACCAUAGUUGAGAUCAGUCCAAUCUAAUGGGUGAUCCCUAAGUCUAAUGAUAAUGAUAAGGAUUGACCGUAUCUAACAGUCCUGAAUCAAUACUACUGAGCUGAAUUGACUAUACCAGACAGUCCUAAAUCUGUAACUAAAACUGUGGGAUGUAUUCAUCUAACCAAUAUGCACCAUGCUAAGCUAAUUGGGGGUCCAAUCUCUACCCUGAUUAGAAGGGAGUCAAUACCGUGCCACCAGUAAAGACAACUGCUAUGGAUUCAGUCCUAAUCUAACGGGUAACCCCUAGGAUUAGUCCUAUACAUAUAAAUAUGCUAACUAGUGAUCCCUGAGUAUGUUAGCCCUAUCUAAUGGGUGACAUCUCGUACCUACGCUGGCUAUGUAGUUCUGAAACUUAGGGAUUGCUUCUAGGGAUCUCAGUCCUAUCUAGCGGGUGAGUCCCUAUCCCUAGGCUCACUCAGUGCUGAAUCCUUCUCCUAACUAAAAGAACACAGUUUUGAUUAAUUAAACUGAACUAGACUGAGUUUACUGAGUUCUGUGACUGAUGGAAUACUACUAAUAUCUGAUAGCUGGCUGAGUUCAUAAUAUUACUGAUCUUACUGAGUGUUGAGUUCAUGAGAUUACUGAUCUUACUGAGUACUGAGUUCAUGAGAUUUCUGAGAGUACUGAAUUAUAGAGAUUACUGAAGUUAUCAGGUACUGAGAUUUCUAAAAUUAACUGAGAUUAACUGAGAUUACUGAACUACUGAGAAUGCUAAGGUUUCUAAGUUUUCCUGAGUCACAUGACUAACUGAAUUCUAUAGAUCAUGGCUUGACUGAGAGUAUUAUGAUAACAUGACAUGACUCUAGGCACACAACUAUAUUUUUUUGGGUACAAGUACCCCCAGGACUCGAUGGAAGGAAACUGACACAACAUGACUUACUUGAUCAUAGGAGUAAAGUCCACAAUUCAUAAUGUCAUAAGUUGGGGAUUUCAUGAAGUACAUGGUCAUCAUAAUCUUGAACAUGGAAGAUAAUGCAUAUAACAUGUACAUACUUUCAUGGGUCCAAUUUCAUGAGCAUUCCAUAUCACAACAACAAUACAUAAUAAUUUGCAUGAAAUUCAUGUUGAGUCAUAAGGGAUAGAGCAUGGACUUGUCAUUUAGGUUCUACUAAGCUAUAAUGCAUGAUUUCUAGUCUCUUAGGUAUUUUAUCAAACACCUUGCAUGCACACUUUAUGGCAUAGUCAUAUUCAUCACUUUAAUAAUUCAAACCACCCAAAAUUUAUAUAUUUCAAUAUACAUGUCAUCCUAGUUUCAUAAAAUUACAUAAAGAUUCUAACUUGGGAGUUGUAUAACAAUCAAUCACACAAACAUAAUCGACCCACAACAUAACCUCAUGAUUCAUAAUUUAAAAGAGGGUUCUUGAACUUUAUGGAUGAAAGGGAUCCAUAAAUCAACACUACGCAUACCUUAGCUCUUGAUUUAUUGAAGAUUGACGGAGAGAUUCUUGAAAUUUGAUGGUGAAUUCCCUUGGAAUUGAUCAUUCUAUGAAAAUCCUAGCUUGUGUUCUUGAGAGUUUUUGAAAGAAACUAACAAUAUUUGGGUGAAAAUAUAAGGAAUCUCGUGUUAAAGUAGCUUAUAUAGGGGUUGGAAGGUUACAAUUUUGCCCUUGGGAACACGGACUGGAUUGCUGAAAAUUGGCCCAAGGCUAUAGCAUGGGCGGCGCCCUGCCUAGCCCGGGGGAAUAACCUGGGCAGCACCUAGCUACAACAGUGCAGUAACCAGGGCGGUGCCUUGGCUACAGCGGUGCUGAAAGCUGGGCGUCGCGGGCUUAACCCCUUUUGCUACUGGUUUGGCACACCAAACGUGCCCUUACGCUACUCCAAAAAUUUCAAAAUUUAUCCGAUAUGUACUACGACCUUGUCCCAUCGCAACGCAACUCGGAAAUUAAAAAAUGAAGGUCGGAAAGGUCUUCAAAUAAAUCCACAAAGUUCGGAGGUCUAAAAUAAGACUAAGUGUUGAAAACUUAGCAAAGUUUUCUAAGUCUUGGAGCUUGUGAAGCCUAACGAUCGAAAUUUUAGACUUAGGAUUUUACGGGGUAUUACACCUACCCAUCAUUUGUGGACGAAUGAUCCCAAGGGGAGAUAAUGUAACACCCCGCAUUUUCAGGGUAGAACAUAAACUGUCAUUCCUACAUGUAGAUAUUCCAAAAGGCCAAAAAUACAAUUCAAAUUUGGUAUGUUAAUCAAUUAUGUAGUGUGGUAACCUAUUUGAGCAUGAAUUUAGAUCAUAGAGUUCCCCUAACUCAAGGUCAAGUUGAAAGCUUUCCUAUCGUUCGAGUUUUAGUGAACGUCAAAACUUGAGUCAACUUCAAUUGAACAUAACUACUUAUAUAUGAUGAACUGGGUGGUCUACUAUAUAUCAAAUGAAAUCUCUUCAAAUUAUCUUUCCAAAGAUACCAAUUUCGCACAAAACCAAUACCGGAUCAAAAUGUUAUGCCCAUUUUACUCCAGCAUAUCAGCCUGGCAACUGAGUGAUGACAAUUCUGACGGCUUGUCACAAAUUUGAUGACUUAUAGAAUAUGUCGUUAGCCUUAGUUAGAAAAUCAUAAAUUUUAAAUCCUAGGUGACGACCUGGGCUGACGGGCUAUCACAGAUCUGACGGCUUCUCAGCCUUGGUCGUCAGCUGAAAAUUUCAGCAACUGGAAAGUGAUUUCGUAGGGAUAUUUUGGUCUUUUUCUCACUCCAAAAUUGUUUCAAAUGAAUUAAAUCACCCCUUAAGUGUUAUUAAUCCAUAUAUUAUCAGUUUUACAACAUCUCACUCCUCUCUACUCUCAAGAACAAGAUGAAAACUAGGGUUUCCUCCAAGAUCAAGAAAUCAAGAAAAUCAAUCCUUAAGUUCAAGAUCUCCAAGAAACAAAUCAAGAUUCAAGUUUCCUUCCCUUCCAUAUAUCAAGAAUUCAUCUUUCUAAGUGAAGAUAUUCAAGAAAGGGAUCAAGAUCCGGGUUUCAUCUAUCUAGAUCCGGGUUUCAUCUUUCAGAUCUUAUAAUUUAAGGUACGGGGGGGUUUUCUAAAAUCUCAUGAGCAUAGAAAUCAUGUUUUUAGGAAAAGGGUUUCAGACUUAUGAACAUAUUCAUGUUUUAGAAGCAUUGAUGAUAUUGUUUUGGCCUUUAGGCCUUCCCCCAAAUUGAUUUAAAGUGAUACAUAUAUAUAGGUAUGUGUUUUAAGGUUGAUAAUUGAAUUGAGAGCAUGAUUCAUGUAAAAUCUCUCUCUGGUUAUGAUUUUUCUUUUACUUAUGACAUGCUAUGGAUUGUUCCGAAUGUGUUUCGAAAAGCUUGAUAUGAAAGGUCUUGAAUAACGUCAUAUUCGGAUUAUGAUUUUGAUUUAUAAAAGAGAGAGGGUAGUUUACGUUGAUAAAUGUGAAAAUAUUCAUAUAAUGAAAAAGUGGAUGAUUUUUCCAAAAGCACAUAACCACCAUAUGUUUGAGGAAUUCUUGUAUAGUUUUGACUUAUGUUUCGGAACAUGAAAUCUCUUAAACUAUUUGCAUGUUUGGGUGGUCUGAGCUAUGUUUAAUGGAAGAAUCAUGCAUGAUGCAUUAUGGCUCAGAAAUAGGACUUGCAAGUCUCGGUGUGACGACACCAAUUCAGAUUAUGCCAUGAUAAUUCAGAAUAGAAUAGAAUGCACGUUUGAAAUCAGACUUUUCAGAUGUUGAAACUAGAAAAAUGCAUGAUUCAGAAUAGGAUAAAAUUAGGCAUAAAGAGAUCUUAGGAGGUUCCCCGAAGAAGGCACGAGUUCAGACAACUCACUUUCCAAAACUGUGAUUUGCCGAUCCGGGUAUAUUAUAUUACGCUGGCCUAGUGUCGUGUGGCGCAUCAGAAUUAGAAACUCCAACCCUUGCGGCACACUCGGGUUACGGGCUUCCCCACCAAGUCAAUGGCGGAUUCUAUACGGCCCGUGGGAUUUUCGACUUGUAGGGGUGUACUACCUAACUCAGAAUUAAUACAAAGAUCAGAAACUGCAUUGUCAAGAAUGAUUUAUGAUUUUUCAGAAAAGUGCCCAUGUGUUUUGAAAACUAUUUUAUGUAUGAUGUUUUGAAAAAUUUCUCUCCAUUAUUUUAUUUAUAUAAAUUCUUUAUUUUGGAUUACUUUGCAUACCAGUACAUCUGUAUUGACCCCCCCUCACUCCAAGUUCAGAGGCUCAGUCUAGGGGUCCAAAUAAAUGGUAGAUAAUUCAGACGACAGAUCAGGUUGUGCAGUGGUGAGCCUUCUAUAUUCUAGAAGGCUUGUUCUUUCAGAUUAUGUCCUUUUAUUAUGGUUUUGGUCUACUGGGGACCCUGUUCCAGUUUCAGACAGUUGUUAUUUAAUCAUUGAGUAGAGAUUUCGCAGACGGUUUUCAGGUGAUGUUUAGUUGAUAUUGGAUUCUUUUCCUCAUUGUUAAAUUAUAUUUAGAUUAUGACCAUGUUUUCGUAGAAGAUUUUAUUUCCAUAUUUCCUAUUUAUAUAUAUGAAUGGUGUAUAUGAUUACAAGUUAGAAGGGCUCUCGGGCCUUCAUGGUUUGGGAUGUCCGUCACGGUCAGGGCCCCGGUUCGGGUCAUGACAAGUUGAUAUCUAUCAGUAUUUGAAGUAGCCAUCUUUUAGAGAGAAACUGGGAGUAAAUUUCCCCUAUAUAAGGGCUUCCUUUAUUGUAAAUCGUUCCUCCAGAGAAAAAAAUAAUUACUCUCUCUAAUCUUGUUCUUCUCUACUUUAUUUUUUAUAAUAUAUUAUUAGUACGAGACUCUACCAAUGAAGAUAUUUAUUUGAUUGAUUCCGGCACUACACAUACGAUAUUCAAAGACGAUAAAUAUUUCUCUCAUCUAAACAUGGGCUAGAUUAAUGUUACUACAAUUUUUGGUAGCGCUAAUUUGAUUGAAGGCUUCGGAAAAGCCAUUAUAAUCUUGCUCAUGGGAGCUAAACUCAUCAUAAUUAUGCUAUGUUUUCUCUUAAGUCUGGGAGAAACUUGUUGACUUUUAAAGAUAUGGUGAAAAUGGUUAUCAUAUCAAGACAAUUAUGAGCUGAAUCUUGAAUAUCUUGGUAUCACCAAGAAUGUCUCAGGGCAGAUAUGUAUUAUAGAAAAGUUCUUUGCUUUAUCUUCUGGCAUGUAUUGAACAAAGAUUUGUGCAAUUGAGGUACAUUCUAUAGUAAACCAGAAGUUUACUAAUUCCAGUACUUUCGUACUUUGGCAUGCUUGUCUGGAACAUCCUUGAUCUAUAAUGAUGAGACGAAUUAUAAAAAAUUCAAAUGUGCAUCCAUUAAAGAACUUGAAGGUUCUUUCAAAUGGUGAAUUUUCAUGUAAUGUUUUUUAUCAAGGCAAGAUAAUUGUGAGGCAAUCACCAACAAAAGUUGGGAUUGAGUCCCCCACGCUCUUGGAACAAAUACAUAGGGAUAUUUGUGAACUCGUUCACCCACCUAAUGGGUUGUUUAGAUACUUUAUGGUCCUAAUAGAUGCUUUUUUAAAUGGUCUCGUGUGUGCCUAUUGUUAUCUUGCAACUUGGCAUUUGCAAAAUUAUUGGCACAAAUAAUAUGAUCACGGAAACAAUUUCCUAAUAAUCAUAUUAAAUCUAUUUGCCUUGAUAAUGCUGCAAGAUUUUCAUCCCAAGCAUCUAAUGACUAUUUCGUAUCGAUUGGUAUAAGAGUGGAACAACCUGUAGCUCGUGUUCACACUCAAAAUGGCCUUUAUGAGUCAUUAAUUAAACAUUUCAGUUGAUAGCAAGACCAUUACUUAUGAGAACUAAGUUUUCCACUUCUAUUUGGGGUCAUGUGCAACACCCCGUAUUUUCCUAGCAUAAUGUAAGUCCCAAUACAAGAGUAUUCAUAUAUAUAAUAUUUUUGAAACACUCAUUAUUUUUUAUUUUAGAGCCUACCAUUGCGUAGGAAAUUGAAUUAGCUUUCCAACGAUAUCAAAUUUGCCAAAAUCCAAUAAUCGGGUAAGAAGUUAUGGCGAUUUAAAGUUUUAGUCGUUAAACACCGUCAUUUUAACCCUUAGCUCGUCACGUAGGCAGCCCAAAUAACAAUUAUUGACUUCCAUUGUGACUCCGCGAUUAUGGCACGUCGUGGAGAAGACCAAUUUCUCGUUUGUCAAUUUCCAGUGAACCUCCGCAAUCAUGGCACGUCGUGGAGGUGGACAAAUUGGCAUCCACAGGCUUACAAUGAUAGUGGCAUAUCGCGGCAUUUAUCCAGGUCCCAGUUGUCCCUUUUUCAGUGGCUUGGCAUGAUAGUGGCGCAUCACACCAAGGCCAAAAAUUGGGAUUUCAGUUUCUAGCUUGUGUUUUAAAUUUGUUUAAGAGUAUUUGGGUCUUUUCCCUAAGCCCUAAACCCGUCCUAAACACGAAAUUUAAAUCCUAAUUGACCUAAAUACCCAUCAUUAUUCACUUUCUCUCGAAUUAAAAAUCCCUUUUUUCAAGAACAAGAAAUUCUAGCUCUCAAGAAUCAAGUUCAAAUCUCAAGAACACACCAUCAAUCCUUCGAAAUUCAUCCAUUAAGGUAUGUUGGAUGUUCAUCCACGGAUCCCUUUCAUCCAUGGAGUCCAAGUAUCCAUUUUAUUACAAAUCUAUCAUCUUCUCAAGUUUAUUUGAUUUUAAAUUAUGAUUUCAUCCAUGAAUCCCCAUGUACUAGUGAUUUCAUACCAUGUCACCAUGAAAUUAUUGUUAUUAUUCAAUCCUCCACGUUUUAAUAUUGCUAUUUACUAAAAAAAACCAUGAUUUAACUCUAUUAUAUCGAAUUCAUGCUAUUUCUAUAUGUUUUAGGACAUUCCUAUGAUUGUUUUGAACCAUGAACUACAAGUGUUUGAUAAAAUGUUACAAGAGUAAAUGUUUUAUGGAUGCGUUCAUACUAUGUCCUCCAAUGUUCUUGUGUCAUGCUACUAUUAUUGUUUUGAGUCCUAGCGGUAUUGAAUACCUGAAAUCGUAGCUGUUUACUUAGUGUUGUUUUAGUAUCUUCAGAAUAACUUCAGAUUGUAUCAUGAGUAUUAUCAGAACACUCAGUUAAACUCAGAACAGUCUAGUAUGUCAGUGUCUUUCAGUUGGGAGUAGGAUUUAGCACCGAGCGAGUGUAGGAAUGGAGGCUUCCCCGUCAGAUAGGCAGAGUCGUUAGUAGCAGUCCCUAUACUCUAGGACUACGUAGACAGCAAAGGAUAUGAGAAUUCACCCGUCAGAAUAGGAUUGACUAUCUCACAGGGGUCACUCGUCAGUUUAGGCUUGACACCCUUAGUCCUAUGGACAUUAUAUCAGUUUAGUGGAUCCACACAUCCAAUGUUAGUACCCAUGACACGGUAUUAACACCCAUCCAACUAGGGUUAUAGGUUGAACCCCGAUUAGCUCAGAUUAGGACAUGUCGGUUAGAUGAUACCUCCUACAGUCUCAGUAUAGUCCUAAUUCAGUUAUGCAGUCUUAGAGUUAUUUGACCAAAGCAUACAGAUAUCAGUAUUUUGUCAGUAAUUAGUUUACAUAUUUUACUCAGUCUAUGUUAUAUACUUGGUCAUGCAUCCUCAGGGUCUAUAGAUUUUCAUGUAUUUUCAGUAGUUACACUCUCAUGCAUAUACAAUAUUUACGUGCUUUACAUAUCUCCGGUAUCUAUAGAUUUCACAUCCUAUACUCAGUACUCCAUGCUUACAUGUAUAUUCAGAUAGUUUAUUACUCCUAUUCAUGAAACCUUGCAUGUCAGCCUACCUCAUUUAGCAUACCAGUACAUUCAAAGUACUGAUCGCAUACUUUUUCUUUUGCACUAUGAUGUCUCAUAUCAUAGGUGCUGGCGCUCAGUUCCUGGAUCGCACCUAGAUUCUCAGAUUAUCAACAGAACAGUAGCAAUGGUGAGUCCUCAUCAUCCGAGGACAAAUUAUAUUACUUCAUGUCUUUAUCCCAGUAGUUAGUAGAGUUAGUUAGGUCCUGUCCCAUCAACUCACAGUAUUCAGUUCAGAGGCUUUUCAGACACUACAGUUAGCUAUUCAGAUUUCAGUAUUAUACCAGAUUCAUAAUUCAGUAGUCGUUUCAUUAUUAAAACCUUAUGGCAUUUUAGUUAUUCUUCCGCAUUCAUGAUUAUAUUAUUCAAUGCCCACGGCAGGUACCAGCUCAUGGGUUAGCUUGUGGUCCCUCGGGAUCAUAAGCACCGUGUAAUGACUAGGGGGUAGUCUCGAGUCGUUACAUCAUGCAAUUUUGCAUGCUACAACACUUGUUCGUCUUAGACUGACAAAUCAUCAUAAAUUUUCUCUGUUGUAAUUAGUUGGUUCAAGAGCCUAAUACAUCUCAUCUGAGAAUUUUUGGGUGUGUUGUAUAUGUGCCUAUAGCACCACCAAAUCUCACCAAGAUAGGCCCCCAAAGUAGGUUAGGAAUUUAUGUUGGGUUUGAAUCACCCUCCAUUAUUCGCUAUCUUGAACCAUUAAUGGGAGAUAUGUUCACUGCUCGAUUUGCAGAUUGUUGGUUUGACGAGAUAGUUUUUCCAAAAAUUAGGGGGGAAAGAUAGUGACAUCAAAAGAGAAAUUUUAUGAAAAAAUUCAUCAAUAUCUCAUCUUGAUCCACGUGUUUUUAAUUGUGAGCAAAAAAUACAAAAGAUUAUCUAAAAAGGAUCACCAAAUCACAUAUUCUUGUAAAGAAUGUACCAAUUCGAAUUGAUAUCCCUAAAGGAUCAUCCACCAGUGGCAUAGCUAAUGAGUCCAAAGUACGCUUGAAGUGUGGUAGAUCAUUGGAUUCUAAGGAUCGAAAUCCUAGAAAAAAAAUAGAUUAUCAAGAUGACACUACGAAAGAUCCUCAUAUGGAAAUUCAAGAUUUUGAAAAUGUUGAUAUCCUUAAAGGAAUCAUUGGGCCUGAGACUCAAGAAAAUGAGGAACUAUCCAUAAAUUCAAGUGAUGUUGGAACUAAUUUGAAUCGAUCCAAAAUAGUAGUGGAUUAUGUCUUUGCAUAUAAUGUUGCAACAAAAAUCAUGCAAGAUAGUGAAGAUCUUGAAUCUCAAUCUAUCAUAGAAUAUCGACAAAGAAAUGACUAGCCAAAAUGGCAAGAAGCUAUUCAAUUUGAAUUGAAUUCACUUCUUAAACGUGAAGUUUUUGGACCUAUAGCUCAGACACCUAAUGGUGUUAAGCCUGUUGACUACAAGUGGGUUUUUGUACAAAAAAGAAUUGAGAAAAAUAAAAUACAAAGGUAUAAGGCACAUCUUGUUGCAUAAGGAUUUUCACAACGGCCUGGUGGCGAUUAUGAAGAAGCAUAUUCACCAAUUAUGGAUGCAAUAACAUUGCAUUAUCUUAUUAGUUUCACUGUUCAUAAGAGACUUGAAAUGCAUUUGACGGAUGUGGUAACAAUCUAUCUAUAUGGAUCACUUGAUAAUGAGAUAUACAUGAAAAUUUCCGAAGAAUUUAAAAUUUCAUUAGAUUGCAAAGAUCAUUGUAUGGUUUAAAGCAAUCUGGAUGCAUGUGGUCUAACCGUCUUAGUGAAUAUUUAUCUAAGGAAGGUUAUAUGAAUGAUGAAAUUUGCCCAUGUAUUUUUAUAAAGAAAACAACGUCGAAGUUUGUUAUACUUAUUGUCUAUUCGAUGACAUAAACCUUAUUGGAACUCCAAUAGAGCUUUAAAGGGCCAUUGAUUACCUAAAGAAAGAAUUUGAGAUGAAAGAUCUCAGAAAGACAAAAUUAUGUCUUGGUUUACAAAUUGAGCAUUUGACAAACAGUAUCUUUGUCCAUCACUCUCUCUACUCCUUUUUCCUUCCAUACACGAUUGAAGUACCCCUUCAUUACUAAUUGUAGAGGAUUCAAACCCAUCACAUAGCAUAUUACCGCUAACUCCCAAAAAUUCACCUCCUCUUGAAUAUCUUCCAUCGUUAUUUUAACUGUAGUACUCGGCUCCUCAAGAUUAUCCAAUUCAAAUCCCUCUAUAUUUCGCCCUGCACUUACAAUUCACUCCAUUUGUUCUCACCAGAUUUCAGUGCCCGGGAGUCAUUAUGGUGUAUGAUUGGGUCUUCUUCAACCAUAUCCGACCAGCUCGCUUUGCCUGAGCUCUUUGAUUGUGAAGUCGUCGUAUCCACCAAAUUUGAGGUUUUGAUCAUAGAUGUACUGUGUGGUAACUGGAACGGCACUAUCCCUUGUAAUUCAUUCACAUUCUUCAUUUUUUUGCAUCUACUGAUUGUGGUACUUGCUUUGUAGUGUUGUUGGUGGACCGAUUUACUGUUUGGCUUUGUGAAUUCGUCCCUCCGAGCUUCGAUUUCUUUGCCAUUUUCAGUUUUCACUGAGAGAGACCGCCAUCUCUACAGAGAGAAUUUUUUGGCAGCUUGAAGGAGUACUUUCUUGAUUAACGAAUAGGAAAGGAUUUUGGAGUUCGAACUUCUAACCAUCACGAAGUUUUUUAUCCUCAUAUAUAACUGGUGUGACUACCUCCUAUUACAUUUUCUUCCCCCCCUUUUUUUUUUUGCAAAAAAGAACUAGUCAUAGUUACUCCAUUCAUUUCAAUUUUUGUCAAUAUGUUAUUGUUUAUGGAGUCAAAAAAGAAUUUUCUUAAACUACAUUUUCUUAUUUUUUAAAAAAAUAUUUUAAACUAGAGGAGGAUCUAGUUAAAUCGAUUCACAAGUUCUUGAAAACCCAAUAACUUUUAUAUUAACCCUAUAUUUAUCAUUAAAGAUUUAUUAAAUACAUAUAAAAUAUUUGUUGGAAACUUAUUAACAAAAUAGACCAGAAACAAUUGCUAACCUUUGACUACAGAUUCGAUUCUCCUUGGGAAUUAAUAAAUGUUCUUAAAAUAAUCUGAGAUUUUUGAGAAUUCAUAAAACUCAAAUCUUAUAUUUGUUUAUGAUGAGUAUAUGCUUUUAUAUAUGUUGUAGUAUUGAGUGAUUAUAUACCCCUUUCUCAAACAUCGAUAUCCAUAGCUCUUUCUUUCUUUUCUUUUUUUUUUGAAAACAAGAAAACUAAUGAAAGAAAUAAAUUAGUUUGGACUGAUUUAAGUCUAUUUUAGGUCCUAAUUGAACUAGACUUAAAAUGGAAAUAAUUAUCUCAAUAUAUGCUCUUGAUUUUCAAUAAUUUUCAAAUCAAUACUAAAUGCUUAACUGAGAAAAAGUAUCAUUAUAUAUAUAAAAGUUUGUAGAUACACAGAACUGUGAAUAUUUUCAAGUUUUCUCUACCCACGUGGAAUAUAUAUUGUUCAAACCAGACGACUUGAAGGCCACACAGAACAAUAGUGAGUCAUAGACUCCAAAAAAAAAAAAAAAACUAUCAUUUUUAUUUCAUUUAUUAUAAAGUUGUUUGGACACCCACUUGCUAUCUAGAGAAAAAACUAUACUCAUACAAAUAAAUAAUCAAAAUUUUUAUUAAGAGAGCUUGAAAAAUACAAAUAUAGUACUUAUUUGGAAUUUUAACUUGAAAUGUCAAGGUGAAACUUUUAUGGAGAGGAUUCGAAUGAACGCCUUCGCUCCCUAAAUCCAACCUUAUACAUAAUCACCAAGUCUUUUUUCCUUCUAGCAUGCAUCAUGUGUGUCAUCACUCCACCUGAUACUUCUAAAUCUAGCUAGGUACUCUUCCUUUAAUCAUCUAAUUAUUGCUUUCUCACAGCAAUAGGAAUUCUAACAAAAUGUUUGCCAUCACUCCAUGCCAAACUUCCAAAGGUAAAUUUACUUCUUCUUUGGUUAGUAGUUGUGAUCUUUACCUCAAAGGAAAUCUUGGUUGUCUUGGCAUUAAACUUCAACACAUCUGGAGUUACUUUAAUAGCAGUAUUUCUUGGAGGUUUAACCACUAAUUUGUAUAAAGAGUUAGCAUUUCCAACAUUGGUGACAGUUCUCUUGAUUGUAACUGAAUCCUUGAGAUUUGGAAUAGAUAUUGAAGGGAGAUUCAUAUCCAUCCUUGAAGGUACUUCUUUGGGACACACAAUGCCUGCUGAAGAAGAUGAUUUUUUCGCAUCGGAAUGAUACGUAGUUGCA
Molecule: long non-coding RNA, 200677 nt
Filed under: Capsicum annuum
Lineage: Eukaryota; Viridiplantae; Streptophyta; Magnoliopsida; Solanales; Solanaceae
Description: long non-coding RNA (CANN_LNC021845)
Source: RNAcentral